UUGGCCCUGCACCAAAAGAUAAGAACUUGUAAGAUGGCUCAUGUUUGAUCUCUCCUCUCUCAUUAAUCCAUCUCUCAGGCUUGAAUUCAUAGCAAUCUUCUCCCCAGAUUGACUUCAUUCUUCCCAUUGAAUACAUACAAAACAAGAUUUUUGUCUUUGGAUGAACUAGAUGCCCGCUAGGAACUAUGUCUGGUUUGACAGGUUCCUUAUGAUUGAAAGGGACUGGUGGAUACAACCUUAAUGCCUCACACAAUGCUCCAUGGAGAUAAACCAAAUUCUUUACCUCAUCGACAUUGAAUAGCCGCCUCCAUUUGGUUUCACCUAUAGGUAUUUUUGAUUCAAGUUCUUCUAUGAUCUUGUUUUCCACUAUUGGAUGCUUGGAAACCAGCCAAGUGAACCAAGUAAGAGCAGUGCUCGUCGUGUCCGUCGCAGCAAUUAUCAUAUUCAGAGCGGUGUCUCUCAAGAACUUAUCAUCACAUUUCAAACCUGUUGAUUCCUUUUCAGUUAUGUAUGAUGUUAAGAUAUCCACACCAUCUUUUGAUACCAACUGUUGGUUCAGCUUGUUCACUUCUUUUCUUUUCUGACAUAUAUAUUCAGAUAAUACAUCAUCAACAACUUUCGAUGCCUUCUUGUAUUUCCCUUCUUGUCCUAUGUUCAACCACUUCUGCAACUUGGUAAAGCUUCGUGGUUUAACAUGCCUAUAAAAUAUUGCUUGCUCGCUAUCAUGCACGGCCAUGGAGAAAAGAACUUAAGGGAGUUCAAGGGAGAGGGAACUUGGAUCAUAGUCGGUAACCAAGAUGCACGCAGAAUCAAAUGUGAACCUUUGGAAAAUGUCUUCUAAGUUGAUGACCAAGCCAUGUUUAGCAGCAUGGUCAAUGAUGGGCAUCAGCCCCAUUUCCACCUUGUCUCGGCUAGUCCUCAACAAGAAUUGGUGGAAAAGGUGAUGUCUCAAGAACCCUUGAGCUGCUAUCCGCUGGUUUUUCCACAAAUCCAACUCGGAGUUGAAAAUCCCGUCUCCUAAGAUAUCAAACAUCUGCUUGUAUUCAGGCCCUUUGAGGAAGUUUUCGAAGUUGGAACUCAUAACGUAGUGAGCAUUGGCAGGGUCACAUGUCGCCACCAAGUUCAUCUUAGCAAACCAAGGGCCUUUCAAAACAAAAGUGCUCUUGCAGCUUUCUUGUGUCUCAGUACACCAGUCGUGGACCCGGUGAACGUUGAGGAGAAGCUCAACAAUGCCAGGAGAACUCUUUGGACACCAUUUUUAUUUCCCAUAAAGCGGUAUAGAAACAGAAAGAAAAUGAGAGCCAAGAAGAAAACUUGAAGAAAACUCUGUAAUGCUAUAAAAUUGAUAUUGCCAAGUUUAGGCAAAUUCCUUGUUUUUGUUAAUUCGAUUUAUUAAGUGAAGUUUUCAAACAUUACUCACCGUCCCAACCAUCUAAUCUCUUGUUUAAGCGCAAUAAAUAAAUUAGAUAUGCAUUAAUCAAGAGAAAAACAAGAGAUUUCUAAGAAAACUUUUGAUAAAAUAAAUCAUGAUUAUCCAUUUAGUUACGUUAAUAUCAUAAUUAAAUUUGGUGUACUCAUUCUAAACCUUUGGAAAAUGUCUUCUAAGUUUAUGACCAAGCCAUGUUUAGUGGCACGGUCAAUGAUAUGCAUCAGCCCCAUUUCCACCUUGUCUCGUUAGUCCUCAACAAGAAUUGGUGGAAAAAGUUGUAACAGCCCGAUUUUCAAUGAUACAGAAAUAGUGAUUUUGAGACCAUAAUUUUGACAAAAUAUUUCGUUAGUAUUAUUUAAUUAGUAUAUUUAUGAGGUAUAUAUAGUCAUUAAAUUUUGGUUGAGAAAUUUCAUUAUUUGGAUAGUUUAAUAAGUAAAAAGAACUGAAUUGGAAAAACUGAAAAGGUUGAGUAGUUAAAUUAAAGGAGCUAAAUGGACAAUUUAACCCAUGGAAAAUUAGUUAGUGGGAUUUGAUGGGAUCAUAUUUAACAAAAUGGUUUAAUUAGCUUAAUUAAGAAUUUAUUAAAGCUCAAUUAAGAAAGUUGAAGUACUUACAAAAAUGACAUAGUAUAUAUAUUAAACUAAACCUAAAUUAAAAACAAAAUUUUCACUAUUUCUUCAUCUUCCUCAUGAAAAAAGAAAGGAAACAAGCUAGGGUUUCAACUUUGAUCUUUAAGCUUUGAAUUGGUAAAAGUAUUGAUGCUCGUUUUUAAUAAUUUUUAUGUUUUUGAGUUCGUAUCAGUUUGGUCUAGCUAAAUUGAGGACCAAUUUGUGAAACUAUUAAAUGUUAUAAAAGUUUUCAUUGAUGAAUGAGGCUAUUUCUUGAAACUUAUGAUGAAAUAUGGAGCUUUGUUGAUAGAUUAGAUUAUUUUGAAAAGUGAUUUUUGAUGAUUUUGAUAUCUAGGGACUAAAUUGAUUAAAUGAUAAAUUAUUUGUACUUGAGGUGAAAUUAUUGUAAAUAGGGACUGAUAUGAUAUUAUAGAAAUUUGGUUAUCAUGGGUGUUUAGGAAAAAUAAGUAAAUUUCAUGAUUAGGGUUUAAAGACUGAAUUGAAUAAGAUGGAAAGUUAAGGGAAAAUAGGUAAUUUGUCAAAAAAGACUUAGUUGCAUGAAAGGAUCAAAUUGUGUUGUUAUUCUAAUUGAUGGAAUGAAAUUAUUAUUGUUAGAUCAAGAAUGUGUUGAUAAUCGUGGAAAAGGGAAAACGCAGAAUAGUCCCUAUGCUUUGAAAUCUUUUGCAAAACAAUUUGGUAAGCUCGUAUGUUCAAUUAUUCUCCUAAAUGCUUACAUUCUUGUUUAUAUAUUGUUAGUGAAUGAUGUUUCAUAUACUGGAAGUACGCUCUAUCGAGCCAAAUCUUAAUGUUAUACUGAAUGAGGCUCAAUCGAGCAAAUCAUACUAUUAUACUAAAUGGAGCUUAACUGAGCAAAUCUUGUUGUUAUACUUACUGAUAUUUAAUUGAUCAAAUUCUACUGUUACACUGAGUGAAGCUCAAAUGAGUAUAAAUCUACGGAUAUAUUGAUGAAAAUUUCAAUCGAGCAAUGCUCACUAAGUAUAUUGAACUAUUGAGUUGGUUGUAAUUACUGUUAUAAACCGCAUAUAAUGGAAAUCUCUAAGCUUAAAGUUGAUUAAAUCUAUGUUUGAUUGGAAAUGUUUUGAAUUUCUAAACGAACUUACUGAGCUUUAUUUAAGCUUACCUAUAAAUUUGUUCAUUUUGUAGAUCGCAUUUUGAAGGCUAAGAAGGUCGGGUCAACGCUAGGAAUCACACUACCCGGGAAUCUUGGUAGACUUCAUUUCUCAGUUUUGGUAUAUGGCAUGUACUAGGACCCUAUGUGUUGUUAUGUCAAAUGCCUAGUUUUUGAGUAAAAUGUUGUGACAUGUUGUGUACUUGAUCAAUUUUUGAUUUCCUACUUGUUACUUAAAUAUGUUUGAAAGGUCAUAGUAUGAAAUGUUAUGCUAUAAGUUAACUUAAUGCUCAUAAUGAAAGGAAUGUAUGUUUAAAGAGGUAAAUGUGUUUGUGGUUACAAGCUGAGAAAGAAUAUAUGAUUAUGUUUGAGAAUUUUUUAUGUUGAAUUGCACCGCCCAUAUGUGUAUUUGAAAGUGUGUAGGUACCUAUGCAAUAAGGGAGUGAAAUUGAGCAAGAAAUGGAUAAAUUUGGGCUCACACAGCCUGAGACACGGGUGUGCGACUCAGCCAUAUGAGGCACACGACCUUGCGACACAGUCGUGUGUCACUUGAUGGCCUUUUGUAUGCAAGUUAGUGAGUUACACGGCCUAACACACGGCCCGGCACACGGGAGUAUUGGGCAACUUCAAGAGUUACACGACCUAGCACAUGGGCAUGUGACAUAGUCGUGUGACCCUACUCAGAGAGUUAUAUGGGUGAAGACACGGGCUAGGACAUAGCCGUGUGUCCCUAGUUUGAAAGUUACACAACCUGAGACACAGGCUUGUCUCUCAGCCGUGUGAGGCACAUAGCCUGGCCACUCGAUUGUGUGUCCCUUUGUUUUCAAAUUUUGCUACUUUUUCCCCAAAUUUUCUACAUUGAUUCAAAUUGGUCCCGAAUUGCCUCUAAGUUAUUUUUAGGGCCUCGAGGGCUCGUCUUAAAGACAGUAUGCAUGUGUAUGAAUGGUUUAUGAUGUGUUUAAAUUAUUGAAUGAUAUUAUGUUUAAAGGUUUCCUAUUGAAUAAAUAUGCUUAUUGCUAAGAUAUGACUAUCCAUUUGGGUAGUUAUGUCCUUGUGAAGACACAUGAGACCUUCUAUAAAUAGGAGAGAAAUUUCAUUUGUAUGACACACCAAAAAUUGUAGAAAUAAAGUUUAUUUAUGUUCUCUCACCAUCUUUUAUAUUUCUAGAAUGUUCUAUAAAGAAUUACUAUAGAAUUUUUUUCUAGUAAUUGAUACCCUAGCUAUGCUCUGCUCAGUGCACAGUAAUGUAACACCCCACGCCCAACCCGUCCACUGAAUCCGAGUAUGGAGCGUCACAAUGGAAUCAAAUUAACUUAACUUAAAUUCUAUCAGCUAACUGUUAUAAAAUUAACUAUAUUAAAAAUUAAUAAUAUUUCUUAUAGCAAUAGCCUCAAGUCUAUUUAAUGGCUUAGUCUCUCAAGGGUUUUAAAUUAUUAAAAACUGUUGGUUUAAAGAUUAACUCUUAAAAAUUUCUAAAGGAUUGUUUGUCCAAAAAAUCCAAAUCAUAGGUAUGUUAUCAGGCUUCACCGUGAUUGAUUCUUAGGUGAAUCCUCUAAUAGUACCACCUUCCUAUAUGCAUGACCUUGAAUCUACAACAAUCAUGAAUCUUCGCCUCAUCUCAUUUGGUCCCUCCUUGAAGUCCUCGAUCAUCCUCGCAAGUUCUACAAACAUUAUUCAACUCUUGAAAGUUUGAACAAACAUAGUGAGUUCCUUCAUUGUACCUUCAAUAUACCUUCACUGUACCAUAUCUAAACCCUAUUGCAUGAGGGUAAUAAUCGUGAAGAAAAAUAAAUUAAAUACAAAUACUCCCUACUUGCUCAAGGCAAGAUUGUGUGUUAGGGUAGCGAUCUCUACUCGAGCUUUCGAGCUACUCGGUUGGCCAUGAGACCUUCAUCUGGUCAAACUUAGACACCUUACCACAUUCGUAAGUCUAUCCCAACUUCUCAUAUUUCCUUUAUGCAUCUCCGUGGUAGUUUCUUUGUCUUUCCGCCCAAGGAUUCUUAGAACAUACCUUCCAUGGCAGACUUGAUCAUACCAGUACCUGAUGAAUUCUUUCCAUCCAUGCCUUAGUCUCAGAGGACUUGUUGAUCUUUCCCUAUCGUGCUAUCCCAUACCAAACCUCUCUACUCUAGCAAUCACAUUCUCAUUCCACCUUAUUGUUCACAGUAAUCACAGCAAUCACACGUGCUCGUCAUCUCAUUUACAUCAUUUCCUUUCUACCGACUAUCUUUGUGGUGGUAUACCCGCGAUAGACUUUCCUCAAAAAAGAAUAGUUUUGAUAGACCUUCUGUCUCCUAGACAAAAUCCUUAUCUUGGGAGUAGGGGUGUUCAAUCGGUUAACCGACCAGUUAACUGACCUGAAAUAACAUUAAUUGAAUUAACCGACCUUUCAAAAUUUUUAACCGUUAACCGAACCAAAACUUUUUAAAAAAAUUAACCGAACCGAAAAUUUUUCUGUUAAUUCGGUCGGUUAACCGAAUUAAUCAAAAAUUAUAUGUUUUUUUUUAUUUUUGGUUAAAAUAAGUAUAAAAUUAACCGAAUUAAUCGAAUUAACCGAAUUAACCAAAUUAUUUGUAUAAAAUUAUAUGUUUUUUAUUUUUAUUUUUAGUUUCAGAUUUUUAUUUUUAUUUAUUAAAUUAUUUGUAAUUUUUAUGAUUGGGUUGGGUUGGGUACUUGGGUUAAUAUAUAUUAGAUUGAGUAUUUGGAUUUAUGUUGGAUUAGGUUUGAGUGAAUAGUGGGUUAUUUUUAUAUUAUAAUUUUUUUAUUAAUUUUUUUCAGUUAACCGAAUUUUUUCGGUUAACCGAUCAGUUUCGAACCAAAUUAACCGUUAACCGAAAACUCAAAAAAAUUUUAACUGACCCCCAACGGAAUUAAUUCGGUUAACUGACCGAUUAACCGAAUUUGGUCGGUUAACCGAAUUUUUCGGUCUUACUCGAGUUUUGCACACCCCUAUCUGGGAGGGUAUUUUUCGAUCCUCCCAUGAAGUUUAGCUUCGUAAAACCCUUCUUAAUAGCUCUUAAUUGUGGAUCCUUUCUUGCGAUCAUCGAACAAUUUCCCUUUCUGCAUUUCCAAGACCAAGCUAGCUCUCCCAUGACUAAUCUUCUCUAAUUCUUGAUGGGUCUUCGCCCAAGCCUUAUUUGCUUCCAUCUCUAUCACCAUUAUGGGCAUAUUCCCAAGGAUCUGCAUACCAUACUUGUAGUUUUAUUUAUCCUUUCCUCCAUCUGUGUGGGGUUCUCAUACUUGGCACACAAACCAGAUCCACUUACCAUUUUUUAUAUUUUCUUCUAACCCUACUUCCACCUGUGUGGUUUCUUAUACCUGCCGCACUGGUAGUUUCCCUUCUCUUGAGGUCUUGGCAGCAUUUUAUCAUUUGUUUCUUAAUAUACUCUACGGGAUAUUGUAGUUUAACUAUGUUCUUAUACCCUUCUUACAUCUGUCUCACUUCCCAACAGACUUACCCAUGUUUACUAUCCGAUUCCAUGUUUACUAUCCCAGUGGACUUUAUCUCUGUGGAUGCCAUGGAGUCUUUCAUCUAUGGUCUUACACCUAUUCGUCAUCCUUACAUACUAUCUCACAGUGCCAUGGAGUCUUUCAUCCAUGGUCUUUCUCAUCAUAUGUGGCUGCCAUAACAUCUUUUAUGUAUGGUCUUACAGCGUAUACCUUAUACAUUGUCACCAUGGCAUCUUUCAUCCAUAGUCUUAUGCUCUAUACCUUUUACUUUGUACCAUGCAACCAUGGCAUCUUUCACCCAUGGGCUUACGCUACGUACGACAUACCAAACUGCCAUAGCCUUUUUCAUCUAUAGUCUUACGACAUAUACCUUAUACCAGUUGCUAAGACAUCUUUUAUCCAUGGUCUUAUGUUCUAUAUCGUCGUCACGGUGUCGCCUUAAAGGACCAGUCGAUACCACCAUCAUGGUAAAUAUCAUUGCAUGGUUUUAUUUCUCGAAUCCUCCUCCCAUUACCUUAUUUACACCACCUAACCUUGAGGCUUGAACAUUGCAGUGUUCCCUCCGUAAGGUUCAAAUCUUCGCUUGAGGCGGUAACUAAUAGGUUCUUGCUCCAUACCCUUUCAAUCUUCAUCUAAACCCUUAAGAUUUCCCACAGUCAUGGAAUGUAUGCUCAUAUCAUCACACUUCAUGCUUUUGCAACAUGAAAUGCUUAACAACGCAAACCAUAGUAACGGGUUUAGAGUUUGGAACUCACCUGAAUCCUUAUCGUUUCCCAAAGCUUAUUCCUUUUCUCGAACAUCGUAGCUUCCAUUCUCUAGGUAGUAUCUUGCAACAAAAAACUAUUAGUUAUACUUUAUAUUCUUAACUUAAUCCAUUUUUCUAAAAUAAGCAGAAUCCUUAAUAUGGUUAUGAAAUUCAUAACUUCAUCCUACGUAUAUAGAAGGGUUGAAAACCUUACUCGCUUGUUGGGUUCUCUACUUUUCCAACUUUAUCAUCAUGAAGUUUGCUCCAUACAAAACCUUCCAAUGACUACUCCUUUUUUUAGCUACCGAAGAAGAUGAAGAACAGGAGAAAUUAGAGCAAGGUCGAGAAGAAAAUCAUCCCUAGAAGCCAUCUCUCAGCUAUUUAUAGCUCUUCUCACGUUAUCAUCAACCUUGUGAGAACUGUCCAUCACUAAUUAUGAUGUCUCCCACUAAGGAACCGAUUGGUUCCAUCGUAAUAGAACCAGAAUUUGAUCUCAAUCAUGUCCAAUUUGGUUUCUAGCUUUCCCAUUUCCUUUAAUAGAGCUUGUCAUCCCAUUUGCAUCAUUUCUUUUCUACUGAAUAUCUUUGUGGCGGUAUACCCGCGAUAGACUUUCCUCAAAGAAGAAUAGUCUUGAUAGACAUUCUGUCACCUGGACAAAAUCCUUAACCUGAGAGGUGCUUCACGAUCCUCCCAUGAAGUUCUACAUCAUAAAGCCUUUCUUGAUAACUCUUGAUUGCGGAUCCUUUCUUGCGAUCCUGAAACAAUUUCCCUUUCUACAUUUCCAUGACCAAGCCAGCUCUCGCACGACCUAACUUCUCUAAUUAUUGAUGGGUCUUCCCCCAUACCUUAUUGGCUUCCAUCUCUAUCACCAUUUUUGGCGGAUUCCCAGAAUUCGCAUACCAUACUUAUGCUUUCCUUUUUCUAUUCCUCCAUCUGUGUAGGGUUCUCAUACUUGGCACACAAGCCAGAUCCACUCACCAUUUUUAAUAUUUUGUUCUAACCCUGCUUCCACCUAUAUGGUUUUUCAUACCUGCCGCAUUGGCAAUUUCCUUUCUCUUAAGGUCUUAGCGGGUUUUCCACAUUUAUUUCGUAACAGACUCUAUGGGAUGUCGUAGCCGAGCUAUGGUCUUAUACCCUUCUUACAUCUUUCUCACAUUUCAACAGACUUACCCGUGUUUACUGUCCCGGUGGACUUACCCUUAUUUAUUAUCCCAGUUCCGCAUUUACUAUCCCAGCGGACUUCAUCUCUGUGGAUGCCAUGGAGUCUUUCAUCCAUGGUCUUACACCUAUUUGUCAUCCUCACAUACUGUCUCACGAUGCCAUGGAGUCUUUCAUCCAUGAUCUUACUUAUAAUAUGUGGCUACCAUAACAUCUUUCAGCUAUGGUUUUGUACCGUAUACCUUAUACACUGCUACUAUGACGUCUUUCAUCCACGGUCUUAUGCUCUAUACCUUUUAUUAGUUACAUGCAACCAUGGCAUCUUUCACCAUAUAUGCAACCAUAGCAUCUUUCACCCAUGGUCUUACGUUACGUGCUACAUACUGGACUGCCAUAUCCUCUUUCAUCUAUGACCUUAUGACAUAUACCUUAUACCAGUUGCUAUGACAUCUUUCAUCCAAGGUCUUAUGCUCUAUAUUGUCAACACGGUGUCACUCUAAAAGACCAGUCGAUAUCGCCGUCAUGGUAAAAACCAUUCCAUGGUUUCAUUUCUCGAAUCCUCCUCCCAUUACCUCCUUUACACCACCUAACCUUAAGGCUUGAACAUCGUAGUGUUCCCUCCGCAAGGUCCGAAAUUUUGCUUGAGGCGGUAACUAAUGGGUUUUCUCCCCAUACACUUCAUAUCUUUAUCUAAACCCUUAAAGUUUCCUACAGUCAUACAAUGUAUGCUCAUAUCAUCAUGCUUCAUGCAUUUACAACAUGAUAUGCUUAACAACACAAACCAUAGUAACAGGUUUAGAGUCUGGAACUCACCUGAAUCAUUAUUGUUUCCCAUAGCUUAUUCCUUUUCUCGAGCAUCGUAACUUCCAUUCUCUAGGCAGUAUCUUGCAACCAAAAUCUAUUGGUUAUACUUUAUAUUCUUAACUUAACCCAUUUUUCAGAAACAAACAGAACCCUUAAUAUGUUUUUGAAAUUCAUAACUUCAUCCUACGUAUACAGAAAAGUUAAGAACCUUACUCGCUUGUUGGUUUCUCUACUUUUCCAACUUUAUCCUCAUGAAGUUUGCUCCAUACAGAACCUUCCAAUGAUCUCAUUUUAUUAGCUACCGAAGAAGAUAAAUAACAGGAGAAAUUGGAGCAAGGUCAAGAAGAAAAUCAUCCCUAGAAGCCAUCUCCUGGCUAUUUAUAAUCCUUCCCGGGCUAUCACAAACCUUGUGGGAACCGUCCAUUACUAUUAUGAAAUCAUCCCUAGAAGCCAUCUCCGCUCAAUGUUCAGUGAUGUAACACCCCCAUGCCGACCCAUCCACCAAAUUCGAGUAUGGAGAGUCACAAUAGAAUCAGAUUAACUUAACCUAAAUUCUAUCGACUAACUGUUAUACAAUGAUAAAAAUUAAUAAUAUUUCUUCUAACAAUAACCUCGAAUCAUCCCUAGAAGAUAAAGAACAAGAGAAAUUGGAGCAAGGUUGAGAAGAAAACCAUCCCUAGAAGCCAUCUCCCGGCUAUUUAUAGCCUUUCCCGCGCUAUCACCAACCUUGUGAGAAUCGUCCAUCACUAAUUAUGAUGUCUCCCACUAAGGAACCAGUUGGUUCCAUCCUAACCGAACCAGAAUUGGAUCUCAAUCAUGUCCAAUUCGGUUUCUAGCUUUUUCAUUUUCUCUAAUAUAGCAUGCCAACUUGCUGGCUCUUUCAAUUUAGUCCCUUAACUAUUCUAAAAUUUUGGGUUAUUAGAAAUUCGGGUGUUACAGAUGAACUGUUUCCAUCAGUACAAAAUGUAGAAAGUAAUUGGGUUUUAUUUUAUCCUUGAGGUUUAUUUGCUAGUAACUCUUUUGCAUACCACAAUAUAGGUAGGGGCGAAUAGAACCUUAAAGAAAGUGACAUUUAUACACGCCUUGAAACCUUUGUUAAUUUCUCAUAAGUUUGUUUUUAUCCCUAUGCAUCAACAUAUAUGAACUUAGAACAUAUUUUAAUUAUCAAUUUUUUAUUCUAGAAUAUAUCACAAACAAAUAAUCAAUCCAAUCAAAAUGUGGAUGAAAAACCUUACUAGUUUUUAAUAUAGAAAUGGAUUUAGGGACUUGAAAUAAAACAAAACUUAUGCUCAAACAACAGUACAUAUCUACAUAACAUAUCUACAUAACUUUAGUUUUAGUAUUUAAAGUUCUCUUUUUAAUUUAAGAAUUUAUAUUUGAUGGUGAAAAAUUUAUAUAUUAUUAAUAAAUUAAAUGAUAUUAUUUUAUAAUAAAAAUUAAAUAAUAAUAAAAAGUUUAUUUUAAAUCAUAUAACAUUAUAUAAUUCACUGAUAUUUCAUAAAUUUUGGGGAAGGUUGAACCAUAUAUGAAAAAUGUAGUGAGAUUAAUCUUUUCCUUUCCGAUAGCCAUUCAAUUGAGAAGUUAAUUAAAUAAAUCUAUAGUUUUAUUUUAUUUUUUUAAUGAAUGUGUUAAAUUCCAAUUUAUUUAGGUGGGCGAAUUCUAUGCACCGUUAGGCUGAUGUUGGGUGUCUAAUUUAUUUGUGUAAAAAUUGACUUUAUAAAUGGAAAAACGUAUUAUCCCAUUAAAUUAAUCCUUUCAUUAUUAAAUCAUUUAAUUUAUUAAAAAAUGCAUAAUAAUUUAUUUAACUUUCAAUUUUAUUGAAAAAAUCAUUUUAGUCCUUAAUUUAAUUUUUUGUUGUUUUUAGUUAAUUUUUUGUUGUUUUUAGUUCUUAAAUUUUUUUUUUACCAAAUCACCCAAAAAUAAAUGGAAAUAUUAAUGUUUUUUAACUCUGCUGACAUAGCAUACAUAUGAAUUGCCACGUGGAUUACACAUAAACAUUUAAUUAGUUUUUAAAAAUUAUAAAAAUAAAAAAAUUAUUUUUAAAAAUUAAAAAGUAUAAAAAAAUAUUUUAAGUUUUAGAAAAUUAAUUAAAUGUUGACAUGUUAUUCAUAUGACAAUUUAUGUACAUGCCAUAUUAGCAAAGUUAACAAAUGUUAACUUUUCCAUCCAUUUUUAGUGAUUUGAAAAAAAAAUACAAAUUCAAAGACAAAAAGAUGUGAAAUUUUAAAUGAAUAGCUAAAAUGACAUCUUCUUUUUUUUCUUUCUUGUUUUUUGUAAACUUGGAGGGCCAAAAAAAUCAUUAGGCCUAAAAAGAAUCAAUUAAGGCCAACUCUUUAAAAAAAAUCAUUUACCACUUAACAGAGUUAAUACUUUUAAAGUUUUUAUAGUUCCGUAAAUAGAAAUUUUUUGUUUAGAAUCAAACUGCAAUUGAGAAAAAAAUAAAUUUCAAGACUUUUUAUAUGAUAAAUGUUUACCUUAUUAUAAUUUAGACUUAUUUGAUUUUUUAAAAAUAUAGAGACUAAUUUGAUCUAUUUAAUAAUAGAGAGAUAAUUUGAUCUAUUCCCUAUAAUUCAAGGAUCUCUUAACUACUUUAAUCUUUUAUAAAUUAAACUUGUCCUCGUAUUUAUACUAAAACAAAUAUUUUCCAAAGCUUUGCAAUUUCAUGGCAAUUUUGGCUAUCAUAUUUUUUUUCCUAUUUCUAUAUUUCUUGAUAAAUAAGAGUUGAUCUCUAACGAGUUUUCAUUAAACUUCAAUUAUUCGUCCAAAUUUGAAUGUUUGUUCAAAAUUUGAAAAGGUCAAAAAAUGAGCUUAGGUAAAAAAUUAAACUCAUUUAAACAUGGAUCGGGCUAGGGUUUGAAUAUUUAAGGCUCGAGUUUAAGUUUAUAAUGUUUUAUAUUAUGUUAUUUUUAUAUAUUAUUUAAUUUAUAACACAUAAUAAAUCUAUUCUAAUAUAUAAUACUACUUUAAUGUUUAAUGUAAACAUUAAAAAAAUUCAAUAAAUAAAAAAUAUAUAAACGUAUUUAAUAAAAUUAAAAUAAUAAAAAUAUUUUUAAAAAAAAUUAAAAUUAAUAUGGACGGGCCUAAAAUGGAUUUGGAUUAAUUUUUUGAAAAUAUAGGCAGACUUUCGCAAAAUUUUAGGCUCAUAUUCUGGGUCGGGUCGAGUUUAAAUAAAUAUAAAAUAUAUUAAUAUUAUGCCUAGACUUGACCCAAACUCAACCAAGCCCAUCCUAUGAACACCUCUUGUUUCCUAUUGUUAGGAUGAUGCCUCAUCUUCUCCGCGACAUUCAUAGGCUCCAUGCCUGAACUACCGAGACUUUACAAAGAUGUAAUGGUACUAUUCUUUUUUGUGUCCCUUGGUUUGCUAGGAUUAACAUGUUGCUAACCUGCAACCUUAUAAAAUAAUAAUUUUAGCUCUUAAUAUUUAUAAUUUUUUUGGUUAAUUUGGUUAUUAAUUUUUAAAAUUAUAUAAAAAUUUUAAAAAAAGUAAAAUAAAUAUUUUUUAUAUUUUAAAUAAAAAGAUUAUAACUUUUUAAAAAUAAAAAAAUAUUUUUUAAAAUUUUUAAAAAAUGAAAAUUUAAAUUAAAAGUCUUUAAAAUUAAGAAAAAUAAAAAAUAAUUUUACAAAUAUAAACAAAAAUUUCCAAAAUUCAAUGUUAAUUGAACUGGACCACAUCGACUAGUCAAAUUGGGAACCAAUUGGGGUAUUGGUCCCGUGAGAGGUAAAAAACGAUUUGACCCAGAAAUCGGAACGGAUUGGUUGAACUAAGCUAAUUAAAUCGGUUGAACUAAUAGUUGAAUCAAUUUUGAACUGGUUUAACUAAUUGAUUCCUAGAACAACCGCUCUGAUCAGCUCGAAACAAAAAAAUUAUUUAAAAAUAAAAAAUAAAAAUAUUUUUAAAAAAUUAUAAAAAUCGAUUCAAUUGCCAGUUGAACUAUUUUUUUGUCCAAUUCAAUCAGUUUGUUGUUAAAAUUUUAUUACUUUUUUAGACCUCAACUUUUACAGUUUUUUUGUUAAUUUGGUCAAUACCUUAUAAAAAUACGUAAUUUUUAAAAAAAUUAAAAAAUAUUUUUAUUUUAAAUAAAAACAUUAAAAUUUUUAAAUAUAUAUCAUUUUGUAAAAAUAAAAAAUGAUAAAAAUAUCUUUAUAAUUUAAAAAUAAAACAUAAAAAGUUUAAAAAUAUAAAAAUAUAAAAAUUUCAAAAAUUCAUUAUUAUCUAAACCAGACCAAACCGUUUUAAGAACUAGUUAGGGUAAAAAGUUGGUUGAUCCCAGGAACCGUACUGACUCGUUGAAUCGAGCUAAAAAACUAGUUGAAAUAACAAUUGAACUCAUUUUUAUCUAUUUUAAUUUUUUAAUUUUCAUUUUGUAAUAAUUUAUUUACUUUGAAUCGACGGAUUGAUCGUUCUGGGAACCAAUUGAUUAGACUAGUUCAAAAUCAAGUUAAACAAUUUUUUAUCUCGAUUCAACUAGUCCGUUCCAGUUCAUGGGUCAAUUAAUUUUUUAGCUCAUGCUAGAACAAUGCCCCAAUAUAUUCUCACUUCGACUAGCUGGUCCAAUCUAACUUAGAUAACAUUAAAUUUUGGAAUUUUUGUUAAAAUUGUAAAAUCAUUUUUAUUUUUAUUUUUUGAAUUUUAAAGAGUUUUUGUUUUUUAAAAAAUUUAAAAUUUUCAGUUUUAUGUUUUUUUUUCAAAGAAAAAAAUUAAGUUUUAAAAAUUUUAAAAUCUUAAAAGUACUUUUAAAGGGUAAGGAUCAAAUUGAUAAAUAUAUAUAUACAUAUAUAUAUAAAUGUUGAGAGCUAAAAAAGUUAUUUUACCUUUGACACUGUUAAAUUUAACAACAAGAUUCGUCAAAGAGACUAAGAUUUUUAAAUAAAAAUAAUAUAGGAACUAAAUAUCUCAAAACUAAAAUAUAAACAUUAAAUUUUAAAUUUUAAAAAAGAAAAAAAGUAAAAAACUUUUUACAUAUAUAAACUAUUUAGGGUAACUGAUUAUUAUUGUAAUCAUAUAUAAACUUCUCAAUUACAUUUACCAAACAAAUAUUAAACUGAGUUAUUUUUAAUCAUAUUGCACUUGGCAUUCAACUUUGUAGUAAGCUGUCAUAAAUUCAAUGCCUUCUCUUUGAACUUAUUUUUAAUCAUAUUGCACUAGUCAUUUUUCUUUUGUAGCAGACCAUCAGACAUUUAUUCCCAUCGCUUGGAGAUCCUAGUCAUCAGUCCAUUCUCGGUGUGCAGGACAACCGAUACGGCCGAAACAACCGGAGUUUCUUCCAUUACAUGAAUACGAUAAUUGUAAAUUAGAGCAGAUGCCACGGCUUUCAUCUGAAUAAAUGAUGUUUCCUUCCCCAAACAUAUCCUUGGCCCUGCACCAAAAGAUAAGAACUUGUACGAUGACUCAUGUUUGAUUUCUCCUCUCUCAUUAAUCCAUCUCUCAGGCUUGAAUUCAUAGCAAUCUUCACCCCAGAUUGACUUCAUUCUUCCCAUUGAAUACACACUAAACAAGAUUUUUGUCUUUGGAUGAACUGGAUGCCCGCUUGGAAGUAUGUCUGGUUUGACAGGUUCCUUAUGAUUGAAAGGGACUGGUGGAUACAACCUUAAUGCCUCACACAAUGCUCCAUGGAGAUAAACCAAAUUCUUUACCUCAUCGACAUUGAAUAGAAGCCUCCAUUUGGUUUCACCUAUAGGUAUUUUUUAUUCAAGUUCUUCUAUGAUCUUGUUUCCACUAUUGGAUGCUUGGAAACCAGCCAAGUGAACCAAGUAAGAGCAGUGCUCGUCGUGUCCGUCGCAGCAAUUAUCAUAUUCAGAGCGGUGUCUCUCAAGAACUUAUCAUCACAUUUCAAACCUGUUGAUUCCUUUUCAGUUAUGUAUGAUGUUAAGAUAUCCACACCAUCUUUUGAUACCAACUGUUGGUUCAGCUUGUUCACUUCUUUUCUUUUCUGACAUAUAUAUUCAGAUAAUACAUCAUCAACAACUUUCGAUGCCUUCUUGUAUUUCCCUUCUUGUCCUAUGUUCAACCACUUCUGCAACUUGGUAAAGCUUCGUGGUUUAACAUGCCUAUAAAAUAUUGCUUGCUCGCCAUCAUGCACGGCCUUGGAGAAAAGAACUUGAGGGAGUUCAAGGGAGAGGGAACUUGGAUCAGAGCCGGUAACCAAGAUGCAUGCAGAAUCAAACGUGAACCUUUGGAAAAUGUCUUCUAAGUUGAUGACCAAGCCAUGUUUAGCAGCAUGGUCAAUGAUGGGCAUCAGCCCCAUUUCCACCUUGUCUCGGCUAGUCCUCAACAAGAAUUGGUGGAAAAGGUGAUGUCUCAUGAAUCCUUGAGCUGCUAUCCGCUGGUUUUUCCACAAAUCCAAGUCGGAGUUGAAAAUCCCGUCUCCUAAGAUAUCAAACAUCUGCUUGUAUUCAGGCCCUUUGGGGAAGUUGUCAAAGUUGGAACUCAUGACGUAGUGAGCAUUGGCAGGGUCACAUGUCGCCACCAAGUUCAUCUUAGCAAACCAAGGGCCCUCCAAAACGAAAGUGCCCUUGCAGCUUUCUAGAGUCUCAGUACACCAGUCGUGGACCCGAUGAACGUUGAGGAGAAGCUCAACAAUGCCAGCAGAACUCUUUGGACACCCAUUUUUAUAUCUCAUCAAGCGGUAUAGAAACAGAAAGGAAAUGAGAGCCAAGAAGCAAACUUGAAGAAAACUCUGAAAUGCCAUGAAAUUGAUAUCACUAAGUUUAGGCAAAUUCCUUGUAAUUGUUAAUUCGAUUUAUUAAGUGAAGUUUUCCAACAUUAAUUACUCACCGUCCCAACCAUCUGACCUCUUGUGUAACGGCAGUAAAUAAACUAGAUAUGCAGGGUGGUAGUUAGAUGCAUUAAUGGAGAGAAAAACAAAAGAUUUAAGUUUUUUAAGACAUCUUUUUCCAUUUGAGAGAAUGGAGGAAGAAACAAGCAUCAUAUCUUACUAGGAAGACCUUUUCUAAUCACUUCAAGGUCGACCAUUGAUUUAGAAAAAAUUAAAUUAACCAUAAAAAUUAAUGGUGAGAUUGAAAUCUUUAAAUGUGGUAAUCAACUAAGCGAGGAAAGUAAAAAGAAGUUAGUAGAACAAUGCAAAGAAUUAUUUGUUUCUAAACUCCCAAGGCAAGGGAUAUACUUCCUUUUAUGCAUAUAGAAAGAAUAAAUAAGUUCAAGAAAAGGGACAAGCGGGCAAAGGUGGAAUGGCACAACGAUGAUGGACUAAUACUGAUAGAAUGUAAGAAUCGUCCAUCAAUGAAUUGAAUCCGAUAGUAAAAAUUAAAUUAUUUGGAUUGAUGCUAAACUUUUGUAAAUUAUUGUAUAUUUAGCUAAAUGUUUAGGAUAGAUUUUAAUUUUCAUUAACUUUGCAUUUUAUAAAAAUCGUAUCAAUCUAGAAAAUGAAAUUUUGAGCAAAAACAGAGCCAGUGUCACAACACAGGAACCCUGUGUCACAACACCAAGGGCAGUUUUUAAUAAAAUUGAGAAAAUCCUCUUGACGUCGCGACACAGACUUUGAAUGUCGCAACACCGAAGCCAGUGUACUAAGAAAUCCAAAAAUCUGAAGUGUGUCGUGACAUCGAACCCCGAUGUUGCAACAAUGGUAAACUGUCAGGGAUGUCGAGACACGAAACCCCUAUGUCGCGACAUAGUUGUAGUUUUUUGCAGGUGACCCAACCCUACAGCGCAACCUAACGACAUUAAAAACCCAUUUCAGAAUAAUUUUAAACACCUAAACCUCUAAUUUUAACCUAAAAACAUAUUAUUUCACUCAUUAAACACAUCUUAACCCCUUAUCCUUAAACCCAUCUUAAAAUCUCUUACAACUCUUUAAACCUUAAACCCCCAAUCUCUACUUCUUAAAACUUCCAUACCUCAAUCAUACUCGGUUCCACAAGGAAGGGGAACACUUAAGGAACAAUAAACACUGUAGGAAACGAGGAAUUCAAACAACUUCUACAAUGUUAAGGGUUCCUAAUUUAAUAUUUUUUACUAUUCCAUUGAAUUUCUUCAUAUUUUGCUCUCAUUCCCAGUCUUGUAAUAAUGCCUCUUAGAAAAGUUAGAAGAAUUACGGAAAUGGAGCCAUCGAUGGUUCAAAAGCCCUCCAGUUUUUCGAAUCUGAGUGUUGAAAAAUAUUUUAAUGAACUUAAAGGAAAAACAUUCAUUCAAAAGAGGGGAUUUGAUCCAUCCAUGAUUCUCUACAAUGAAAUAUAGCUUUUGGUUAGAUAUCAUAGGUGGGAGCAUUUUUGGAUGAUCCCAAAAGAUAAUUUUGUGGUCCCUAUUGUUCAAGAUUUUUAAGCAUCCCUACGGGACCAAGAGUCUAGAAACACUUAAGGUGAUAUGUGGGAAGUAGUACCUGUGCGAGGGAUGGAAGUGCAAAUAACCCAUCGAAUUAUUUUUUAUUUUUAUAAUGCUUCAUAUUAUGAAAGAGAUUUUAUCGAUGAAUCUGAUUUAGAGUAUUUUCGAGACAUAGAUAUGGAUAACAUUAUAAACUUUUUAACUGAAGGAAAGGGCGAAUGGAAAUAUCACCCAGGUACCAAUAUUCUCUCAUCAUUUCAUUAAGCUAUUAUGUUUCCAAUGGCUAAAAUGUGGAUCUAAUUUGUAUACACACAAGUUGUCCUUGCUUUAAACGUCUCUAACAUUUAUACUUUUCGAGUUGUUUUACUCUAUGCUAUUUUGUAGAAAAAGCAGGUAUCUAUUGGAAAAUGGAUCCACCAAAAAAUGAAAAAGAUGUAUUAGUGGAUAGAAAAUGGGAGUUUUCUUUCCCUACUUAGUGACGACCUUAUGUAAAAAGGCAAGUGUACCUAUGACAUCCACUGAGCAGUCGCUAAAACCUUCCCAAAGUAUUAUUGGCGACACCAUGUUCCAACAGUACAUAAGACUAUGAGCAAAACAAAUAAAAGAUUGGAACAAAUGACAACAAAAAGCAACGACUACACCAGCUUCAUGACAGAAGUUGACACUAGGUUAACAAGAAAUUAGUGAGAGUAGUCAUCCAAGGCUAGAUUGGAUGAUACAAUGGAUGCAUGAGUCAGAGCCAAUAUUUCAAGAAUUUGCUAGGAAAAACAACAUCCAAGUCCCCAAUUAUACACCUGACAUGUUUGGGCCAACACAUCUAGAGUAGAAGGAAGAUGUGCAUAACAAUGAAGGGGAAUGAGAGGAUGAGGAAGAAGAAUGAGAUGAAAACGUGGAUAUGGAUUUUGAGGAGGACGAUUGAACAUUUUUAUAAUUAUAUUUUUAACAGACUUGUAUUAAUUUUUGGAUGAUUUUAAUCUAACUUUGUAGGAGUUGGAUUAAUAGCAUAUUCUUAGUUAUGUAGCAUUUUGUUUAAGUUUUCUAUGUUGGAACCCAACACGAAGGAGACACAAACAAUUUCGAGCUUCACACAGUCAAAAUAGGAAACACCAACAUUAGCAAUUGGAGUUACCACGAUCAAUCAGGUAAUUUCUCUCCUUAUUUUUUUAUAGGCCACACAUUGAGGAAAAUGUGUCAACUUAAGCAUGGGGGGUAACAUAGAAAUUUUACUUUAAUUUUUUAUGUUUUUCUUUGAUUUUUCUUGUCUUUCAUGUGCCUGAACUUGUAUAAAUACAAGUGAUUGGUUACGAGCACAUGCAUUGGUUGCUUGUGCUUACAAAUAUAGUUGGCAUGAUGAUAGGUGAUUUUAAUUUUUUUAUUAUUAGACUACUAAGUUUUAUAUGUUACACUGUAAAUAGGCAUUAAGUAAUCAGUUGUUACAAAUGAUAUAGAAAAUGCAAGGAAACAAGCAUACUAGUAUGAAUAAUAAAUGGUUGAAUUUGAGUUUGUUUGGUUGAUUAAAUUUAUGCAUAUUGAGAUAUUAAGGGAUGACCUAAGGCAUUAUUUGGAAUACAUCCAGAGCCAAAAAGCUGUUCUAUAAUUCAUUCAUCUUUAGUACCAAAUUUUAAGCUUGUUGACACUUCUUGAUGAACCUUAUUACAAAAACCAAGCCUAAAACGUUAAUUUGUAUUUGCCCUUUUUCUUUGGUCCUGAACUGCACGGCUAUAGACGUCUGGUCAUACAUAUUGAGGGUUAAGUAGAUACAUCAUGACGGAUUUUGAAAAACCAGAGUAAAAUAGGAAAGAUUGGUGUGAUAUAGGAACUAUAGGUUAGAUUAAAAAGUGCAAAACAAAAGAAAUAUUCAAAAAUAAAAUUGAUAUGAGUAGAAAAUUUUCUUGAAAAGCAAAAAGCAUUUAUGAGUGAGAUGAAUUGAAAAAUAAAGUGACCAAGUCACAAGAAUAAGAAAAACUCGCUCAUUGGUGUACAAAAACUCGUAGGCUAGCGUAGUUACUUUGUUGUGUUAUGAUUUCUUAUGUGGAGCAACAAGGAGGUGAAAGAAGGAAAAAUAAGGCGGUAAGCGGGUAAAGGUCACUAAAGGAGAAUAAUAGGGAUCGAUAUGAUGUGCCAAACUAUUUUUGUGUUCGUUACCCUUUUUAUGCUUACUAUUUUUGAAUUUUAUACCUGUCCUAAGCCUCAGAACAUUACAAGCCGAAAAGUCCUAUGUGACCUAAAUAUCAUUAUGCAUGACUGGACAUUACAUUAAACAAAUCGUAAAAUCAACUAUUUGUAUUCUACUCGGAUAAUCAAAUUACUUGUAUGAUUUGUUGUUGGAUUCCUAUAGGUGAGACCCUUAAUGUUCGUAUAUUUUGUAAUGUACUGAACUUAGAUGUUUGUGGUCCAAAGUCGUAAAUAAGUUAUUAAUCAUGUUAAAGUUGUUUGUGACUAUGAAAUACCUAGUCGUGUGCCCCAAAGUCAAUACUUGAAUGAUAUUUGCUCAAGGGAUGUCUCUUUUAUUUUUUUGUUCUUGUUUGUGUUGCUUGAGGACAAACAAUGACUUAAGUGUAGGGGAGUUUGAUCUGGCAUAAUUCGGUGUAGCAGAUUAAACUAAUUUUUGUACUUUAGGAGCUUGAAAGCAAGCAUUUUCAUUAGGUUUUAAUUAUGUUUUUUCAAGAUUUAUUGAAGUUAAUAAAAUGUACAAAUUGAGUCUUUUAUUGACCUAAGGGGUCAAAUGAGGCCUAAGGGGGAGCUAAUGAAUUGUGUAAGUGUGCAGAGACCAUUAGAAGGCAUAAUAAAUAAAUGAUGGUCACUACGUCGCAACACGGAACAAUCAAUGUCGCAACAUAGGAAGUAGAAUGAAGAAAUCAUGAAACUGCCUUCGAUGUCGUGAUACAAACUAAGGGUAUCGGACAUACCCUUGAAGAUAUCCAAAGAGGAGUAUACUGACUCCUAUGCCGCGACACAAGUCCUACUGUGUCACGCACUGACUCUGGACAGAAAUUAACACGAGCUAAGGGGCGUUUCGGCCUGUACAAUCAAAUUUAAAGCUUGGGAACGUCAACUAACCUAGGUUUAAGGAUGAUGACCACCUAAGAUAUAUAAAUAGGUUCCUUUGUCACAUGUUAUAGACAUAAAUUCCUUAAUGUAGUUUUUUGGUUUUAAUUCUAGUUCAGAAUUUCUUUCUUUUAGGUUUUUAGAUUUGUUUUCAAAUUGUUAUCUAGAGAUUUGAUUUCUGGAGACAAUCAAACUCUAUGGAUUCAUAUUCAUCUUUAAUGAAAAUCAGACAUUUUCUUAAACUCUACACUUCAAUUCAUUUAUCAUGUUCUCUCAUUACAUAAAUUCUAUAUUGUUUAUGAAAUCAUGAAGGUUUAAUCCCUCCAUGGGGAAUUAGCAAGUAAAGGUAUGAUCUAUUAACUAUUUUAUAGGGUUACUCAACAGAUCAACUAUUUGGGAAAGGAAAAAUCUAAACCCUAAACCUGACAACUUUGGGAAGUCAUAAAGGUGCGAAUUAACCCAAAAUUGGUAUAGCCUAUCUGUGAAUACCUUCACCCCAAACCAAUCUGGACUAUGAAGUCGAAAGAUCAGUAGUCAUCGCUAACUCAUUAUUUGAGUGAAAGAUCGAAAGGUCAUGCUGAGAUAGCGACUAGUUGAUUGCUGAAGGACCUGAAACGACAAUUGAUUGGGAUUGCCGAAACGAACUAAUCACCCAUAAUCAAAUUUGAUUUAUUAUGUUCUUUGAUCUUUUAAAUUUUAUUUAUUUAUGUUAUUUUAUUUUAUUAUUUCAAAAAAUCUUAAAAACUCCUUCUUCUUUUUUUUUACUUUCGUACUAUAACUAAAUUAAAGUAAUAAUUAGAUCUUUCGGUGUUUAGGUCAAAAUUGAUCUAGCACUGACCUCCCUUAGGUAAGAUCCUCGGAGUACUCACCUACUCCGUUGUAACUAUAUUACAAUUGGACCUGUAUACUUGCGGAUACUGCCUCAUAUAUCCAUAUUUUUUACUACAGUAUUCACACUCUAAAUGUUAGUAUGUCCGGAGGUAGUUAGUAGCAUUAUGAAGCCAGGCUUCUAAAGCUAAAAGGAUAUUAAAAACGUCCAACCAGUUUAAAAGGCUAGUUGCCCGAAAAUCGUUUGGAAUCAAGUCAUGCAGAUAGUAUUGGAAAACAUUUUUUAUUGAAACCACUUCAACCAAUUCCAGUACAUGUCCUCUGUUUAGUCGUUUGUAUUGUUUCCAAGCAACUUGGGAGUCAAUUGGUUGAAUCUAUGCACAUACAUUCUUCCGAGGAAGAGACCACCAUGUGGGGAAACCAAAACCAGAUUUAAGUUUAUAGAUAACCCUCACAUACUUAUCUUUCUGUAAAUAAAUAUUUGAAUUGCUAUUCUGAAUUAUAGGCUCACAACCUGGGCAUACAUUGAAAUAGACAUUUCCAGCAAAAGUCUAUUGUCUUUUUUUCUUCAACUGGUAAAACUUUUGGAAUACACCCAGAAGUGGUGGCUCUUGGUGCAUGCAACAAUCUAUGAAGUAAGCUAUUAAGGUCCACUAUGAAAAAGUUGAUAUUUGUGCAAGUGCAAUGUCAUAUUCAUUUAACACUGUACAAAAGAAAGGGUGAAGUGAUAGAUGGAAGCCAAUUCCAAUAAAAUUAAGGGAAGGAUAAAGUCAAGGGUAUUAUAGCUUAAGCAAAACCUUUGUGGCCGUCUGAAGCAAUAAUCAAAAUUUGAAUGAAGAAUACCUCAAGCUCCUAAGUAUCUAUUAGAAACCAAACCAACUUUUCAAAAUCAAAAAUUACUACCAAAGAGUUUGUAUCCAAAUUGGCUUCUACCUUAUACAACUUGGUUUUCAAAUUGGAUACAACUUUACAAAUUGGAUACAACUUUACAAAUUGGAUAAAGCUUAUCAUGUUGGAAACUUCAUGAAAAAUCAAGAUGGUAGCAAUAUUGAAAAGUUCUACAAGGCAAGGCAUGUAUAAUGGAUAAGCAUUAUCAUUUAUGAUAUACUUAAGGGAUAAGCAAUCAUUAAGGUAACUAGACUAUGUCUAUAUAUAUGUAUGUAUAGUUCAUGUAUUGUGAGUGCUAAAAAAAUUAGCUAGAGUUUGAGAGAAAAAAAAGUAUUGUGAGUAUAGAAAGAAAAACUAGCAGCAGCUAGUAUAGAGAGAAAAAAAAAAGAGAGUUUGUAUUGUAUUUUGUAUUGUGUUUAUUUGUGUGUAAUGAAAUUAGUAUUUGAGUUUUUUUUUAUUACGCUUCCAACAGUAUCGAUGUAUUUCGUCUUGGGUGGAACUACAAUUGUACAGAGAAGUCUCCACACGCAGUGGAGUAUCAUCGGAACCUUGGGAUCCAUAUGAUAAUGGAUUUAUGGGAUUAACAUUUUGGUUAACUUGGUCUCGACCCUCCUUUUAAUUUUUGUUCUAACCAUUUUGUAUGAAAAAAAAAGGUGAAAGGAAAAAGAAAAAGAGGAAAAGAAAAUGUUACCUUUGAAAAAGAAGAAGACUAAAGACGAAGAAAGUUGAAGGAUUAAGCAGAAAAAAAUUAGGGUUUCAAUUGAUUUGGCAAAGUGUCUACAAGGGAUCUUUGAGAAUCUACUUUAUAGAGAGAAACAAGCAUGUGCAAGAAGUUUAAUUUGUGAUAACUAUGCAACUUCUCUAAUAUAAGUUCGACAUCUAUCAAAAGGGUAAGUUAUAUAAGGUUUGAAAUUUUGAAAGUGACUUUCAAUCUUGAACUCACCAAUUAAAAUAAACUUUUGGCACUCCUACCAACAGGAGAUUUCUAAAGUGUAUGUCUCUGAAAAGAAGUCAUUAUGAAUUUAAAGAACAGUUCGCCAAUUCAUAUUAUACGCCUGGCGCAAACAGUUAGUUAUACAGUUUUUGUAGUUGAAUUUUCUAUGUUAUAAAAAUUUUGAGGGCGAAUUUUUAUUAAGGGGGAGAGAGUUGUGAUACAUCAAAUCUAACGGAUCCAAGUCUAAGGCAUAGAGCUGUGAAGUUAUCUGUUUGGUGUAGUGUAAUCCACUACGUUACAAUUUUUUGGCGAAUGGGACUGUGACGUAUACUAACCGUCGUAAAGGUGAAUACAUGUUUUAGGCUAUUAUCAUUCUAAAAGAAUGGUAUAUCAAGUGAAGUAUAAGCCGAUUGAGUGGCCGCCAUAUGGAUAGUACCUCUUGUUAGUCUGAGUACUGUGUUAAUUGGGUUUUGUAAAAUGAUUUGGUUAAGAGUCAACUGGAUUGACUGGUCAAAUAUCAAAUAUACAAGAUUCUCAUUUAUGUUCCUGUCGGAAUCUAUAGGCCAUUAUGAAGGAAAAACUCUAGAUUCAAUUGACACUUGUAGAGUCCCGCCUAAGGGAAAUUGAAUAUAUUUAUAUUGUGAGAAGGAUUAGUCUGGGGGGUUCUUUCUUCAAAAUCUAUCCUAUGGUUCUUUCUCUUAGAACUUAUAUGUUUUCUUCUUUGGAAGCUAAAGAUUUUGAAUUUAUGAGUGGAUGUUCCACCUCUUGUUGUCUGUUGGUUUGAGAAAAGUGCUCGAGUUUGGAGUUCAAACUACAAUUCAGGUGAGUCUCUAUCCUGACUCUUGUAUAAAAGCUGUUCAAGUAAAAGUAUAUAUAUAAAUGAUAAUGACAUCUCUGAUAAUUGAUAAGUAUAUGAAGAAUAGUAAAAAUGAUAUGUGUACUAUGAUAAUAUGUAUAAAGUUCAGUUUGAAAAGAAUGUUGAAUAGAACAUAUGCAGGUACAGUCUAAUACAAGGAAAAAUAAUAAUAUUUAAACUCAACACAUUGCACAUAAGUUAUAGGUGUCAUGUUAAUUAAUAUUUAUAUACUUUUUUAAUAAAUUUAUUUAUUUUUAAUUUAAGAAUUAAGUCAUUUUAUUUUUAUUUAAUAAUUGAUAUUUAAUCCAUAACAUUUCGGUUAAAUUGGGAUUAUGUGAUUUUUUUAAAAAAAAAAUUGUCACGUAUGUUACAAUAUUGAUCCUAAUAUUGUAAAAAAAAAAAUUUACUUACCAUGGUAUCCACCACGUAAACAAUUUUUUAAGGUAAAAUAAUUCAAUUUAAAAAGAUGUCAUCAAUUAAAAUUUAAUUAUUAAAUAAAAAUAGUAGAAAUAAAAUUCGAAAUUAAAAUUUAAGUGUUAAAAGUAGAAUCACCUAGCAUGUUAGACCCAUCAAUAAAGUAGUUAUAUAUACAUGUUAUUCGAUGAUUAGGAAUGAUAAUUUUAUAUUUAUUUAUACUAUGAUUAAAGAUAAAUUUAAUAAUUGAACAUUUGUUCGUGAAUGUAGACCAAAAACCGAAUAAAUUAUUGAUAUUGCGAUCAUUAUUUUUAAAUGCAAGUAGACUAUUUAUAAUUAUUUUUAUUAAGUUUUAUAAUGUAAUAUCUCUCUCUCUCUCUCUAUAUAUAUAUAUAUGCAAUUUUCACUCACUUUUUAAAUCCACUCAAUAAUCAUAUUCAUUAUUUUAAUAUAAAUGUUAUAUGAAUUACAUAUAUAAAUUAAUAAUAAAUAUUAUAAUUAAAUAAUUUUUACAAUAAAAGAAAAUAUGAAUAUUACACAUUCAUCUUUAAAUUUUUUAAAAGUAUUAUAAGUUAUUAUUGAGGAUCAAUUGUAUAAACAACGAAAUACAUAAGGUAGAGAAAAUCAAACACAAAAUUUUAUGUGAAAAACUCUUUUGAAGAGGAUAAAAAUCAUUGGCAAAUGAGGCUCCAACUUUUCACUAAAUGAGUAAACAAAUGAGAGUACAUUAUGGAGAAAAUAAAUUUAAAUAUAUUAAACGUACAAAUUCAAACCCUGCAAACAAAAUCCUAACUCUCAUAGAGUCCUCUCAAAAUGAAUAUAAAAUUCUCUCCAUAACUACCACGAAAACUCUCACAAAAACUCAUUUGCGACUACAUCUUGUAGCCCCCAAAAGAAAAGCCCUAUAAUACUACAUUUUUAAUUGCAUCUCAAUUGACUUCUCAAAACAGGAUACAAUGUUCAUUUAAAUAGGUUAAGAUUAGAAGUCUAAUCAUACUAAAAUAUUCCUAGAGUAAUCAAAGUUUAACUAGGAAAAGAUAGUAGAGUUGACUAAGAGAAGAAACCCGAUUUAUAUGGAGAACACGUUGCCACGUCACAACAUUGGAAAGCUUCUUGUCAUGACGUCGCCUUCUGUUUGGCUGAAAAUGCGAAGCACAUCCCACAGUUAUAUAAAUGGAUAAAACACCAUAUAGUCAUUAUUAAGUUUUUUCUAACUUGGUCCCGAAUUUUUUCUUAGUGCAAACCAAUACUCAAACUUGAAUUCCAUUAAACGAUUUAGUCCAUUUUUGUAACACCAUUAAAAAAUAUUGACAUUACAUUUUAAAUUUGUAUCACACCGUGACCUAAAAAUUUUAGAAAUAAAUAUUAUACUUAAUUAAUAUAACAUUACAACAUUAUAAACUUCUAAAUGUUUGCUUUAUCCCUUAUAUAAAUUAUUAUUAUACUUAUUAUUAAAUUUUUAAAAAUCAUUAUAAAUAUUGUAAUGUUAUUGCAAUAUUAUUAAAUUUUUAAAAAUCAUUAUAAAUAUUGCAAUGUUAUAUGCAAUAUUCAUUUUCUCAUUUAUAUUUAUUAUACAUUUUUAGUUCAAAAAUGUUUUUGGUGUAAUUUCUUAAUGGCUUUUAUUUUGGUGGUUGCACUACAUUUAGGGAGAGAUUUGAUGAGAUAGGCAAAAAGAUGAAGAUGUUUCAUUUAAUCAUUAGCAGAUAAGAAGACACAUAUUAGGACCUCCUCGACUGUUUUACAUGUGUCUCUUGAUGUUUGGUGUUGACUUUUUUUAGGGCCUAGGUAAAAUAAUAAAAUGAGGUUUUAAGUUCCUUAAAAGUUAGAGAAAAAAAUUUUUAGGUCCCUUAAAAGGUGGUAAAAAAGAUUUGGGCCCAUAAAAGCUAAAAAAAAAACAAAAAAUUAGACACCUUCAAAGUUAGUUUUUUUUUAAAAAAUUAAAAAAAAUUAAACCCCUUAAAAAUUGAAAAAAACAAUAUUUUGGACACUUUCAACCUUGGGCCCUAGGCGGCCGCACCUCUAGACGACCCCAAGGAUGGGCCUGGAUUGUUAGUUAUGUCUCAAAGAUGCUAAUGGUAAUUAAAAACUUAAUCCCCACCUAUAAUUUCAAUUUUAUGAUAUUUUUAGAAGUUUUUUUUUAUUGUUUUGGAUUUAUAUUUUUUAAAUUAAAAGUACCAAAUUGAUGGUUCGUUUGUGGAGACUUUAAUGUGAUAAUGUAUGGUUUUCAAAAAAAGGGAGGGUUACCCCGUGAUGAACGAAAAAUGGAGAAUUUACGUAAUGUUUUAGCGGAUUGUCAGCUAUUGGAUGUGGGGUUUUCUAGAAAUUGGUUUACAUGGAAGAAAGGAAACCUUCCCAAGACAAACAUUCGUGAACGACUCUUCCAUUGUCCUCUUUUAAUUACUACUAAACGGGCUGAAAAUUGGGUGACUGCUAAAGCUUUCAAGUUUGAAACUUUGUGGAUAGUGGAAGAGUCGUUUAAUGAAUAAGUCAAAAAUAUAUGGAAGUCAUCAUCUAGAAACUUGUUGCAAAAGUUAGAUAUUUUAAAAGGGGGAUUGAGACGAUGGGCAGGACAAAUUCGAUUUGAUAGAAGAAGGAGAAAGGAUCUACUCAUAGCUAGACUAUCAGAACUUGCAGGGGCUGACAGAGGUGAUAUCAACAUGGUAGAACUGCUUGAUGCGAAAAUUCAAUUAAACUUUGAGAUUGAAAAGGACGAACAUUACUGGAACAGAGAGCUCGGAUAAAUUGGCUAAAAUUUAGGGAUAGGAAUACUGCAUUUUUUCAAAGCCAAGUGACGCAGCAUAGAAGGAGAAAUGUCGUCCACAAAUUGAAUAAUGAAGAAAGGGUAGAUACGGACAUUGUGAAGGAAAUUGAGGGAAUUGCGCGAUCUUAUUUCCAGAAUUUAUUUACAAUAGAGGGGUGAGGAAAUUUUGACCAUUUGUUGUCGGGUAUUGAAAAAUGCUAUCUAAGGAGGAUAAUCAAAAUCUUAUAAAGCCUUAUAUGGCAGAGGAGAUUAGAGAGGGGCUGUUAGUGAUGGGACCCACUAGAGCACCAGGUGCAAAUGGCUUUCCAGCUCUGUUUUACCAAAAAUGCUAACACAUCAUUGGGGACGACGUCACCAAAUUCUACUUACAAAUUCAUAACGAAGGUAUGGGCUUUCAACAAAUUAAUGCUACUCAUAUAAUCCUCAUCCCUAAAAUUGAUAAUCCGUCUACUAUGAUGAAUUUCAGACCUAUCAGUCUGUGCAAUGUGCUUUAUAAAAUUAUAGCAAAAGUUACUGAAAAUCGUUUCAGGGGAGUUAUUAAAAACUGUAUUGACGUCUCAGAGUGUGUUUGUACCAGGCAGAUUGAUUUCAGAUAAUGUUCUAUUGGCAUAUGAAAUUCUUCAUACUCUUCAACAAAAGAAAGUUGGGAAAAAAGGUUUUAUGGCAGUCAAGUUUGUUGAAAAGACAAAUUAAAAGGGGUGUUGAAAAGUCAAAAAAAUGGGAGGUGCAAGUGGCACCGAAAGAAAAAAAUGGUAGGCAAGUUGUUUAAAGUUGAAUGGGAUAAUUGCAAUUUUGGUCCCUAAUUUUUAGGCCAUUUGCAAGUUAGUCCCUGAACCUCAACUAUAAAUAGGCCUAACCAUUUCUCAUUUACACCAUCCCAACCAAUCUUUCUCUCUUAGUUUUCUCUCUUCUCCCAUUUGAGAAUUCUUAAGGAAUUCUAUUUGUUUGUAAUAUUUUGGAGAUAGUAAAGUUAUCAUCUGGUGUUAGUGCCCGAGGACGUAGGUAUAAUUUACCGAACCUCGUUAAAACUCUUAUGUUCUUUUUGUCCUAUUUUUCUUUCAAUAUUUGAGGGUAUAAUAGUAGUAUUUAAUUGUGCUAUUAAAUUACGUUAGAAGGAAUAUUCUGACUAAGGAAAGACUUGGUAUUUAAGAGAUCCUUGUGAUCCACCUCUCUUCCCUGGGAAUUGAACUUUGUGUGAUUUUUUAGUACAAUAAUUUACACACUUCCGACCCUAUUGGAACAACAAGUGGUAUCAAGAGCCGAAGGUUAAUCGUAGUAUGCUCUGUGGUUGCAGUUUAAACUGAUCUUCCACAUCAAAAAAGAUUUCCUUAGGUAUAUUGAAAGAUUAUGGAGAAAACAGUCGGUGUAGGAGCUUCAACAUCGUCCAUGUAGACAAGACCGACAAUUGCAAAUGCAAGAUUGGCCGUGGAGAUCUUUGAUGGCACGGGCCAUUUUGGUAUGUGGCAAAGUGAGGUUCUAGAUGCCCUUUUUCAGCAGGGUCUAGACAUUGCCAUUGAUGAAGAAAAACCAGAUGAUGUACAGGAGAAAGAUUGGAAGGCGAUCAAUCGGUUGGCAUGUGGCACAAUUCGAUCAUACCUUUCUCGAGAGCAGAGGUAUGCUUUUUCAAAGGAGACUUCUGCAAAUAAGUUGUGGGUGGCACUUGAAGAAAAAUUUUUGAAGAAAAAUAGUCAAAAUAAGCUCCACUUGAAGAAAAGACUGUUUCGCUUCACAUACGUUUCAAGUACCACAAUGAAUGAUCACAUCACCAAAUUUAAUCAGUUAGUCACUGAUUUGUUGAAUAUGGAUGAGACAUUCAAAGAUGAAGAUUUGGCUUUGAUGCUGUUGGGGUCACUUCCUGAGGAGUUUGAGUUCCUAGAAACUACUCUACUUCAUGGCAGGAGUGAUAUAUCUCUGAGCAAAGUCUAUGCGGCCUUAUACAGUUAUGAACAGAGAAAGAAGGACAAACAGAAAAACUCAAUCAGAGAUACAGAAGCUUUAGUAGUCCGAGGUCGUUCAUACACUCGGAAGAAAACUCAAAAGGGGAGAUCAAAGUCAAAGUCCAGACUCGGGAAAGAUGAAUGUGCUUUUUGUCAUGAGAAAGGCCACUGGAAGAAAAAUUGUCCAAAGCUGAAGAAUAAGGGAAAAGCUGCUGUAGAUGCUUGUGUUGCUAAGCAUGAUACUAGUGACUCUGAACUAUCACUGGUUGCAUCAUCAUCGUCGUUCCAUUCAGAUGAGUGGAUAUUGGAUUCGGGUUGUACCUAUCAUAUGUCCCCUAACCGGGAGUGGUUCUCUGAUUUAGUAGAACUAAAUGGAGGAGUUGUUUAUAUGGGCAAUGACAAUGCCUGUAAAACUGUUGGGAUAGGUUCAAUCUAAUUAAAGAAUCAAGAUGGAUCAACCAGAGUUCUGACUGAUGUUCGGUACGUGCCCAGUUUGAAGAAAAAUCUCAUCUCAUUGGGAGCCUUGGAAUCCAAUGGUUCAGUUGUUACUAUGAAAGAUGGGAUUUUGAAAGUGACAUCUGGUGCACUUGUGAUAUUGAAGGGCAUCAGGAAAAAUAACUUGUAUUACUACCAAGGUAGUAUAGUUAUUGGAGCAGUCGCUACAGCUUCCGGUAACAAAGAAUUGGACUCAAUGCAGUUGUGGCAUAUGAAGUUGGGACAUGCCAGCGAAAAAUCCUUGCAAAUUCUGGCAAAGCAAGGAUUAUUGAAAGGUGCAAAGGCUUACAAAUUAAAAUUUUGCGAGCAUUGUGUUCUGGGAAAGAAAAAGAGAGUGAAAUUCGGUACUGCUAUCCAUAAUACAAAAGGUAUUUUGGAAUAUGUUCACUCAGAUGUGUGGGGGCCUUCCAAGACACCUUCAUUGGGAGGAAAACACUACUUUGUUACUUUUGUUGAUGACUUUUCCAGAAGAGUUUGGGUGUAUACCAUGAGAACUAAGGAUGAAGUGCUUAGAGUUUUUCUUAAAUGGAAAACUAUGAUCGAAAACCAGACUGGCAAGAAAAUCAAGCGGCUUAGGACGGACAAUGGAGGGGAAUAUAAAAGUGAUCAGUUCUUCGAUGUGUGCCAAGAGUAUGGUAUUGUUCGACACUUCACAGUUAGGGAUACACCACAGCAGAAUGGAUUGGCAGAGCGUAUGAAUCGAACAUUACUGGAGAAAGUUCGAUGUAUGUUGUCCAAUGCUGGGUUGGGCAAGCAAUUUUGGGCUGAGGCUGUGACAUACGCUGGCCAUCUUGUUAAUCGUUUGCCAUCAUCUGCAUUAGAAAGAAAAACUCCUAUGGAGGUAUGGUCUGGAAAACCGGCUACAGAUUAUGAUUCCUUACAUGUGUUUGGAUCCACUGCAUAUUACCAUGUGAAGGAGUCAAAGUUAGAUCCGAGGGCAAAGAAAGCUCUCUUUAUGGGAAUCACUUCUGGAGUGAAGGGAUUUCGUCUUUGGUGCUUAAGCAUAAAGAAAAUGAUCUGUAGCAGAGAUGUUACCUUUGAUGAAUCUGCCACAUUGAAAAAGGUAGCAGAUAAAGAUAUUCAGACGAGCAAUACUCCACAACAGGUGGAGUGUACUCCAAAACAUGUGGAGUUUGAGCAGAUGGGGAUUUGCCCAGUUAAUAAGUCUAAUUCUCCAGCCACAAUGGAGGAAUUAGAGGUUGAAGAGGUUCUGACCCAAGAACCACUAAGUACACCAGAACCAGUUGCAGUUGCAAGGCCACGGAGAGAAAUUCGUAAACCUGCUCGAUUUACUGAUAUGGUGGCCUACGCCCUUCCCGUUGUUGAUGAUAUUCCUAUCACUUAUCAAGAAGCGAUGCAAAGCUUAGAAAGUGAUAAAUGGAAAAGCGCCAUGGAUGAAGAAAUGCAGUCUCUCCUGAAGAACAAUACUUGGGAAUUGGCGCAAUUACCGAAAGGUAAAAGGGCAAUCGGAUGCAAGUGGGUAUUCGCAAAGAAAGAUGGAUCUCCUAGCAAGAAGGAUAUUCGCUAUAAGGCAAGAUUGGUAGCUAAAGGCUACGCUCAGAAGGAGGGAAUUGACUACAAUGAUGUAUUUUCCCCUGUUGUGAAGCAUUCCUCCAUUAGAAUUUUGUUGGCCUUGGUAGCACAGUUGAAUUUGGAGCUAGCUCAACUUGAUGUUAAGACGGCUUUCUUGCAUGGUGAGUUAGAAGAGGAGAUCUAUAUGACUCAGCCCGAAGGAUACACAGAUGCUGGUGGUAGAAAUUGGGUUUGUAAGCUGAACAAAUCGCUAUAUGGAUUGAAGCAAUCCCCGAUGCAGUGGUACAAGCGAUUUGAUAGCUUUAUGAGAAGGCAGAAGUACACAAGAAGCAAAUAUGACAAUUGUGUAUAUUUGCAGAAGCUGCAUGACGGAUCUUUCAUUUAUCUACUCUUGUAUGUUGAUGAUAUGUUAAUCGCUUCGAAGAGCCAAAAUGAGAUAGAUAAGCUGAAGGCUCAGUUGAAUCAAGAGUUCGAGAUGAAAGAUCUAGGUGAGGCCAAGAAGAUUCUCGGCCUGGAGAUAAGUAGAGAUAGACCGAGAGGCAAGCUCUGUUUAAAUCAGAAGCAAUAUCUGAAAAAGGUAUUACAAUGUUUUGGUGUAAAUGAAAACACAAAACAUGUAAGUACCCCACUUGCUUCUCAUUUGAAACUUAGUGCUCAAUUAUCUCCGAAGACUGAAGAUGAAAGAGAAUAUAUGGCGAAAGUCCCAUAUGCUAAUGCAGUUGGGAGUUUGAUGUAUGCGAUGGUGUGUACGAGGCCUGACAUUUCACAAUCUGUUGGAGUUGUGAGCAGGUAUAUGCAUGAUCCUGGAAAAGGACAUUGGCAAGCUGUGAAAUAGAUUCUACGGUAUCUUCAAAAAACCGUAGAUGUUGGUUUAAUUUUUGAACAGGAUGAAGCACUUGGUCAGUUUGUAGUUGGAUAUGUUGAUUCCAACUUUGCUGGUGAUUUAGAUAAACGUCGUUCAACUACGGGGUAUCUGUUUACUCUUGCGAAAGCCCCAGUGAGUUGGAAGUCUACCUUACAGUCUACAGUAGCUGUGUCUACUACAGACGCAGAAUAUAUGGUAGUUACAGAAGCUGUUAAGGAGGCUAUUUGGCUUAAUGGAUUGUUGAAAGACUUAGGAGUUGUUCAAAGUCACAUAAGUUUAUAUUGUGACAGUCAGAGCGAUAUUCAUUUAGCGAAAAAUCAAGUCUAUCAUUCAAGAACCAAGCAUAUCGACGUAAGAUAUCACUUUGUGCGGGAAGUCUUUGAAAAAGGAAAAAUUCUACUUCAGAAGAUUCCGACAGCAGAUAAUCCCGCAGAUAUGAUGACCAAGGUGGUAACAACAAUCAAGUUUAAUCAUUGUUUGAACUUGAUUAACAUCCUGAGAAUUUGAGCACCUUUAGGUGUAUGGCGCUCGAGAGCGCAUUUGGAGGCACUACAAAAGAUAGCUUUAUCGAAUUUGGGGAGUUGAAGGAAGUAUGUGAAGAUGUGAUUAUCCUAAUCAAAUCUUCAAGGUGGAGAUUGUUGAAAAGACAAAUUAAAAGGGGUGUUGAAAAGUCAAAAAAAUGGGAGGUGCAAGUGGCACCGAAAGAAAAAAAUGGUAGGCAAGUUGUUUAAAGUUGAAUGGGAUAAUUGCAAUUUUGGUCUCUAAUUUUUAGGCCAUUUGCAAGUUAGUCUCUGAACCUCAACUAUAAAUAGGCCUAACCAUUUCUCAUUUACACCAUCCCAACCAAUCUUUCUCUCUUAGUUUUCUCUCUUCUCCCAUUUGAGAAUUCUUAAGGAAUUCUAUUUGUUUGUAAUAUUUUGGAGAUAGUAAAGUUAUCAUCUGGUGUUAGUGCCCGAGGACGUAGGUAUAAUUUACCGAACCUCGUUAAAACUCUUAUGUUCUUUUUGUCCUAUUUUUCUUUCAAUAUUUGAGGGUAUAAUAGUAGUAUUUAAUUGUGCUAUUAAAUUACGUUAGAAGGAAUAUUCUGACUAAGGAAAGACUUGGUAUUUAAGAGAUCCUUGUGAUCCACCUCUCUUCCCUGGGAAUUGAACUUUGUGUGAUUUUUUAAUACAAUAAUUUACACGCUUCCGACCCUAUUGGAACAACAAAGUUAGACAUGAGUAAAGUAUAUGACAGGGUUGAGUGGAAUUUUAUCAAAGAAAUUAUGAUACGAAUGGGGUUCGAUAUGAACUAGAUUGAAACUUUAAUGAAAUGUUUGACAAUUAUCUUCUAUUCAGUAGUUGUAAAUGGAUACAUAGGAGAAAGCUUCCACCCAGCAAGGGGACAUCGUCAAGGAGACCCGUUUAGCCUGUUUCUAUUUCUCAUUUGCGAAGAGGGUUUAUCGUGUUUAAUGCGAUUAGCAAGUAGAGAAGGUCUAUUGAAAGGAGCCAAAGCUAGUAGGAGCGGACCACAGGUAUCACACUUGUUUUUUACCGAUGAUUGCAUUUUAUUUGGCCAGGCUACAAAAAGAGAAGCUAAUUUAUUGAAGGAAAUUUUAAGGGAAUAUAGGAGUUGCUCAGACCAAUGUGUUAACUUUAAUAAGUCCAAUGUCUUUUUUAAUAGAAAUACCAAUGAAUAGGAUAGGCGGGAAGUGGUAAAUAUUUUGAAGGUGCGAAGUUCAAACAAUCCAAAGAGGUAUUUAGGCUACCCAAUGCAGUUGGAAGAAAGAAAAAAGAAUCGUUUCAGGAUCUAAAAGAUCGAAUUAAGAAACGUAUUGACAAAUGGAGCACUAGAUUUUUUUCUUAGGGCGUAAAUGAAGUAUUUAUCAAAUCUGUCCUUCAAUCUAUCCCAACUUAUACUAUGUCUUGUUUCUUAUUGCCCAAAUCUUUAUGUACAGAAUUGGAAAGCAUUAUUGCUCAAUUUUGGUGGCAAAAGAGGCAUGGCAGACGGGGAAUACAUAGGUGUGCAUAGAAAAUUCUUUGUCUAUUAAAAGAAAAUGGGGGUCUUGGUUUUCGAAAUAUGAGUCAGUUCAAUAUUGCAUUAUUAGCCAAGCAAGGGUGGCGCCUUAUUAAUUAUCUGAAUUCAUUAGUAGCUAGAGUACUCAAGGCUAAAUACUAUCCGCAUACGAAUUUUAAUAACGCUCAGUUAAGGAAUCUACCUUCCCUUACCUAGAAGAGCGUGUAGGCUACUAAGGGAUUGUUGAAGAAUGGACUGUGUUGGAGGGUUGGAAGGGAUGAUGGAAUCUCGAUCUGGGAGGGCCGUCAGAUUCCAAGAAUGAAACUUAAUGAGUGGAACAAUAGAAACGACAGCGAAGGGCCUCAGUUAGUCUCAGAAUUAAUUGACCCAAAUACCAGAACAUGGAAGACAAGUAUUGUUAGUAGUACCUUCCAAAAUGAGAUUGCUCAACAAAUUAUGUAGAUUCCUCUUGCGAAAAGUCCUCAUAACGACCUUUAAGUGUGGAAAGGAGAACCGUCUGGAGAAUUUACUGUCAAAAGUGCCUACAAACUAUUUCAAGAAGCUAUCUUGGAUCCUAGUUAUUAUUUUAUACAGGCCGACUCAAAGAAAUUCUACAAAAAAACUUUGGAAUCUAGGACUACCCUCAAAAAUACUGGUUACAAUAUGGAGAAUUACAUGGAACUAUAUUCCAACUAGGGAUUUAAAUAGCAGUCCGAUACGGCUAUAGCGACGCUAUAUAGCAGUAGCGGCGCCGUCCGAAACCGUUACUAUUGAAAAUAACAGUGUGAAGCGGAGUCCCACUGAUAGCGGUGGGUUGCGGCUACAAUUUAACGGGUAAUGGCCAGUUGCGGCAAUAACAGGCCGCUAUUCCCGUUAUUUUCCGUUGCAGUAAAUUAAAAAAAAUCCAUCUCCUCUAGACAAAAAUCAACAAAAACAGUGAAACACAAUAAAACAAAAGGGAAUAUAUUCUCCUGCCUGUAAAACCAGAGUGUUUUCAAUCAAAAAAAGAAAAAUGAAGACCAAAUAAAUAGAAAAAGCAAUCAAAAUUCAAAACUAAAAAUGAAAACCAAAUAAAUAGAAAAAGCAAUCAAAAUUCAAAACUCAAAAGCAAUAGAAAAUAUGAAAUUCUAUUUCUCAUAUUUCGGUCCCUAAACUCUAAACCAAACGGCAAACAAAGCAAACCCUGAUCACUUUCACAUUCAGAGAUUGAAAAUUUUCAAGUAAGUACCUAAAAUUUUGUCUUGAUUCUUGGCUUCUUGCUUGUUUUUGCAAUGCAAAUAUGUUCUUUAGAGUUUAGACUUUAGGUUAGGGAUGAAGGGAGAAGUUACAACCAGCAUAUUCCAAGAAUUUGAUAGAGUUUUGAGAGGAUAUGAGUUUUAAGAGGAUGAUAGACUUUAGGCCUCUUCAGUUUUUCUUUCUAAGUUUUCUGCCGUUUGAUUUCUUUUUUUCUUUAUUUUUUUCAUUUUUAUUUUCCUUUCCUCCUAGCCAAAACCAAGGCACUGUCUAGGCUACCAAUAGUAGGACAGCUGCCAUGCAUUUACUCCUAGCCAGCAUAUUUCAUUUUCAUUUUCCUUUAAUCUCAUGCAUUUACUCCUAGCCAGCAUAUUUCAUUUUUAUUUUCCUUUACAGGUAGUAGGAUAGGCUAGAUAGCUGUUAGGAAUUAGGAUCAAUUUAUUCCUAAUCACUCUUUAAUUGGAGUAAUGUUUGAUUUAAUAUGCUAUAGAUACUUGAAACUAAAGCUCAUAAAUGAAAUUCAUUAUACCGGUUAAACAUAUAUAUAAUCAUUUUUAAAAUAAAACCACUAUAUAUUAUUUAAUGAGAAUGAUAUCCUCACUAUGUUUAUUAAAAUUAUUAUAAAAAACGAGAUUUAAUUUGAAUGAUAAAUUUGAGGAUUUGAAAGUUUUUAAAUUUGAUUAUUGUUUGUAUUUUCUAUAUGUAUUUUGGAUUUAAAUUGAAUUUUAAUAUUGUAUAAAAUGUAAAAACACUUUUAUAUUGUAAUAUUUGCUACUUUGUAAAAAGGUUAUGUUUUUUUUAUUAAUUUAGUUAGUGUUUAGUUGACUCUUGACAUUAACUUGUCGACAAUUAAGUAUAAUAUAAAUAUUCAUAUUCUAUUUGUUUAAUUUUUAUUGAAAUAAAUUUUAAAAUAUUAAUAAUUUAUGAAAUUAAAUUUUACAUACACAUAUGGAGUUUUAAUAAUUUUCUUAUGUAAUUAUAUACUAUGCUAAUGCAACCAUAAAAAAUCAUUUAUACUAUAAAUUAAGGAGUUGAUUGAGUUGAUGUAACCUAAUAACUGAGACCAAACUCAAUUAGAAAAUUAUUAUCUAUUCAUUUUAUAAAACAACAAAUAUUAUUUCAAGGUAUUUAUAUAUUUUUAUACUUGAUAAAUUUAGAAAAAAAAAUAAAGGCAUAUAAAUGUAAAUAAUGACGGUUGAAACCCAACAUUAAAAUCAUCUUAAAUUUAUCAUUUCAUGCCUUUAAUUUUCAUAACAAUUUUUUUAUAAAUAUAUUACGUAAAUGUUUUCACCUGUUGUUUCUAUAAACUAGUAAGUAUUUAAAGUGGAAAAGAGUGAAUCCCACGUCUCACUCCCAUCCUCUUCAUCUUUUAACUUGUUGAAGCAAAGUAUAUUUGGGUUGAUUUAUUAGAGUUUGGAGAGAUUUUAUAGAAAAUGAAAAUUACUUUGACAACAAUCAUAUUAUUAUAUUUUUUAAUAUGAAAGCUUCAAUCUAAUCAGGUUUAUAAUUUUACUUUAUAUGUUAUUUUUUAAUUAAUAUUGUAAUUAUAUUUUAUAAUGAUAAUUAUUUAUUAUUUAUUUUUAUUAUUUUAAAAUUUCAUAACUUUCAUAAUUUAUUAUUUAUUAUUAUGUAUGGGUUAUGCAAUAAAUUUAAAUUUUUCAUGUUAAUAAUGUUUACUUUUUUUGUAUUAUAUUCUUGAUAAUAUAAGUAAUGAGUUGCUUAUAUUUCUAAAUAUAAUUUUAUGUUUCUUAUAUAUAAAUAAAAAUAAAGCAUGCCACCAUGUGAAAAGUUCUCGACUAAAGGAUUGGAGGGUGCACCAAGGAAUGAUAUAGGUUGGCACUUUGGAACUCCGGUGCCAAAUACGAAAGGAGAUAUCAUAUGUAAACUUUAUGGUAAAGUUGUGAAAGGAGGAAUAACGCGAUUUAAAGAGCACAUUGCUCAUAAAACUGGCAAUGUUACACCAUGCCCUAAUGUUACUUGUAUGUGAUAAUUUAUUAUUAUUUUUAAAUGUUAUUGUAAAUUUUUUAUAAUGAUUAUAUAUAAUUGAUAAUAAUAUAAAGUGUGAAUUAUUUUUAUUUUAUUAACAGGUGUCAUUAGAGAAUGUAUGAUGAAUAUACUGAAAGAAAACAAGACAAAGAAAAUAGACAAAAAGAGGAGAAAAGAUGAAUUCUUAUCUCAAUUAAGAGAAGAUCAGGAUCAACACGAGGAAUUCAUUGAUGAGGUUUUUGCUAUAAGGCAAGCAACUCGAGAAAGUAUCCAAUCACAACACGAGUGGCAUAGAAGGGAAGAGUUCAGACAAAGUACUGGUGGUUGGAAUAACAUUUAUGAAGAAGGGAGAUCUUCUCAUGGAUCAGCUAAAGAAUAUCAUAGAGAAAGAACAAGUAAAUCCAUCCCAAGUGAGUCUGAGUUUACCUUAAGGGGAGCUAUACUUGAAUUGGUUAGAAGCAAAAGUUCAAAGCAAGCAAAGGUCAAUGACUCUUUUUUAAAGAGUUUUCGAAGGAAGAUAGGUGAAGCGGUAUUUAAAUUUUUAAUAUAUGAAAGACUUCCUUUUCAAUUAGCAAGCUCUCCAUGGUUGUAUAACUUAAUUCAAGAGUCAACAGAAGUUGGACAAGGUGUAAAGCUCCCAACACCUUAUGAGGUUUCAGAUGUGUAUUUGGAGUCAGAGUAUCAACGAGUUCGUGAUUGGGUAAAUAGACUAAAGACUCAUUGGAAUGAAUUGGGUGCAACUCUAAUAUGUGAUGGUUGGACCAACAGUUUGAAUCAAAUACACAUCAUUAAUUUCCUUAUUUAUUGUAGUAAAGGAAUCAUUUUUUGGAAAUCAGUAGAUGUCUCAAGUGUUUGUAGUAGAGAUGUUGAAUUCUACUGCAGUUUGCUAGAUUCAGUUGUAGAAGAAAUUGGAGAAAAUUACAUUGUCCAAAUAGUGACUGAUAAUGAAGUAGCAAUGAAAGCUGCUGGAAAAAAAUUAAUGUUGAAAAGAAAACAUCUAUAUUGGACCUCAUGUGCAGCUCACUGUUUAGAUUUAUGCCUUGAAGAUAUUGGGAAAAAGCCCAGUGUAGCAAAAGUGUUAGAAGAGGCAAAGAAAGUGACUUGUUUUAUAUACAAUCACAUUUGGACUGUUAAUUUGAUAAAGAAGUAUACACAAGGGAAAUAAAUACUUCGACCCGCACUUACUCGAUUUGCAACUCAUUUCGUUUAACUUGAAGAGAUAACAAGACAAAAGUAAGGUCUGAGAGAAAUGUUUAAUUCAAAGGUUAGUAUUUUAUAAUUAGUUAAUAUAAUUACUUAAAUAUAGCAACCUUUAAUGAUUUUAUUAGUUCCAAAUAAUUUAAAUUAUAUUAUUUUAAAAUGUUUCUUAUGAAUAUAUAGGAAUUUAAAAAAUCAAAAUGGGGACAGCAAAAGUCAGGGCCUGCUUAUGAAGCCAAAAAAAUUGUUUUGAAAAAAGAAUUUUGAAAAAAAGCUAACGACCUCAUAAAAGUUUACGAGCCCUAGUAAAAUUAUUGAGACUUGUGGAUAGUGAUGAAAAACCAACAAUGGGCUUUAUUUAUGAGGCUGUUGAUAGAGCUAAACGAGCAAUUCGACAAGAUUGUCAAUAUUUCACUGAGUAUGAAAAGAUUAUUGACAAUAGAUGAAAUUUUAUGCAUUCCGACUUGCAUUCAGCUGGUAAGAUAAAAUGUUUCAUAUAAUUAAGAACUAUUUUUAUAUUUUAUUAUUUUAAGCUUUAGAUUAUUAUUUGAUGAUAUUCUAAUAAAUUAUACUUAGGUUGUUUUCUCAAUCCUCAAUUUCAAUUUGGGGUGAAACAUUCUGAGAAUGUACUAAUAGAAACAUUAGAAGGUACACGAUUAGUAAUUGAAAGAUUAGAACUUUCUCUUGAUUCUCAAGUCAGAAUGGUUAAUCAGGUUAGAUUCAAGUAAUAUUAUUUGUAACUUAGUUACAUGAUUUGAAAUAUAUUUUUUUUUAUUUUUACUCUAUCUUUUAUUUACGCAGUUGUUACUAUUUAAAGAUAAACAGGAGACAUUCUGUGCUCCACAAGCACAAAGAGCUUGGAAGCAAAUGAAUCCGGGUAAACAGUUAAUUAAAUUAUUUAAUUUAAUUUAUAUUAUUUAAUUAUAUUGUACAUUUUGCAGUUAUUUUGAAAUUUAAAUAAUAUUAUGCAGCUGAAUGGUGGAUAAUAUACGACACAUGUGUUCCCGAAUUACAAAAAUUAGCAAUUAAAGUGCUUAGUCAAACAACUUAAGCAUCGAAUUGCGAACGAAAUUGGAGCACAUUUAAUUAUAUUCACACAAAGGCAAGAAACAGGUUAAAGUAUAAAAAACUUGAGAAACUAGUGUUUACCUAUUAUAAUAUAAGGCAUCAAAAAAGAAUGAGCAAUGAUGAUAUAAACGCUAGUUUUAAUCCUAUCAGCCUUGAUCAUAUCUUUGAAGAGGUUGAUCCACUAUCAGAAAGGCUUCAUGGGAAAGAGAAUCCAUUAUUAGAUGGUGAAAAUGUCGGUGUGUUGCCUGUGGAUACCUCUGAUGAUGAAAUGGAUGUUGAUCAAUCUCAACAACAAAAUUUGUCUCAUUCAAGUUCUAGUUCAACGCCAAGUCAGAGUGGCGAUGGACCCGAUGGUGGUGGUUUAAGUCCAAUUGAUGAGGAUGACAGAUUUAGUGGUGAUAGAGGUGAAAUUAGGUCUUCUAGUCGGUAUGGAGAAGAAUAUGGGGUUGGUACCACUAGUGGACAUUUCCGUGAUAAAUUAGAGUUUGAUGGAAAUAUGUUUCUUGAACUUAGAAAAGAUAGAAGUGAACUUAGAACUCCAUCAAAAGGAAAAUGCAAGAAGCAUACUUUUGUAGGCUCUUCAUCCGGUAGGAGAUCAAGUUCUAGUAACCUUGGGUAUAGUGAUUUAUCUACUAGCACUCAAGGUUUUUAUCCACCAGAACAACCUUCAUAUUUUCAACCUUCACAUGAUUAUCCACAACCAUAUGAAUUUCCUUGUGCUAUACCAGCCUCAAAUACAUCCUCCACCACCAAUGUAUCACCCACCUCCACCUCUCAUGUAUCCUCCUCCUCAAAUAUAUCCUCCAUAUCAAUUAUAUGAAAACCAAAGUGAAAAUGUUACUUUUUUGAAUUUUUUUUAGACAAAGGCCAAGAGAAUCAAGUCAAGAACGCUCUCAAAGUAAAGGUGAAUGAUCCGAUCUUCCUCGUCAUUCCACUAAUUGGUAAAAACUAGUCAUUCCACUAAUUGGUAAAAACUAAAUCGCACCACUACUAUUAUUUGUAAUGUAUGUUUUUUUAAAGAAAACUUUUGUUAAUGUUCUUAAUUUUGAUGAUAUUAAAACAUUUAAAAUAUUUUUUUAGAUAAAUGAAUAGAGUAUAUUUUAUAAAAAAAUAAUUAAAAAUCAAAGCAUGUUAAAUAAUAUAUGAAAGUAGAAUGAGAGUAAGAAUAAAUGGUAAGAAAUAAAAAUAAUUAAUGAGAAUCUAUACAUUUAUCUAUUCCUUUUUUCCUUUUGUACCAUAGAAUGUUUAUAUCUUCACCAUAUUUAAAGCUAUCAAAAAAUAUUAAAGACAUCUUUCGAGUAUAAAUUUUCAAUUAUUUUAUCCAUAAAAACUUUCAAACUUAUUAAAUAUGAUAAAUGUUUAAUAUUUUCUCUCUCUUUUUUACUUUGUUAUUAAUUAAUAUAACAUUCUUAUAAAAUUCAUAAAUAAAUAUACAAAUAAUUAAUUAUUAUAAAAAUUGUGUUCUCAUAUAUAUCAUAUUAAUAAAAAUUCAUAAGUGAUAGAAAAUACUCAAAAAAUCAUUAAAAGUGAUUUUUUUAAAUUGUGCAAAUUUUAAAAAAAUUCACAACCGCGAUACCCGCAUAGCAUCCGUUAUGUCAGCAACUGCGAUAAACGCAACACGACCGAAAACGCGGCCGUUACCGCAAUUUAAAUGCUUGAUUUCGAAUUUUGCAAAUCUAAAAUACAAGCGAGUGAUUAAUAGUGCUUUAUGUCCUUGAUGCGGGGAAUGGAAAAGAAGACUGUGUGCAUGUUUUCCAGCAAUGCCCUGUAACAGUAGAGAUUUGGUAGAAGUUAAAGGUCUCAUGGGUUAUUACUAGAACGGCUCAAAAUAUCUGGGAAUGGAUUACCUGGAUCUUUCAGAAUAGUACUCAUCAACAGUGUCGCCUGCUCUGUUGCGAUUUGUGGAUCAUAUAGAGCUCAAGAAAUAAACUCGUGCAUGAAAGGAAGAUAGAGUUAGGGGGAGAGAUUUCACAGAAUAUCCAAAGAUAUACGGUUGAAAUUGAGGGAUUAGAAGAAAAGAAGUUUACCUCUUCCAUUGGUAGCAGGAGCAACCAUCUAGAUGCAAACACCAGGGCAACGAUUCAGUUUGACACAGCAUUCAACAACAGAAGUCACAAAUCAGCAUCGGGCUUAGUGGUUUAGAGUCGGAUGGGAGAACUCUUUGCAUUAAAGACAGUGGUAAACGCAAACGUUCCAUCUCCGUUUGCAGCAGAGGCUUACGCAGGCUUGCAAGCUGUUCAGUUAGGGAUCUUGAUGGCCCUUCCUUCAAUAACGGUUUUGGGAGACUCUCGAACAGUUAUCAAAAAAUGCCAAUCAAAAAACUCAGACAAAUCAACCAUCGGUGCAAUAAUUAGAGAUAUUCAAAGUAGUAUGACUCGUUUUCGAGAAAUAAAAUUCUAGUUCAUCAAAAGAACAGAGAAUGCCUAUGCUCACAACCUAGCGAAGGAGUCUUUAAGAAAGAAUGAGGAAACGUACCAGAGAAGGGCGGAUCUAACUUAGCACCAUUCGCAAUCGGAGGGAAGAUGGAAAAGCAACCCAGAUUGAGGUUUGCUUAUGGUAAAUGAAAUGUAACAGAUAGCUUAAUAUGGAAUAUGGAGCGGCUAUCGACAACACAGAGGAGAUGGAGAUGUGAAAGAACAAUACGGAAAAGGAGUCCAGCUGUGUCUUUGGAACCGGCUAGUUUCAUUACAAUAAGUUUCCUUUUAUUGUUUUCAAUCAGUAGGUAGGCUUUUAUUAGGGUUAUUUUAUUUGUUUUAUUUUGAAACUAAUGGCUAAAGUCGAAAGCUAGUCUAAUGCUUCAUAGGCCUGAACCAAAAGAAUUAGGCCAUUUAUUGGAUAGUUAGUCUAGUGUGUCAUAGGCCUGAACCAAAAUAACUAGAACUUUUAUUUGAUUUUGUUCUUUUCAUUAUUAAUAAAUCCACCCGAUUUUAUUUCAAAAAAAAGAGUACCAAAUUGAUAUUUUAAUUAGAGUUUAGGGAUCAAAUUAACUACUAAACCCACUUAUGAACAUGCCAUGUGAUGAGCUUGUUGUUGUGUUAAUGGAUAAGAGACCAAAAGCUUAUAAGUUAAUAACAUUAAAUACUGUUUUGUAAUUUUCAUAAAUGUGCACUAAAGCUACAAAGACAAACACGUAACCAUUAUGAGUUGUUUGAUGCGCAUGCUUGUUAUAAACUUUGUUUUGCAUACUAACGUGAGUGAUAAUAGACUUCUUGCUCAUUGCAGACCGCUCUACACUAAUUUAUUCCGAAGCACACUCAUAACUGAUUUUAAUAUUUAAUUUAUAAUUAUUUUUAUUUUUACGAUGUAAAAAUAAUUUUUUAUAUUUACAAUAAUAAAAUAUCCUAAAAAAACUAAAAAUUACUUUUUCAGAAAAAUACAAUAUAAAAGUUAUUAUCUUGCGUACUUGAAAAUUUAUUUUUUUUAGAAAUAUUUAUGAAUUUUUAUCAAAUAAUAUCCAAAAAUCAAAAAAUAAAAUUUAUUUUUGAUAAACUAAGUCCAUAAAUUCAAAAGUCAAAAUUAAUAUGAAAAAACCAAAAUCAAAUCGAAUUCACUCCUAAUAUAGAGAAGACCGAUGCCUAUGAUGUUCUUUUUGUAUUUCACUAUGAUUACCAAAAUCAAAUCGAAUUCACUCCUAAUAUAGAGAAGGCCGAUGCCUGUGAUGUUCUUUUUGUAUUUCACUAUGGUUAAGUUAAUUUAAUGCACAUUUCAGAUAAAAAAGAACAAUUAUGGCUUGUUUCCCAAAGGGAAAAUCUAAAUCAUCCCCUAAUUCCUAAACCCAUUUUCAGCCAUCCUAUCAAUCCAUUCCAACUAUCAAAAGACACUGAUACCUGUAGGCAUGGUCCGAGCUGAACUUGGACAAUGUUAUACUCACAACAGUGAAUUCAAACCAGGCCAAAAACAGGCUUAAACAAAAAAAAAAAAUUCCGGCUGCACAUGAACAGGUCCUAUAUAAAUAGUGACUUGUGAAGUGAAUACUCAGGAAUGUGUCAUUGAGUGAGCUAAGAAUCAAUCAUAAUAGUAGGAUUAAAAUUGUUUGCAACUUGUAAUUUUUUUUUUUUUCAAGAAACACACUUCCUUGCGAAUGUCAAAUAUCCAGUAUGCCCUCGUGUUUCAGCAGAUGGCCGGGCCAUAACUGCAGGAGAACUUGCAUUGUCCCCCACACUUGCUUCACUCGAAGGCUGCCUCCUCUUGCGUGGAGGGCAUGCAGUGGAAUUACCAUCAUCGACUUUCGAGUGAUCCAUUUUCCAUUCACGGACUUCGUACGUGCGGAGCAGUAUUUCCAAGGUCCGUAUAUCUGUGCAUAUUACAAGCAAAGUUCAUGAUGCUUUAAAAGAAAAACUGCUUGAACAAGAUAGGAUAACUCAUUUCUAAUAUGUUACCUGUAAAGUCAGAUCUAAGAGUUUCACAUGAACGUUGCACUUGUUCGAUGCAUGGUGAGAAGGAACACAGAGUUCCAUCUUGUUUCAACAUGUUUCGAGCUGAAGGAAUGGCUAACCAAGGUUGCGGUAGGUCCAAAAAUACAGAAUCAGCCAAUCCAGAAAACUGAUCCGGAAAUCCAUCACCCUGAAUAUCUCGGACUCCCACAGUGACUAAAGUGCUUAUUCCAGUCCUCUCGAAGUCCUCUCUGUUGAAGUAGCAAAAAAUCAUAAAACAUUCCUUCUUUCGCAAACCGACACAUAGAAGAAUCAAAGAAAAAAACAAAAACCAUCCUUGGAUCUUUCUAUUAUCAACUAGAAAACCAAAAACCAUAUAAUAGGAUAAAAUAUGCAUCAUAAAUGAGUCCUACGCAAGGUUCCAUAAAACCGAGAUAAUGUUGAGACUAUGAAGCAUGAAAGCAACAGAAUGUCGAUCGAAGAAUACAUCUACCCAAACAGACUUCUGAAAUCUACCUAGAAUUCAAGCUCAACCUAAGCAGUUACUAAAAUCAUAUUUCAUAACUUGAAUCUUUGAAACCAAAAUUUCAUAACAAUGCCCUCACUAAUGAAACUAAUAAAGAUCCGUAAACCGAGACAAUUAGAGACAAUGAAGUACCACGGCAACAAAAUGUAGAUCUAUGAAGACAUCAACUCAAGAUGACCCAGAAUUUAUGUUCAACCUAAGCAGUUACUAUAUCAUAUUUCAUCACAAUGCACUUUCGGAAACGAUAAACAUUAAGGCUUACCUAGCUGAGGCAGCCCUCUGUUCAUGGAAAUCAAAGGUAUACACAUGUCCCAUUGGAGACACAGCCCUUGCAAACGAUGUUGUUAAUGAGCCACUACCGGUCCCGGAUUCAAGAACCAAACAACCCGGAACUACUUCCAAGUACAUGAUCACAAAGCUAAUAUCCGCAAUAUAAAGAAUCUGAGUCCUAUGACUUAGAACCAAAGUCCAUAACUCCGGUGUUGGAGCCAAUAGGUAAACGAAUCCACCUUUGUUGCUGAAAACUUUGGAACCAAACGGCUUGCCAAUCCAAUCCGAAUGUUUAAAUACACCGAAACGAUUUUGAAGAACCGAAUUCUCGCACACUUUAACAGCUUUCAUGGUAUCAUGCCUCUCAUAUACAAUAACCAAAUCUCCAUCUCUAAUGCAACGAUUGAAAGAUAUCUUCGUCGAGGAAUCCAUAAGCAACAUCCUUAAAAGAUGGAAAACAUAUUCAAUUAAAUACACAGAUGAUGUUGUACUAAUAUGUAAUUUCUGUACCAAACUUUACUCCCCAAAACGAAAAUAAUUACCACAUACCCAAAGUUCCAUUAAGAAUAAACUAUCACCCAGAAUACCAGGAAGAUCCGAAUUCAUCAAAAAAUAUAUGGAUAUAAAUAGGAAAAGAAUGUAAGAUGAAUGGUUUAACCAAUACUUAAGGUAGAAAAUUGAGUAAAAAAAAAGACUUAUCCAGAAGUACUUCUGAAUUAGAUAGCAAUAUUUUCCAGAUAUGAAGAAGAAAAGAGCAUGGAAGCAGCCAAAAACCCUGGGUUUUAUUCAACUUCCAUUGUUAACCAAAUAGGGUUUUGAAUAUUUGAUUAUAGUGUUAUUAAAGUACACCGUGAUCUGCGGGUCACUGAGUUAUAUGUGGAUUUCCGUUUUAAUCUUUAAACUGUAAAAAAUUAUAAUUUAGUCAUUUAACUAACUCAUAGUUAAAUAAUUAAAGAUGACAUGGCUUUUCUAAUUGGUAUAUAUAUCAUAUCAAUUUGUUCUUAAUUUUUAAAUAUUUAACUAUUAAUAUUUAUACAUUAUGAUAAUUUAAUCUUAAUUUUAAAAUUUUAAAAAUUAUAAAAAAAAAUACAAUUUUAAAAGAAUUCAAAAAAUUAUAAUAAAUUAAAAUACAGAGAUGACAACUUGAUCCGACUAAAUAUGAGUAAAUACAAAGGGAAGAAGGAGGUCUUAUCUCUUGGAAGCAGAGGUGAACCAAAAGACUAAAGAUUUCUCAGCCUCUUUUGGCCCUUCACUUGGAUAUAUUUAUGGAUAACAACCACCCUUUUCUCUUUCUUUCUCUUUCACCCCACUUAGGCCUUCAUCAUUUUUUUUGUUCUUUUUAUGCCUUUUCCCUAUAAAACCCCAUUCUAAAUAUCUACCAAAAAUAUCUCUCAACCCUACACUUCUUUUUCUUUUCGCUCUCCUUUUUUGGUUUUCUCAAAAAUGUGCCAUAAGCAUCAAUUCCCUUGUUUGCAUUGCCACCCACAUGACUACAUUAGAAUGGUAUAAACUUCAUAUUAAUUACGUUACUAUCUCCCAAUCAAAGUCUUGGGGAUACUUUCAGAAUCUUGUGCUUUGCGUACAUAUUUUAAACAUUUAAAUUAUGGUUUCCUUUUUCCUAAUGUUUUCUAAGAAAAGAUUCGAUUUCUUUUGUAGGUUCAACAUAUGAUAGAGAGCUGUCUGGUUUUUCAGAUGAGCAAAGAUGAGUGCGUCGAAGCACUUGCUAAGCAUGCCAACAUUGAACCAGUCAUCACCCUAACAGGUAAAACAACUUCCUAGCUUAAUCUCCCAUUCGUAUAUUUCAUCAUAUCAUAACCAUGUUUAAAGCAUUUUGUAUUUAUAUUUUUACCUUUGUAAGUUCAUUUUUUGCAGUUUGGGAGGAGUUGCUUAAAGAGAACAAAGCCUUCUUUCAGCCUUUUUAUUAAAAUAACCCAUAAAUUUUAAAAAAGUUUCAAAAUGACCUACUUUUUUAAUAAAACACCAAAAUAACCUAAAAUUUACAGUAAAAGUUGGUGGAGCCAAAUUAAACAGCGCCACCAACUUGCCACAUCAGCAGGGACCAUAAAAAAUUAAUUUUUUGAUGGAGCAAUGUAAAAUGACGCCACUUGUAUAAAUACCAAGAAAAUAUUGAAAUUUUUUAAAACAUAAGAGGACUUAAAAAAAAAUUAUCCAUUUUUCUGGUGGAGCGUAAAUGGCGCCACCAGUCUGCCCAUCUCUCAGUACUUUUUUUUUUACUUUUUAACUCUUUUACUUUUUUUUUGUCUUUAUUUAUUUUAUUUAUUUUAUUUAUUUAUUAUUAUUAAUUUUAAAAUUUUUGAAAUAUAUAUUUUGAAAUUAUUUUUAAAAAAUUUAAAUAUUAUUUUUUUAAUAUUUAAAUAUUUUAAACUUUCAAAUUUGUUAUUAGUUUUAUAAUAAUUUAAAUAUUAUUUAAUUUGUUUUAUAAUAUUUUAAAUUAUGAUUUUUAAAUUAUUUUUAAAGAUAUUAUGCUUUUUAAUAAAAAUAAUUUGUAAAUUUUAGGUCAUUUUCGUGUUUAAUUAAAAAAUUAAUUAUUUUGAUAAUAAAUUAAAUUUUUUGUGUUAUUUUUAUAAAAAAGUCAAGAUAUUCAAACCAUUUUUUAAAUUCUAUUUAAAAGUUAAAAAAUAGUAUUUUAAUUAAAAAAGUGAAAUUUGAUUAAUUAGAAAAUAAAAAAUAUUUGUUAAAAAAAGAUUUAUUUGUUAAAAAAUAAAUUUAUUUAAAAAUAUAUAUAUUAAAAAGUAAAAAUUAAAAUUAAAAAUUAUAUAUUAUAUAUUAUAAAAUCACAUCAUGUCAGUGAUGUGAUAACACAAAAUAAUAUGUUAUUUGAAAAAUAACUAUUAUUGUAAUGAGAUACAUGUUCUAUUAGGUAUAAGUAUUUAAAUUUAAAUAUUAUUUAAUUUGUUUUAUAAUAUUUUAAAUUAUGAUUUUUAAAUUAUUUUUAAAGAUAUUCUGCUUUUUAAUAAAAAUAAUUUGUAAAUUUUAGGUCAUUUUCGUGUUUAAUUAAAAAAUUAAUUAUUUUGAUAAUAAAUUAAAUUUUUUGUGUUAUUUUUAUAAAAAAGUCAAGAUAUUCAAACCAUUUUUUAAAUUCUAUUUAAAAGUUAAAAAAUAGUAUUUUAAUUAAAAAAGUGAAAUUUGAUUAAUUAGAAAAUAAAAAAUAUUUGUUAAAAAAAGAUUUAUUUGUUAAAAAAUAAAUUUAUUUAAAAAUAUAUAUAUUAAAAAGUAAAAAUUAAAAUUAAAAAUUAUAUAUUAUAUAUUAUAUAUUAUAAAAUCACAUCAUGUCAGUGAUGUGAUAACACAAAAUAAUAUGUUAUUUGAAAAAUAACUAUUAUUGUAAUGAGAUACAUGUUCUAUUAGGUAUAAGUAUUUAAAUUUUUGUUUUUGUAAUGUGAUACAUGCGUGUAUAUAUAUAUAUAUAUAUAAUCAUAUUAGUGAAUCUGCUAAUACAUACUUCAUCCGGAUAAAGUAUGCAUUAUUAAAAUUAAAUUAAAAUAUUAAAUAAGAAAUAAAAUUAUAAAACAAUAUGUUAUUUAGAAAAUAACUAUUAUUGUAAUGAGAUACAUGUUCUAUUAGGUAUAAGUAUUUAAAUUUUUUUUUUGUAAUGUGAUACAUGAAUAAAUCUAUAUAUAUAUGUAAUCAUAUUAGUGAAUCUAUUAAUACAUACUUCAUCCAGAUAAAGUAUGCAUUAUUAAAAUUAAACUAAAAUAUUAAAUAAAAAAUAAAAUUAUAAAACAAUAUGUUAUUUGGAAAUAACUAUUAUUGUAAUGAGAUACAUGUUUUAUUAGGUAUAAGUAUUUAAAUUUUAGUUUUUGUAAUAUGAUACAUGAGUAAAUAUCUAUAUAUAUAUAUAAUCAUAUUAGUGAAUGUGCUAAUACAUACUUCAUUCAGAUAAAGUAUGCAUUAUUAAAAUUAAUGGUUUGUUUAAACACAAUAUAGUGAGUUGAAGGGAAAUAAAAAGAAAAUAAUACAUAAGGAGAGCUUAAAAUGAAAUUAUCCAAAUUAAAGUUUAGUACCGCCACACUGCCAGGCGGUAGCUUACCAUUCCAUUUCAGCAGCCAUUCAAAAAUAGAAAAAUUGCAUAACAAGUCCCUAAAUCUUUUAAAUCAUUAUUUUUUUAUUUUUUUACUAUUUUGGGUCAGAAAUCCAAGGUGAUGGCGCCUAUGCACCACCCUCCACCAAGACAAAUGUACCAUUUUGGUAUCUAAUUUUUGAAACAACUUAUUUUGAUAUUUUAUUUUAUUUUUUAUGUUUUUUUUGGUAAAAAACCCAAUAAAUAAAGACAAAAAAAAAGGUAAAAGACUUAAAAAGUAAAACAAAAAAAUACUGACAUAUGAGCUGGUAACGCCAUUUACUUUGGCUUCACCAGAAAAAUGAGUAAUUUUUUUUAAGUCCCCCUAUAUUUUAAAAAAAAUUAAUAUUUUCUUGAUAUUUAUACAGGUGGCGUCAUUUUACAUGUCUCCACUAAAAAAUUAAUUUUUUAUGGUUUCUACUAAUGUGACAAGUUGGUGGUGCCAUUUAAUUUAACUACACCAACUUUUACUGUAAAUUUCAGGUCAUUUUGGUGUUUUAUUAAAAAGGUGGGUCAUUUUAGAACUUUUUUAAAAUUUAUGGGUUAUUUUAAUAAAAAGGCCCCUUAUUUCAAGAGAAUUUCCAAGCUUUAUCUCCAAGGCAGAGCUCUGUUGAUUGAAACUCUGCAUGCGGAUGAUUAAUGCAGUUCAGCAGAGAGUUUCCACUCAAAAUAUGACUGCUUUUAGAAGAAGAAAGCAUUGGCAAAGAUUCAAAUAGCAAAAACAUCAUCAUCGAAAGCUGCAUGAAUGAACUUCUACAUGUAAGACCUUGUUAGAAAUUUAAUAACCGAGCAGGAAAUUGAGAGACCUGAGAUACAGCCUACAGACUACAAAUUAUAACCGAGUAUAAUAUUCAGGUUUGUUUCAGCUUUUAGGACCUGAUAAAAAUUGUAAGCACGGUACCAGCUAUUUCAAGCAUAUAUCUGUAUGUCAAUCGGAUUCAGGGACGAGCAUCUUUAGAAUAAGUUCGUUCAAAUUUAUCUAUUUCAUUUCAUACAGUUAUAAGUUAAAAUCAUAUACCCAUAUCAGAAUAUAUGUCAAACAAACAUUAAAAGCCAUAAUUUAAAGCUUAGUUCUUAAAAUUUGGAAUAAAGUUGUGAUAUUUGUUGUCGUAUAAACCAGUUCCUGUUCCUGUUUUAUGUUUAUGGUAAAACCACUUAACUGUUCAAGCCAAUCUUUAGGGCAUUUAAGGCAGAAGUCAUGAAGAAAAAAGUCACAGGCAAAACAGCUGAAAUCACAUAGGACAAACAUGACAAAUCUCUAAUUAGAUCCAGCUAAAACAUUUCUGUAAAAAGAAACUUGAACAUGAAAAUAUUACUAGGAAGUUCAACAGCAAUUCAGUUCGAUAUCUAUAUGCUAUACUAUGGAUUCAACUUAAAGGACAGAAUCAACAUGAAAUCAAACUUGGUAUUCGUUUAUUAAUUUUAGGGGAGACAAGCAGCUUAACUCUAUUCUAAACAGAUGAUUUUGUAAAAGCUCCAGCUUCAGUCAGCAGAGGAACCAGCUUACCUUGGUUAUGCAAGCCUGUUGUAGCUGCAAAAAUGUACAGAAACACGGUAAUUAGUAAACAAACAGAGAUGGUACGAGGGAUUUCAUUUGUCUAUGAAUAAAAUAUAAUAGCAUAGAGUUUAAAGGGCAUACAAUCACAGCCACCAAUGUGAUUCCCACCAAUGAAAACGUUUGGCACAGUUCGCUGACCGGUCCACUCAGCCAGAGCUGCUUGAAUAUCAGCUCCAUCACCUGGAAAAAUACAAAAAACGAAAGCCAUAUUUACUUUGACAACCAAUGUGUAUAUAUUCUCACUAUUUAUUUUGAAAGCAAGAAAGAGUUGCAAAUCCAACCCUCAACUCAUAUUGACAAAAUAAAAUUUCCAUGUAAGCAUCCACAACAAUCCUGUGAGGAGCAUACUGCUUCACUAUAUUAAACUACGAUACCAAAUCCCCAAUUGAAGAUAAUGUACUCACACUUUUAUAAGGCCAGGAAAAGACAUUCAAUCACUUUAAAGGCAUUAUUUAAUAGCCAUUAUUAUAGCUAAUGGAUGGAGUUGCAUUCCAUUACCUCAUACCCAAAACCAUACACUUGUGUUGUCCAAACCUACGUCUCAAACCAAUGGAACCACAAACAAUGAAACCAACCAUGCCUUACAGUCUUAUAGGAUCUUUCAAAGCAAGAUUCAAAUCAAUCGAAGUUGGCUUCAAAUUCAUUUGUUCAACAUGAUCGAGACAUGGAUAUUGAUAACAAGACUACAGAUUUUCCUAUACAACCAUGUAAAUAGACCUUCAAACUCAAGAUUACUGCCCACAUAAAGCUUCCAACUGCUCCUUUUUCUUGUAAAGUUCAAGCAACCAACUAAAAAUGGCAGCCAAGUUGAAUCAACAUGAUCCACAUCAGUUAAUCAAUGUUUAAUAGAACGCAAAGUUUGGCUAACCAAAACAAUCCUAAUUGUUCUUAAAAGACUUGGGUUAAAAAGCUGAAUAACUUUGGAUUAAUCAAAUACUACAAACAAAUAAAUAAAACAUGAAAAAUUAACAUGAGCACAGCAUGAAUAUACAUAAUUUCUCUAACUGAAUUGACGUUGAGUUAACUCAUAAGACCAACUCAUUUAGGGCUCAAUAUUAGUUUAGAUGACAAACUUUAUGCAAGAUUUUUCUUUUUCUUUUUCCUUUUUUUUUUUGCUAAUUUAGCUAUAAUUCAUUAGAUUAUAAAAGAACCGUUUCCUAAAAAGUGGGGAAAACACUUUCACACUUGAUAUAACCCAUCACGAACAAAAGUUUCGUUUGAUUUUACUGAAAGAUAUCACAAUAUCAAGACACUAAACAGAAUCGAAUCAAAUUAAUAGUCACAAAAUUCAAGCAAUUAAAAGUAUUUUCAUUUCAAAACCUUAAAAUCACAAAAUUGUUACGAAACGGCAUCGUACCUCAAAAAGGGCAAACUAGAAUAAAAAAGAAAAAGAAAGAAAACUAACUUUCUUUGUCGAGCUCAAUGGCCUUGAAAGAAGCUCCAAGUUUUUGAAGCAAUUGCUUUACAUCCACACAGAACGGACAGUAGGACUUGCUGCAUCAACGAAUACGUAUAAAAUACCGCAAAAAAUGAGCAAAAAUUGUAUACGAAUACGUAUAAAAACUACGGAUACCUGAAAACGACGACGGUAUUGGUAGAUAUGAUGUCCUUAGCCUUUUGCAAAGCCAUUUUUUUCUCUUUCUUAGCCCUGAAAAAUUUACUCUUUUUUUUCUUUUUUGGAUCUAAAGAGAGAGAGCGUUGAGGUUUUUAUAGUGGAGGGAAAAUGAGAUAGAAAAGAGGUGUGGAUAUCGUGAGAGUGGUGGAGUGAAGAAGAAGGAAGGUUCCUAAAAUGAUCUGGGCCGUUGAUUUUAUGCCAAUUAAAAUAUUGGUGGACACUUUUGGAUUUUGAUCCACGAAUCUUUUCAGAUUUUCUUUUAAAAUAAAAAUAUAAUUAAUUAAUAAGUUGAUUUUGAUUGGAGAAACGUGAACUAAACGUGACAUCCUUAUUAAAUUCACUUUUUUUUAUUCCUUACGAAUGACUCCGUCAAGGCCUUAUAUUAUUAUUUUGGGUAAAUUACACUAACAAUCACUCAACUUUGAGGUAGUUGAUAAAACAGUCACUUUGGUUUCAUUUCAGUCAUUCAACUUUUAAAAAGUGACAAAACAGUCAUCUUUAUCGUUUUCUGUUACAGAUGUAACAGUAAUGUGACGUGGCAGAUGACGGCGUCCAGCUGAUCGGUUAGCAUCAAUUUAAACAGCCAUAUCAGCAGUAAUUUAGGGUUUAUAUAGUAGUAUAAUAAGAGAAGAAGAAAAAGAAGAAGGAGAAGAGAAAAAUGGAGAUGCUUGGAGAUAAAACAGAUGAAAGACAUGUUCCCUUCUCUGUAAAUCCUAUUAGACUUUAAUUUCCCCUUUCAUAAAUCUUUGGGUUUUCAUGGUGGAAAUCAAUUUCAAUUUCCCCUUUCAUAAACCAUGACUUACCCCAAAUCUUACUCUAUUUUCAUCCACCAAUUUAACAUCCCUACCAUCGAGCCGACGAUCAUACAGUCGAAGAUGAACCGCCAAGUCCUGUAUCAAUUCUUGAACAGUUCUUUGUAGAAGAGAGCAUUAACUCUCCUAGCACUGUAUCUCUAGCAGGUGAAUGAAUUCCUUUGGUAGAAAUUGCUUAUUAUAUAUAGGGCAUAUGUUUUCUUUUUUAUGGUGAGUUAACAUUUGAAUCUUGUGCAGCUAAACCACCGGUCGGACCAUUUUGUAUAGAUAUCGAAGAACACAAUGUAACUUCGCUAUUGGAAUCCCAGUUGGAUCUGAAGAGUACUGCAGGUACUUCCAAGGAUAAGUAAGGAUCUUUGUCUGAAAGCAUAAGAGUAGUUCUCCAAGUUUUUGGUCUUAAUUGGGGUGAGCUUUCUAGGAGAUGGCUUCAGUUAGACCAAAUGCCUGAUGCAUCCUUGUUCAAUAAUGUUAAAGUAUGGCUUGAGAAGUCCUAUACCGAUCGUAGGCUGCUUUUUGGCUAUAUCAGUGAAAUCAUUUUGGAUAUAUAUAUCAAUGUUAUUUUGGAUGCUCCCUAUGGAUUUCACUUCUCUAUCAACGACUUCAACCGGCUAUGUUAUCAAAAAAUCAGGUUCAUGAAGUGUUGAGACAUGUCGAUUGGCAACUCCUUUUGGAGCUGCCCUAACAGACAUUACAUCAACUUGCUAAAAAGGAUUUGCUCAAGUCUGGAAUAUGGAUGGAUAACCAACUCGAUAUGGAGGAAGUUUUUACAGAGUUAAUUGAUAGCAUUUUAGAGGAUUUGGUAAUUGAUGCUGCUAUUCAAUUGCAAACAUAGAAAAAGAGCAAAGACAUGGAGUUUCAAUGGCAAAGAAUGAAACCCCUCCAAAUUAGGCAAAUAAGACUUUUCUUUUUACAGUCUAUUCUUCUUCUGCUGCUACUGCCUCUUCUUCUUCUUCUUCUUCUUCUUCUUUUUCUUCUUCUUCUUCUUUUUCUUAUUUAUUAAAGGGUUUUUUUUAGUGUUUUUUUUCAAUUUCUUCAUCCAAUGUGGCAAGUUAACUGGCCUGUAACACCCCUUACUCGUAUCCGACGCUAGAAUAGGGUUCGUGGUGCUACCUGACUUAAACUCUAUCAACUGUAUAAAACUGGGCCGUAAAAUUUAAAACAAUUUAAAAACUUCUCCUUUCAUAAGCAACUAUAUCGUAUAUGGGCUUACGAGGCCCAAUCAUAGAUCCAAUGUUGUUUACAACCCAAUCGAGACCUCAUGGAAACUUAAAAAAAAUUCAUGCAACAAAGCUCCACACACUCGUGUGGGUAUAGAGCACACGACCGUGUGCUAGGGACACGCCCGUGUCCUAAACCCAUGUCUGAAAACCUGGGCAUUCUGCCAAAACCACACGGCCCAAGCACACACCCGUGCCCUAUAACUGUGUCCUUCACACGGCCGAGACACAUGGCCGUGUCUCUUGCCCGUGUUCUACUAGCAUGCAUAUUGACUUUAUGACACGGCAAGGACACACGCCCGUGUGGCCUACCCGUGUGCUAAAAUGACUUUAAAAAUUUAAGUGUAGGGGACGCACGACCAUAACACAAGCCUAUGGGUGUGAACCGUGUGUCACACACGGCCUAGACACACGCCUGUGUAUCUUACCCGUGUGGACAAUCUAGGCUAUUUCCCAAGCCCUUUUGUCACCCAUUUUGCACAACCUACACAAGAUCUUUUCAAUAUAUAAAUCUCAUCACAAUAGGCACUAAUUCAUCCAUAGAAAGAACAUUAUAUACAUUCAUCAAAAUGAAUAAUAGCCAUUGUUCCAGGCUUGAAUACAAAAUGAAGGGCCUUUGACUUAAGCCAAAAUACAUGAACCAUUCUCUUAAUACAACAUCCUAGUCUAGCCCUAUACAUGCCACCAUCAAAAAUAUAAAUCCAACUAUAUUGGGUAUUACGGUCGAUAGUGUGAUCGAUAUCUCUGACUUUAAGGGAUCUUUAAGUUAGCUUGAUAACACUGAAAGAAGAGGAAAAUGAAAAAAAAGGUAAGCAUAAAGCUUAGUAAGUUGCAUAUAAAUAAAUAUACAACAAUAAUCUCACCAUUAGUCAUCAUACUUAUAGCUCAAAGGUAAACAUAAUUUAACUUACUCAUUAUCAUCUACUCGAGUCACAUUCUCUAAAAUUAAGCUCAUUUCUCAUGUUUACCGUAUAGGUACCUGUACCACUUACAACAUGAUUAUUCUUUCUUUAUCAAAAUUGAUCUAUAACUCUCAUCAUUGAAACGUUUGGAAUACUAUUGGAUAUUCUAUGAACCUUCAACUUGGGAUAUACUGCCAAUGCCAUGUCCCAGACAUGGUCUUACACUGGCUCUCAUAUACGCGUGCUGACGCAUGUCCCAGACAUGUCUUACACUAGCACAACUCUUAGCCGAUGCGUGUCCCAGACACGUCUUACACUGGCUAUCUCUGUCGAGGCCGAUGCAUGUCCCAAACAUAUCUUAAACUGGCACUUAUCUCUAUGCCGAUGUCAUGUCCCAGGCAUGGUCUUACACUGGCUAUCAUAGUAUGGCUGAUGCAUAUCCCAGACAUGUCUUACACUAGCCCUCGUCUGGAUGCCGAUGCCAUGUCCCAGACAUGGUCUUACACUGGCUCUCAUAAUGUGGCCGAAGCAUGUCCCAGACAUGUCUUACACUGGCGCACAAAUCACCUGAUGCCUUGGCACGAAUAUCCAGUUUGUAUUCUAAUGUCUCAACGGGAUAUUUCUAUUAUCUCAAAUAUCACUAGGCAUUCUUAAUUCAUAACUGAACAACUCAUACAAUAUCAAUUCAAUGGAAAUAUGAAUACAACUAUUAACAGUGUAGUUGUUACAUUUACAUACAACUUACCUCAGUUUACAAAAAGUACUUGACUAUUCGGUUUAGUCGGUUUGCUUGGCCUUCCCCUGAUUUGAGUUAGAAAUUUGGUAAAUCUUGAUCUAUAAUAGCAAUAUACACUAUUUAGUCACCAAUUACAAUUAGGCAAUUAUAAAUUUACAACUUUGGUAAAAUAACCAUUCUACCCCUUAUGCUCGAAAAUUGAUUUUUGUCGAAUUUCUUUAUAUCUUAGGCCUAACUGAACUAUUUUUACUCUUAUAGCAACUUCAAAUUCUCACUAUUUCACAUACUUAUUAACUAUUUUACAACUUAUGAAAAAUAGCUCCUUUAGGUGUUUUCAUGCUAACACAUUUUAUAAAAGUUGUUUAUAACACAACUAGGACUCAUAUUCCUCCAUAAAAACUCAAUAAAAAAUACAAAUCAUUUCAUUGCAACACUCUAAACUCUUGACCAUUUUGCAAGAUAUCACCCUCAUUUGAAAACUCAUGUUUCAAGGGUUUCAAAAAUACAAAAAUCAUCAACAAAGGGUGUGGGGAUCACUUACUUGUGAGGGCUUUUAGUUGCUGAAAAUUUUCAGCCUUCAAAACUCCAUUUUUGCUGAUAUUUUCGAUGGAGAAGAGAAAUGGAGAAGAAAGAAAUGAUAGCUAGGCUUUUAGGCAUUAUUUUAUCACUAAAUCAUGACAUCAUCCACCUAACCCUUUGACCAUUUGCUUAAAAUCAUUCACAUGGCCAGCCAACACUAAUAAAAAGGGUGAAAUUGCCCUUUAAAAGCCCUCAAUUUAAGUUCUUUAGCUAUAUAACUCAUUUGGGUACUAAAAUGAAACUUUUGCCUUUUAUGCGAUUUAGUCUUUUUUCAAAAUUGGGCUAGAAAACAUGAAAAUUAGCUCACCAAAUUUUUCAUGCACUAGUAAAAUCAUACCAUAACCUCAUAAAAAUAAUAAAAAUAAUUUUUCUAACUUCGGAUUUGUGGUCCCGAGACCACUGUUCCGACUAGGCCCUAAAUCGGGUUGUUACAUGGCCACAUCAGUUAGUUAACUUGCCACAUCAGCAGUUCUGUUAAAAUGCUAACAGAAACUAUUAGUCAGUGACUGUUUUGUCACUUUUUUAUAACGUUAGUGACUGUUUUGUUAUUUUUCAAAAGUUGGGUGACUGAAAUGAAACCUAGGUAACUAUUUUGUUAGCUACCCUAAAGUUGAGUGAUUGUUAGUGUAAUUUACCCUAUUAUUUUUUUGGACCAAACCUUUUCAAUCAUAGAAAAGUGUCAAAUUCCCAUGCCAAAACUACAAUCGGUACAAGACAAACAGGACAAGAAGAGUUCCAACAUGCUUGAAACAAGUUCCGAGAGAAACAACAAACUUCACUUGAAUCAACUUGCCAUUCCUUAUAAAAAACUAAGCAAGAGCUAAAACUUUCAUAGAUUUGUUGGUGUUCAGCCGUUAGAUGGGAAACCACCAUGAUGCUUGGAGCCUUUCAUCUCCUUGAUUUUGUUGUAAUUGGUACAUUUAUGCUAAGUUGAAACUAUUAAUGCGAAAAGCUCAAGCAAAUCAGGUAAUCUCAGGAUAUCCCAAAAUCCGUUAUAGGAACUAAACCUUUCAAAUGCAACAUCUUGUACCAAAGAAGUCAAAAACCACCAUGACAAUAGGGGUGGCCACAAGCGCUGCCAACAUCUAUUAGAUCAAUGCCAGUACAUUAUUGUGCCCCAAAAAGGUAGACUCUCAUUCUCAUCUCCACUAGGGGCCAAAGGUUGGCAUCUGGGCUAGUGAAAUAAAAGAGGUCAACAAGGUUAAAAGCGAAAACAAGUUGAAACAAAGAAAAAAAGUGAAGCUGAAGGGGAAAAGAAAGCACAUAAGCCAACAUACUCUCUCACUAUGUAUUGUUGCGUAAGCCGGUGCAACUUAACCCAAGCCUCAUCCUCGAUAUACUCUGGUAAAAUUGUGACUUGAAUUCUCUAUAGAACUCUUUCCAAGUCCAUUUAGCAAUAUUACACCGUCUCUCAUCUGUAGACCUAUGACGCCACCAUAACAAAGCAACAUCAGUAAAAUAUAUGGCAACAAUAUUUACCUUAGUAGCAUCAUCCAUGAUGCCUUUGGCACAGAAGUAUUGCUCCAUCCCUCACAUGAAGUUGCCUACAUCCUUUGUGGACCUCGUCCCAUUGAACUCUUUCGGCUUCAGGGCAUCUAUCCUAUGCCACAACUAACACCCCAUUACCCAAAGCAGCUUUUGCAGAUAUUGAGUUCCCCCUUAAGCUCCUCGAUUUAUUCCUUCAAGGCCGACACCAUUACUUUGAGAGCAUUAUUCUUCUUAGUUACCUCGCCCACAGCGAUAUUCAAGACCCCUUGCAUCGAACCUAUUUUUUGGCCUCUAUGUCACAUCCUGAAUUUGGCAGAUCCAAGAGAAAGGUGAAUAGAUGGGAAAAUUAUUUGUUUUGCGCACUUUGGUAGUUAGUUUACCAAUUUAUAAGCUUUUGGUGAACUAAUGUUUGGCACAUAGAGUACCCGCCCAUAGAAGUUUCUUUGGAUUUAAUUAUUGUAGUAUUCUUCAAUUGAAGAAGGAUAUAACACCCCUAACCCGCAUCCAUUACGAGAUUAGGGUUAUGGAGCAUUACCGUACAAUCAAAAAAAUUUAAACAAAAUUUCAUUCACUAACAUAAACAUAUCAUAUGUCAAUCAUACAUUCACAUUCCAUCCCUAAAUCGAGCCCUCAAUGCCCUAAAAAUACCUUAGAAAUGAUUAAGGACUAAAUUGAAAACAUAUGGAAAGUCUAAGAAAUAUUUACAAAAAUUUGGAAAUAGGGGUACACGACCAUGUGGCCAGACUGUAUACCCUUCAAACUAGGGACAUAUGGCCAUGUCCCAGCCCGUGUCCUCACUCGUGUAACUCUCUGAAUAAGGUCACACGAUCGUGUCACAUACCCGUGUGCUAGGUCGUGUAACUCUAUGAGUUGCCCCACACACCCAUGUGCCAGGCUAUGUGCUAGGUCGUGUAACUCACUGACUUACAUACAAAGGAAUUCCCAAAUGACACACGGUCAUGUCUCCAUGCUGUGUGUCAUACACAGCUGAGUCACACACCCGUGUCUCAGGCCAUGUGGACAUAAAUUUGCCUAAAAAUAAACCAUUGCCUAUACCAUUUUAUGCAUAAUCAUUUGAAAAAAUUGCGCACAUUUACAAGGCGUCAAACCAUACCUAAACAUGCAUAUAUUUUCCAUUCCAAAGGUCCUAAUUCAACUAAUCAAUAUGCCAUUCAAAGGCACCUCAAAAGCAAUCAUCAUAACUUACAUAAACAUGUCAACUUUACCUAAAUUCAAACAUCAAUAUCUAGUUCAACAUUUACCAAAACAUGCCACAAACAUAUCCCUUAACACACCAUUUCAAAUAUACCAUUGGAACCAUUCAAACAUGCAUAGUAGUAUAACCAAGUUGACACAAUUUGACAAAGUAUCACAUGAUGCCAAAACAAGAUCAAAACUUAUUGAUGCAGUCGUUGAAAGCACCAAAAAUAUCUUAUCCUAUAAAAUAAUGAAAAGAAUAGUAUGAGGGAAGUAUGGUCAAAUCCUCAGGGACUAGAUUUGCACAAAUUCCUAUUUCUCGAGAUCCUGGAUAGAAUAGUUCCGAAGAAAACUUGCGUACCUAGAAAAAUAAAAAAAUAGAAUUAAAAACUCGAUUGAAUUGAAAUUGCAGAAAAUAAAAUUAAAAUUGUAGAGAUAAACAGAGUUGAGGGAAAAGAGUUUUUUUUAUUUUAUGGAGAGAUUCUAGCCUCUAGUUGUCUUAAUCCGCCUUUGGUUCAAUCCUAGGCUUUUAGAUGAUCCUUUUCGAACAGAAUAAGCCAGUUAUACUGGAAGAGGAUGCUUACGACCACCAACUCCACUUAGAUUUUAGACUUAUAAUUUAGACGAACCUGACUCUAGCCAACCGUUGCUUUUGUGGGACUGUCUUACAUUAGAUCAUAACUUUUCAAUGGCGAAUGCCACGCCAUUUUGUCUAUUGGGCUCGACAACCACUAACGCAGUAAGCUAACGAACAGACUGUGUAACCUUCCCAAAACAUACAAAGUGGUUGUUCUUUGCACAAGUUGAAAAGAUCACCUUUGAAGGGACAUGGAUAGAAACGUCAGCCCCAUAAUGCAGAGAAACGAUUAAUACUUGUUGAGAAGACUAAGUGCAUAUUCUAAGCCUCAUGAACCCUUUUUGGGGAAUUUCUACGACCUCUGGCUAGAUAAAUUUAGUGGCUCAUGCUUUUUGGGAAAAAAGAAAUAAACGUAAUGAAAAUGAAAUUUUAUUGAAUAAUAUGGAAGAUGGAGUGUUUAUAGAAAAAGAUGAGUCAAAUUUGUGUCUCUCCAUCUCCUAUUUAUAGUACUAGAAAACCUAGUCUAUUCCUAAUUAAAUUCUAAAAGAUAAAUAAAUAUAAAUAAAGAUAAAAGCUAAAAUUAAAUCUAAAUAAUAAUCUUUAACAAUUAUCCUAAUAUAAUUAAAAUUUAAACAGGGCCUUGUGUUUAUAAAAUCUCUUUUUUGUACUUUUGCCCCUCAAGUCUUCCACACUUUGUAUUUUCGGCACCACUUCUUUCUUAUUUCGCAUGUUGGCCCAUUUUAUCUUUAAAUUCAUGUUUUUGCCCCCAAAUUUCCUUUUGCCUUCAAUUUAGUCCCUACAAGAUAAAAAACCAUAAAUAGCUCAAAUUAGUAUGAUCAUACUCAAAAUAAAUAUGUAAUUAAUACAUAAAAAUAUGUCAUUCUAAAGUAUUAUCAUUUAUACAUACCAAAUCAUCCAUUAAACAUUCAACCAAACAUCAUUAUAAGUCCAUCUAUACAUGUCAUUAUAACAUUGGCCAAAACAUUCAAAAACUACCAAUAUUUAUGUUGGAUAGUGUGAUAGAUCUCCGACGAGCUUCCGAUAAUCUAUAAAACAUAGGAAAUAAACUACGUAAGUACUUAAUGCUUAAUAAAACAUAACUUACCAUUUCAUUUACAUAACAACAAGUAUAAGCAUAAUAUAACCCAAACCACAAGCAUGGCACAAGCCUAUAUAUCAUCAUCAAUACACAAGUUAGUGCAUUUAUCCAUAACUCAUUUGAAUUAACCAAUGAUAAGUCAUUUGCAUAUGAAAAUGCAUCAUUUGAUUCAUAUAUCCUUUUCAUAUACAUAUGCAUAAUUCCACUUGGAAACUUACCAUUUUAAUCCCUUUUCUUGCCCGUUGAACCAUCUAGAAUAUCAUUGGAUACUUGGGGAAGCUCACAUAAUUGUAACAUUUCAUUUACAUCAUUGCUCACACGAGCUGUGAAAUGGGUCUGCUCACACGAUUUGUGAGUCAGAAUGUAAGCUAUACGAUGCUGCUCAAACGAGCUGUGGAGUAUCCAUAACAAAUGCAGGACCUCAGCCAUUGUAGGACAUUCAAGACCAACACCCAAAACAUGAAAUCCCUAAUGACAUUUCAUUUGUAUCCUACGAAUUUCUAAGGUUCAACCGGUACUCGAUAAUCGUCAUCGUAUUGAUCUAUUUAAACAUCGAUCAAUUCACACGAUAAAUAUCAUAUUAACAUACGAUUUGAAAUAACAUUAAAAUGACAACUAUUCACACGAACUUACCUCUACAACUAGGGGCGUAAAAGUAAAAACGAAUUAUUCUGAAGCUUUUGGUUUGUCUCAAUCUAGGUCCGUACGUGGUCUAUCUUGAUCAUGCAAGUGCUUAAGCUAACCAAACUUCAAACCUUAAAAAUGGCUUCCUUUUUUACAAAUUUCAGUGGUGACUUUCAUUUAGAAAGAUGAUAUCAUAUUUCUUUUAGUUUAAAUUUAAGUUAAUUUAUUAAUUUACUAUUUUAACCUUAGUUUUUAACUUAAAAUCACUUAAACCGCAUCCAAAUAUGUCCACUAACUAUUCAAAUGGUCUAAUUACCAUUCAAGCCCAUUCGCUUUAAAUUUUCAUAGCAAUUUAACUCCUUUAACUAAAAAAACUCUACUUUUUGCACUUUUUACGAUUAGUCCUUUUCACUUAAUUAAUCAUGCAAACAUUAAAAUUUCUUAACGAAGUUUUAAUACGAUCUUACUAAUAUCCCAUAUAAAUUAAACUAAUAAUAAAAUAAAAAUUUACUCAUCAAAUUUGUGGUUCCAAAACCACUAUUCUGAUUUCACUGAAAAUGGGCUGUUACAUACGCCUCAGAAGUUUUGGUUAAUUAUAACAUGCCAUAUAUGAGUUAUCGCCAAUAGGUAUAGUACGCCAAGUUUACUUGAACAAUGUGCAAAAUGGGUUCUGUAACGUGAUUGGUUGGGAGUCAAUUGUGAAUUUUAUACUUCUAAUCCUUUAAAUUCAUGUUUUUAUACUUAAUAGAGCAUUUGGAAGCAAAAUAAUGAAAACGAGCGACAAUCGAAAAAUCGGAGCAAGCUACAUGAGCCACACGAGCUGACCCAUUACACAAGACUGUGUAAGCCACUCGGGCUACAACAUGACUAUGUGGCAAGUCGUGUCGAUAGCAUGAAUUUGCACUCUAAAUAAUGAAAAAUGCGAGUUAGGUUUUUUGGGCAUUCUAAGACAUAUAUAUGACAAAAAUAAGAAUAUGGAAGUGAGCCAUCAUAGAAUAUUCAAGAAAACAACUCAAAAAACAAAAUUGAAGUCGAUUCUGAAGUAUAUUUCCAUUAAGAUUGAAGACUCCCAGUUGAUUUCUUAGGAGAUUAUAAUGACUUUCUUUAUUUCUUUCGGUUAUACUGUCUUUUGGAUAUUUUUAUUUUCAACCAUGAACUAAUUUUCUAAAUUCCUAGGGAGAUGAACCCUAUGAUGAAUUCUACCGUUUGAUUUUUAUUUUACGCAAUAAAUUCUUAGUUUCUUGUUCUCAAUUAUGUAUUUCUAGACUAUUAAUCCAUGUUUGAUGUGCUUAAAUUAGAGGAAAAAUAGACUAUGUUUAAGAGUAGAUCUUACAUAAGUGAGUGGAGUUGCAUGCAAUCUUAGAAAUAAGAUGACAUAAAUCUACCAUAUUAGAGCCAAAUCUAAUAGGGGAAUCCAUAAAUCGAAUGCGAUAAUAGGGGUUUUAAUUAGAAAGAAAUUCCAAUUAAUCAACCUAGAGUCAGAUGUUCUUACUCUCGAAAGAGAUAUUAGCAUAAAUUAAGGAUUUCUACGGAUCAAGUUACCAAGUAAAGAAAUUACGUAAUUUAGAUUGAAAAUUACAAAUGAAAUCUAGGUGAAUUCUUUCAUUAGUAUUAUUUUGCUUAUUGGUUGUUAAUUGAUUAUUUUCUUGAUUUGUUUUUUGUCAUAUUUAUUAGUUAAUUAAUUUAGUUAAUUUUAGUUUUUAAUCAAUCACUCAAAUUAUUUGGUUAAAUAAUAGAAAGACGGUAAUUACUAGUACUUUUAGUCUUCGUGGGAACGAUAUCUUUGUUCACCAUAGCUAUACUACUAAUUGAUAGAUACAUUUUCCUUAGUCAAAUUUUUAGUUGGUUUCGUGGAUAUCAAUUGACUGGUCAAAUAGCAACGACUUUGGAUUUUCUUUUAUAUUUUCUCUGAUUUUUGUAGGACAUUAAAUGGACAAUUUUUGUAUGCAAUUGACACUUUUCAAGAUCCACUAUGAGGUAUUGAGUAUAUAUAUGGUAAGAAGGGGAAAGUCUAGAUGGUUUUUCUUCUUUCAAUAUUACUCUUUGGUUCUUCUUCUUAAACUUAAAUGUUCUCUUCUUCUUUCAAGUUGGAAGUUAAGGUUUUGAAUUAGUCAAUGGAUAUUCCACCUUUUGGUAAGCCUGAUAGUGUUGCAUAUAGGUUUUUGAAAUAGUAAGGAUGUUAAGAAGCUUAUAAUGUAACACCCCAAACUCGGCCUAGAAGUUUAGACCAAAUUCGGAAUGCUACAUUGAUCACCAAAGUGAUCGUAGGAAAAAUUUUCAAAAUAGUUUAUCUUAUCAAACCAAAUCAUUUAAAACGUUUAUUAAUAAAUCAGUUCAAAUCCUAAAAUAAAGUUCAAUGUAAAACCAGUUCAGAUUAUACGAAUUGAAACACAAAUCAAAAUUGCACCACAGCACUAUAAAUCCUCACAGUUUAAACUUUAACUGAAUAAUGAACAAAACUGAAAAUGUAAACAGAAUUCAUAGUUUAUCCACCAAGACUGUCUGAGAUCUCCGCGUAUUGAGUCCAGUGUUCAGAAUCCAGAAUUGUACCUGAAAGGGGAAACAGAAGAGGGGGUAAGCUAUACAAGCUUAGUGUGAGAUCAAACUAACUAACCAUCGCAGAUAUAGUAAACCGAAAAAUAGUUUAGUAGCGGAACAUACUUACAGAGGGACUUAACAAAACAGACCAUAUGUAACUUUACAGUCAUAUGGCUCUGUUAAACACAAUACCCAAAAUUCUCAAAAGUCACAAACUUAGCCUAAGCCCUUUUCCAGAAUCUGAGUCGAUUGGGCCUUAGCCCAUCACACAAAAUUUCUUUAGGUACGAAUGUCUCAAGUCAAAUAUUGCAGUCAGAUUUCCCAGACAACCAGACAGAAAUGUUUCAGUCAAAUAGAUAUGGCAGUCACAGAAUCAAACAGAUGUAUAUGAGUGCGAAUGAGUUAUAAAAUAACCUACCUAUCCAACCAACACACCAUCUCCGUCCCCCAUCAAACCUCAAUAGAGCUGUAAGCUCAUCCAACCAAUCACUCCAAUUAGGACCUCGAAAAGCCCAUCCAACCUUAUAUCCCCUAUACAUUGUCCAUGACCCUCAGGAAAUUGAGACUAUCAAAAAGCUGUACAGUACCAUGCGGAUCCCGCGGUACAACCAUCUAGUAUAACUGCCAGAUCAGAUAUGUUACGCAGCAAAGCUAGCUUAUACUGUAUGUGUUAUGCGGUGAAUCACAGUACAGAUGUUCAAUAUAAACUGGCAGAUCAAAUAAUAGUAUGUAGCGUAGCUAACGUACAUGCGAUACAGUGCAAGGUGGUAAACCGCUAUAUCGUUAAUGAAAAUGUCCACGACCUUCAGGGUAUUGGGACUGUCUAUGACCCUCAGGGUGUUAUUAAGGCAUUCAGAAUGCAGAUCAACUGCCAGAUCGUAAAUCUCAUUUAUCUUCAACAUCCCACCCAAAAAGAUUUAUGCAAAUGUAUGUAUGUAUGCAGUUAAAUGUACACAAUCCUCAACACAAUCUUAGAUAGACAUUCAGAAACAUUCACUUGCAAUCAGUCAAUCAAUUACAGAAACAUGCACACUUGUGCACUCAGAUUCGAUACCUAACAUGUCACACUUCAAUCACAAACAGUACAUAAAUCAAGGUGAGAACAGAGUCAUAAUCGACCACAGAAAUUUUAGUCGAAAGGUUGGAACAAACAGAGAUCACGAAUACACUUAAAUCCUAAAAUCAAACUUGGCGAAAUAGGGCCACACGCCCGUGUACUCCAGCCGUAUGGAGUAAUCCAGGCCGUGUGGGGAUCUAUACGCCCGUGUAAGGAGUAGCACACGGCCGUGUGGCAGAGGCACACACCCAUGUGGUGCAGAGGCACGGCCGUGUGAUCAGGUCGUGUAAGAUCUGUCAUAUUUCGCUAAAUUCAAGUGCAGAGUAGACACGGUCGUGUAAAGGUGUCACAUGCCCAUGUGGCAAUCAGACACGGCUGUGUAUCUCACAACACACACCCGUGUAGAAUCCCUAAGCCCCAAAUUCGCUACACAACCGUGUGUCCCGAAACACACGCCCAUGUGAGAAUCCUAAAAUUCCCAAAUCGGUCACACGGUCGUGUGGCCAGGCCGUGUGACCCUAAAUUUCAAAUUCCUAAAUUCCCAAACUCACACGCCCGUGUGCCUUAGGUGACAUGCCUGUGUGGUUUUCGAAAAAAAUCCCCAAAUCAGCCAUACGCCCGUGUGGCCAGGCCGUAUGGUACCCAUAACUAGCCUGAAACCCUAAUCCCCAAAUCUACACGGUCGUGUGCCCAUGAGAAAUAAUAACUUUUAUAUUGAGCUCCAUUAUGAAAAAUGAGUAAGGGAUCCAUGAAAUGGUAAGUUCAUGAUAGUUGGAAAUGAUAUUAUGAUAGUGAUCAUUAUAUUGUACCAAAAUAGAUUUGGACAGCAGCAUUGGUCCGACUUUGAAAAUCCACUUAAAAUAGUGGAAAUUGAGUUAGAAGCUUAAUAAAAUAUGAAAUUAAAUCUUAAUGAGUCUAGUUUCACAUAAAGGAAAUGGUGAAAGCAAAAGAAUUCUGUAUCAUGAUAUAUUUGAAUUCUUGUGAGAUAGAGUCGGAGUGAUUCUAGACUCCCCUAUCUCAAAUUUGGAAAAUCACUAGAAAUUGUACAAAAAUAAUUAUGAGUUAAAAUUUAUAUUUCUGAAAUCAUUAAUGAGUCUAAUUUUAGGAGAAAGAGACAGGAACAUUAUUUGAGUCUCGUACUAUGAGAUAAAUAAAUUUAGUGAAAGAAGGUCGAAGUUGUCAAAUAGAGAAAUAUGGGAGACUUUGAAUAAUAAACUGUACUUAUUGGCUAGACCAAAAAUUCUGAAAAUAUUAUGAUUUUCUAGUAAAAUUAACAGAUCUUAAUUUGAAGUUCCGUAACUUCAGAUAUAAAUAAUUUAAUGACUGUGACUUGGGAAAACAGCUUAGCUGGAAUUUGAAUAAUUAGAAAGAAUAUGAAAAUAGCAUGUUAUCGCAUUACUUAUUAUUUUCAUGCGAGUUUACUAAGUGAAAAGCUUACUCCCUCCUUUUCAUUUCUUUUAGUUUUGUCAAGUCAGCUCAGGGUUAAAGAUCGUCAGAGGUAGCAUCACACUAUCGAGCCAUUAUCCUUGGAGUAUGGGCAUGUGUAUGUUAAAUGUUUUCAUGUGAGUGGCAUGUAUAGGGACUUAGUUUCUCUAUGAUGAAUAUUGUUGUGAUUAGCCAAAGGUAUUGGUUUAUAUUAAUUUAUUAUUUAUAGCCAUGAGAUAUGGCUUAUAAUGAUUUUGGCUUGUAAGCCUAUUUAUCCAUGAUAUGUGUUAAUGUCUUGUGAUGUAGUUAUGUGGUUGUGCUUGUUCACUAUGUAUGAGAAGUAUAUGGCAUAUGUACAUGAUGAAUGCCAUUGAAAUCGUGUAUUUGUGUGUAUGUAAAGAUGACAAAAAGGCUUGGAAAUUAGCCUAAGUCUUGACCGCAAGGGUAGAGACACGGCCGUGUGUCUCAGCCGUAUGGAGGACACGGCUUCUGGCCACGGGUGUGUGCCUUGGCUGUGUGCCCUUAAACGGUUGCUGACGUCAUAAACAGAGAGUUACACGGGCUAAGGAUAUGGGCGUGUUCCAAGCCACAUAGACGUGUACGACCACACGGCCCAACCUACACGGGCGUGUAACUCUCCAAAGCUAGAAAAUUGUUAAGUUGCCCAAAGACUUUCAAAAGUUCUCGGUUUAGUCCCGAACCACCCCGAUAUAUGUUAUAGGCUUUAAAGGUCUGUAUAAGGGACAAUAUGCAUGUGUUUGAAAAGUUUUAAUUUUGGGCGAAAUUUGGUAACCCGGUUUUGUAUAUUUGUGAAUGUUUAAGUCCGGUAACGCCUCGAACCCUGUCCCAGAGUUGGAUACGGGUGAAGGGUGUUACAAGUUGGAUGAAUUGCUUUCAGCAAAAGUAUAUACAAUAAGGAGUUUUCAAUCAUGGUACUUCUUGUAGACUGACUCCAUGAUUAAGUAAUUACGAAUUAUCUGAACGAUGCUUUUGGACAUAAUUACAAUCACUAGAGCCUAAUUGUAUAUAUCCGAUUGGUCCUUCAGCUAGCUCAACAAAAGCUCGAUCGAACUGCAUUUGAAUGAGAAGAAAAUUCUAUGACUUUGGGAAUAAUUUAAUUGAGUCAAUUUAUUCGAUGUGGAAUUAAAUUAUGUGGUCAUGAGAAUUGUUCAACUAGAGAAUUUGAUUAAAUAAUUUUCUUAAAAAAUUAAUUUGGAAAAUCAGAGUGAUUUUUGGAAAAAUUAAUUUUGAUUAUGCAAAAUUAAAUUAAUCAAAUUAAUUAAAAUAAAUAUAAUGUUUUUGGAAGUUAAUUUUCAAGUCAGACAAUUGGCUUAAUGGAUAAUUGAACUUGAAAAUUGGACCUAAGAUCGUAAAUUGGGCUCGGGAGCCCAAAAUUGAUACUAAGACCCAAAAACUGGUCGAACUAGGCCUGGUAUGUGAAAAUAGGCUAACGAUCCAACCAGUGGCUAGACUGAACUGGUCCAGUUGCCAUUAACCUAAAUUGAACCGGUACCAGCCGAACCGGCUCAGGGUGCCAUAAGGGUGUCACACCUAAUCACCAAAUACCGCGGUGCCAGUGGCUACGACGGUGGCGUCCCGGUGGCUGACAAUGGUUGGUAAUCGGUGGUUGAGUUGUAGAAGGGUUACACUCCUAUUGUGACUCUACCAAAAAAUUUAAUUUCUGGUUAAUUAUUCCAAAAAUAAUAUUAUUUUAAUAGUUAAUAUUAAAUUUAAUUUAAUACUUAUCUUAAUAGUAUUUUAUUAAUAAUAUUAAAGUGAUUAUCUUAAUAUUUAAUUUAAUUUAAUGUUUAUCUUAUAGAUAAAUAUUAAUCUUACUUUAAUCUAAUUAAAUAUUGGAUUAAAUUCAAUAUUAAAGUGAUUAAGUUUAAUCAUAGUUGAACUCUCUAAACUCUCCCUAUAUAAAGAAAGCUUUCGUGACAUGUUCUGUAAUGCCUUUAUGGCAUAUUCGAUGAAGUCUGCGUGGCUUAUUCUGUGUUAUUUGUGUUACGUAAUCUGUAAUGCCCUUAUGGAGAAGUCUGGUCUAAUGCUUCUGUGUCGUGUUCCGAGUAAACUUCGAGACUUCUUUGCCAACUAAUGUGAUGAUAGAGAAUUGGUAAGUUUGAUGAUCUCUUAGCUUUGCUGGUCUUAUGACAGAAUUUGAAUGUGAUUUAAUUAAAACUUCUAAAAGAGUCUCCAACAGUGUUAUCAGAAUGGUGAAUUCGCCAUAUUAGUCUGUCAGUAUAGGAAAUUUGGUGUAUUUUAAACUAUGAAUAAGUAACUGAUCGACAGUCCUAAGUUCGUCUACGCUAUUUAAGGGAGUAAUUUGAGCUAUCUAGUAACCGCCAAGUCUGAAUUAUUUUCACGUCAUGUAUAGAGGUCAUUUGGAAUCUAAGUUGUUUUGUCAAGUUGGGCGUUCUCAUGAUUUGUAACAUAGUUGUAAGGAAUUCUUUAAAGCAAUUUAGAACGUAUCAUUAUCAGUUUAAGUUAUGAUUUUUGGGUCGAUUUGAGAUACAAUCUGAUUGGUAUUAUGAUAAUUAGCAGAAUCAGUAUGAGAAUUUGCCAAAGGUAAGGUCAUUAUUGAGUUCUUCUUAAAAGAUCAGUUAGUUUAAUUAUUCGAAAAAAAUCAUAUCUGUGAGAACACCAUCUUGGGUAAAGUAUUUAGUGUUCAUCUGAGUGAGAAUCCAUCGAAAGAGGUUCUAUUUUUUAUAAUAGCCCGAUUUUUUAGUGGUGUCAGAAACAGUGGUUUCGAAGCCACCAAAUCCGGCGAGUAAGUUCGUAAAUAUUAUUAUUUAAUAUUUACGAGUCAAAUAUGAUUUUAAAAAGGUUUUUGAAUUGGUAAUUUAUAUUUUAUAAUGAUUUAUUAGGUUCGAGUGGUAAUACCUUAGAUCAAGUGGUUUUACAAAGUGAGGUAUCUGGACCUCAUUUCUAUAAACUGAGCCGUAAAUAUUUUUAUAAAUAUUUACGAAGUGUUAUUAAGGUGGUAUUAAAGUUCCGUUAAAAAUAUUUAACGUUUCAAUACUUAAUUAAUUAACAAAGACUAAAUUGAAACAUGUACAAAACUUACUAAUUAUAAUAAUUUAAGUAAUUAAAUGGCUUGAUUAAUAAAUAUACCUAAAUUAAAAUGAUGAGGCGUCAUAUGAAGAUAAAAUAAUAAAAUAAAGUGAUGGAAUUGCAAAAUGGUAAUUUUGAUGAAAUUAAAACAACAAAUUGAAUUUUAAAACUUUCUAUGCAAUUCAUCUUCAAUUUCGUCCUAAACCGCCAUAGGAGAGAGCUUUAAGCUGGUUUCUCAUAUUUUUGCUUCAUGUGAGUUCAAUUCUUACCCGUUUCUUGUAAUUUCUAUAUUUUUGAGAUUGUUGCAAUUAGGUCUAACUAAACUUUAACUUCGCUUUUUAUUUUAUUAAAAAUUUUGGAAGUUUCCAUUGAUAAAUAUUAUAUUUUUUUAUGAAUAACAUGGAUUUAGAGCUUUUAUUUUGUUGUAUAAUGAUUCUAUAAAGUGAUUUUGUUAAAUACUGAUUUUAGGAUUAAAUUGUGAAAAGGUUAAAAUAUUAGGGUUUGAUAGUGAAUUUUGGCUUUAUUAGGGGCUGUAUGAAGGCCUAGAAUAUUUGGAUAGAUUAUUGAUUGAGAAAAUUAGUUAAUUUGAUAGAUUAAUUAAUUAAGGGAUUAAAUUGCAAAAAUUGAAAAAGUUUGGGAUAAUUACGUAAAUUUGAAAAAUAAAAGGGUAUUAAUUGUGAAAUGAAUUGGAAAUGAAAUGUAUGCUAAUAAAUGAGUAAUUUUUAUGUUCUAAAUCAAGAUCCCGUAGAUACUCGUGAAAAAGGAAAAAUAGCGAAAUAGUCCCUGAACUUCUACAAUUACUACAAAUCAAUCCAGGUAAGUUCGUACAGUUAAAAUUUAAUAUUUUGUAUAAAUUUAUGAAUGAUAUUAUGCAUUUAUUCUAUUGCUAGAAAUGAAUUUUGUUGGAAUUAUAAUAUUGAAUUGGAUAUUCGGUUUGAAUUAAACGUGGGAUUUGAGUACAUUCGUAAUUUGGUGUAUAAUGGUAUUAGAGGGAGAGACCAUCAUUUUACCCAAGUAAAUCAGAGUUCAGCAUUUGUUGCAAACUUUCGUGUUUUACUUUCUGUUUGGCGUAAUUGGGUGGAUCAACUCUUAUGAGCUUCUGUUCAACUCUUACGAACUUCUGUUUAGCUUUCGAGCUUCUGUUAACGAUGUACUCUUAUUCGUAAGUCGUUCUUCGAAUGGAGAAAUUUCAGUAAGGUGAUUUAUUUAUUAAAUUUGAAAGAUAUGUUAUUUAUUUGUAUUGAUUUGAAUACGGAUGUAUUUAUCGAUUGAUGUUGUAAAUGACAGGGAAUUGUCAUGGAUGAUUUUUAAUAUCUAAAUUAAUUAUAGUUAGUUCGGUAAGAUUUUUGUUUAACCAGUUGAACUUACUAAGCUUCGUUAAGCUUAUUUGUAUUGUUUAAUGUCUUUGUAGAUUUUCAAAAGGUUGGACGACCAAAUCGGCACUCAAGUCACAUUGUCCAGCUUAUCUCGGUAGACUUUGAAACGUUAAAUACAGUUUAUAUGGCAUGUAUAGGCUUUUGUACGGUCUUGUUCAAAGUUUAAUUUAUAUAAAUAUUAUGAAUAAUAUUUUGUUUAUAUAAUCAACCUACAUAUUGGUAAGAGAUUAAGGUAUAAUUGUGAUGUUAGUAUAAGUGAUAUAUGUAUGUAUGUAUUUGAAUUAUAGUGAAUUUUGGUAACUUGGUUAUGUAAAUUAAUUAGGUAAGUUUGGAUACUUGGUUGACAUAUUUUUAAGUUGUCAUUUGAGGUGCCUAAAGGCAUAUUGGUUGUAUGUGGUGAUAAUACAUGUUUAAGAUUUUAUUUUAGCUUGUGUUCAAUACUUUGUUAUGAUUUGUUGAUGUGCAAUUUGUUGAAGCUAGGUUGGUGUAAUGCCUUGGAUUUUAAGUCUGUUUUUAUGAAAUCUAACACAAAUAUUUAUCUGCUUCUGUGGUUUAGUGUUCUGGAUGUGUGUAUGAGGUCUUGGUUUCAAGUCCCACAUUUGGAAAUUUUGUUAUUUUUAAUCCAAGCCUUAUCCCUAUUGGGUGGGCUUAUAUAAAAUUGUCUGUAAAUCCAUAUUAGAAUGAACCUGCUGGUUCGAGUGGUAAGGAGUUAGAUUGAUAAAGGUCUUGUGUUUGAAUCCCGGUGCGAGCAGGGGUGAUAAUUUUUUAUUCGGGUGACUGAGAGAUUUUGGUUUGAGCUAAAAGUCUGAGGUAGUUGGAUGUGGUUAGUGGGUAGGAUAUUGAGGGAUUAGGUUGUUAAUGGAUGAGGAGGGGAGUUAAUCCAAAUUUGUAUUUUAUUUUAUUUUAUUUUAUUUCCUAUUCUCUUUCUUUCAAAAAAUAUUCGACGUAAGUUUUUGCCUUUUCCAUUUUUCUAUUUUUCUUUCGUUUUCCCAUUUUUGUUCUUUGCGUGCACUUCAGAAUUUCUGUGUUUUACGUGCAAUCAAGUAAGUGAGGGCUUUCACUUGUCGAUAGGUUUCAAUUUCAGUAAACUAUUUGGGUUUUUCUUUUCGUUUGAAUUCUGAAUGUGUAGUAAGGGAGGUUAAUUCUCUGUAAACGUAUUGUGUAGGAGAAUACGGUGAAAAGGUGGUUGUCGCACCAACGGUCUAAUCGGUGCAUGUGAUCGAGUUUGGAAGUGGUAAGUGUGUACGCAUUGCUCAGUUUUGUAUGGAUGGAUUUGCAAUUUGAUUGCUAAAAAAGUUUUGGGUAUUCUGUUUUUAGGUGUCGGUGGUCUCGGGAGUGGUUUCGCAUCAAAACUGAAUCAAGUAUGUACUCCUAACACGAAAAAUUGAGCUUCGACGAAAGCCAAAAAUGGAGUAUAUUGAUGCCACACGAGCGUAUGGCAGGCCAUGUGGUUGAUAGUGUACGAGACACGGCCAUGUGACCAACAAAGGCGUGGCCUUGCACAAGACACGACCGUGUGGCAGUGUGAGUGUGGCCGUGUAGACCAUAGGGUUAGGCCAAGUUGGCAGUGUGAGCCUACACGAGCGUGUGGGUUUUAAGCCAGGUCCUGUGGGCCACAUGGGUAAGGCUAAUCUGGGUGUGUGGGCUCACACGGACAUGUGGGCCCAAAAUUUUAAAAAUUUCCCUAGGGCCACUCUAGUCGUUCCAAUCGAUUGUGGGCCUACCGUAGAGUCGGUAAGGGCUAAUCAAACCCUAUUUCAUGUGAUUUGAUAUUCUGAUAAACUGAUCUAAGUAGGAUACUGAUAUGUAUGUCUGACUGUACUGUUUAAGUAUGUAUCUAUCUGUAUUCGAGCAUGUUAAGCAUGUUAAUUCUGAUAUUUCUACAUCUGUAUUAUGUAUCUAUGUUUGGGUUGGGAAUUGUAUAUGUGGAGGAAGUGAUCUGUUUGGCGACUCUUCGCCUAUAUUCUGGCAGCUUGUCUAUAUAUUAUCUAUUAUGUGUCGCAUCGACACUAUAUGGUCUGUAGGGAUGGGUGGGUGUUCUUAACCCCAUGUGUUGUGAUGGGAUGGACGGAGAUAGUGUGUAGAGGAUAGGGGUAGGAUUCUGUUUAUCUGUUCUGUACAUCUGAUUUUGAUAUUUAUUUCUGUGAUGGACUUAGGUUCGGAUCUAUAUAUGACAGUAUAUGAAACUCUGUAUAUAUUGCAUAUCUAUCUCUAAUGGGUUACAUACUGAGUUUACGUAAACUCACAUAUGUUUGUCUGUUCUAUUCAGGUAAUCCACAGGCAUAAGCGGGUCGGUACGACAGAGGCUUAACGGUGACCACUCGAUGGGAAACUGUUUUCAUUUAUUGUUAUUUCAUGGUUUUUACUUAAACUUUCGCCUUUCAUGAAAGUUUUGUAAUUUUUGGACUUUCCUGACUUUUUGGACUGUUUGGUUUAAAUUUUUGGUUUGGUUACGUUAUAAUUUCUAAACUGGGACGAUUUGACAAAAUAUCGAUUACACACGAACAAAUGUUAUUUUUGAAAACACGAGCGUGGUUUUGAUUUUAAUAGUUUUUUAAACUUCCGUUGCGAAAAUGAUUUGGUUAACUUUAAAGGAUAAUAUAUAAUAGUUUUAGUAAUAAAUAUAUAAAUGAAAACGAUUUAUAACUUGGAUGUUUUAUCGAAAUAUCAUCAGUUUCAAAACCUUUUUUCGUAACACUCUCAGAUUUGACCAUAACGUCUAGGUCGGGUUUGGGGUGUUACAAUUGGUGUCAAUUUGGGUGAGAAAUGUGGCUUAGAAAAUGACAUAUUUUUGUCCACACGGGUAGAGACACGGGCGUGUGUCUCAGCCAUGUGUGACACACGGCCAAGUGACAUAGUCGUGUGUCCCCUAUAUCUUCUUAAGAAUGCAAGUCAGCAUGCUCACACAGCUUAGCACACAGGUGUGUGACUUGGUCGUGUAACCCAAGUUAGAGAGUUACACGAGCACGGACACGGGCUUAGACACGACCGUGUGUCCAUAUUUCAAAUGCCCACACGGCUUGAGACACGGGCAUGUCUUCUAACCGUAUGAGUCACAUGGGCUAGCUACAAGGCCAUGUGACCCCUAUAAUGCUGAAAAUUUUAAAUAUUUCUGAACAGUUCUCUAAGUUUCUGAUUUAGUCCCGACUUGUUUCUAAUAUGUAUUUCGGGGCUUGAGGGCUCGUUUAAGGGACAAUUUAUAUUAUUUUGAUUGGUUUUAUUACGAAUACUGAUAUGUAAUGCAACGUUUGAAAUUUCUGUCUGAUUGAUUCGUAAAACUCAAUAAUGCUUUGUAACCCUAUUUCGGCGACGGAUACGGAUUAGGGGUGUUACAUUUGGAAAUUCUUCUGAGGAGUACAUUUGUUUUCCAAGUAAGGAAAUAAGGUCUGUAUUAAUUUAUGAAAUCUAAUAUCUGUCAAAAGGGUGAAUAGACUAGUCAAGCUUAGAAGUGGAUGAAUAUGUAUACACCAUUGUGAGAAAGUAUCUGUCAAAGACAGAGAUGAAAUCUAAAGCCUUCAAGAUGGUGAAUUCAAAUGGAAUUACUUCAAGGUAAUUUGGAAUUUAAACACUAAGUUCGUUUGAACUUACAGGUGCUUGUUUAUAUUUCAGGUUCUGUUGUAAGAUUGAGCGUCUAGAGGGACCAAGCCAGAAAUGCGUCAGGGUAGUAGCAAGUUGGGAUAUUAUGCAUACAGAGGACAUCAUAGGUGUAUGGCAUAUAGUACCCUACACCAUAAAGAUUCUGUUUUAAAUAAAAUUUUAUAUUGUAACAUAGUUUACUAUUUAGUACUGGAAUGCAAUUCUUUAAUAUCCUAUUUAUAUUAAAGAAUAGUUCAAAAGAAAUAAUAAAUAUUUUUUAAAUAAAGUUUUCGAUGGUAGUCUGAAUUUAUUUUAAGUGUUUUGUGUUGUAACAUCAAUAUUUUGAUUUGGUAGUUUGGGUUGGGUAGAAGGUGUUACACUUUGCCACAUGAUCCUUGAGCUGAACAUGCCUUGAUUCCAGCUCUGUGGUAUGCCCAUCAUCUUUCUUGAGGGUCUCUUUCACAUCACUUAUAAAGCCCUCAAGUUUGGCAACCCUGUCAUCUAAAGCUAAUAGCAUAUCCCUCGAUUGGCUUGCUUUCUUAGCCCUCCUACAAGUCUCCAUUGGCUCUUUCUCGUCUACGCCUUCUGACAUCCCAAACGGUGUCUUUGUAACCUUAGCUCGAAUACCAACUGUCACAAGCCUAAACCUUUAGUCUUACAAUUCGUGCGACCUUAGGCGAUUUUUUCGCUUCAAAUGCACCUAAGUUUUCCUAUCUCUCAAAAGAUGAGAAUUCUCCCGAAAAUUGUCUAAGCGAUACAUGUACGAAUGGGGAAAAAUUUAUUAAAUUCCAUUCACUGGAGCUACCAAUUUUCAAGUUUAGAAAAUCAAUCAACUUGCAACAACUUUUUGAAUGGGAUCUAGACAUUUUUGGGUUAAGAUAUCUCACAAAAUUCGAAGAUCUAUCUCUUAAUUUUGAAACGCACUUUGAAUCACUAGAUUUUGAGUUUGAGAACUCAUAUUAUGAUUGUUUUAAUGAAGACUGCGUGAGCAGAAUUUCUAAAUAGGAUUAUUAUGGAAAUUACGAGUUUCGUACUUUUAAUUUGAAUUCAAAUCAUAUUGGGUUCGAUUUUUAGCUUAAUUUUUAUUACAUAUGGGCCCAAUAUUGUAUUUAUUAGGUAUUAUUAUUUUAUUAUUUAUUUAUUCCAAAAAUUUUUAUAUUUUUAAAUAUUUUAAGUUAUUUAGGAAUUUUAUAUUUCUUAAUUAACAAGAAAGUUAAUUUAAACUAUUUCUUAUUUAGAUUAAUUAGAGUUUCAGUAUUCUUUAGAGUUUCAUUUGGUAGCUUAUAUAAAGACCUCUUUAUUGUUCAUUAGAGACACAAUUGUAUUCAUUAAUAAAGUUUUCAACUUGGGAGUUAGUUUCUUUGUGCAAGAUUUUUUUCUUAUAAUUUUUAAUAGUUUUUUUUCUCAUUUUUUUUCAAGGACUCAUGGGAAUUCAUUCUCCAUACUUCGAUUUGCCAAGAAUUAUUUCUUGUUGGAGGGUUUAUUAAAGUCAUUAAUUGAGUUUAUUGGGAUUUAUAUCUCAAAUGGUUCAAUUGGACACUUAUCCAUCUAUUCAUUAUAUCCAUCAGUUACUCAUUCCAUCUCCCACUUUGUUUGUUUUUUUUCUAAUUUUUGUAUAUUUAUUUAUUAUUUGUUCUUAAAUCUCUUAUUUUAGUUAUUUUUGUUUUCGUUGUUUUUCUAAAUUUAUUUGGUGUUUUCUUUUCAGGUCAAAUUCAAAUAUUUUUUUUGAGUCGAACAACUUGAAUAUGAUCCUCCUUUUGCCUCUUUUACUUCACUCUUUUAUCAUUAAGGCAUCGAAAAAUAUAAUGGAAGCAACUCGAAAUGAAAUAAGCAACAAAGUAUUGAAAAACCACAAGAAAACAAUGCAUAUCAAGUGUUUGAGUAAAUGCUCUCAAUAUAUUCUUAACUCAAGAAUAAUUGAAUAUAAUGGGAUGAAUACAAAUGAAGAUGGAGACUUCUAUUUAUAGUUGAGCUCCCCAAAAUCAACGGUAGAGAUUAAAUUACAUCGACGUUCAAGAUUAAAGUUUAUAUACAAUUGAGAGUUCUAAAGGAUUUAAACUUUAUAUAAUCUUAUCCAUUUAGGGUUACCUUAUUUACCUUGGUAACUCUAGUUUGACUGAAGUGUUUCACUAGACUACCAAGACUUUAGAUAGGUUUCUCCAUUAAUUCCACGAGUCAGGCUAGUUUAAGCUGGUUAAAUGAGUCAUAUUUAAUAAGCUAAGUUGACAUUUAUGGAGUGUUCUAUGUGCAAUAGUCACAGGUUUUGAUCCGUAGUCCGUGACAUAAACACCUUGUUGCAUACUAGGUUGCACCAAAGGUGUUAAACCAGAAAUAUGGCAAGAAGAUAGAUGUGUGGAGUGCUGGUGUCAUUUUAUACAUUCUUCUUAGCGGAGUGUCUCCAUUUUGGGUUGAUAUGUACGUGGAAACUUAUUUUGUUUUUCAGAUACGUUCUUUUGGUUGUGAUACCUCUUCAACUGUUGAUGAUAAUUUUGUUGCAGAGACUGAGAAAGAAAUAUUUAAAGCGGUUUUAGAAGGUAAUCUUGACUUGAAAAGCUUGCCAUGACCAUCUAUAUCUGAAGGUGCAAAGGACCUCAUCCGAAAGAUGCUAGCAAGAGAUCCUAAGAAACGGAUCACUGCUGCUGAAGCUCUAGGUAAAAACAUUAAGCUUUCUGUAGACAAAACCCUUCAAAAUAAUGAAAAAAGGGAAUAGUAGGAUUGGCAGCAUUGAACAUUGGUUCAUCCUUACUAAAGAACACAAUUAUUAGAUAUGUGCCACUAAUGUUUACAUUUUGUGAAUAUGAACCAGAACAUCCAUGGGUGAAGAAGGGUGGAUUGAUAGUGCUGUCCUUAGUAGGUUGAAGCAGUUCAGAGUAAUGAACAAGCUCAAUCUAUGAUAAAUUUACUCGACCAUAAAAGCACAAAUUUCUUUUUCUCUGUUUUAUGUUCCCUCAAGCUGAUAUUUUUGUCUGUAAAUAUGGUUUGUGGAAGGUGAUAUCAGAAAGCCUAUCAACGGAAAAAGAGAUCAAGUGCUUGCAACAGAUGUUCAAAAACAUCGGCACUGAUGGAAGUGUUACAAUAACACUAGGGGAACUCGGAUGGAUUAGGUCGCUUGGGAUCUAAGUUAACUGAAAAUGAAAUAAAGCAACUUAUGGACGCUGUCAGAUUUUAUCCAAUUAUAUAAUCCCUUCCCUCCACCAUCCAAAUUAUGUUAUUUAUAUAUAAUAGUAACCAUUUCCAUAAUAAUGAAACAAGCUGCAACUUCCGAAUGCCUAAACCCCAUUCUGUCAGGCUGAUGUUGACAAUAGUGGAACUCAUUGAUUACAUCGAAUUCAUAGCUGCUACAAUGCAUCGACAUAGGCUUGAGAGGGAAGAAAAAAUAGUCGAGGCUUUUCAGUUCUUUGACAAGGAUAACAGUGGGUUAGGAUAUUGCACUAUUGCUUUUUUCAGUUUUGAACAUUAUAUUACUUGAUUGAUUGACUCUGCCUAUUAUUCUUCUUUUCAUUCAGGUUUAUUACAAGAGAUGAACUAAGACAAGCUAUGACACGGUACGGAAUGGGAGAUGAGGCUACAAUAGAGGAUGCUGAUACUGAAAAGGAUUUUCGUUUGCUUCUUUUAUUUAAAACAAAUAGUUUGUUUGUUAGUGUUUUUUGCUUGACAUGAUCGGUUGGAUACGAUGGGAGGAUCAACUACGAGUUUGUAGCCAUGAUGAAAAGGAGAACUCAUGAUGGGGAUUGCAAUUGGCAAAUGAACAACUAAGGGCUUUCUUUAGUCGGCGAUGGCUGCUCCAUUUGUUGUAAACUUAUUUCCAUCUUCAAUACUCCUCAUCUAUUAUGAUGCUGAAGCUAAACAAUUCAUUUCGUUUAUUUGGAUGGGAUUAGAUAACAAUCAUUAUUACCAAUAUUAUUAUAAUUGGAUUGAUUUCUGGUGAUAUUAAAUGGAUUUGAUCGACUAAGCGAGUCACUUUCUGGGUUGAUAACUUACAUUUGCCAAUUUGGCACCAAAUAUGCUUGGUUACAAGUUCAGCAAACUGCCAUGGAGGCAAUGCAAAGGAACAUUUGUUUCCCCCCUUCAAUUCAAUGUUCAAUCGACGCCAACAUACAAAGGAACACUGCAGUAAAAUCGAACUUUGAUUUCCUUUAGUUUUUCCUCUCAAUUUUCUCAUCAACCAACUUCUGGAUAUGCGGGAAUCACAAUCGAACAAGGCUAACGCAUAAGCUAAGAAAUGAAUCAAUUUUUAUAAGACCAAAAUACAACAUUUGUUCUUCCUUGAAAGGAUAACCAAAUUCAAAAUUAGAGAGAGUAAAGAAAUGAAUCGAUUAUCACCGACCAUCUCCCCGCUCCUUCUGAAUCUGAUGCCUCUGCUUUUCCGCUAGCUUCUCCAAUGCAGAUUCAACCGCAUGACGCCCACCGAUAAGCAAUCGGGUCACAACUUCCGGAUCCUUCUCGAAGCGAGCUUCAUCGAACUCCUUCCUUGCAUUCUCUCUCAAUAUGUCUCUCCACAGAACGCCCCGAGAAUCGGGCCACAUGAAGAAUCGGGUGGCUCGAAGGAUGUCGCGGUAGAGACUCAGUACCUCUCGUCGAGUGCUGGUGAGGCGCUGUCGGUUCAGCGACUCUUCUUCCUCAUCCUCUAGGGAUUUCUCCUUCACAACGUGUCUGUCAAGAAGCUCUUCCACGGUGUCCGGACCAUUGUGUAGAAAACGCUGGAGGAAGACAACAUUGUUUCCACAUACGAUAGUUAAAUUUGGACAUUUUCGUAGGUAUGCGAUCAUCCUUUUUACUUUAUUUCUCUGACAAGCUUAUUUUCCGUGCUGUUUGACAACCAUAAAUGGUGGAGUUCAACACGAAACAAUUCUUGUUUCAGGCCCAAAAUAAUUCUAAGCUUUGAUCCAUAUAUCAUUUUUUAAGCAUUAGGACUUAAACGUACCAUAUUUAAGGGAUAAUAACAAAUUUAACCCUAACCCAAUAACUAUUAUAAAACAGUUAAUAGAAACCUCAUAAACACUAUAGAAUCGAAAGGAAAGUAAAAAGAAAUAUCUGGGAUUGGAAAAGUAUACUAAAGGAACAUAGUCGAGCAAAGCUGCUACAAAAUUCUUUUCAUUUUUGCACACCAACAUUAAUUAUCAUCCAAUACCGCUUUUUUAUUCCUUUUACAAACAAAUUUCCACCUUAACUCAGAUAACCUACCCCCCAAAAUGACAUCUACAAACUACACUAAAAUGAAACUUCCCAAAAUUAAACACACACACAAUAACCUUUUACCUGUACAAUUUUGCAAAAAAAAUAAUUGUAAACACAAACAAAAUAGCAAAAUUAUUGAAUUUUGAAAAGGAAAAAAGAAUUAAGCUGACCUUGCCUUGGCUCUAAGCUGGAAUCCAAAGUACCAAGGAUUACAUACAACUAGAAGUACUAAGUAACCAAUUCAGCUUAAAGGGAAAUUCUUUAAAAAAAAAUUGUAACUUUUGAGGAACUAAGCAAAGAAAAGGAAAGGGAUAAUAAUAAAAGAAAAAGAAGAAGAAAAAACAAAGAAUAAAUGGAAUAAUGAAAAAGGGGGCCACAAGCAGUAGAAGAACAAAAUGAGUUAGGGUUUAUAAGACAUGAAAUGUGUAGUAAUAGGUUCUCAAACGGCAUUGCGCGCAAGGAUUUUAUUUGUCACCUUUAUUCAAAUAUGAAACUUUGAAAGAAAACUCAUUGUACGAUCAAAAAGGCAAAUAAACUGUGUUCCUUAUAAGGAAGAAAACAACAACAAAUAGUUAACAUCUUCUAAUGCAACACAAUAACAAUUCGUAACUACUUUGUAUUAUACAACAACCUCUUUGGUUCAAUUACAUCCCUAAUUCCAACCAUACCAUGCAUUUAGAUAUUACCUGAAUAUUUUAAUCAAAAUCCAUUUUCGAAUCAUCUACACACCAGCACACAAACAAUCCCAACAAAUUUCAUCGAUGAGUUCCACUCAACCAUUUUAAAGAAAAUCUACCCCAAUCCUUACUGAUGAGUGCAAACACCUAGCAGUAUGAAAAGAAAACACAAUAUGCAUUGAUCUAUGGACUGACUAAUAUGCACCACCUUAGCACCAAAUAAAAUACGAGGCUAACUGAAAAAAUCACAAAUCUUCCAUUCCAAAAAUGACCACAUUUGAUAUAUGCACGAAUGGAGUAAAAUUUAUUAAAUUCCAUUCACCAAAGUUAACAAUUUUCAAGCCUAAGAUAUUAGCAAACUUACGACGACUUUUUGAAUGGGAUCCUAACAUUUCUGGGUUGAGAUAUCUUCUAGGCGUUUGAAGAUCUAUAUCUCAACUUUGAAACACACUUUGAAUCACUCAAUUUUGAGUUGGGAACUCAAAUUAUGACUGUUUUAGUGAAGACUGCGUAAGCAGAAUUUUUGAAUAAGAUUAUAUCGGGAUUUACGAGUUUUCAGCUUUUAAUUCGAGUUUAAAUCAUAUCGGGUUCGGGUUUUUAGCUUAAUUUUUAUUAUAUAUGAGCCAAAUAUCUUUUAUUAUUUUAUUAUUCUGAAUUUUUAAUAUUUAUUAAGUAGUUUAAAUUCUUUAGGAGUUUUAUAUCAAUAAGAAAGUUUAAUUUAAAACUACUUGUUUAGAUUAAUUAGAGUUAUAAUAUACUUAAGAGUUUUAUUUAAAUUUAUUUAACUAGCCUAUAUAUAGACAUUUGCAUUGUACACAAAUCAGACAAUUGAUAAUUAUUAUAUUUCUCUUUUAAGUUAAUAAAUUAAGACUUUUACAUGCGAUGUUCUAUCUUUUCCAUCUAUCUUUUUUUAAUUUCUUCUUUGUUACUCUAAUCUUUGGUCUCAUUAUUCUACUUUACUCAUUUUGAUUAUUUAUUUUUAAUUGUUCUCUUUUUUUUUAUCUGACUGGGAUUCAUUUGUGUUUCAGGUUGUUUCAAAAUUCAAUUUUUUUUCAAAACAUCUAGAGCUCUAAGUCAAAUUCGCGACUUUAACAAACUUUAUGAUCCGCUUUUGCAUUCAUCUGCCUCAUUCUUUAUUAUUUGGUAUCAUAUUUGAGCAUUAUUAGGUGUUCUUUAUGUUUUUUAUAAAUUGAUUUCUAGCAAAUAGCCUCAAAACAAUUUUUUUACCCCGACAGUUUUUAAAAAUAUAUAUUUUUCAGUGGGUAAAUGUUUUUCAAAUGAUCUAAAAUUUUGCAUACUAUUUCUCGGUACUAUUUUAGAGUACAAAAAAAAUUUCCCACAAAAAAAGUGAUCGAAAAAGUAUAGAAAAAAUAAAAUAUGAAAAAAUAUAAAAAAUAAUAAGAAAAUAUUAUUUGGGUUGAGUUUUGUGUCAAAAGUUUCCAUAUCAGAUCUACAUUAUUUGAGGAGGCUCCAGUUUAAAUUUUGUGAUUUUUGGAAGUCAAGAACACCUCGAAUAAAGUUUGUCAAGUUGCUUCACAGUUUUUUAGGUUUUCAGGUUUUAACAAUUUUCAUUUACUCUUAGCCUUAGGGUUUUAUUUUCUUUAUUUUUUUAUUGUUCCUUUACGCAUUCUAACACUUUAUUGUUUCUUGUGUUAGUAAAUUAAAGCACGUUGCACAAUAUUUCCUCUAUGCAACAGAAUUCUUUGAUAUCUAGUUGUUUUUGAACUCAUAAUGCUAUUAGAUUUUCUUUGUUAGUUUGAUUCUAAUACAUUCUGAUUGAUUGAUGUAGAAACUUUUUAAAAGACUCACAAGAUUAAUUCUUAUCUCAUUGAGAAUUUAAUUUUCAUUUCUGAGUGCAUUAACAAGGUUUGCUUAAUUUUUCUUUUCUUGAAUGUUGUGUUCUUUUCAGACUUUCAUAAUGAUUCACAAUAUUAUAAUUAGAAAGUUGAGAAAAGAUCAAGGGGUUCGAAAUGCUCAAGAUCAGCAACGUAACACUAUUCUAGACACGAUCAACAAAAAUUUGGAACAUCUAAGUACCAAAAUUGAGCGUUGGAAUUGUAAUUGAGGAGAUAAGAUUGAUCAACCUUGUCUUCGUGCAAAUAAUACUCGACAUGUCUCUUAUGCAAAUGAUGAGACUUUGGUUAAUAGUGACUGUGGGCAACAUUUUUUUAGCUAAACUAAAAUUCAACAUUUCACAAUUCCAACUGAAGUAUGAUCUUGAAGCAUAUUGCGAGUAGGAAUCAAAAAUUGAACUUAUGUUUUGUUACUAUAAAUGUCGAAAAGAGGAAAAGGUCCCAUUGGCGACUCGUGAAUUUUCGAAUUAUGCGUUGAGUUGAUGAAUUCAACUUGGAAUUAAUCGUUAAAGAAACUACGAAAGAGUAAUUGCAACAUGGGAUGAGUUGAAGCAAGUGAUGUGAAAGCGUUACAUUCAUUCUCAUUACUAUAGAGAGGUCUCAACGAGACUUCAACGCCUUAUUUAAGGUAAUUGAUCUAUUGAUGAGUACUUUAAGGAGAUGGAGAUGCUUAUGCAAAGAGCAAAUAUACGAGAGGAUGACAAGACUACCAUGGUACAAUUUGUAGAUGGCUCGAACAUUUCGAUAGCCAAUACUCUUAGUCUUUAAACUUAUAUUGAUCUUGAAGAGAUGGUACAUAAGGCAAUUGAGAUUGGGCAACAAUUUUAGCAACAUCAAUCACAUCCAUUUGGCGCAUCACACAACACGUGGAACACAUUAUGAAUGCACUCCAACUCUGGAGGUAGAUCCAACCAAUAUUCCAUUAAUUAAACUCUCUCAAGUAUCAUGUAAAGUCCAAUAAAAUAGGAACUCAACUUUUCUAUGUGACCACACUAAAAGACUUUUUUUUCUUGACGACACUUUCAGAAACACGUUACCCUUAACAUUAAACUCAAUCUCCUUGCACUUCAAGUCAACAUAAAACUUUUUUCUAUCAAAUGUCGCUUUAAACCUAUCUCAGAUCAACUUGACUUUCUCCUUGGUCUUAUGGAUCAAGUCAAGAUCCCCCAAUUUUCUCAUGCUUAGCUUAACCCAAAACCAAGAUGUUUGAUACUUACAACCAUAUAGUGUCGGGAAUGGUGUCAUCUGAAUGCUUGUUUGAUAACUAUUAUUUUAGACAAACUCAAUCAAUUAAAAGGUGUCUCUCCCAACUACCCUCAAAAUCAAUAACACAACAUUGAAACAUGUCCUCCAAAAAUUGAAUUACACAAUCAGACUAUCCAUCAAUUUAAAAAUGGUAAGCAAUAUUGAAGUUCAACUUUGUACCCAGAACCUCAUGCAACUCUUUCCAGAAUCCAGAUGCGCAUAUUACGUCUCAAUUAGAUAUAAUAAAGAUAAGAACACCUUGCCUUCAUACAAUCUCAACAGUGUACAACUCGACCAACUUUUCCAAAGAGUAAUUGUUACGAACUAGGAAGAAGUGCGUUGACUUAAUGAGUUGAUAAACAAUUACUCAAAUGACAUCAUGCUUCUUUAGAGUAAGUAGCAAGCCCACAACGAAAUUCAUAGAUACUCAUUCUCACUUCUACUAUGGUAUUGUGAUAGGUUGUAACAAGCUCGAAGGAACUUGAUAAAAAACCAAACACUUUGACACAAACUCUAUUACCUCACAUUUCAUUCCAAGCCACCAAUACAAUUAUUUUAGCUCAUGUUACAUUUUAUUACCACUAGAGUGCAUGGCAUAAGAACUAUUAUGCACCUUAUACAAACAUGUCUGAACUUCGUAUUAUUCAACACAAAAAGCCUUUUUCUGAAACACAAUCUACCCUCGACAUCCAAAUCAAAACCACUCGGUUCGUUCUGUUUAAUUUGCCAAUCUUUAGCAAUCAAUUUCUCAUCUCCUAAUUGUUUCUUCCUAAUCUGCUUGGAUAAAGUCAAUUUAAUUCGAAUUUCCACCAAUAACUUACCCAUUUUCAAUACUUCAAACUUGACAUUCAUCAAUUUAAAGGCAACAAAGGACUUUCGAUUAAACGCAUUAGCGAUUGCGUUGCUUUACCAAGAUGGUAUUCGAUAAAUAAUCGUAAUCAUUUUAAUGCUCAACCCAUCGUCAUUACAUCAAUAUAUAACUUUCAAAUACAUUUCUUCCGAAACAUCGAUAGGAAGUACUCCCAAUUAAUCCUCCUUGCAAGCGUAGUCUAGACCACAAUGAUCCACCACUAAUAAGCCUCUCCUUCAGUAAGGAGACUACACACUGAACUCUCUCAGUAGAUGUACAUUCCAACUAAUCAAAUGACUCUUUUAGUCGUCUCCAACCAAUACUCUUUGCCCAUUAGGUAAUACUCUUUUAACCCUUCAAGUCCUUAGCACCAUAUUUCUGUAGUUUUUCAAAUGGUGCUCUCCUAACUACAACAACGAAUUGAACCUAAAGUAUUGCUCCAACAACCCUCUAUAACGCAUCAACCAUCGCACAUGGAAGUGUGACUUGAUUAGAUUUGUAACACCCUAAGCUCGGCCCAGAAGCCAAAUUGAAUCAAGAGUGUCACAAUGGUCGCUGGAGCGACCCGCUCAAUCAAACAUUCAUUUAAAACACAAUAAAAAUAUAUAUUUAAAUCCUUCAAGUAAAAACAAAUAAUAAAAUCAUUUAAUAAAAAUAAGUUCAAAAAAUUAUUUAACAACAAUAGCAAUACUUCCGAACGCACAAGGCAACUUGCACAAUACAAUAAAUAAUAUGGAGAUCUCUAUAAUGACAUGCCAACUAUGUCUAACUGACAAAUUUUACCAAAUUGUUUUAUAAUGAUAAAAACAAUUUAUGUAUACAUCCAAAAUCAACUUGAUUCAAUUUCACAAUAAAUUUUAAGCCAUUCAUUUAAAUUAACCACAAUAUUAAGACAAUUGAACUUUAGAGAUCACAAAUUGAAUUUUUCAAGCGUUCAAUGUUUAGAAGCGAGCAUUCCUCGAUGAGGUUUGUCUUCGUCAAUUCACUAAUCCACUAACAUAUUAAAGACCUUGACUUUCUUGGACUCAAAUUAAUCAAAAAUUCAACCAUACUCGUAUUUUUAAAGAUUAAAAACAUUUCAAUCGAGCCCAUAAUUAAUCAAAAUUAAUGUUAAUCUAAGUUAUUGAUUCAAUUUAAUCAAGAUCCCAACAUAUCACGUGACCAUUCAAUAAUGUAAUUAAUCUUUUGAAUAAAUUAAUAUAAUCAAAUACUUAAAGAAAAUUAAAGCCUAUCUAUUCAAUUAUCCUAAAUCAUAUGUAAUAGUUAGUCUAAUAAAUCAUCUCUAAACUAAUUCAAAAUAAAAUUCUAAAUGUAGCAGAUGUUAAGCAAUAUAGUUGGCAAGAAUGCAGCUGAUUUGGAGGCAAAGAGGCUCACGGCAAUACCAAAAAUUGAAGUGGGCAUAGCAGCAAACUGAGGGCAAAGCAAUAGCAAAAGUUUGUAGCAAUUUUUAGGAGAAACUAAGAGAAGCAAUUGUUGGUGGCAGCAAGGAGAACAAAAAGAAAAUAGAAUGGUAGGUCAAUUGGAGAUGAGGACUAAUUCAAUUCUACUUCUAUUUAUCAUAAUAAUAUAACACAAUAAAAUAAAUCCUAUUAAAAAUCUAGUAAAAAGAUCCUCAUUUAAUUAAACUAAAUAAGAAAACAUUAAAAGAAAAUUAAAAGAAAGGUUAAUUGCAAUAUUAGUCUCUCGUUAAUAGUUGAAAUUUCAAUUUAAUCCUUAAAAUAUAAUCAAAAUCCUACCUAGUCUCGAAAUUAAACUAAAUUUAUCAUUUCAUCCGAAAUUUCCAAAUAAUUUAUUAUAAAAAAAAUUCUUUUACUAAACUUAUCUUGAUUUAGUGUGAAAUAUGAUCCCAAAAAUUUCAAGACAUUAUAAAAUGUUCAAUGUGAAUUACUAAAUCAUUAUCGUACUUGGUGUUAACAUCAUUAGUAAAUUGCUAAACCAACCAAUGAUAAGUUAACAUGUAAAAUUUUCUUUUUCAAAUUAUGAAGUCUAAAUGGAUAAUAUAAUAUGUAAAAAAUUAAAUAAAAAACUAAAUUAAAUUAAAAUAUAUAUAACUAAACAUAUGAUUAAUAAAACAAAUUAAAAAUUAAACUUACAUAAGCUAAAACGUCACAUUCUCUGUUUAAGUAAAUGAUCCUCUUCAAAGAGUUUUUCAUUUGAAAUUAUUUUUUUAAUUGAUUUUUUUAAAGAAUUUUUUAGUCAUCACUAUUUACAUUUUUUUAUUCAUCAUAUGCUUAGUUAUUUGUUUUUUAGUUUAAUUUAAUUUAAUUUUUUAUUUUAUUUAAUUUUUCACAUAAUGUUAUAUUAUCCAUGUAGACAUUGAUGAUUUGGAAAAAAAUUUCUACGUGUCAAAUUUUAAUUGACAUAUUUAUCAAUUCAAAUAAAGGUGUUAACACUAAGUAUCAUAAUAAAAUACAUAUUGAUAGUUCAUAUACCAUAUUGGACAUUUUCAAAGUACAGAUACAACAUUGAACAUUUUAUGAAAAUACAAGUAUCAUAAUAAAACACAUAUACAUAAUUUAAGCACCACAUUAAACAUUUUAUAAAAGUACAUGUAUCAAAUAUGAGAUUAACAUAUUUAUAAAAAAAAUUAAUGUUAAUAAUAAAUGAAAUUUGGUUAAAUGGUAAAGUACAAAUGUUGGAAACUCUUGAGUCUUGGUUCAAAUCUUAUUUAAGUGUGCAUAUUUUACUCUCUCUUUUUUUUAUGUAAAAGAUAUAAAUUGGCAAAACACCUUCAAAAUAAUACAAUUUACUUUGUAAAAUAAUGGUGUUUUUGUCAUUAUCCAACUGAAUUGAUACUCGAUUGACUCAUGACACCAACUCAAUCGUGUAUUAUAUAAAUGAGCCUUCUCUGUAACAACAACUCUUUAUAACAUUUCAUCAUAACCAUUAAAUUUAUUGUAGAUCCGAUUUUUUUAUUUUUUAUAUUUUUCAUCUAUAACAACUUUCCAUCUAUAACAAUCAUAAAAUAUGAAAUACGCUCUUUACAAAAUUAUUUUUUUUACAACAAAUUAUCUCAAAUUUUAGUAAAAUUAGUUCUAUUACCAAGUGAAAGAAAUAUAAUAAAUUUUAAUUAAGCUAUUAAUUCAAUAAAAUAUUUAAAGUUUAUAUAGAAAAUAUAUUAAUAAUAUUUUAUUAAAUGAAAUGUUUAAUAAAUUGAACUACAUUCAUAAAUUUUAUUAAAGAUAUUAUUUAAAUCUCACUAAUUAAUAAUAUUAUUAAUAUAUUAUAAUUUUUUAAAUUUUUAAUUUUAAAUAUUUCAUAUAUAAUCUAUAUCUCAAAUGUUUUUAUAGUUGUACAACAAUUAUCUCUCUAUGACGUCAACAAUUUGAUAGGCAAAUAGAAUUGUUAAAGAAAAAGGUUGAUUGUGAUCGUAACUAGAAGAAACGUUUAAUCAACUCCUUUUAGAUUUUUUUUCCCCUUGGUUCAUCUCCUUCCAACUUUUUUUUCUAACUAAAAACAAAGUAGAAAAAAAAAACUAAAAUUAAAUCAUAUCACACCUACAUGGGUGUGAAUACAAUAUUUUUUAAACAUUUUAUGUUAAAAAUACUUUCUUUAAUUUAUACAAUUAUAAUUAUAUGUAGAAUGAUGAAGAACUUGUAUCUUAUUAAACGGGUGUUUGAUAUUCAAAUGUGUUUUUUAGUUCUUUUAUUAAAAGAAAUGGUAAUAGUCUUUUCUCGAUUAAGUUUGUAGGAAUUAACCCGUGACACAAACUCAAUGAGAGGUUUUAUAAUUGUUGAGGGGAGAUCGGUCUCAAACCCUCAAAAAGUGAAAAUAUUAUGCUCGAGAUGUCUAUGCUCUAUUUUACCCUCAAAUUGUUUCCCAACUUUGAAGAGAGCCCUACCAAAUUCACGAAGUUUAGGAAAUGCCUCACCAUCAAGGAAAUGUGAACAUUUGGCCUAGUUGGGGUUCAAACCCGUGCCCUUAUAUGGCAUUAGUGGGUAAGAACACUACCACCUAGCUAGCUAGGCUAGCCAAAUAGAUAAUCAAAUGUCGGUUUCCAAUACUAACUUAAGAAAAAUGAAAAUUGCAAACACAAACAGAUAAUCAAGACAUAAAGCAAAGAACAACACAUUAAAGGAAAAAUAAUACAGCAUAACAAGUAAUAUACUAUUAAAAAAUUUCAUCUCAAAAGAGAAGGAAAAUCAGAGUGAAACCACACGUAAAUGAAGAAACAAUCAAGAGAUAGAAAAAUUAUAUCUAACAACAACUAUACUAGGGGAGCAAAUGAUAGAAUUUUCAAUACAUGUCUCGCUCACGAAUAUGAUUCCUCAGUUCAAAUCAGAAAUCUUAGUGCUUGCAUUGCCAAAUAUAUGAACCUCAUGGUACUAAUAACCCUUGCAUACAAAGCAUCCCUAUUGCACUAUAUUCAUCUUUCAGCAAAGCCAACAGACACAGAUCAAAUUCCAUUUUAAGUUCUAACAAAGGAAAUCAUUGAAAAUAGCACUUAACAUGGAAGUAUAGAUGAAAUAGAGCAGGGGAAGUCUUUUUCUCACCAGAGGCACCAAGAAUAAUUAUUGAGCUAAUCUUAGUACUUGAGUAGCAUCUGAGCCUAAUCUUGUUUUUUUUUUUUUUAUAAAUAUUCUUUCAAUAUUUUUAACCUUAAAUUACUACUUUACUCUUAAUAUAUGUAUGCUUAAAACACAAACCCUAAAUUUUGUUGUUUAAAUAUAUAAAAAAAUUAUAUAUGAAAUGAAUGAGUUCAAACUUGAGCUCGGGUAUGUAUAUCAUGUAAACAAACUCAAACAAGCCGAGCUCAAAUAAUUUGAUUUUGCCUCAAGCUCAAGCUUCUAGAAUCAUAUACUUGAUCAAGCUUGAAUUGAGUUUUAAGCAGCUUCAAAUAGAUCUCAAGCUUCUCACUGUUCAAGAUCAGUUCAGCUUGAUUGCAACCCUAGUUUGUGGUUAGUGUUACAUGAAGCAGGCUCAUUAUUCCUGUUAUCUAGUAAUCACCUGUUGAAACUAUUUUGUGUAAAUGGAUUGAUGCCAACUAGUUGGAAUUUUCAAAUCAGGAGGGUAAUGAAUCCUGACAGUGUAUGCUAAACUUGAUUUUUUUUGGAUAAACUUUGCUUUUUUUAUUUAUCCAAAGGAAGCAACAAAAGCUGCUACAAGUGUAACAAUCAAUAAAAGAAACUCAUCUCGCAAAUGUUCUUCAAAUCUCAGGGAAUCACCUGACAAUAUAAGUAUCUACUAGCACAUGGUCGGUUGCUGAAGCUUCCGCUCAAGAUUUAUGGCAACAGCAUCAACGAAGUCUCCAGUGGUCAAGUAAAACUCUCUUGAUACCCUGAAUUCAAAAGAAGUAACUUGGUGACUUUAAAGCCAUAGCUUGGUUUUGUAUUACAAAGUGGUAGCUGUGAGAUAAGGAAGAGCCGUCCAAUGAAAGGUCACAUUGAGGAAGUAAAGUUCACAAUGGAAAAACAUCGACAGUGGAAAAAUAUCUAACAUCAGGAGAACGUGUAACAUACUUGGGGCCAUGGAUUAAAAUGGCGAGAUCUUUGGUCAUUUUUCCUGCCUCAACUGUCUCGAUGCAAGCAGCCUCCAACUUGUGAACAAAGUCCAGCAACCUUCCAUUUUUAUCUAGUUUGGCCCUGCGAGAGAGAUCACAACGAACAUCAAAUCAGAGCUGUACAAAUGUUAAAAAAGAGAAACAAAAACAGCUACGUUGUACAAACAAUAAAACAGAAAAUAGAACUUCAUAAAGUGACAUACAACUUUUGACCAAAACUAUUUUUUGAAUAUUCGACCAAAAAUAUUUGAUACAUCAACGGAAAGCAUAAAUACAAUCAACUAUUCAAUGGUGGAUCUCGAGGUUUGAUUUGGAGGGCCAAAUAAUAUCAUAAUUUAUAUCAAACUCCUUUUAUCACGUGUGUGUAUAUUUAUGUACAAACAAUAUAAUCUUAAGAACAGAAAGAAUAGAACUUUACGAUAGUGUCAACAUAGAAUAGAAACCAAGAGUAAAAAUAAAGGUGAAAAUUUACACGAAGAUGAAAAAAUGUAAUAAGCUAGAAAUGGGAGGAAAACAAACAUUUGGUAUUUGUUUAAAACUUGAAAGUUUUGUUCAAAGUACAAAAGUUAAUUUGGUUGCUGUUAAGUUCUUAAUUUGGUUGCUGUUAAGUUCACAUGAUUGUAAUUUAAAAGUAAUGACAAGUUUUUUAAUUUUAAAAAUUUGUAAGUAAUUAUUUUAAAAUUUUGUUAUAUUAUUUUAACUUAUUUUAAUUUAUAAUAAUAUAAAUUUAUAUUAUGAGAAAAAAAAGAGUAAAAUUAACAAUUUUAAUAUAAAAAAAUCAAUUUAAAUUUAUGUAAUUAAUCUAUAUGUUAUAUAUAAUUUUUUUUUUAAACUUUGGCUCCCUUAAGUUCCCAUGAGGAGCCGUCUCUGAAAGCAUUGUUUAUGUAUCUAUUAUCAAAUUCUUUACAUAAAAUAAGCAGAAAGAAAAACAUGAAGGAGUUUAUUUGGAAUGGAUACUAAUCAAAUAAAAUUCAAAAGAAAGCUGUUAACUUCGAAUGCAUAAGAAACAUGAAGUACCUAUGCUCCAGUCCUCUUGUCCAUGCAAAUAUAGAGGCAAUACUGUUUGUACUGGUUUCUUGUCCCUUUUGAUAAAGCCUGAAAUGUCGAGUUACAGUCCCAUGAGCUGCCUCAGCUUCUAGUGUCUUCCCAUCAGAUGACAACUGCAGAAUUUGUGAUUUUGGAGAUUUUCAACAUUCAAUGGCCAAAAUGAAGAGACCAAUCUAAAACAAUGAGAAACAAAGUCAUUUGUUACAAACCAACACAGAAGUCAUCAAGCCCAAAGAGCCAAAUCCUGCAUACAGCAAAAAAAUGUUUAGACUCCACGAAAAACGGAGAGAGAUCCAGUUAAAGUUGAGCAUUGACUUGUAAAUGAAUAGAUAAUUACUGCAAAGAAAUGCAUCCGUCUUUUCAGUAGGAAAUUCAGAGAGAGAGAAAAGAAAAUUAUAUGAAUGGUUCAUUCAUUAAUGGAUAAUGCUAGACAUAUAAUUAAACUAUGAGUACCCCUUUAGACUUUCUUUUCUUUUAUGUUUGUGUGAGGGUUUGGUGGUAGGUAUUAUAAACUAUUUAAAGCCUCCAUCAUAAAUGAACCAUUAUUUUUAUUGAGGAAAAAAGAAACUCUGGCCACCUAAUUCAGAAAAAGCAUUAAACAACACCUUGAGCAAGUAGAUCACUUUGGACAUCUCCAUCAUAAUUUUUGCAUGCCCAAACAUAUCCCCCUUCACUUUUUAGGGCAUAUGCCACCAUGUCAUCAAUUAGUCGAUGUUCAUACCUAGAUACAGAAUCAACCAAAUAUUUAGAAAUACCUCAAAAGAAAUCUUAAGCAUAGUUCACUGAAGGAACAAAUCCAACCAUAUAGAAUGUGCUUCAAACUUGUCCUUCCAAUUUUUCUCAUACACAUCCUGGAAUAUGUCCUUAAACCUGUAAUGGACUUCUCAGAUGAGCAUUGUGCAAUUCUUCCACAAGUAAUAAAUCAUACAAACCUUGAGUAAAGAAGUAGUCCAAGAUACAUGGACAUUGGAGGAGGGCAAAUUAGAAAAGAAAAUAUUACCUGCCAUCAUACUUCUUAAGAAUAGUAUUCUUUGUGCUCAGGUAAAGAGGCCACUUCUUUGAAAAAGCCAAUGACAUAGAGGAUUCAGCAAAUACACGAAUUGACUGAAAAGCACACAUGAUUUUUUAAACUAAUUAAUCAAAAAAAGGCUCCAAACAUCUUGAAUAGUGGGUGGGUGUGAGUACAAAAACCUUUAAUACAUAGAUAUAUUCAUAUAGGAAGAGAUAAACACAAAAACUUUACGAACCUCAUCAACAUUAUACAUAGAAAGUGCUAUGCCAGGGCCUUUAAAAUUGUAGACAUCAAGCUCCACUGGCUUGUCUCCACCUUCUGGGACUAAGAAAGAAAAGAGACAACAUGCAGUGAAGAAUUAAAAUUUUAAGAAAUAAGGUUUUCCAGUUUAGUUACAUGGCACCAUGCCAAUCGUGACAGUUAAACAGCUUACCAAAAACCAUCUUAAGCUUUCCUGGUCCAGUAAUUAUUGUAUCAGUGGCACGAUACUGGUCACCAAAUGCAUGUCUGCCAAUACAUAUGGGUUUCUUCCAACCUAUAACAAGGCAAAAGUUCAUGGCAGCUUUCCACCACAUUUCAGUUACACUGUUACUAUGCGAAGAAAUCAUUACCGGGAACAAUUCUUGGAACAUUCUUGCAUAGGAUAGGUUCACGAAAGACAGUACCUACAAGAAGAAGAAACCCUUCAAUUAGGAAGCACUAAGAAACCCUUCAAUUAGGAAGCACUGAAACAAGGAGAAAACAUCUUAUAAAUAUUUAUGGUACUAGUAGAUGAUUUAAAAUCUUGUCUAAGAACAAAUCCACAAUGGCAGCCUAUGGAAGGUAAAUCUUACAAACUUCAGGAUAAUAUUUAAACAAAUAAAAGAUGAAUCCACAUAUGUCAAACAUUCAAAAUUUAUCCUUGAAGUAAGAGCUACAUGAGAGAUUAUUAAGAAAUAACCAUUCAAGAUGUUUCUAAUAGUCCCAUUAGGACUUCUCCACAUAGAUUUCAGUCCAAAUUCCUUGACUCUUGUCUCAUCUGCAUAAUCAACAUAACCAGACUUUAGCAUUAUAUAUGGUUAAGAUAUUUUUUUUUAUUUAAUGAAAAAACAAUGCAAAUCCUUGGAUAUUUGUAGACCUGUCACCGGCCUGGCCCGAAUUAGAUUUAAAUAAUAAAUUUAUAAUUAAACUAAAUUAUAAAAAUUUUAGGUUUAAGUCACAAUUUGGCCCCUGAACUAUACUUGUUUUACUACUUUGGUACUUCAAACUUUUUUGUCCCACUUUAACUAUCAUUUUCGUCCCAUUGUACCUCCAAAAAUUACUUGAGUUCAAUAAAAAUAUGGCAUGUGUCUUGUUCUUAUUGACAAAUUUUAUCUUUUUAGUUAAACAGAGACAAAAAUGAUAGUUAACCAAAGUGGGACAAAAAAAAAUUUAAGUACCAAAGUAGUAAAAUAAGUUAGUUUAGGGGCUUCUUUCAAAAAAAAGGAGUUUUAAGAGCCAAAAUGUGACAUAAACCUAUAUUAAUAUAUAAACAGUGAAACAGGCUGCCGGGCUGGGCCAAAUUUCAGUCUGGGCUUAGAAAACUUUUGGGACCAGGCUAUAGCCCGUUCCAACCAACCCCUGAACAGGUCUAGAUAUUUACCAUAAAUGAUAAGGAAAUACAUGAACUGACAAGAGUAGUAAAGAUUAAAGAAUCACGAGAAUGACUAACCAGGAGUUAUUGUUGCACAUUUGAUAGCAAUAUUAUACCUAAAAGAAAUAAGGACAUUAUUUACAACUGCAGACUUUAAGUGCAAAUAAAGAUACCAUAAAAUUCUUCAAAUUUUCAAGCAUUCGCUUUACAAUUGCAAAACUUUUUGCUUAAAUGAUGGAAAAUCUUAAAUCUUCCAAACUAAAAGAACAAAAAAAACACCGUUUUCCAAUCGGAUGCUAGAACUCUGUACAAAUCUCUUAACAAACCUCAACCUAGGCAAAGCUUUUUCUAUCAUCCAGCCUUAGUCCAAUGACUCAGCAAACAGAAAAAUCACAAUCGUUAAUAUUAAAACACUGUACUCAUCUUCGUCAUGGUACUACAACUUAUUUUAUCCAUUUACAAAUGGAUGAAUGAUAAUGUCUCAUCCGUGGCCCUAUUAUGUUAAUAAUGCAAUUCUAGAUACCCAAGCUUCUUUCAUAUCCUAUCAGAUCAUGUAUAUUAUCAACAGAAUCCAUUAGUUACUUUUCAAAAUUAAUAAUAAUAACAAUAACAGACCAAUGAUCAUGUCCAAAGAGCCUUCAGUAAAUACUACAUACUUCAGGGCUGCUUCAGCAGCUUCGACAGUAACUUUGUCAUCAGUCGCAUCCCGACUCAGUAUCCCUAAAUCGAAGUAUUUUAUGUUCAAAUCAAGAUAAGGUAAUAUAAGCUGCAAUUAAAUACAAAAACACUCGGCAUUCAGCAUUAAUUACAAAUAAAUAAUUAGCGAAAUGUAAAAGAAAUUCAUGAAAUAUGCUUCCAUACUUUGUCUUUUAUCAUACUCCAGAUAAUUCUCGUCAUUUCAUCACCUAAGAAUUACAAACAAAAAGAAGUAACAGUGAUCACAUUUUUCUAAAAUAAGAAAAAGCAGAAAACAAAAACAAUUAAAAACAAACAUAAAAACUAAUGUCAACACGAUUCUCAUCAUAUAUCGCCGUUUGGUCAAUUGCCUCACCAUCCAUCUCGACGACCGGAUUUCGAACUUGAACUCGAUCGAAUCCGCUGGUAGAAGCGUAACACCGAAGGGAAACGACACGAGAGAAUUGAGCGGUGAAAACGACUCGGUUGUUGAGAGCUCCAUUUCUCAGAGAUUUAAGAAAAUUAGGGUUUUUGUUUCUUAGAGGGGGAAUCGUCGAAGAAGAAGAAAACGAAGAAGAGAGCAUCUGUUAAGGCGGGUGAAGACGAGGAGAUAGCGCGGAGUCGAAGAGCGAGAGUUUUCCAAAAUUUUCCUUUUUUGACGCUCGCGUUUGAAGGACACUGCGUUGCCGUUUUGAAUGGUUCAUGUUACGGCUUUUUAACAAUGAAAAAUGUCGAGGACUUGCUUUUGUGGUAUUGUGAUCCAACGGCUACGGAUAGCUAAUCAACUAUUGGAUUAAUUAAAAAACUUUUGAAUUAUAAAAUUCCGUUUUCUUUAUUUUCAAAUAUACUAGUUAAAGUUUGAUGAUUUAGAGCUAGUUUGGCAAUGCUUUUAAAAGGUAAUUUUGAGAAGUGCUUUUGAAAAGUUUAAUUUAAAAUUUAAGUAUUUGGUAUUGCUGUCAAAAAGUGAAAAAUAAAAUGUCUAUUUUAGACAUGAUAUUAUAAAGUAACAAAUAUGUAUUUAAAUAAUGUUUAAAUUAGUUAAUAUUAUGAUAUUUUAGUAAUAAUAUAAAAAAUAAUUUAUUAUAACUUAUUGUUAAUAUUUUAAUAUAUAAUAUUAAUUUUAAAUAAUUCUAAGUAAUUAAUAUUAAUUAUUUAUUAUAACUUUAGCAGUCUUGUAGUCUGCUGGAAAGAAGAAAACAUAAGGCUAAAAAAGUCACAUAAUGCCAAAAGCACUUUUGGCUUAAAAAAAGUGGCAGAUUUGCUACUUUUUCAUCUGUAAAAAAGUGAUUUUGUUAAGUUGAAAAAUGGUCAAAGAUGGAGGCUGUUCUUUAAUGCUUUUAGAAAAAAAGUGAUUUUUGGGCAAAAGCCCAUCACAGAAGCAAGGCUGAACGGAGCCUUAAUUAGCAAAAUACACGAAGUCAGCACCUUGGGGUACCGGGUCACUCGAAAAGUAUGAGGAUUUAGGUAAAAAUAUAAGUUCAAAAAAUGAAGUUGAACAAAAAAAUAAAAAAUGAGGUUGAAUAAAAAAAAAGACCUGUUUAGAAAUCAAGUUGGGUCUUAGGUAAUACUUUUUUUGCCCGAGCUUGGCUCAACCUGACUCGAAUAUAGUUUUUUUUACUGCUUUCUUGCUUUUUUUCUUACUUUUUUGUUGUUUUUUUUAGUAUUUUGCUACUAUUUCACAUUUAUGUUUCUAUUAUUUUGUGGUUAAUAUUUGGAUAUUAUAUAACUCUUGUUUUAUUGUUAAUUUUGUUAUUAUUUUAGAGUUAUUUGUUUGUUAAGUUGCAUCAUCUUAGUGUUAUUUAAGUAUACAUAUUUUUUAAAAUUUAUUUUCAAAUUGUUGGGAAAUAUUUAUUUUAAUGUUUUUAGUAUUUUUGAUGUAUUAUAUAUAUUUUUAAAUAUUAUAUAAAAACUAUAAAAGUAAAUAAUACAGUUGGGCCGGACUUGAGUUUUAGCAUUUUUAUCUGGACCGGGCUUGGAUAAUAUUUUAGGCCCAUUUUUCGGGUCGAACCAAGCCCGGACCUAACAAAUGGGCCUAAAAUUUUUGUUGGACCCAGCCUGGCCCGACCAUGGACACCUUUACUUAGGGGGCAACUUUACUAUUUUAAAACAUAAAAAGUUGUUUGCCUAUGACAACAUGCAUGAAAGAAGCAAUAAAAUGCAAUCUUUUGUUUGCAUCCAACACAGCAAAGAAAUAAUGGAACCUAUGAUAAUACAAGCAUGCAUGAAUGCAGUAGAAAAAUGCAAUAGAAAAAGUAUACUAGCACACAAUAGGUAAAUAAUUAAGGUAGGUAAGUAGGGGUAUAUUAUUAUUUUUUAAUAAUAGUUCUAAAUAUUAUGCAAUUUAGUCCUUUUAGUUUGUAUAUAAAUGCACAAUCACUAUUCUCUCAUUUUCUGUCAAAAAAUUUUUCUUCUCUCAUUUUCUCCUAACAUAUUUUUCUUCUUUCAUUUUCUCUCCAACAUAACAUAUUUUUAACAUAUUCUCUACAAAUCCAUCACUAACAAUGUUAUACCCCCAUCCAAGUGAGGCCACGUGGCAAGCCAGAAGGAGACCCGAACAGCAAGACAGUUAGUGGCAAAUCGAAAAGUCACCCACAAGUCCUACCUUCCAAAACAACUAUCCAAACAAGUGCAAGCCAUCUGAUAUCCGAGUCUUCAGGCUUUUAUUGGGAACAUGAUGUUGUUAGUCACCAAACACUACGUGGGCUCAACCAUUCUAUACCAUCAAGUCAGAAUAAAUGACAAGAUCUGUCUCAUCACAAACAUCCUCGUCUCAUCAAAGGCAUUCACCCCACACAUUUCGUAAUGAUGGCUAGAUAGUUAGUCCAACACGUUAACAUCACUUUAAAUGGGACGCUUACCUAUAAAUACCUCUAGGAACGAUGAAGAAAUGAUUAACUCUCCAAAGAUACCAAGCUUAUACUCUACUAACUUACUUUAAAAUCUCAGCCUUAACAUCCUCCUCACAUCCAUUCUUUACAACCUACAGCUCUCCAUCCUGACUGGGUGAUUUGACCUAUAUGACAACCACCACCCUCUCCUAUAUACCUCAUCCUUGUUGUAUCAUUGCAUUAACACCUGGUACGGUGAGCGUAGACAGCAUGGCUUUACAACCCUAGAAUGGUAUUCCUUGUCAACCUAGCUAACCAGACCAAUGAUCCAGCCAACCAGACCAACUCCUUUGCUCUACCCAACACAUCCAUCCUGCCUAGUUUAGGAGCUUCUUCUGACCUAAAGACUAUUCAAGUUACUUCUUCUAUCCCUAAAGGAACUUCUCUGCAAUAUGCACAUGUUUUUUCCCCACCCUAAACCAUCUUAUAAAAGCUUUAGGUGUCCCUUCGAAUCCUGACCCUACCAUAUUCACAAUUCCAGCUAGAAUCGUCCCUCCAGCUACUUCAACUCCCCCAAGUACAAAAAAAAAAUUAAAUAUCACCUGGUGUGUCUCCCCUUAAACCCAUGGAUCAAAUAACACACUAUUUGCAAGAAGUUAUAACUUGCCUCAUAACUACACCACCCCUGCCUACUAUAAUCUCCACCCAUUUGAUCAAGGUUCUCACCAACAAGCUUUUGGAUCCCAACCUCAUGAUUUAGAAAUCUAGGAAAAGACUACUACAUUUGGAAAAACAUUUUUCUCAACAAGAGUGCCACUUUAAGGAACAUCAAGAAUAACAACGCAUCUUUGACUAAGGGAUUGUCAAAUUGGUAAAUGUGUUUAUCAAAUCAAUUAUAAUCUAGCAAUUACUAAUCUAAUUGAGUUGGAAAUUAUUAGGCAAAAUCAAAUAUAAAUUGUUUAUAAACUAAAUUUAAACCAUUAAUUAAACAACUUAAGCUAAACUUUCUUCCUAUUUUUUUAAACAAUGCAAAUGAUAUAAUGAUAGUUGAUUGAUUAGUUGAUUGCUAGUUAAACUAAUAACCUAUCCCAAUUAUAUUGCUAGCCAUUCCUAACUAGGAACCUCCUCUCGGUCUUAUCCUAAUUUGGAAUUACCAACUAAGUUCUCCUCUCGAUCUUACUUAGACAAGUAGCUCAUAAAUAUAGGACAUAGAAGGGUUGAGUUUCAAACUCAAAUUAACUACAAGGUUUCAAAGAAUAGAGGUUCACCAAGAAAGAAUGGAUAAAGGCUCAAACAAGGAACUAGGGAUACAUAUCAUUAAGGUUGGUCAUUAAGCUCUUGGCUACUUAUACAAUACUUUAGGUUAUCCCUAAACAUUUCACAAAACACAAUUUCAAUCAUGCCUAUAUUACCCAAUGAAUAACAAUUGAUUCAAACACUAUUUAUCUACAAGCAUCUAUACAAUCUAUCUAUCAUUUGGCACAAAAAUCAAACGUAUUUACAAAGAUUAAUUACCUUUAGUCAUUAUGCAAUUUAACAAAGUGAAUAACUAAUCAACUUUUAAAAGAACCAAAUUAUCUAACAUCAAUCAAAAUUUGCAUGCUUGAAAGUCAACAACCAAUAAUCCCAAUGCUAACAUGCUUCAAGCACCAUAUGUGAAUUUUUUUUUAAAUAUUUUUAUAUAUUUUUGAAAAAUUUUAAACAAAACAUAAAAUAAGAAAAUAAAACACAAAAAAUAAAAUUUCUAUGUACAUUCCCAUACUUAAGUUACAUAUUGUCCUCAAUGUGUCCUCUACUAAAGAUUAGUUUGAGAAAGCUCCCUCGAUUUAAAAUUAUGUGCAGCAAAAUGGUAGAGUAGUCUUCAAACUUCAUUAAAGUUCAUUGUUGUGUACUGUAAUGGCCUAAAUUCAAGGUCAUCGGAACAAUGGUUUUAUAACCAUAGAUCCGAUUUAAAGAGAAAUUUAUUUCAAUAUUUUUGCUUGAAAAUUGAUAUGAUAGGAAAAUCGUAUGAAAAUAUUGAUAGAAAAAUUUUACCAAUUUAGUGAUUAGAUAGAAAAAGAAAUUAUUGAAGAAAAUGGGUAAAAAUAAGGUAUCGAGACCUCUAUCUCGUAAAACCGAGUCAAAAAUAAUUUUAUAAAUAUUUAUGAAAUGUUAUUAAUGUGGUAUUAAAAUUUCGUUAGGAAAUUUUAAUGUUUGGGUAGUCAAUUAAAUGAAAAGGACUAAAUUGUAAUAGGUGUAAAAGUUGCUAGAGUGAUUAAAUAGCUUAAGAGUCUAAUGAGAAAGGAUUUAAAAGGAAAUUAGACCCAAAAGUUAUUUGGGCUGGACGGCAAGGGUAUGAAAUCAGCAGAAAAAUUGAUAAAUUAAGGGUAAAAUUGGAAUAUUGCAAAAUUAACUAAAUAAAGCUAGGACUAAAUAGGAAAUAUCUAGAUUUCUCUUCAUUUCUCUUCAAUUCCAGCAGCUAAAAACGCCAUAGGAGGGUUCUCUAAGCUGAUAUUUCAUAACUUUUGCACCAAGUGAGUUAAUCCUUGCCUUUUUCUUGUAAUUUUUGUGUUUCCAAGACUUUUACAACUAGGUCCUACUAUUAAAUUCAUUAGUUUUUGAUUUCAUCGAUGAAAUUUAAAGCCACCAUGGUUGAGUGCUGUAAGUUUAUGAUGAAAUAGAAUUAAAUUAAAGCUUUAAUUUGUUUAUGAGAUGAUUUUAUUAGGUAAUUUCAAUAGAAAUUGAUUUUUAGGACCUAAUUGUGAAAAUGCUUGGAAUUAAAGUCUAUUGCUGAAAUUAUGAUUCCUAAAGGUUGUAAACUAGUUUAAGGUGAUAUAAUAAAAUUUUAAUUGAGAAAAAUCAGCUCAAUUGAGAGGCUAAUUGAGUAGGGACGAAAUUAUCAUUUAUUAAAAGAUUAGGGGAAAAAUGGUAAUAAACAGCUUGCACAAAAACAGUUUGGACAGCAGCAGUAGACUAACUUUGAAAAAUCACCAUAAAUUGUAGAAAUCGAAUUAGAAGAUGAAAAAAAUACAGAAUUAAAGCUUAUUGAGUCUAGUUUCUUAUAGAAGAAAUAGUGUAAGCAAUGGAUUUUUAAAUUUUGAGAUAUAAUGAAAUUUGUGAGACAAGAUCAGAAUGAAUUCAGGUUCCCCUGUUCUGACUUUGAAAAAUCAUAAAAAAUUAAAAAAAAACAAUUAUGGGCUUAAAUUUAUAUUUCUAAAAUCCUUAAUGAGUCUAUUUUUAAUAGAAAUAAACGAUAACAUUAUUUGAAUUCUGUAUGAAGAGAUAAUUAAUUUUUAGUGAAAAAGGGUCAAAACCGUCGACAGCAGAACAGGGGUGACUUUAAAGAAUAAACUGUACUUAUUGGCUAAACCAAAAAUUCUGAAAAUUUUAUCGUAAAAAUAUAUAUGAGUCUAGUUUCAGAGAAAAUUAACAGAUCUUAAUUUUGAGUUCCGUAGCUCAAGUUAUAAAUAAUUUAGUGACUAUGACUCAAGUAGACAGCUUUGAAUGAACUAUAAAUAAUAGUUGAAUUAUAGAGAAUGUUGCAUAUGAACAUGAAAUGUAUUAAAUUGAUAAUUAAAUUUAUUUAUUUAGAUCCGGAAGAUUCACAUACGAAGCUAGAUCGAGGAAAGGAAAAAGUUCGGGAUUAGUAGAUUUUUAUGUUUACAAACAAGUAUCAAGGUAAGUUCGUGUAACUUGAAUUAUAUUCUUAAAUACUUGAGAAAUUAUGUUAUUGAUGUGAAUAUGAUUUGAAUGUUCAUUGUAUGAAAAUUUAUGAAACAUUGAUAUAUUUGAUAAAAUGGGAAGAAAUCUCGGUUGAAUGAAAGGAAAAUUCGAUGGAUCUCUGAAAAGGAAUUGACGGUAAAAAGGAUCUAGCCCGGACGGGUGAUCCUAUCUUGAUAUAGCCCUCCCGAAGAAUAUGCGUAAAAUGGAUUUAGCCCAGACGGGUAAUCCGAAUUAGGAUCUGAAUUUAGCCUGGACUGGUAAUUCAGAUCCAAGCUCAUUAGAGUAAUUGUCGUUGCAGGGGAUUUAGCCUGGACUGGUAAUCCCGACAAUACUCUAUGAGUUUAUAUUGCAGGGGAUUUAGCCUGGACUGGUAAUCCCGCUGCAAGGUUGAGGUUCGCGGGAGUGUGCUCUCUGAAAUGGAUAUGUACGCACAUGAAUAUGAAUUGACGGACACGGAAUUAUACAAUAAAUGUGUACCUUUGAAAAUCCAUUGAAAUUUCGAUAAAUUCAACGGGAUAAAUAUGGAAAAAUAACAAGGAAAUGGAAAUCAUGGUAUUGACGAGCUCAUCAAUCAUGGUAUAUAUAUUAUUGAUACAUGGAAAUUAUUGUACUAACUUGAAUGUUGAGUUUGUGCAUGUUAGGGUAAUAAUGCAUUGAAUGGAUAUAUGAAUGUUUAUUAUAUUAUAUUGAAAAUAUUAGGUAAGUAUAAUUCUUGUUACAUGAGCUUACUAAGCACAAAGUGCUUACCCCGUUUUCUUUUUCCCUGUUUUGUAGUGUUAAGAGCUCAGAGGUCGGAUUUAGUCGGAGACACAUCACACUGUCAACCUCAGGAUUUCGGUAUAUAAAGAAACUUUAUUUUGGAAAUCAAUGGCAUGUAUAAGCUAACAAGGUAAAUGUUAACGUGAAAUGAAUGUAAAGUUAGCCAUUAGUAUGGUUAACAAACCUGGUUUUAGAUAUGUGAUGACGUUAUCUUAUAAAUAUGCAUGAAUUUAUCUUGAAAAUAUGUUGAAUUGAUUUGGUUGAUGUGGAUUGGUCUCGAUUUAAUAUUGCAGGGAAGGUUAGAUAUUUAUAAAGGGGCUAUAUUGAAUAUAAAAAAAAAAUUUAAUUCGUAAACUCAGGUAAUGGCUCGUACCCUAUUCCGGCAAUGAAUACGGGUAAGGAUAUUACAUGUAGCUCUCGAUAGGUAGACCUACAUAGAAAAACAAAAUAAGCACACACAAAAAAUGCAAUAAUAAGAAAAUAAAAACAAAAUAAGAACUGGCAAUAAGAAAACUUAUCGGGAGACCCCGUGUCCUUUCUAUAGAAGAGCUUCCGAGAGGUUCUCGACAAUUUGAAUCGACAUUUGUUUUUCAUGACCAAAAUAAGAAUCCCCUUUUCGCUUAAGCACAUUGUCAUCGUCUUAUUUUUUACCUUCUAGAUAGCCACAUCACGAGCCACUUCUUUCCAAAUUCUAACUAAGUCCAAAAUUCAUUCUAGGGUACUAAAGCCUCGGGCAUCACAAACUCAAUGUUGUAAUAAGCCGUAGAUACCCAGUCUUCACUUUCUGCUUUGAACCAAAAAUAGAUAUGCUCAUUAAGUUUGCCGGUUAGCUUCUCUACAAAAAUGAUUGGAAAAUGUGUUGGCUCCUCCACACCUUCAUUUUGUUUCAGUUUAAGCUCAUCCUCAAUAUCUAACUCUACUUCAACUCCUACUCAUCCACACUUAAGGCAAUCCUCCUAUCUUUCAACUAAUAUUGGUCUUCUGAAACAACUAACUUAACAACACAUUUACACCGUUACAAUCCCCGGGCAACGGUGCCAACAACUUGAUCGCACCACAACGUACGAACACUAAUUAGAAAAUUAGCACAAAAUAUAAGGAUUUAAAAGUGGCUUUAUUGCAAGUGUGACAAAUAAGUUGUAAUAUUUAUAAGUGUUUCAAUGAAACACUCUGAGUAUUCCAAUUAUCGAACCUAAGGGAUUCCAAAUUGAUAAAUGUGUUUGCCAAAUUAAUUAUAAGCUAGCAAUUACUAAUCUAAUCAAGUUGGAAAUUAUUAAUGCAAAAUCAAAUAUAAUUUUUUUAUAAACUAAAUUUAAAAUAUCAAUUAAACAAAUUAAGCUAAACAUUCUUCCUUUUGUUUUAGACAAUGCGAAUGAUAUAAUAAUAGUUAAUUGAUUAGUUGAUUGCUAGUUAAACUAAUAACCUAUCCUGAUUAUAUUGCUUACCACUCUUAACUAGGAAUCGCUUCUCGGUCUUAUCCUAAUCUGGAAUUACCAACUAAGUUCUCCUCUCGAUCUCUCUUAGACAAGUAGUUCUCCUAUUGGUCUCACUACCCGAUACAAGUAUACUGAACUAUCAAGAAUAAACUUCCCUCUCAAUCUUGUUUAUCUAGAUUUUCCACUAGAGGCGUUAAUUCUAGCAUAUUAAUAAUUUCGAUAUAAUCAAACAAUCAAUUAACUAAGAAUAAACAUUAACUUAAACUAAAAUUUUUAACAAAACCACUAACCACCAACCAAUUUAGCACAUGAUCGUCAUUUAAUUCCAAACAAGCAUUUUAUCAAACACAUGGUAGGCAUAAAAUAAAUGUGAAUGUUUUAGGAAAAUGCCCAUUUAAUUGAUGGAUACCGAACGAAGCCCAAGAGUUUGAUCAUCUUACUUUUGCCUAGUCUUCAACAAGAAAGGAAGAAAUAGAAGACAACAAAAAUUAAAGUCUAUUCUAAGAAGAAAAAGAGAAGAGAAAACCUAAUCUAGUCUAACUCUCAAAACUAUUAUCUACUACUCAUCCAUUUCUUUUUACUCCCCUCCAAAAUGAUAGCAAAGUGUUGUUUAUAUAAGAAACAAUUAGAAGACUAAAAUUCCCUUAAUGUUAUUACAAAUUUUAAGGCUUAAAAUUGAAGAAUUACCACAAAAUGCCCUUAAACACACAAGUCAACAUACCUUAAAAUCGUCACGACAUACGGCGUCAACUACUCCUCAUCAUGACGUAAGGUUGUGAAGUUGUAAUGUUGACUGUUUCCACGUGGCGAUGAGAUGGCUUGGAUUGCUCCCCCAUGCUUUUAUUUCAAUGUUGUAGCUGCCCAGCCUCGUGGUUUCGACCUUGGCUACAGUUUAGCCCUUGAAAUGCAUCUUCAGCUCCCAAUUGAUCUAUGUAACCACACAAUUUUAUUUAGAUAUCAAAAAUAUAAAAUAACAUAAAAAUUACUCAAAAAUCACACUUUUACUACCUAAACUCUUAAAAAUGCAAAUUAACACUAAAAUGACUCGAUUCUACUUAAAAUAUGUUGAAAUGUGUGUAAAAGAACAACAAAUAAACAUGCCAAAUUACAGUAGAUCACUUAACCAUAAAGGGAGGCCAAUACCAGCAACCCUUAGCCUUGUACAACCAGUUUAGGACCUAUUAUGAGCUCAACUUCUCCUAGCCUAGGUAUUUGACCAUGUAUAAUUCAAGGAAUCUUAUCUCUCACCCAACUAGUAUCGCAGUAACUUUAAUCAUCACUACAAAUACCAUAACAGUAGGGGGCAUCGAACUGAGCAACAUAUGCAUUUAAAGAAUGCUAUUGAAAUGGCAAUUCAAAAGGGGCAUCUCAAGUUUAGCUAAACAAAGCUGAAGACAAUGAAGUAGGACAAUCAAGGUUAGAGUGCGAUGACAAGAGAAAGAAACCAGUAAGGGGAAUUAAUGAUUUGCUAGUAGAAGGAAGCACAUAGAUUAGGUCCAUCAAACUUGAAGCAGAAGUCUCAUCUAGGAAGUGUCUUAUUGGUUUUAGCCACGACUAAAAAACCAAAGCCUUCUCCAUGGGAGCCUUAAUUUUUAGAACAUGAUGAUAGGGAUGUUUUAGAUACGAAAAGUGAAGACACUUUGGUGGUCUCAACCAAUAUCUCCUCUUCCCAAGUUAUAAGAUUCUUGGUCGACAUAGGCAGCUUGCUGGAUAUCUUGACAACUAAAACGUUUCAUCAAUUGGGCUUAAGUUCACACAACUCAAGCCCAUAAGCCUAGUAUAUGGCUUCACAAACUAUCCAAUCAUAGUUAAAGGAUGUUGGAUCUGGUGUCCUAAGUGUAGUAUAUUCUUUUGUAAAAUUGUAAGUUUUUCAAACAAAUUGGUUAAUAAAAUAAUUCAUGGAUUACAUUAAUAUACUUUGUAUAAUGUCAUCAUGCAGUUUUUGCAUGCAAAGUAAAUAUUGACUCACUGGCUAUUUAAUGUUUAAACUAAUACUAAACAGUAUUGCACGGUCGAAUCGUAAUACGGAAAGACAACUUAUAUUAGUAGAUAAACCUAUGUUUGAAAAUCUGGUUUGAAAAAUGCAGCGAAAAAUAAAUUUAGGGAAAAACCAAAGUUUUAAAAGAAAAUUCCAGAACAAGAACUUAGUUGUGAUAUUUCAAGUAAUAAACACUUAAUCAAAAUUAUUCCUUUUCGAUUCGUCUAGGAUGAACGCUUCGAACGAGUAGUCUUCUCUGCUAUCCUCAAGCUCACGUCUGCCGAAUGUGGGCUCACUUCGAAUAAAAAAAUUUCACAAAAAUUAUCAAUGGGGUAAUUUUGCAAUUUCUCUAAACUCUUAGGCUGAGUUGUAAAUAAGAAAAAUAUCUCUAGAAAUUUUUUUGAAAUAAUUUCUUCAUAGAAUUUUCCCUCUACAACUUUUUCUUGAAUUUAAGUGUGUGAAAAAUAAUGACGCAAGGCUCUCUUUAUUUAAGUAAAGUUUAAAGAGAUCAACUAUGAUUAAACUUAACCACUUUAAUAUUAAAUUAAUAUAAUAUUUAAGAUUAACUUUAUUAUUAAAUUUUAUUAAAUUAAUAGUAUAUUUAUCUACAAGAUAAACAUUAAGUCAAAUUUAAUAUUAAAUAUAUUAAAAUAAUAUUAUUUUUGGAAUAGUUAAUCUAAAAUAAAAUUUUCUAAUAGAGUCUUAGUAGGAGUGUAAUUCUUCCAUUGCUCAACCACCGAAGAUCCACUACCAACAACCAUUUUUCGACCAUCGAAAUUUUGUCGUCGUAGCCACCGACACCCUGAGUUGGUUCGGUUUCUAUCGGUUCGACUCAAGCCAAUGACAGCCCAACCGGUCUGGUUUAGCCAUCGGUUGGACUGUCGGUCCGUUCGACAAACCAGACCCAGUUCGAGCAAUUUUUGAGUUUUGGUCUUGAUUUUGGUUCUCAGGCUUAAUUUACGAUCUCAGGUUUGAUUUUCUGGUUUAAUUACCCACUAGGUCAAUUGUCUUACUUGAAAUUAAUUUCCAAAAAUAUAAUAUUAAUUUUAAUUAAUUUGAUUAGUUUAAUUUUAUUUGAUCAAAAUUAAUUUUCCCUAAAAUCACUUAGAUUUUCUAAAUUAAUUUUUCAAGAAAAUUCUUUAAUAAAAUUCUCUAGUUGAACACUUCUUACGACUGCCCAAUUUAAUUCCACAUCAAAUAAGUCAACUCAAUUAAAUUAUUUCCAAAGUUGUAGAAUUGACUUCUAAUUCAAAUGCAGUCCAAUUGAGCUUUUGUUGAGCUAGCGAAUUGACUAAUCAAACAUAUACAAUUAGGCUCUAGUAAUUGCAAUUAUGUCCAGAAGCAUUGUUUCGAUAAUUCGCAAUUACUUAAUCAUGGAGUCAAUCUACAAAAAGUACCAUGAUUGAAAACUCCUUAUUUUAUACUCUUUACGAAAGUAAUUUAUCCAACUAUUUUGUCCAAUGACUUCGUCAUGUGUGUGUUACCCUCAUAUGAUAUCCUUGAUUCCUUUGAAUUAAAUUCCUUCACUCAAUACAAUCAUAUUUUAUCUCAUUGUCACCAUUGUGUCUUCUUAAUGAUUAAUAUGAUCACUAUCAACAAAUAGUUGUGAUAAAUUGCUCAUUAGAUAAUAAGAAACUCGUGGCCACGUUCCAUAUUUAUCAAUCCAAACAAUAGUAAUGAAAAGAUAUCGUUAACUUUUUAAUUGAGCUAUUAAUUCUACUGUUGCUAGUAAAUUCAUGUCAUACACAAAGCCAUAUACCCAACAUAUCGGCUAUUGGCCCGAUCAUCUUUAGAGCAUAAGCCUCCACUUAUAUCAAAGCACAUGAGUUACAUACGCACGGUUAGCGACUAACUUAGAAUUUAGGUAAAUCACACUAUGAAUGUCACGAGUGAAUUAAUUCACAAAUGGAUAGCUGAUAUCACAUAUCAUUCAGAAUAUAGCAAGUCGUUUGUAUCGCAUAUCAAGAGAAGGAAGUAGGGAGUUGUGAAUAGCUUAACAUUGAAUUAACCAUGUCAAGCAACAUUAUAUUCCUUUUCUCAGCUAUGCCAUUAUUUUGUGGAGUGAUCGGCCCAGUUAACUACGAUAAAAUCUCAUUCUCUACGAGGUAUCCAAAAAACUCAUCGGAUAAGUAUUCCCCACUUUGGUUAGGUCAAAGAUUCUUUAUGGAUAAACCUAAUUGCUUUUCCACUUCCACACGAAACUCUUAAAAUUUAUCAUAAGUUUCGCUUUUAUAGUGCAUUAGAUACACAUAUCCAUAUCGUGAAUAGUCGUCGAUGAAAGUUACAUAAUAAUCGUAACUUCCUCGGGCAUUGAUGCUCAUAGGACCACAUACAUCAGUGUGCACAAGUUCUAAAGAUCAGUUGGCCCAUAUAUCUUUCACAUUAAAAGACCUCUUAGUCAUUUUACCUUCUAAGCAAGAUUCACAUUGUGGAAGACUAACUUCCUUAAGCAUACUUAGGAGACCAUCUUUCACGAGUCUAGUGAUUCUUUCUUGGUUAAUAUGACCAAGUCUUAAGUGUCAUGGGUACCCCUCAUUCGAGUAAGAAGUUUUAAGCUUUUUAUUCACUAUUUCAGUUUGAAGUAUCAAAUAGUUAUUUGGUUUGAUAAAGUAGUAAUUAUUUUCCAUCCAUCCAUUAUAGAUUAAAAAAUGAUUUUUGUGAAUAACAAUCUCUUUAUUGAAUGUCACGAUAUAACUGUCAUAAAAUAAAACAUGUUAUAGAAAUUAAAUUCCUCUUAAAAUGAGGUAAAUAAAAUACGUUCUUUAAAACAAUCUUCCUAAAAUUAUCAAAAUGUAAAAUAACUUCUCCCACAGCUUCAGCUGAAACAUAGCUCCCAUCUUCAGCCCACAACAGGAGGUUUUUGUCACGCGGACUUCUAGUCUUGUUGAACCCUUGUAAAGAUACAUUAUUAGUGCCUUCAGAAUCAAUAACUCAAUUUUCAAUUGAUUCUUCCACUAAGCAAGCUUCAACCACAAAAAGUUCUAUACCUUUUCCCUUUUCAGCUAAGUCAUCUAAAUAUUCCUUAUAGUUUAAUCUAAAAUGUCCAUUCCUCUUGCAAAAGAAACAUUUGAUCUUUUUAGGAUCUUUUGACUUCUUAGCCUUCUUCCUAGCCACACGAGGUGGAAUCGAAGACUUAGUCAGUUUCUUCUUUCCUUUUGCUUUCUGCUUCCCUUUAAAGGACGAGGGACACACAGCUAAAUUUGCCUUAGUAUUCUCCUGAAUUGGCUUGCCACCAUUCAGCAUCAACUCAUGGGAUUGUAAUUCCUUCAUGAGCUAAGUCAAGGUAAGCGUCUUAUUCUCCAAGUUGUAAGCGAGCCUAAAACCAAUAAACUUAUUGAUUAAGGAUUUGAACACUAUUUCAAUCUAAUGUUCACGUCUAGUUCAACCCCAUUGUCUCUCGCUUCCGCAAAGAAUUCCCAAAAGCUUAAGCAUAUGUUCUUUGACCGGAGUGUUGGGUUUCUACUGAGAGUUCAUCAAAUUUUUAAUAGUGAAUUGUCGAGCCAAUGCGACUUGGUUUCUGAGCAAAUCCUCCAAAUUUGUCAUGAUCUCUUUGGUAGUACAGAAUUUCUCAUUUUACUUUUGCAACACACUACUCAUGCUUGCUAACAUAUAACAUCAAAAAAUCGAGUCAAAAUCUCUCUAGCGAUUUCUCACUUUGGGCCGAGCUUUAGGAGUACACGUUUUGUUAAAAAUGAAUUUGUGUUUCUCACAGCUGAGAAAUAUUAGCAAAUUCCAUUUCUAUUCUCAAGAAAAAUAUCUCCAUUUAAUUUAUUCUUAGUAAGAAUGCUAAUAAGAGGAGCAGGACACAUAUUUGAACUGAAAAAUAAAGAUUCACUAAUUACUAUCUUUGUAUACAAGCAAAUAUUUUCAUUUCAGCAACACGUCUUUUUAGUAUAUCUUUGAAAAAACAGUUUUCUGUUGCUACGAUCAUUCUCACACCAAUCAACUAUGUCGCUUUGGGGUCCCAUGAUUAACUAGUAAGAACAUGGACUCCACACGAACCAACAACUUUUUAACAUUUGGUCAUCAUCUCUAGCUUAAAUAUCGUUUCUUGGGAAACUAUUUAAUAAGAGAAGAUCUUGAGUGUGUAACCAUUGACUCAACACCCAUCAUGAACAUGCUUUCAUUUUUUAGCCAUCUUGGGAAAAUCUCACUAAAAGUCAUGCACGACUACUUUUCCUUAAAAGGAAAUCUCAUUCAGUGAACCCACAUGAUAAAGUUUACCUUGGGGUGCGACCAGGGUUGGAACCGGCUCGAAAUUUUAUCAAGCUAUCACUUAGGGACCAUAAAUAGGUGUCGCAGGUCUUGUUCAAAGACAUUCACCCACUCAAUAUUUUAAAAUAACAUGUAAGAUUUCUUUUUAUCCUAUAUUUCAAGAAUGUACAUACAAUAGUCCUAAUGGCUUUCUUACUUAAUCUAUAUGACAUGCUUCUAAUAUAUGCACGGUAUGCUAUGACAAUUUUAUAAUAUUCAUAAGAAUCAAUAAAACAUAAAACAAACAAUUUUGAUUUUACACAGUUUUUCUUUUAAGGGAAAAGCCGAGAAAGUGAAUGUGAACCAUGCACCAGGUACGGUCUUAGGAAAGAGAGGUGAGUCAAAGUCAAUCUUAGACAUGCACCUUCUCAUUACCACACAUCUCAUAGUAAUCGAAUAACCUAAAGAAGUGAAUAGAACAAUACAACACAUGUAUUUUCUUAUUACCACACAUCUUAUUUUUUAAUCGAUCAACUAUGGAUCAUCUCAUAUAUAUAUAUCACUAUUAUAACAUUACAUAAUAUAAAUAUUAUAAACAAUUAGACAACAUAUAUAUAAGGAGAUAGGUAAUUAAAAUAAAAUUGCUAGCCAAGGUUUCUACGGUUCUAUUUCUAGAAAAUAAAUAAAAAAAUAAAAUUACAUAGCUUUUUGCCACAAGGAAUUCCUUGGGUCUUCAACUGCCAUCUCUCCAUCUUUUCCUCAUCAUGAACUUCUUUUGAAAAAAAUUACAUUUAAGUCCUAUGUCUAUUUCUAGUUCAUAAAAAUUCUAUGAACUAAAAAAAAGUCUUACAUGGAAAUGAUAGUUCACGGUCUAUUUUCUAAGAACCACAACCUUGGUAAAAAAAUAAUUAUAUAACAAAUAUAUAAUAUCGCAUCCAUUCCCAUAUAUAACUCACAACAUGCAUAAGAUUUAAAGAAUGCAACUUUCUAUGUAAUCAGAUUAUUCAAGAAGAAGAGAAAUUUAUUUUGAUUAUCUGUUUAUACUUAUAGAUAGAGUACAACCUAACUCUGAUACCAAUUGUUGGAAAAUCGAAUUUAAAAAAUGUAUCAAAAAAUAAAUUUAGGGAAAAACUAGAGUUUUAAUUUUUUUUCCAAAACAAGAACUUGGUUGUAAUAUUUAAAGUAAUAAACACUUAAUAAAAAUUGUACCUUUUCGAUUCAUCUAGGAUGAACGCUUCGAUCGAGUAGACUUCUCCAUUAUCCUCAAGCUCACGUCUGCCAAGUGUGGGCUCACUUUGAAUCAGAAAAUUUUUUACAAAAAUUACCAGUGGGGUAAUUUUGUAAUUUUCCUAAACUUUUGGGCCAAGAUGUAAAUAAGAAAAAUAUCUUUAGAAAAUUUUCUAAAAUAAAUUCUUUAGAGAAUUUUCUCUUUAUAACUUUCGCUUGAAUUCAAGUGUGUGAAAAAUAAUGACCUAACGCUCUCUUUAUUUAGAGAGAGUUUACAGAGUUUAACUAUUAUUAAACUUAAUUACUUUAAUAUUAAAUUAAUAUAAUAUUUAUCAAGAUAAAUAUUAGAUUAAAUUUAAUAUUAAAUCUUAUUAAAUUAAUAGAAUAUUUAUCUAAGAGAUAAAAUUAAAUUAAAUUAAAUUAAAUUUAAGAUUAAAAUAAUCACUUUAAUAUUAAAUUAAUAAAAUACUAUUAAGAUAAGUAUUAAAUUAAAUUUAACAUUAAAUCUAUUAAAAUAAUAUUAUUUUUGGAACAGUUAAACUGAAAUGAAAUUCUCUAGUAGAUUCCAGUAAGAGUGUAAUUCUUCCACUGCUUAACCACCGAAGACCCACCGUAGUCAAUCAUUUUUUGACCCCCGAAAUGCCACCGUCCCAGCCAUCGGCACCCCGAGUUGGUUCGGUUUCUACCAUUUCAGUCCGGGCUAAUGAGGCCCAACCGAUCCGGUCCAGUCAUCGGUUGGAUCGUCGACUCGGUUUCACAUACCAGAUCCAGUUUGACAAGUUUUUAGAUCUUGGUCUCGGUUUUGACUCUCGAACCCAAUUUAUGAUUUCAUAUCCAAUUUUCAAGAUCAAUUACCCACUGGACCAAUUGUCUUACUUGAAAAUUAAUUUCUAAAAUUAUCAUAUUAAUUGUAAUUAAUUUGAUUAGUUUAAUUUUACUUGAUCAAAAUUAAUUUUCCAAAAAAUUACUUAGAUUUUCCAAAUUAAAUUUUUAAGAAAUUUUUUUAAUAAAAUUCUCUAGUUGAACACUUCUUACUAUUGCCAAAUUUAAUUCUACAUCAAAUAAAUCAACUCAAUUAAAUUAUUUCCAAAUUUGUAGAAUUUACUUCUAAUUCAAAUACAGUCAAAUACAAUUAGACUCUAAUAAUUGCAAUUAUGUCCAGAAGCAUCGUUCCAAUAAUUCGCAAUUACUUGAUCAUGAAAUCAGUACACAAGAAGUGUCAUGAUUGAAAUCCUUAUUAUAUACUCUUUACGAAAGCAAUUCAUCCAACUGAUUUUUCUAAUGACCUUGUCAUGUGUGUGUUACCCUCAUAUGAUAUCAUUGAUUCAUUUGAGUUAAAUACGUUCACUCAAUACAAUCAUAUUUUAUCUCAUUAUCACCAUUGUGUCUUCUUAAUGUUUAAUGUGAUCACUGGCAACAAAUGAAUGUGAUAAAUUGCUCGAUUAAGAACAAGCAACCUGUGACUACGUUCCAUAUUUAUCAAUCUACACAAUGCCAAUGAAAGGAUAGUGUUAACUCUUUAAUUGAGCUAUGAAUUCCAUUGUUGCUAGUAAAGUCAUGCCAUACACAAUUCAUGUACCUAACAUAUUGGUUAUCGGCUCAAUCAUCUUUAGAGCAUAAACCUCUACUUAUAUUAAAGCAUAUGAGCUACAUAUGCAUGGUUAGUGGAUAACUCAGGAUUUUGGUAAAUCACACCAUGAACGUUACAAGUGAAUUAAUUCAUAAACGGAUUCAGAAUUAAUUCAUCCUGGGUUUAGUCUGAUGUAUCAUUCUGCCAAUGAAUACAUUUAUGUCUCUACCCAUGGAGUCAACUGCUCCGAUAGCCAAGACUAGCCAUCUCCUCAACUUGAAUUGUAGACGACAUAAUAAUUCUUCUCAGUAUUUGAAUCAAAUGCUCACUUUGAUUAUUUUACGAUAUUACGAACUUGUUUAGAUUAUCUACUAAAGUAAGUUGUCUUUCUCACAAUGUAAACGUUCUUACAAUGCCACUUAUCAUCAAUUUGAACUUAGGCAAUCAAUGAGGUAAUAUUUAUUUGUCACAAUUUCUCUAUGCAUGCACAAUAUGAAAGAUAGAAAUAUGAAAGGUAAAAUAGUGAAAUGUGAAAUUUAUUUAUUCAUAGUUCAAAUACAUAGAAAACAAUUACAUGUUUACUACAAUAUGGGUACAUUUCCCAACAACCUAAACAUGUCGUUAGUAUAAUCGAAAAUGAGAAAACUAAUUGAAAGACUAAUAUAUCGUCUAUCAAGUCUGAUUGAGGAGAUGUCUUGUCUUGGGAUCGGAGAGCAUGACUCCUAAAAGAUAGAGACAUAAAUGAGACUGAAUAGACCAGCAGUACAUCGGGCUAAACCCCAAAAAAAUAGAUUUUGAAUCUGUUUAUGGAUUUAUUCACUUGUGAUGUUCAUAGUGUGACAUAACUUAAUCCUGAGUAGAUGACAGAAUAUGUAUGUGUGACUCGUAUUCUUUGAUGUAAGAAAAAGCUUGAGUUCAAAUAGAUAAGGAAUCGAAAGCUGGUGCAUUGGGUAUACGACUUCUGUAUUAUGGAUCGUCAUUCACAACAGCGGAAUUCAUAACCCGAAAUAUAGGUAAAUGAUAUCUUCUUAUUGGCAUUACAUGGUAGAUGAAAAAUAAAUAUGGUCAUGAGUCGUUUGUCUUUGUGAUGAAUGACUUGAUUACUAUUUGAUAGUAAUUGACUUUUUAUGAAAGAAGAUGUAAUGGUUACCAAGAGAUAAAAUAAGAUCAUAUUAUGAGAGUGGAUUUAUCCCAAAGAGAUUAAGGAUAUCCUAUAAGGGUUACACACUUAUGACAAGGUUAUUGGAUGAGCACUAGUCGAGUUACUUUCGUAAUGGUAUGUCAUUAAGGAGAGCUCAGUCACGAUACUAUAGUCGAAUAACUUCAUGACUAAAUGAGUUUAUAAUUACUAGGCGAAAAGUUAAAACUUAAUAAUAAAUCAUUUGAGCCCUAAUCACAUAUGUCUAAUUAGUUCCUUUCCUAGUUCGUUGAAAAUAGAAAUGAAUUGCAUAUUGAAUCAAAUAAACAAAAAUAUAUAGAAACGGUAAAAUUAGAGAAAUGGGAAAUGUUUAGAAAGGAAUGUGGUUUUCUCUAAAUAGAAAUGACCAGAAAAUUAAUUUAUAGUUUUUCAAAUUUUUAAUUAAUUAAUUGAAGUUCAAAUUAAAUUAUUUGUUCAUGUUGAAUCUGUUGAAUGUAGAAAUACUAAAUAUAUUUUCUCAUAGAUUCUUUUAUGGUAAAGUUGUCAUGAUUUUAACGGAAUUAGAAUCAAGUUAAGAAAAUUAUUUAAUUGGGAAUUUAAUUAAUUAAUUAAUUAAAUUAUGAUAUUUAUUUUGGGAAAUAGAAAAACAUGUAUUGAGUUAGAUUGAAUUAUAAAAUACUGGGUUAAAAGUUUAAAAAAUACUUAUAAUAAGACCCAAUACAGGAGAGGACCAAAAGCUUCUCAUGUUGAUACAUGAGAUGGUAAACCCUAGUUUAUUUAACUAAGGUUGCCGCCUCUCUCUUUCUUAGUUAGACUAGAAUUUUCUUUUUCUAUUGAAAUACACUUCUACUAAAUCAACAAGGGUUUCACUUCUUCUGCCUAUAAAUAGAUGGCCCCGGUAGGGCUAAAUACACAACUUUGAGAUAUUGUUAUUCUACCCAGAAAUAGUGAGAAUUUAUUUUCUAAAUAUAAAUUCUAUUUUCUGAAAUAACAAUUCUAUCGGUUUCUAUUAAAGAGAGAUUUUCUUUCCGACUAAAAGUAAAGUAAAUAAUUUUGGUUCUGUGUUUGAUUUGAAUUUGUUUGAGUCUAUACUCAAAGCAGUUCGUGGUACAAGAAUAGUGGAAAAGGUCAUUCGGUUGAAAGUCGAGAACGAUAAGGAUUUGUCUAGUUGAAGCACAUGUGUAACAACCCAUUUUUCAGUGGUUUUGAGACCACAAAUUUCCUUCGUGUCAGCCUGUAAAUAUUAUUUAUAGAAUAUUUAUGAUUCAUUAGAGUCAUAUGAAUUUUUUGUUAAGAAAUUUUACGGUUUAGAUAGUUAAUUAUAGAAAAAUGACUAAAUCAUAAAAACCGCAAACGGUUAAUCACUAUUGAGUUAAAUGUAUUAAUUGAAUAUAAUAUCAAGAUUAGAGGGUUUUAAUAGGUAAAUAGACCUUAUAUAAACUAAUUGGACGGUCUAGUAUGGUAUUUAAAGAAAUUUUUAUUGAUUUUAAAUGUUAAAAAGGUAAAUAAGUAUUAAAUAAACAAAAAUAAAACAUAAAAUCUAUCAUUUUCUUCUUUAAUUUUGAUGCAAAAACUGAAUAUCCAUGGUUUUUUAAGCUUGGAGAAUUGAUCAAGUUCAACACCUUUCAUGUUAGUGAUUUCUUUACCUAUUUCUUGUAUUUUUUAUGUUUUUGAGAUCAUUGCAACUAGGUCCAGCUAGUCCGUACCUUCAUUUUUGAAUUUGUUAAAAAUUUUGGAAGUUUCCAUUGAUGAAUAUUUGUUGUUUUUUUAUGAUAAUUAUGUGUUUGAAGUUUUGAUUGUGGUAUUUGGUUGUUUUAUGAAGUAAUUUUUAUUAUUUUUUUAUUUAAGGAUUAAAUUGUUAAAAUGUCAAAAUUUCAAGGUUUAAUGGUGAAUUAGAAGUGUAUUUGAGACUAUUUAAGGGUCUAGAAUAUUCUUCUAUAAACUAAUUUCUAAAAAGUGGUCAAUUUGGUGAUUUUAGGGUUAAGAGACUAAAUUGCAAAAGUUGUAAAAGUUAGGGAAAUUAUGUAAUUUCAAAAAAUAAAAGGGUAUGAAAUGCAUAAUUAAUUGGCAUAUGAAUAUAAGAUAAUAAUGGGAAAAUUUUACAUUUUAGAUCAAGACCAUAUAGAUUUACGAGGAAAAAGGAAAGUUACGGAAUAGUCCCUAAACUUCUGCAAAGUUAUGGAAUAGUCCCUGAACUUCUGCAACUACUACAAUUCAGUCUAGGUAAGUUCGUUCGGUUUGUAAUUUAAUAUUUAUAUGAAUUGUAUGUUGAUAUGAUAUGAAAUAGUGGUUAUUAAUUGUUCAAUUGAUGAUGUAAAGUUGUUAGGGAAAAUGUUAUUGAAUUUUGAUACUUAGGCUGGAUGAAAGCGAGAUAGAGUGCAACUGAAUGACGGUGUGUUAUGCAGUGAUUGGAAUGGAGAUUGAUGUGGUGUGCUUAUUAUAUAUUUUUCCCAAUUAUACUAAGGUUCAGCACUUGUUGCAAAACCCCGUGUUAUUUUAUCAUGUUCUGUCAUGUUAUGGGUCUAGGCACUUAGUGCCGAGGCACGUUAUUGAUUAGAUUAGCUCUGAUGAGUGUCUGGCGUGUUUUGGUUGGAUUACUUGUGUACUUGUAUCUGUAAGUCGUUCAUCAGGUCGUAAAUUGUUAUGUUAUAACUUGUUUAAUAACUUUGAAUGGCAUGACAUGUACUUGACAUCUUGAAUUGACUUCGUCGUGGAUAUAUAUGUUUUCCCGAAAAUUAUUAUUUGAGCUUUGAAUUGAACUAUACAAUUUACCGAUUUGACAUUGUAGAUGACAAGAAACUUUUAUUGUUGAAUUAUUUUUGAUUAAUGUCCGUCGAACUUACUAAGCUUCAAUAAGCUUACUUGUGUUAAUUUUUGUUUCUUAUAGAUACUUGUGAAGGUUAAACGAUCAAAUCAACACUCGAGUCACACUAUUCAUCCAUUUCGGUAGUUUCUGAACAUUUGUUUUGGAUUAUAUGGCAUGUAAUUAUUUCGUCAUUACUUUUUUUUUUGGUAUGUAAAUAUAUAAAGAGUGAGCCUAAGUGUAUGUAGAUAACCUAUUGUGAUAUAUGUAAAUGAUGGAAGAUGUCUUUGGUACAAACUUUUAGCAUAUGUAUGACAAAUAGAUUAUAUUGAAUUGUUGUGAAUUGAGGUGCUUAUGAUAGGCAUAUUGGUUAGAAGUUUAAGUUGUGUGAAUUGGCAUGUUUAGGUGAUGAUUUAUAUUGUUGUAUAAGUGUGUAUACUUGUAGUACCAUUGAAGGUACAUUGGUUAGGCACUUAAGAUGGUUGAAUUAGCAUGAUUUGAGCUUGUUUAAUGGCAUUUUGAAUAGGUCUAAUGGCUGGUAAAUGGAUUACUUACUAUCUAAGAAAUCUUGAAAUAGUAAACUUGAUAUUUAAGAUUCCUUUAGGUGUACACGACCUGGGACACGGGCUGCCACACGGUCGUGUACCACACACGGUCCACACAUGCUCUGAGACACGACCGUGUGUAUUAAGUCAGUGUGUUACAUGGCCUAGCACACGACCAUGUGUCACAAGUUAGAGAGUUACAUGGUCUGGUAUACGGCCUGUGACACGGCCGUGUGACCCAACUCAGUGAGUUACACGGGCAGAGACACGGGCUAGGACACAGCCAUGUGCCUCAACUUCUAAAGUCACACGACAUGGUGCAUUCCACACGACCGUGUGUCCCCUGUUUUUGAAAUUUUUCAUAUUUUUCCUAAAAUUUUUUGAUUUGUUUCAAAUUAGUCCCUAAGGGUUUUAAGAUUAAUUCUUUAGUCCUUAAAGCUCGAUUUAAGCCUUGUAGAUGUAAGUAAUUAUAGUAAUUCAAUUACUUUAUGGUAUUUGGGAAACUAUAAUGUAAUGAUUAUGAUUUUACCUAUUUAUUUCUGUUAAUUUACUGUAGCAUUCCCGUAACUCUAUUCCGACGACGGAUACGGAUUAGGGGUGUUACAACACGUGCAAUUUUGGUAAAGGGUUUAUUGAUAUAAAUAACAUAAACUGGCUCAGUUUUUUUUUUUAAAAAGUAGUUUUCCACUAUGCAAGAAACUAUUUUCGAAUCAAUUUUUUUUUCCAACAAUUGGUAUUAGAGCUAGGUUAUGCUAUGUUUGUAGUAUAAAUUGAUAUCAACAUUUUUCUCUCUUCUUCAUGUGUGAUUAAUUUUGAUAAAAUGUGACAUUCUUGGAACUGUAUGCAUAUUUAGAGGAAUGAAUGCAAAUGAUGUAUGCUAUUAUUAAUUUUGUCAAAGUUGUGAUUCCUAGAAAAUUAAAUGUAAUUAUUAUUAAUUUUCAGGUAUUUAUAAAUUAGAUCGUGGGCUAUCAUCUCCACACAAGAUUUGUUUUAUUAUUUUAGAAUAAAUUACAUGAGCCGGAAACGAACAUAGGACCUAUGUAACCUAUAUUUUUCGACGAAACCCGAAAAACUGAGACGUAUCCAAGCUGAUCGAGGUAACGUGAACUCGACUUAACCAAACCAGCGUAAACUGAUGGUAGUCCAGUAGCAAGAGGCUAUCGGUGGGCUAACAGAGAUGAUUGACGGUGAUUCGUCGAUGAGUUGAGGAGGUCUGGUGGCAGUUUGUUGGUGGUGGUAACGAUGACGACACAGAAAUAGUGGCAGAAAAAUAGUCAUGACAGCAACAUGAACCAGUACUGCAGUGGAAGUUCGUAGUGGCAAAAUAGAAUACCCAAAGUAUACUUUGGAGUGAGUAUUUUUAUUUUUAUUGCUAUUAUGAUUCGAAAACAAAAUAAACAAUUAUAAUCAAGUUAAACAUAUACAUUAAUAUGUAAUUCAAAUAUAAAUAUUAACAUGUCAACAUUUCUUGUCUCAUGCCUUAUUAUCAUGCUUUCAUGCUUGUCUAACAUAUCACAUGUAUUUACUUUGAAUUCAUCUAUAAUAAUAUUUCAAUUACAUGGAUUUUUAAGCAUGUCAUUUACACAUUAAUCUAUCAUACUUUUAAUAUAUCAUCUCAAUCACAUGUAUCAUAUGGCAUUUUAUAACAACAUAUUCACUUUCUCGUUUUGUAAUCAAAUCCAUUGAUUUGUUUUAUAACCAUAUCGACACCCAAGGCUCGUAAUAACAGAAUAGCAUGAUCCACACAUGCUAUCAUCAAUGCUAUGAUGUUCAUAUAUAAUUUCAAAAUCAACAUUCAAUAUUCAGCAUCAUUAACCAAUUUACAUGUUUAUAAUCUCUAUUAAUGGGAUAUAGAUCCAAGACGGAUACACAGAUUAACCAACAAUCACACCAAUAUAAUAGGCACUUAGUGUACCAUCAGAAUGUCUGAAGUAAUGUGCUUUCCGCGCCUCAUCAAUAUAAAUCGAAGUAAUCAUAUCAUUGGUAUGAGACCAAAAUAAACCCCGAAUACAAAUCCUAUGGCAUGCCAACUAUACUCGACUUAAUCCAAAACUGUUAAUAAGGUAUUUGAUAUUUCAAUGCACAUAUGAAUCACAUGUUAUAAGUCAUUACAUAGCAAUUUCGUCUCACACUCAAUUCAUUUGCAUAUAAAUACUUAUCAUUACAUGACAUUAUCAUGCUUUCUCAUAUUACUUGUCACAUUCAUUUCAUAUUCAUAAUUUUACCUCAAAUAUUCGAGACAUAUUAACAUAUAUAUACUUUCACAUUUAAUAUACAACCAAUAUGAUAAUUCACAUUAUUCACAUAUCAUUUACUAUUUGAAUUCAUUUUUUCACUUAUCACUUAUUUCAUAUCUAUACAUUUACUUUAAACACAUUAUACAUACAAUUACAAAAACUUUCAACAAUUCAUCAUAUUGCAAAUACUUACCAAUCAUGAGACAAGUAGUUUUUUACCUUAACCAAGUUAUUACUUAUCAAGCUAUAUCAAACCAAAUUAGCCCUAAUAACCUGUUUUCAGUGGUGUCGGAAACAGUGGUUUUGGGACUACAAUUUUGACAAGCGAGUUAGCAUAUUGUUAUUUAUUUAAUGUUUAUGAACAAUUAUUAGAGUCAUACUAAAGUUUUGUUAAGAAAUUUUAACGUUUAAAUAGUUAAUUAAUUAAAAAGGACUAAAUUGUAAGAGCUUUAAACGUAAGUUUCUAUUAGUUAAAGGUUUCAAAUGGCUAGGAAAAAAUAUGCCAUUUGAUUUUAUAGUGGACAGUUUUGGUGAUUAAAUGCAUGAAAUUUGAUUAAAUUUUAAAGGAUAAAUUGGUAAUUUAGUAAAUUAAUAACAUAAACUAAAAUAAAAAAAAAUGUGGUCAUCUUCUUGCUUGAGAAAAAUUGAGAGCCGAAAACACCAUGGGAGGGUAUUGAAGGUUUGGCCAAACAUCUUCCUUGCAUGCAUGUGUUUUUGAAAUCUGUUUUUAGUGAUUUUUACAUUCUCGAUAUCGUUUUAGCUUAAUUUAGUUAACCUGGGAGUCAAUUCGUGAAACUGCUAAAAGUUUAGUGAAUUACCAUGAAUGUUUUUAGUGUGUUUUUGAAUUGUGUUGAUUUAUUCAUGAACUUGAUAGUUAGAUAUAAGUAUUUUGUUAAGUGAUUUUUGGUAAUUUUAAGGUUUAAGGACUUAUUUGUGGAAAUAGUAAAAUUUCAUGGAACUAUUGUGAAAUGAUGAAAAAUAUGGGCUGCAAUGGGUCAUUAGGAAAUUUUACUAGCAUGAUUGGAGAGUAAAAGUGGUUAACUUGCAAGUUUCAGGUUUAAGGACUAAGUUGCAUAAUGAUUAAAAUAUUGGGGGUAAUUUUGUAAAUAUUAUUAAAAGGGCUUAUUAGCUUAAGAAUAAUUAAUUGAGAUGUUUGGAUGUAUUAAUUGAGUGGAAAUUUUAAUUUAGAUCAAGAAAUAACUCAAUCAGAUGUUAAUUGCGGAAAAGUGAAAGUAGCGUAAUAAACGUCAAUUUCGUGUUUGUGAUUGUAUCUAUCUAGGUAAGUUCAUAUUUCAACUAAAGUAAUUCAUUUGAUUGCUAGAUGUAAAUUGAUAUAUAUAUCUAUAAAUUGGUGAUUGGAUUCAUUGAUUAGAGAAACGAGAAAAACUAUGAUUGAAAGAUAUCGGGACAUUAUACCUGAAAUGAAAAAGACCAUAGUUGAAAGAUAUUAUAGCAUUAAAUCGAAACAGGUAAGACUCUAGUUGAAAGAUACUAGACACUAUAUCGGAAAAUGAACAAGACCAUAGUUGAAAGAUACUAUGGCACCACUCUAGGAUUGUGUAAGACAUUGGUUGAAAGAUACCAUGGCAUCCUCUGAACAAUGAAAUAAUCGAAAAAGAUAUCAAUUGAAUGGUUAUUAUAUUAAUUUUCUAAGGUUUUUCAUGUGAAUAAGAAUUUAUGAGUACAUAAGUGAGAUUUGAGAUAAUAUGUGCUUUAUGUAAAGUAAUUUUACUAGGUAAGUUAUGUUUACAUAUAUUCGAACUUACUAAGCAUAUCGUGCUCAUGUUAUUAUGUUUUUCUUGUAGAUUACGAAAAGUCUAGUUGAUCGGGAGUUCAAGUUGGGGCAACAUACUAUCCAUCUCUCAUCUUGGUAGAUGUUUUGAGUUAUUUUGGAAGUUGGUUAUGAAUGGCAUGUAUUACGAUCUUUUGGUUUAUUUGUUCAUGUUGUUAUGUUUAGUAUUUAAAAUGGUGUUACUUUGUAGUCAUGUAUAUAUGUUUGGUAUUUUGGUUUAAUGGUAUUGUAAUAAAUGCUUUUCGUCUUUGGUGAAUGCUUUAUGAUUAUAUAUAAAUGUUGUUUAAAGGAUGUGAAGAAAUGGAAUAUUUAAGUAGUGUUAAGUACAUAUUUUAGAUAUUGCCUUGGGAUGAAAUUGUGUGAUUGUUGGAAGUAGUCAUGAAUGAUUUGAAUUAAUGAUAAAUUAGGUAUGUGAUUAUCCUUGUUCAAUGUGAAUUUGAAUGCAAUAUAGCUUAGCGUGUGAUAGGUGUUUGAUUUGGUUUAUUUCGACAAAUGAAUUGUGGUGUCAAUGAGGGCACAUUGGUUAGGCACCUAGGUUGAUUGAUUUUGGCAUGUUUUAGGUGUGUUUAAUUGAGUUUUAAUGUGUGAAUGUGUUUGGAAAUGGUAUGUCUUGGUGUGUAAGAAAAGGCUAUUAAAUUGGCUUGCAUUAAGGGUUAUUUUGGCAGCACACGGCCUGAGACACUGGCUAUCACACUGUCGUGUGCCACACAGGGUCACACACACGACCAUGUGUCAUUUAAAUUUUAAGUGCAGGACGAACAACACAGUCAUAGAGAGUUACACUGCCUGGUGACAUGGCCGUGUGACUUUACUUCGAAUACACACACGGUCUGGCACACGGUCGUGUGACCCCAUUUCGAAUACCCACACGGUCGAACACACGGGUUAGGAUAUGACCAUGUGUCCCAUAGUUCAAAUGUUACACGGUUGGCCACACGGCCAUGUUUUGAGUCACACAACCUAGGCUUUGUCACACGACCAUGUGAACCCUAUUUCCAAAAUUUUCUGUUUUGUUUCAAAUUAAUCUUUAAAUGUUCCUAAAUUAUUUUUAAGGCCCCGUAGACUCGGUUUAAGGCUCAUAAGUGCACUUAUACUAUAAAUGAAGUGUGUAUUUGAAUGUUGGUUUGUAAAUUGAAUAAUUAUUUUUGUUUGAAGUUAAAUGUUUCGAAUUGUAUUCUAAUACUUCGUAACCCUAAUUUGGCAACAGAGACAGGUUAAAGGUGUUACAGUGCUACUCAUCUAUAGCCUUUGCCUUUGCUUAAUCCCACAACAUCUCAACCUCGCCUUUAAUUACUUAAUUUGGUGACCGAAUGUUAAAAGGAGAAAAACCUAAAAUUUCAAAUUUUCUCUUAGCAUGAACGACAUAAAGGAAGAAGAAAAUGAAAUGGUUUUAUCUCUCUCAUAACUCAUUAUAUAUACUUGGAUUAAUGAACUAAUUAAACUUAAUUAGAAAACAAAUCUUAUUUAAUUAACUAAAUAAAUAACACUAAUCAUCAUUUAAUAUACUUAGUGGAAAUAGAUGAAGUAAAUUGUUGUUAUCCACUAACACAUUAAUAAUAAUGGUUAAAUAAUCAUUAGGUCGUUUGCAUAAUUUUUAAUUAAGCCCUCAAAUAUAUAUUUUUUUAAAUUAAAACAUAAUAGCUAUUGUACAUUUACGAUUUAAUUCUUAUACUAUAAUUAAUAAUUUUCUCGACUUAAUUACUUGAUUGUUCAACAAUAUAUAUUUUUGGUGACAACCGUUCAACAAUAUAUUUUCAUACUAAAUAUGUAGAUCCUUCUAUUCAUAAAUUCAUCAACUCAAUUUACAAAAUUCGAUUUCAAAACUACAUUUUUUGACAUUAGUUAAAAUCAAGUCAUUGUAAAAAGAUAGAGGAAAUCGAAGAAAGAGAAAAAGAGAUUUUAGAGAGAGAGAGAAGAAAUAAUAUGAAAGAAAAAGAAAUGUGUUGAGAGGAGAGAAUGAAAAAAUAUCUUUUUUAUUUUUUGGCAAGUGUGAUAUUCUAAUUGGUUAAAGUGCUUUUUAAUGAAAAUAUAAGUUGGAUAAAAAAAUAUAACGGAAUAAUAGUUUAAAUAUAUUUUUAACAAAAAAAAUUAAGUACCUAAAUGAAAAAAAAUCAUAAUAUAGGUGUAAAAUUUUCAUUCAAGUUCUUUUAUAAAAAACCCAAACACGUCCUAAGGCUUAACACUAUGUUUGGAUAAAUAAUUAUAAAAGAAAAAUAAAGAAAAUGGAAAGAAAGGAAGAUUAAGGGACGGAUAUUAUAUAAGAUAAAAUUAGUAAAGUAAAUGAAUAUGUAUAUUUUGAUAAUAAAUAAGGCAACUAAGUGUCUUUAGUUAGCCUUUACAAAGGAAUUACCUAAUAUAUCUUCUAACAAAAAAUUUUUAAUAUGAAAAUCAAUAAUUGAAAGUUUGAAUUUUCCUCUCGAACAAGUUCUAACGAUCCAAUUAGUAAUCACGUUUCCUCCUCUUUGACUAAAUUGGAACUUCAUUGUUUGAAAGUACCUAUUACCUGCAAAGAUCUUCCAAACCAAAGACAACAAGUUACCUUCCUUAAAUUUAUUUGUAAGGUACUCCAAAGUAAAGGAAUAUUUAUAAUCAUUAAAUUAAUAAAAUGAUUGAUUAUAAUAAUUCUGUUUUUCAAUUAUACCCUUUUGUAAGUAAGAUUGGUCAACUAAAAACAUUUUACUAGUAGAUAGUGAGAGAUCUCUUUUUCUUAUUCUUCUUCAAUUUUCUCUAUCAGAUACGUAAUCGGAGCCGCCAUCUUUCUAGGAAGCACCUCGUUGUGACAUCUGCAAAUGCAGCUUCAACACUUUCAGGCAUUAAGGUAUUUUCUUUCUUUUCUCAAAUCUUUUACUUUUUUAAAAAAAAUUCAUUUUCUAUAUGAAUUAAAUUUACCGAUCGUUUUUAUUUUACUCUCAGAAAGAAAGCAUUUUGGGAUUUAGUUUUUGAGUUCUCACUUCUCAAAAAUGAGCGUUUUGACUAAGUAGAGCUGUAGCAGAGCCAUGAAUCCUUGGGUUCUUCAUCUCCAAAAACUGGGUCUCAAGCUUAAGUGUCCUCCCCUUUUGAACUUGUUUAAGCGGCCACUGUUGCUCCCUUGCAGUAGUGGAAUCUAUAGAAAUUUGGGUUCUGCAAACAAUCUCAUUCCAUUGAAGAUGGGUAGGCAAAAAGGAAAAUUUUGAUAAGUGCAACAUUCAAAGACGUGCUACAGAUGAACAAUAAGAUGGGGUUGAUUUGCUAUGAUCAGUUUGAACAGAAGAUGCAUGUCCACAACUUGUGUAUCGAAUGGGCACCUGGAACUAUGCUGACUUUCUUUUGUCAACUAACUAAAGAAUGACAAUAGUUGAUUCUUUUUAGCUAGAAAAUGAUCACUAACUUACUAAGCUUUCUCUUUUAGAAGUUACAACUUGCGUUGAGGUGGAAUUGAAUAGGCGAUGCGUUUACUGAAAAUUAAUAUAAAAAUAGCGGUGAUGAUAAAAUUAAAUACUGUAGUAAUUCUGUAGUGUGAAACAAAAAGUAAACUAAAUAUAUUACACCGCACCCUACUGCCCAUCUAAAUCAACCCUUAAACUCCUUUCUUUGUAUUGGAAUAGUUAUACGAGCUCUUUUGAGUUGGGCUGUAUUGUUGGAGAAUUGAUUGAAAUGUAAAUGUUCUGUGUUUGGCACGCCAAGGAAAUAUUAUUUCUAUUCUCAAUAAAUAAACAUGAGGUUUUUCAUUCUUUUAAUUGCUGAUUCAGAGUUCAUUUGAAGUUGAGUUUUGAAAUAUUUUUGAUGAGCGAACUAUUUUAAAAGAAAGAAUAUAAAAGAGUGUUGUUUCAUAAAGAUAACAUGAAUGUGGUUAAAACCAUUAAAGAUAAAUAAUCAACAAUUGUGAAUUCAAUAUUGGUUAGAAGAAUCAAAUAAAUAUUAAAAUAUGAAAGACUGUAAUAAUUGAACUGCUGAUGGGAUUGUAAAAUUGAUUUCUAAUAAUAAGAAAUGUGUCUAAAUUUUUGAGAAAAUUCUUUUAAGGGAUUUCGCAAGACUUAUGUUGAGAUAAAACAAAUGAAUUUUUAAUUUCUAAUAAUUUAGUAUAAGCACUUUGAAUUUGGUGAAAAUCAAUUUCUCCAAAAAUCAAUCCAUCUUUCAAAAUCCACUUUCCAGAAAUUUUUUUCACUCUAACAAUAACACCCUAGGUAAUUUAAGUAAAAUUAAGGGUUCAAUACCUUUUCCUUUCCCUUGAUCGAAAAAAAAUAAAAUAAAUAACGAUAAUUAUUUAAUUAUUAGUAAUAUUAAUCAAAUAAAAAAUAUAAAAUAAUGUAAAAUUAUUUUAAUUUUUAAUUUUAUAUGGUACAAACGAAUUAAGAAUUGAACUUAAAUUAUAAAAUUUGCAUAGAAUAUUAAUUAAAAUUAAAUACUUGUUGGAUAAAUAAUGAUAUAAUAAUAUAAUAUAAUAAAAAAUAAAAUUUUUUCUUUAUUGAAUUAUCUAUUUAUAAUUUUUAUAUAUUUUUAAAAAUAUAGACUGAAUUUUGCACACCUAUCCUACGUAAAAAGAAUAAAAAACCGCAGGAAGUGUUUGUUUCGCAUGAAAAUGUCGCGCCCAAAAUAGUAAAAUACACCUCAAUGCACCAAAUCAAACCCUAAAACCCUCCAUUUUGUUGCCACCAAAGCGUUCUCCCCCCCCCCCACCCUUAAACCCUAAACCCCAGAAAAUUCGAAACCGAACUCCUUUCUUACUCUACAAUGGCAAUGUUCUCACUAGCUAUCAGAGCUCGAGCCAAAGCUAACCCUCUCCUAACACGGAGAGCCUUACAUUUUCGCAACUUUUGCAACGGCCGUUUUGGUUUAUCGACGUCGGAGUCCAACCCGCCUGACCGGCCAGUGGCGGGGACCAAGUUUCUCGAGUCUUUCAAAGAAGAGUUCGAAAUUGGAUCUCGGGUAAUUUCGCUUGAAACGGGUAAAAUUGCUCGUUUUGCUAAUGGGGCCGUUGUUUUGGGCAUGGAAGAGACCAAAGUUUUGUCCACUGUUGCUGCCGCUAAAGGCGACGCUGUUCGAGACUUUCUACCGCUUACUGUAAGUAAUAUUAUUCAAUUUUGUCUUCUCUUUUUCUUCCUAAUCUAGGGACAAUUUGAACAUCUUUAAUGUUUUAGUUUUCAUUUUGGGUUAAAUUUAAUCUUGGGUCAUUGUUAUUUAAUAAUGUUUUGUUCCAUACAAAUGUUCUAAGUUUGCUCAGCUAUUUAGGUUCUGUUUGGAUUGUAAUUUUGCUUUUUGAUGUUUACUUUUUGAUUUUAGUUUUAUAUAUGGCGUUCUUUACUUUCUAUUGAAACAAAUAGAAAAUAGAGAAAGCAUGAACCUUAGUAUGUCCUUGAAGAGGGUUCUAAUUAUGGGUGAAAGAGCAAGUUAUUGAUUUUUUAAAGGGAUAUGAAAUCUGGGUUUGCAGAAUUGUGCUUGGUUAUUUGUUUAUUACUAUUUGGUUAUUGCUUCAUCAGAAGUUGUUCUAUAAAGAGUAGAAAGCAAAUUUAUGAUGAAAACAUGACCUAAAAUCAAACCCCAAUUUUAACAUAGUUAUUCAUAUAAAAGUAAAACCAUGUAUUUCCUUGUGUAGAAAAUACAAUUUUUCUUUUUUAGUUCUUAUGAACUUAUAUUUUCUGAUUUUGCAUCUAAAUCAAGAUUUUUUUGCAUUUUGAUCUUGUAAGCAAGAACGCCCAACAAAAUUAAUAAGGGGCUCUAUUAACUAUUGAAUUGUAAUUGAUCAUUUGGUUAUUCAUGGAGUAGACAUUUCUUGAAUGUUAGGGGCUUGCUAGUGUGUGGUCUCAUUGGGAAUUUUCUUCUUUUAAGGUUGAUUAUCAAGAGAAGCAAUUUGCUCAAGGUCUGAUUCCAAACACAUUCAUGCGGAGGGAGGGUGCUCCAAAAGAACGUGAACUUUUAUGUGGUCGUCUCAUUGAUAGGCCCAUACGGCCUCUUUUUUCCGCUGGCUUUUACCAUGAGAUCCAGGUGUUGUUACUUUUCAGAUUCAAACAUGUGCAUGUAUAAAUAUAUUUCAGUUGUCAAUUUGAUUGGCAUUGCCGUAUUCAAUAGGUAAUGGCAAGUGUUCUUUCUUCUGAUGGCAAACAAGAUCCAGAUGUGUUGGCAGCUAAUGCGACUUCUGCUGCUCUUAUGUUAUCAGAUAUUCCAUGGGGUGGACCCAUUGGAGUGGUACGGAUAGGGAGAAUUUGCGGGCAGUUUAUUGUUAAUCCAACAAUGGAUGAGGUAUAAACAUAAGCUUUUGUUUAGUUAUGGAUGCUGAUUAAGGUGCCUCUUUUGUGAUUAUUAUAGGUAGUCUUAGGUCAAGUGUAGAGUUUUGACUUAAUUGUAAUUUCCGACUUACCUUUUGUUUUUUAUAUAUUGUAAUGAGUUAGUUGUUAGAUGCUCAUCGUAAAGUUAUCUCAUUGCAAAGUUCUUGCUUAUGUAGGACAUGUUUAGUUGUGUCAUUAUUAAUUCAUGGUGUUUACCUUCUUUGUUUACCUCGUGAAGUAAAUCAUCUGGUUGGAAACUAGCUAAUAACUAAAACACUUAUUGGAAUCAUGGCUAGUUAGAAAGGCAUAGUGUAGGGGCAAAUAAAGGUAAAGACUGGUCUCAGUGGCAUGUGGUAUAGUUUGUUUAUUUAUUCAGGUUUACUCAUACUGCUAGGUUUUCUUAAAUUCUGGCGGAUUGUAUGAGAUGCUAUUGUUAUAGUUGGACCAUGUUGGGAUGGUGCUUUCAGUGUAGCUCUUAUAGGCUUUUAGCAGAUGUGGAGUUGCUCAAGACUGCUUUGGAUGCUUAUAUGAACUUUCAAUUUCCCCACCUCCCUUCCCUUAGGAUCUGGAUUAAAAUUUUUUUUCGUUCAGUUUUCCCUCAGUUGGUAUUCCCUUAUAUUUCCCAGUUUGUUGUCAUUUCUUGGGUUCUGCUCUGGUCUCACCUUGAUGGUCCUUUGAUACAAUUUUAAUGUGUCAUGCACAUUGUAUAUAAUGCUAUUUAUUGUUAUUUGGCGAGGAAAGUUGUUACAAGUUUGUCUAACCUAUAUUGAAGUUGCUUUUAGGCUUUGUAACCCCUGUAAAUCUGGUUACAAUGAAUAUAGAUCUGUCAGUUACCCUCCUCUGAUAAGUCCUUAUUUGAUGUGGUUCAGCUUAGUUUAAGUGAUCUCAACUUGGUAUAUGCAUGUACGAGGGACAAAACCUUGAUGAUUGAUGUGCAAGCUCGCGAAAUCACUGAGAAAGAUUUAGAAGCUGGUUUAAGGCUGGCUCAUCCGGAAGUGAGUCACAGGCUUGUCAUAAACUUUUCUUGUGUAUCAAUUAAUGGAAAAUGGCUUUAAGAUGGUUUAUUGAUUCAGGCAGUUAAAUAUCUGGAACCUCAAAUCAGACUGGCUGCAAAAGCUGGCAAACAAAAGAAGGAAUACAAAUUAUCCAUGGUCUCAGAACAAUUCUUUGAGAAAGUUAGAAAGCUGGCGGAAGCACCAAUUGAUGCUGUUUUUACAGAUCCUUCCUAUGGAAAGGUGAUUACAUUUCUCCUUUCACCUAUCUUUCUCUAGAUAUGAAAAUGUUACUUAUAUACACAGAUUCAUUAGAGUUUCUUGUUUUUAAUUAAUUUAUUUUAAUGUAUUAUUGGGUUUCAUGCUGUGGUAAUUUGUAAUAAUAUAGUUUGAACGUGGCGAGGCUUUAGAGAAGAUAACACAAGAUGUAAAAAGUGCACUUGGAGAAGAAUGCGAUGAGCAAAGCUUAAAAGUUCUGCCAAAGGUUGUGGACACUGUCAGGAAAAAGGUGAGCUCUGGAUAAAGCUGUUAAAUGAGUUUCUUUUUCAUCUUUUUGGCUUGACAAAAGAUUUGAUUGCAUAACAAGUAUAACUUUAGACUUUUGGUGAUCUUGAGCAAUCUUCUAGUUUCUGAUGAUAAGUAAAUGGGAAUUUAAACUUCCUUAAAACUGAAGAAGGGGGAUGAAAAUUGGAUGAGUUUUGCUUCACUCUUAUAUUAUUGCCUAUCCUUGUUCUUGAACCUCUUGAAGUUGCCAUAGCUCAAGUUGAAUGAAAAUAUCAGGUUGUUCGCAAAAGAAUUAUUUCUGAUGGAUUUAGACUUGAUGGAAGACAUCUUGAUGAAGUUCGGCCAAUAUACUGUGAGGCUGGCCAUUUGCCUAUAUUACAUGGAUCUGCUCUUUUUAACCGUGGGGAUACUCAGGUUAAGGAACAGUUAUCCUUGUCUCUACUUCUACAUUCUAGAUAUCCGUAGGUUUGACCUUUCUUUGUAGUGGAGACUUAUAUUUGAUGUUUUAUUUCAGGUUCUUUGUACUGUGACACUUGGGGCACCUCAGGAUGCCCAACGCUUGGACUCCUUGGUUGGUCCCCCAACGAAGCGCUUCAUGCUUCACUAUAGUUUUCCACCGUUUUGUAUCGAUGAAAUUGGUAAACGAGCUGGCUUGAACAGACGUGAAGUAGGGCAUGGUAAACCAAUUUCUUAAUCACAAAAUAUGUGUUGUAUGUAAAAACGUUUUACCAUUUAGAUGAGCUUUUGCUUGUCUCUUUUGUUACCCUUAGGAACUCUUGCGGAGAAAGCUCUUCUUGCUGUAUUGCCUCCUGAAGAUGAUUUUCCAUACACUGUUCGAAUUAAUUCUGAAGUCAUGGCUUCAGAUGGUUCAACAUCUAUGGCUACUGUUUGUGGAGGUAUCAAUUUCACUCUGUAAAUCAGUUAUAUUUAUUUCCUUUAAACCUUUAGCCUGAUGGGGUUUCUUAAUACAGGCAGUAUGGCUUUGAUGGAUGCUGGCAUUCCAUUACAAGAACAUGUUGCAGGUGUUUCAGUCGGUCUUGUUACUGAUGUUGACCCAGAAAGUGGUGAAAUUACGGAGUAUCGUAUAUUGACUGAUAUUUUGGUGAGAUGUUUUACUUGACCAAUUUUGGCAUAUUGUUUAGGUGACAGAUCUUGGUUGCUUUUAUUUUAUUGAAUAAUAAAACCUUUAAAAAGAUGUUAGAAACCAACACUAGAAACUUUUCUACCUUUGAUUAUGUAUGGAGUGGUUUUUUUCUUCAUUCUCUUAUUAACUUAAUGAUUGCCUCUAGUUCUAAGGAGUAUGGACCAAGGAGUUAGCUACAUGGUACCAAGGUCUUGUUGGUAAAUACUUUUGUGACAAUAAUGUGAAGUUGGUAAAGUUCAUUAAAACAGUGAUUUCUCUAGGGUCUUGAAGAUCAUCUGGGAGACAUGGAUUUCAAGAUUGCUGGGACAAGGAAUGGAGUUACAGCAAUUCAAUUGGACAUAAAACCUGCUGGGAUUCCUUUAGAUAUAAUAUGCGAGUCUUUGGAUCCUGCACGUAAAGGACGCCUUCAAAUCCUUGAUCACAUGGAACAAGAGAUUAGCGUGCCUCGAAAUCAAGAUGAUAGAAAUUCUCCUCGUCUAGGUUCAAGUUUUGAUUAUGUUUGUUAGCUUUUGGUUUUGUACUCAAGUAGCUCAGAUACUCUGCAACAAUUGAUUUUAUACUCAACUGUAAAUAAUGCUCUGUGAUGCAGUAACUUUGAAGUUUAGCAAUGAUGCUAUUCGGCGAUUUAUUGGGCCUUUAGGUGCUCUCAAAAGAAAAAUUGAAGAGGAAACUGGUGGGUGUUGAACUUGAAAAACAUUUUGCAUUUGGUUGGGGAUGUAAUCUGAUUUUGGUUGUGGUUAAGUUUUUUGAUCAUUUCUGCCAUGAUGGUACUCUUCCUAGAAUAAUGAUAUGAAUUAUUCUUGUAGUUCAUAAUUGUUUCCUUCGUUAAUACCAGUCAUUGAGGAUAUAGAUUUUCACUCUUCACAUUGGACAUGGAAGAGGAUUUAUUUUGUUAGACUCAAGCAUCAGUUGGACAGCUAUGAAAAUUAUAUUUAUGCUGAAGAUUAAAUAGUUCUUUUCAAUUAUGGAUGACUGAAGGACACAUCUUUUGUGUACUUUGCUGAUUACAUUUUAUUGCUGCAAAUUAUUGUUGCAUAUUGUUCAUUCAAGUUGAUGCUUUUCAAAAUUCAGGUGCUCGGAUCUCUGUUGGUGAUGGGACAAUUACUAUAGCUGCUAAAAAUCAGGCUGUGAUGGAAAAAGUGCAAGAUAAGGUAUUCAUAGCAUUCCUUAUUUUAAUUAAUGUCCGAUAUUCCUGUAGUUUGUUUUAGAUAUAUGCAAACCUUUUAAUACUUAUUCAUUGUACUUAUUACUUCCAAUUCUAAAAGUCGUUGAAGGCUUUUUUGCAAAUUUAAUGUACUAUAAUAUCAGUACUCACUUUGGCUAGCUAAAAGUAGACAAUUUUUUGAGGAAUGGUGAUUAUUUUCAAAUUUAAAUGCUUGAACCCUUUUGGUAUGCUGCUUCAAUACUUCCUGUCUAUGUUGCUCGGACUCGGGUACAGAUUUUGGGUGCUGCUUUGUUUCUAGAUGUCUUACUCAAUUGUCUUGAACUUAAGACAAGGGGUUACAACAGAAAAGGGUCCAAGAUCUGGACACAUACCAUUCACUCUAGGAUUAAUUUGGUCCAUCUUGCUGCUAGUUUACAAUAUCAUGAGCUUGCCUGUUCUUCAUGCUUUAUCCUAAUUAAGUUCCUUGAGUGAUCUUUUGUGCUACAGGUUGAUUUCAUCGUUGGCCGUGAAAUCGUAGUUGGAGGAAUCUAUAAAGGUAUUGUGAUGUCAAUUAAAGAAUAUGGUGCCUUUGUGGAGUUUAAUGGUGGACAGCAAGGUCUGCUACACAUUUCUGAGCUAUCACAUGAACCGGUAGGUGACAAAACAUUACCAUUGAUUUAACCAUUACUUUUUCUAAAUGCCCUUUCAGCCUUUCUGAUUUCUAGGUUUUGGAUGUGGUUCUCUCUUAUUGGUUUUUUGGCUCAUAUAUAUGGUUGCUCAGGGUCUUGGUCAUUUAUUUAAGUUUGAAGGAUUGGUGAACUUGAUGCUUUUUGUUUUGCUCUCAAAUUGGAUCGCUAUUUAAUAACUAUAAUUCACAUUAAGCAUGUAUCUGGUAUGAUAAUCAAUUUUUGCAUCAGUCAACAUGAAAAAAAUUCAGAAACUAAUGAGAACGCUUCAGAAUACUUAUCCAUAUUAUGUUUAGGGUUUAGGCAUGUUUUUAAUGGAUGGUUUAUUUUAUAAAGCUUUUGCGUCAAUAUGGAAGGCCACACCAACUUACAUGUAUCUUUCAUCAGGUGUCUCGUGUUUCAGACGUGGUGUCUGUUGGCCAGCAAAUUUCUUUGAUGUGCAUAGGACAAGAUGUUCGUGGUAAUAUAAAAUUAUCUCGUAAAGCAACUUUACCCCGGCCUGAAUCCGAGACAAAAAGUGUAGUUGAAGGAUCUGCUCCUGUUACUAAAGAAAAACCUAAUAUUUGGGCAUCACCUGAGAACAUGUCAAAAGGUGAACAGCUGGAGUCCACUCUCGAGGAGCUGGUGCCGAGUAAAAUGGAGAAUACUGAAUCAAACCGAUCCGCCUCUUUAAUGCCAUCAGUAGUAAUUCGAAGUGCUGCGGAGUGUGACGAGGAGGAGAAGUCUGCUGGUUUGAGUAAGACUUCCAAAAGUGCUCCUAAACCAAAGGGCACGUUGAAAAAGGGUAGUAAACAGAAAAAGAUCCAGUCUUCUGAUAACAUGCCUGAUUUGUCUCUCAGUAUUAUGUUAUCGGAAUCCUUAUCCCGAAUGGGAGGGAAUCAAGAAGUUACUUCUCAAGAUGAAGGUGAGGCUAAUCUGAGUGAUCAGAAUGACAAGGAAACUGUUGGUAACACUCCAGUGACACCUCAAAAACUGAAGCUAGGAACAAAAGUUACUGCUAAGAUUUAUCAAAUUCGAGCACGUGGUUUAGUUCUCGAUUUGGGUGGUGGAAUUCGUGGCAUGUACAAGUAUGAGGUACGGUCCUUAUUUUAAGAAAAAAAUCGUCUCUUUCCAUGUACCACCCUUUUUCAAGUAUGGCCUUUUAUUAUCAUUUUUUGGUUGGCUCAAUUCUAAUGUUCUAUGUUACUUGGGCAUCUGUGUUUGAUACAAGCAUGUGUCUAAUACGAGAAUAUUCAAUUUUUUCCAAGUUUUAUUUAUGUAUUUAGAGAGUUUUUGGAGGGUCAUUUCCCCAUGCUUGUGUCUGAAAAUAUGUUGAAUACAGGUGUUGGGACACUGGUACUUCAAGAAAAAUAAAAAGUAGAAGCAACAUAGCUAAUGUUUUAAAACCAUUCCAUUUUCUUGAUAGGUGCUCUAUCAACUUACAGUUUAAUUAUUUAUUUAGUUGACUUUGGCAAAUCUAGAUGAUGAUGUCCAAUCAUCGUACUAGUGGAAUUUGUUGAUCUGUUUUAUCUCGGCACCCCGUGAUCUCUGCUCUCUUUUAGAUAUUGGUUGAUUAAUUCAGGUCUUGUUCUAAUUUUCAAGACCAUCCCAUUAUCGGUUUCCUUUCUUUAGACAGGUGCUCAAAAGAACAUUUCUUUGUUAGAAAUAUCUAAGUUGUGGUUGCCACACUGAGUAUAUUUGCUUCAGCCUUUGAACCUGCUAACCUAUUUUCAUUUCCUUGCAGUCCAAUGGUGAGAGGGAGUUUACUGUAGGUGACGAAUUGCUAGUCCAAUGUUCAAGUUUUACAAGUAAAGGUAUCCCGGUCAUGUCUAUGGUGGAUGAAGAAUGAUAGCACAUUGACAGUCCUUGCUGGGAAUAAUGUUCUUAUAGAUGUAGACGAGAUUGGUGUUCGAUGGAUAUUCUUGUUCCAAUGGCUGAAUAUUAUUGAAUUAUCGACACUGUUUUGGUGAACAAGCAUCUGCAAAGGUGGAUCAAUGAAUAUAAAUUUACCCUGAAGUACACGAGGAAGCUUUCUUGGUGGCUGUACAAGCAAGGUAGUCUUUACAGCUGGGCGAACCAUAAUACUUCAAAGAUUUCAUUUUUCGUUUUUUGCAUGACAUACUUUUGCAUGGGCCCUGUACGAUGCAUGGUUUGCACUCUUAAACCUCGGGGAUUUUGAAAUUUUGGAGAAUUGACUGUAUUUGGGAAUUUGAAGAUAUAGAGGAAAUUGUAGCUCCUAACCAGAUUAGGUUCAUUGAUUAUGAGGUUGGAUCCUUCAUUGUUGGUAUAUAAAUAUUAUGAGUCGGGCAUAACAAUGAUUGUAACUUGUGAGCAGGGUUAUUGUACCGUAUCGAUAUUGAUAAAAUUAUUGAAGAUAUUACCUUUGUACUGUUUUGAUUUUUGUUGCCCGAGAUGCAAUCUUUCUCCCUGUUUAGAGCCCAUGUUUGUAAGGUGUGCCAAAAGUUGAACUUGAAUUAAAAACGAAAGAUGUGCAAUUUUUGGUCUUCCAAACUGUCUACUAAUGCAUAAUUAAUUUUUUUUUUUUGUAAUUUUGUUUAAUCACAGGAAUCAAAUCACUAGCAAUAAGGGUUUGAUUCUUUGAAAUCCUGGGUUCCUAUUGGAGCCAACAUAAAGCUGUUAACCCUCUUUCAAUUUUGGAGCAAUAACAUGCAAACGUUAAUUAAGCCUAUUUCUUUUAACUUCAAUGGCAUAUUAUAGCUAGUAGUGUGCAUGGGUCAGGCCGGGUUGGGGCCGGGCUGGGCUUAGAUAAAUUUUAGGCUCAUUUUUUAAGCUUGGGCCCGGUUCGGUCUGAAAUAUGGGCUUAAAAAUUUGUCCAAGCCCAGUCUGAAAUAAAAUUGUUAAGUCCGAGAAUGGCCCGGCCCAUAUUAAUUUUUUAACUUAUUUCAUUAAAUAAAAAAUUGUAAAAUAUAAUAAAUCAUUAAAUACAUUUAAAACAAAUAUUAAAACAAGAAAACAAAUAAAAAAUUAUAUUAAAACAAUUUUUAAAACAAUACAGAAAUUGAAAAUAUAAUAAAAAUUGAUUAUAUUAAAAAUAAAAAUAAAAUGUAAAUAUGAUUAAAAAUAAAAAAAAUAUUUACUAUUAAUUCGGGCCGGGCCAAGUCGGGCUUGGGCGAAAAAAGUUUUACCCGAGUCCGGCCCGUUUUCUAAACGAGCCUUGUUUUUUUUGCCCAAACUCAUAUUUCGGGCCUAUAUUUUUACCCGAAUCUUCCUAUUUUUUAGACGGGCCUUCGGGCCAGGUCGGGUAACCCAGACCAUGCACACCUAUAAUUAUAGCCGACAAUAGAAAGAUACAAAACCUUGCCUACCCUCUUCCGUUAAAUUAAAUCCCACAAAGUUCCUAGCUCAGAAGAGCCUUAGCUUUGACAGUUCCGGGAAUGAAAGUUAUUGUAGGGAGACUAGAACCUGGCAACUCAAUUCUCCGAUCUUACACCAAGAAGCUCCCAAUCCUCUCCCUAAAUGUUUUAGCUAUAGCUGCAACAACUAUAUAUCAUGGCACCCUUAUAUACAGCCCUUAACUGCCUGCUCAAAUUUUGCCGAUGCAAGGUUCCACGAUAAAUUAAAAAUGUACGAUGCAGCAUACAUCAUCCUUGAAAUCUAGAUCAUAUCUGUGAGUUAGGAAAGAUUAGAAUGUCGGAAUAUGUUUAGGAUCCGUCAUUUCCGAUCUCAAGAGCUCCAAGAUAUCAUGAAUCUCUGCUGAUUUCAAGUGUGUUCCAUCUUCCGAAUAAAAGGAAUGCAGAUGGCUUCUCACCUCAAUCCAACUGAAGCCAACACUCUUUUUCAAUCCCUUCUCCCUCAUUAGUUUCCUAAUAUUUGAAACAUCAAUCCAUCUCCCCGCUGAAGCAUAUAUGUUGGACAACAAGAUGAAUCCAGCGGAGUUUUUCUCUGCUAGUUCGACAAGUUUUCUAGCUGUUCUCUCUGCUAUCUCUUCGUUUCUGUAUGUCUUACAACCACUUAUUAAAGCUGCUAGUGCACUAGCUUCGGGUUGAAAUGGCAUGGAGUUAAUUAAUUCUUCAGCUUCAGAUAGGCGUCCAGAUCGAGACAGCAUAUCCACAACGCACGUGUAAUGUCUUCCCUUCGGCCUUAUACCAUAUUCCAAUUCCAUUGCACCAAAGAACUCGAGUCCUUUAUCGACAAAUCCGCAAUGAGAACAUGCAAAUAGAACUGAUAAAAGCAUGAGUUCGUUAGGAGCAACAGAGGAAUUUCUUUUCAUUUCUUCGAACAAAGCAAGAGAUUCUUUUGCAAAACCACUUUCCGCUAGACCUUGAAUCAUAACAGUCCAUGAGAACUCAUUUCUCUCCGACAUUCUAUCAAAGACCUGCUUAGAGUUUUCAAUAUCUCCACAUUUUGCAUACAUAUCAGUUAAGGCAGUGCCCAAGUAAACAUCAUAUUGAAAACCAAGUUUUAAGAUCUUUCCAUGAACAUCCCUGCCUUUCUCUAACGAGGUCAGACUUGCACAAGCACAAAGCACACUCGAAAAAGUGGGCUUUGUCGGAGUCUCCCCUGACAAAAGCAUCUCAUUGAAAACUUCGAACACCAUAUCGAAUUGCUUAUAUUCUACAUAACCACCAAUAAAAGCCCCCCAGGAGAUGUUAUUUCGAGCAGGCAUGUUAUCAAAUAAAUACUUAGCUUCAUCCAUUUGACCAUUCGUACUAUAGCCACCGAUCAUCGAAUUCCACAAAACAACAUUUUUGUUUUCGAUCAAGUCAAAAACUAGCCGUCCGUCUUUAGUUUCCCCACACUUACAGUACAAGUCAACAAGAGAGCAAGCAAUAAAAAGAUCUCCCUCAAUCCCGAUUUUCAUAACAUGUGCAUGAAGGUUCUUUCCUGCUUGUAAACUCUCAAGGCUAGCCAAUGCACAAAGAAUACUAGAGAAACACGAGAUUGUCGGCUUAAAUCCUUCUCGAACCAUGUUUCGAAAGAGUUUCAGUGCCUCUAUAUGAUCGCCAUACUGACUAUACCUCGCAAUUAUUGCACUCCAAGAAACUUCAUUUCUUUGUGGCAUCUCAUCAAAAAUCCUCCUUGCCUCUCCUUGCCUCUCCCCUCUCGACAUACAUAUCGAGUAUUGCUGUCCAAGAACAACAUCUCUUGUUUCCAUUCGAUCGAACACCCUCCCAGCCUGGUCAAAUUCAUGCAUUCUUAAACACAAUGUUAUCAAAGAGUUGGAAACCGAUACAUUAUUCUCGAACCCGGUUUUAAUUAUCAACCCCAAAACACUCAUUCCCAAAUCAAAAUCACCCAUUUCUAUACAUGCGCUAACUAUAGAACUAAAAGUAACUUGAUUUGGCUUAACACCAGAUUCAAGCAAUCUUACAAAAAGCUUCAAACCAUGAAAACUUGACCCGUUUUUAACGAACCCAGUAAUUGCAGCUGUCCACGAAACCACACUUUUAAAUGGGUUCCUUUCGAAAUACCACAUUGAUUCUUCCAAUCUUCCAUAUUUCAUUAACCCUGAAAUCAAUAACGUCCAUGUAAUAUCGUUUCUUUCAGGCAUUUCGUCGAACACUUUCCGUGCUUCACUCAAAUUCCCCAACUGAAUAUUAGCCUUAAUCAAACAAUUUUGAACAACUAAAUCGAACCCAUUAAAGUCCUUUAUAAUCUGAUUAGCUUCAGACAAUUUCCUGAAUUCAAGGUACAUUAUUAAUAACUUGAUAGCUAUACAUCUCUCUGAUGAAACACCAUUCUUGAGUAAAUGGCAAUGGAAGACAGUUCCUCCAGCAACCAAGCCUUUGUUUGAGAAUAUCUUUAACAAAGAAACACAUUUUUGAAUAUAGGAGUUGAAGCUUUUGCUUGGAUUCGUCAAGAAAAGGUUCUUCAACGCAGUUUUCAUCCCACUAAAAGUUGCGAGGGAAACAAUUUUCUUCUAUGAAAUUUGGUUUCUAUUUAGAGGAGAGAUUUCCACGUGUUAAGCUACGAUUGGUUGUUGGAAUGAAAAAAAGCCAUUUAAGAAAAGGUUAAAUCACUUUCUGGAUUUUAAAUUACAAUUUUUAUGGGACUGAAUAUUUCUUCUUUUUUCAAAUUAUUCACAUUCGACUCAACUUUUUUUAUUAGCACUGAAUUUAGAAAUUAUUUUCAUGAGUUUGAAUUUUUUUAUAUUAUUCAUUGAAAAUUUUAAAAUUCAAGCUACAAUUAUUAAGUUAAAAUCUUACUAAAUUAAUUGUUAAAUUCAAGAUUUAAUUUUAAAAAAUUUAGGUCCUAAUAUAAAAAUAAUUGACAAUUUCAAGCCUCAAAUGUUGAUUUAACCUUAAAACAAAUAUCUUUUUUCUUUACAGCUGAACGAAAAAUAUCUCUCCAUAUAUAACAAUCUUAUGAGAAAAAAAAAAUAGAAAACUAAAAGAAGAAAAGAAACACCGUGAUAAAUCAAUAAUGAUAGCCAGUGGGGUUCCAAUUUACGAACUAUCAGUCCCAAAAAGUUGUAAUUUUUAUGAAAAAUUCAGUUCAAGCAAAUCAAACCCAAGGUAAAUUCCAUGAAAAUCUUUCAAAAUUUUGUAUAAACUAAAAUAUUUAUGAUUGAUUCCUUUUUUUUUUUUUAAGGUUGGGGCCGAAAUGGAGUGAAAUAAGAUGUUGUAGAAACCAAAAGAUUGGAGGAAAAUCAAAAUCAAAAUCAAAGAAAAACUACUAUGAGUUACUUGGAAUCCCUUUCGAUUCUACUAUGCAGCAAAUUAAAGAAGCUUAUAGAAAGCUGCAAAAGAAGUAUCAUCCUGAUAUUGCAGGCCAAGAGGUUAGUUCACUUCCUCUCAAUUUCUUAUUCUAAAUUUUUAUUAAAUUGAUAGCUUUCUUUAUUCAAAAACUCGAAAGUAAGUGUUGGAUAUGGAUCAUAUUUUCAUUCAAAUGAUUACUAUUGUUAAAAGUUUUAAUUUUUGCCUCAAUAUAUUGCUCACUUUUAUUGUUAAAAGUAUCGUGGUGCCACUAUAGUAAGGGCUUAAAUCGCAUUUGGCCCCUUUUAUUCAAAAAAUGAGAAAUUUAGCCUCAAUUUUUAUAUUGAAGACCAAUUGGUCCAUUCUUUUAAAUAUUUAUUUAUAUUGUUAAAAAUUGGUGUCACACAUGUGCCUCUUACUGAUGUACACUGACAAAUUUAUGAUUAAUUUAUUUUUUUAUCUAACAUAUAAAGAUUAAUUUGCUCAUCUUUUUAGUAGAGGGAGUAAAAUACAAUCUGACUAGUUUGCAUGGUAUUUUAUCAUAGGAGGACUAAUUCGCUCUCCUACCUAUAAUAUUGGGAACUUCCAAAUGGUUUAACUAUCUAUUUCUUAUAUUAAUGGUUUGAAUUUUAUACAAAUUUUACUUUUGUAGUUUUGAUGGGUUAAUUUUGUUAUAUUUGUUUAGGGACAUGAAUACACUCUAAUGCUGAAUGAAGCCUAUAAAGUACUGAUAAAAGAUGAUCAAAGGAAGGAAUAUGAUGCUUCCAUUGGUUCAAUGAAAGCAAAAUUUGGAAGCAAUGUAUCUGGUUUUAGCUCUUGGAAAGGGCCCUUAAGACCCCAAGCUUUAUUUGUUGAUGCAAACAAUUGCAUAGGUUGUUCCAUUUUAACCUAUUUUUAUGUCCUAUUUAUUGCAAGUUUUAUGUUUAUGUUCCAAAUUCCAGCCUAGCUCCAUUGACAUCCACGUUUGCAGGUUGCAGGGAAUGUGUCCACCAUGCAAGCAACACAUUCGAAAUGGAUGAGGCUCUCGGAUGUGCUUGAGUUAAGGUUCAAUAUGGAGACGAUGAUCGUAAAAUCGAUGUAAAGAAGCAUGUUAAUGUUGUGUGUAGAAUCUAAUUGCUGUAAAAAUGCAUAAUUUUGGAACCAAGUUUUUGCAGGUUUCAGUUGAUUCAUGCCCAGUGAACUGCAUACAUUGGGUGGACAGUGAAGAACUGGCAGUGCUUGAGUUCUUGAUACAACCUCAGCUAAAGGAAGGGUAUGGAGUAUUUGGUGGAGGUUGGGAAAGGCCCUUAAAUGUAUUUAUGGCUGCUAAGGCUUUCACCAAGCAGUUAAAACAACAAGCUGAGGCUGCUCAAGGACAACACAAAAAUGGUAAUAAAAUUGGCAAAAAUUUUUCAUGGAAAUGAAUGCAUUCAACAUUCUAUUUUGUACUUGUCUCAUCCCAUUGCCAUCCAUAGCUUUAAUCUCUACAUUAAUGAAUUCACUGUUGUAUUUGGUUUAUGGUGGUAAAAGUCCUGGACUAGGCCUCUACUAAAAAAAAAAAGGAGGUAAAUUAGUCUCUAUACGUUAUAUCAAAGAGCUAAUUGAUCUAUUUGUUAAGAAUUUCAACUAUUUUUACGAUUAAAAAUUGGUUCAUGUAAAUAAGCAUGGGGUGUAUGUGGCAUGCCACAUGUUACUGUCUGAUUAUUUCGUCAAUCAUGUCAGUUUUUAACAUUACAAAUGUAUGGAAUUUUUAACAAAACGAACCAAUUUGCUCUUUGAUCUAACGUACAAGGGCUAAUUUGUCUAUUUUUUAAAUAGAGAAGGUAAAAUAUAAUCUGACUCCUAAUACAGGGCCUCCAUGAUACUUGUACUGGUUUAUGGUAUUUGUUUAUCUGGUUCCUUUAACUGCUGCAGGGAGAGUGAGAUCAGUUGAAGAAGAAGAGACCCCUGCUCAAGCUGAGGCUCGAGCCAAUGCUACCAUGAAAUUGAACAUGGAAAGAUUCAACAAAAUUUGGGGUAAAUUUAAACAAUUUUUUAUAAUCUAAUAUAGGGAUUUGAAUGACGGUGUAAAUUGCCUAUAUGGAUAUGUUAAAAUCUAAUGUCAACAUAUGAUUAUUCUCUCUUUCAAUCCAUAAUAAACUUAUUUAAAAAUCUAAUUUUUUAUCUAAAUUCAAAAAAAAAUUUAAAUAAUAAAAUGAGGACAUUUGUGGUGGAGUUUUUAAAUUUUCAAUGGGAGUUAAAAAGAUCUUCAUGUUUCCUAGUUAUUUAUUUAAAUAUUAAUUACGGGCACAUGAUAGUUUUUUUUUUUUUAAAAAAAUCAACUUAUGAAGUUAAAAUAAUUUAUCAUUAAUAUACUAAAUAGUUAUCUUAAAAGGAUGAAAUCUAUUUUUAAAUAAAGAUUAUUACUGUAUGGGAAUAACGAUACAAUAUACGUUUGAAUUAACCGAACUUGAAAAUGAAAUUCGAAUACAUAUAUAUCUAUACGAUUUGUUGAAAAGAUGCACAUGCAUAUCGAUACAAUAUAUUUUGAUGGGUGUAAAAUAUGACUUAAUCCAGUAAAUAUCUCAAUAAUAUACAAAAAAUAAUAAUAUAAAAAUUCAAUUACUCUGUUGAUUUAGUCUUAACUUGAUUAAUAUUGAUAUUAUUAUCAAUAUAGGAAGACGUGAGUUCUAUUAAGUGCGACUAACUUCGAAAAAUUCAUCUAAAACCUUACAAAAACCUAUUUAAUUUCACUUAAUGUGAUUUCUAUUAUAAUUUUGAUGUUUUAUUUUCAACUUACAAACAUCUAAUCACUUACUAUAAUCCAACAAUAAAACAAAAAAAAAUUAAUCUGUCUCCCCCAAGAGUAAGAUUGACGUGAAACAAAAGAAAAAUAGGUGGAAAAAUGUUGAAAUCUUAAUUUUAAGAAUUGAAAUGUUCUUGAAUGAUGAUGAAAUCAAUGAAAAUUAUAUUUUGAUGAAAUGUGAUUUGAAGAUUGAGAGAGAAUUGAAGAAAAAAUUUCCUGAUGAAUCUCUCAAGCAUGCGUGAAAUGAAGAACGGGAUAACUGUUCCCACCUACCAUUUUUUACAAAUGGGUUAUUUGCUAAAAUGCGUUUAGAGAGUAAUUAUCACAUAAACCUUUUCUUAUGUCCAAAAUCAUGUUUCUAACUUUUAGACAUUUGACGACCCUUAAAUUUACUUUUUAUUACAAAAUAGUCUAUACCUCAAAUUACUAAUUUUAUGAUUCUAACAAAUUUAACAAUAAUAACUAAUGUAAAUUCACUUAUAUCAAAUUAUAAAAAUAACACAAAAAUUGUUUUCGGAAAACCUCGCAGUUUAAAUUCUCAAAAUGUCACGAAAUUUUGAUACCAAAAUUUUGAGAUAUUACACAAACAUCUAUGAUCCUUUCUUCUCCACACAAAUGUUUGCCUUUAUUUGUGAGUAGUGUCAUGAACAGUUAUAACUACAAUCAUAUUUGCCUAUUUUAACCUUAGGUCUCUUGACAUCAUGAAGCAUCUUGGUUUUGAUAUGCCUAAGUACUCAUUUGUAGCUUUGACAAACAUUGUAGGAGUCUGUACAACAACCUUUCCUUUCUUUUUGAUGUAUCCUAGGGCAUUCUUUCUUGAGCUUUUCUCUCUCAACAAUUAGUAUUUCAUCAAGUUUCCCACUACUAGUAUUGAAUUCAUCCAACAUACACUAAGUUCCUUCCAUGUAGUGUAACACUCCUCGCCCAACCCAGUCGCUAGGUUCAAGCUAAAGGAUGCACAUUUGUUGCCAGAGUAACUAUAAUCAAAUACACAGUAAGUAACCAUUCACGCAUGCAAUUAACUGUUAAACACAUUUAAACCAUGUUAAACAAUCAAUUCCGAGUCUUAAUCAAGUUUAUGAAAGCUAUUUUGUCAACCCAAGCUCGAAAUAUGACCAAAUUGCAAAUUUUAAAAAUUUAGGACCAAUAUCGUGAUGUCAUCCCUUUUAUGUCAGGAUGUCGCCAAAAUAGUAUUGUAACACCCUAUUAUCUAGCUUGAUUAUCGGGUUCGAGUAAUGGAAUGUUACAUUCAUUGCCUGGGCAAUUUUCAUCAUACGUUUCAUAAUUAAAUCAAACACAUGGAUAUAAACAUACAUACAAAUUGAAUUAGCCUAAAUCUAGCAUACGAGGGUCAAAAUUUGAAGUCUGAGCAUGAAAUAGGACUGAAUUGCACAAAUUUAAAACUUUAGGAGCAGGUAUCGAUACUUUGUGAAAGUAUACUUUGUAAUAAGUAUAGAUACUUGGUGCAAAGUAUAGAUAUUUUGUGCAAAGUAUCGGCACCUUGGCUUGGUACCGAUAGCAAAAACAUUAUGUUUGUAUUAUAAAUUGAUUCAAAUGGUUAAGUAUCCAUACCUUUGCCAAAGUAUCAAUACUUUCUUUCCAAAAUGGUAAAAAGAACUUUCUUUUGCAUGCUUAAACCAUUUUAGUUCUAAUUGUACUUUAUUACUUUAUAAACCUAUAAAAACCUAGCCAAUUACAUCAACGAAUCAUCCAUUCAUAAUAACACAAACAUGCCAAUCAUUCCAACACAACUAACUCAUACCAAAUCCUCAAUUUCAUAUACAUAAUCAAUUUCUCAAUUCCAAAUAUGUGAAAGCCUAUUUCAUCACAAAACUGAUUCAAUUACACAUUUACAAUAAUAUACAAUAUUUUCAAAACUAUUCAAUUUGUCCUUUUCACUAACAAUCAAUUCAAAUAAACUCUAUUCAACUUGUUUUAUCAUUUUAAACAUACCUUAUGAUCUUACCAUGCAACAUAGUUCAUAAGUGCAUCAAUUGAAAAGGUUCGAAUUAUAGAAAUACAAACAGUAAACUUCGAGCUAUUUGUUGACAGCCUUAUUCUUUCCCUUUCUUUUCAAGAAAUCCACGUCUUCAUUAGCUAUGGAUUAAAUAAAUAUACAAAAAUGUCAAUAUAUAGUCAAUACUACACUUAAUUGUAAGUUUACACAAAUUUUACAUUUUAUUCAACUUAGUCCCUAAAAUCGGGACUAACAUAACUUUCAAGUUAGAACUCCAAAUUAAAUUCUGAUUUCAAUAUAAUCCAUUAGGGACCUCCUAUUUCCCAUUUAUACAACCAACUUUACAAAUUAUUCAGUUCGGUCCUUAAUGUACAAAACUAUCAAUUAACUUUGCAAUUAGUCCUUUUUCACUUCUAAGCUUAAAAUCUAUUGAUUUAGUACCUAAAACUUCAAGAGUUCAACCUUGGCAUCUUUCUUAACCUUUAACACUUCCGAAAAAUAACACAUAGGUUAGAUAGAUUAAGCUCUCGGGAUUUCAAAAACGUAAAAAUUUUUAAAAAAAUGACUAAACUACACUAAACAAUUGAUAGCUUAAACCCUAGAAUUUUUUUCGAAACUAUGACUUCCUCCUUGCCCCUAAUCAAGCUUGGAAAGAUAGAGAAGAAAAUGUCUUUCUAUAACACCCAUUAACCUGUAUCUGUCGCUAAAAUAGGGUUACGGAGCAUUACCAUAACUUUCAGAAUAUUUUUCAGAUAAUUCUUGUAAAUUACUAUUCAUUAAUCUAGAUCAUUCAAAAUGUCCCUUAAUUGGACCCUCGAGGCCCAAUACGAGCAUUAGAAUCGAGUCGGGACUUAAUUAGGAACUCUAAGAAUUAUUCGUGACAUUUUAAAAAUUUUCCAAGUUAUAGGGCUCACACUCCCGUGUGGUUCAAGGGGCAAGCUCAUGUGACCCUGGAACAAGCCCGUGCUGCAGGCCAUUUUCGACCCUGUGUAACUCUUUGACUUGUGCACACAGCCAUGCCACAUGCCCGUGUGCUAGGCCGUGUGGUUAAUUAAUUCAUUUCAAAAUUAGGUGUAGGUUUCACACAGCCAAGACACACGCCUAUGUUCUAGGCCGUGUAGCACACACGGCUGAGACACACGCCCGUGUGCUCAAUUCUGAACAUUUUGUUUCUUAAAAUUUAGAGUGAAUGGGACACAUGGCCUAACUACACGCCUAUGUACUCGGCUGUAUGUCACACAAGGUCUGGACACACGCUCGUGUGUCUGCCCGUGUGGACAAAAUAAAGCCAUUUCUAGCUUCAUUUCUCACCCAAAAUCACAUCCAUGACCUGCACUUGGAACACACAUCCAAUACCAACCAUUCCAAGCAUUCAAAUUAAACAUAUUCUACCAUUACAUGCAUACAUGUUCAUAAUCUUGCCUUAGUUUGGUCCAUAUGUCAGACAUAAUAGAUCAACUACUUAACACAUAUGUAGUUACCAUAGUAUGACAUUACAAAUAUAUCAAAACAAACCAUUACUAGCCAUUCCAAUGGCUAGAUUACAAGAAUCAUUUACAUUUACAUUUACAUGCCAAUAUGGCCAAUAUAACCUAUGCAUGCCAUUACAACCAUACCAUAUACACCGAUAUAGGCCGAUGGAUAGUUUGAGUGAUCUCCACCAGACUUCCAGUCCAACGAGUUUUUGAUUUAUUAUAAAACAGGGAAAUAAAACUAAGUAAGCAUAAAAUGCUUAGUAAGUUCGUACAACAUGGUACUUAACUUACCAUUCAUUCUAUUUUGAGGUAACUAUGUAAGGCAUAUUCAAUCAAUUUGCCCUCAAGCCCUACACAAAUUCUCAUUGCCCUUGUUAGUCAUAUAAUCCAUAAUAACAUCACAAACAUUUAUGGGCUCAACAACAAUCAAGUUUCCAUACACAUAUGCUUUCCACAACAUGUAUUCAUUUAACAUGUAUAAAUCAUUUCUUUAUAUUACAAGUAUAAUUUCAUAAUGAUUCAUCUCUAGUUCAGAUAAUUUAAUAUCAGAACUUUACCCAUAUUACUCGGAAUAUCAAGGUCACGAUUAGUACACUCAAGGUGCACAAGUCUAGAAUCAAGGAUAUACAUACUCAUAAAAUAAAUUCCAUGUACAAUAUCAUCAUUUCAUAUUCCCAUAUAUCAAUUACCACGUAUCGUCAUUUUCAUGUAUUUCAAGCUGGUAUGUGUAAUAACUCAUUUCUUAUUCAUAUAUUCUCAUGUCAAGAACUUUUACCCGUUGAAUUUAUCUGAAAUAACGAUGGAUACGAAUCAAAAUCCGUCAAUUCAUGUCCAAUGGUACCCAUAAGGUACUAUAUCAGAGAGUACACUCUCGAGCCACACAUGUAUAUGAUAGGAUUACUAGUCCAGGCUAAAUCUGUAAUAGCCAGAUUUUGGGCCUAGUCGAAAAAGUGGUUUCGAGAACACUAACCCGAGGUCAGAGAAAUUAUUUUUUUAUAUUAUUUUAUUUUAUGUGUGUUGGCAUGCUUAUAAAGGUGCAUGAAAAUUUUGGUAAAUUAAUUUUAGCGUUUGUGAGCGUAAUUGAAAAAAAGGACUAAAUCACAUAAAGUGUAAAAGUUCUAUUUUGAUAGCUAAGGGUGUCAAAUAGUUAGAGAACCUAAAUUGGAGGUCUUUAAGGGGAAAUUAGACCCUUUUGAAGAGCAUGGCCGACCAUAGGAGACAAUUUUGGUCAAAAAAGUCAAAAGAGGGCUAGGGUUGGUAUUUGAUGACAUUAGCAAAUUGAAUAUUAAAAUAAAAAAUCAAAUGGGUCAUUUUUCUUCUCUAUAUUUCCACCGAAAAUAGAAUCCAUUAGAGGGUUUUGAAAGCUUGAAAUUUCAGCCACUUAGUCUCUCUACAAGUAGGUGAUUUUGAUGAUUUUACUUGAUGAUUUUUGCCCUUUUAGAACCCUUAUAGCAUGGGCUUUCAUAUGAUGGGGCUAUUUUACAAAAUAGUUGAAAGUCUAGGGUUUUAACAUGAGAGUGAUCAUGUUAUUUUCUAAAAUUUUAUGGAAGAAUAUGAGUUAUGGUUGUAUAAUAAACAAGUUUUGUGAAGUAGUUUUCAUGGAAACCCUGACUAGGGACUACUUUGCAUAAGUUGAAAAUUAGAUGAUAAAUGUGUGAAAUAAUGAGAAUUGUGGGCUGCUUUUAGUAUAAAAAGUAAUCGGCUAGGCUUAUGAUAUGAAUAAAUUCUAUAAAAAUUGAUUUUCGGACAUAGGGGUAAAAUGGUCAUUUUACAAAAGUCUAGGGGCAAAAUGGUUAUUUUUCCUAAUUUUAAAUUGUUGAGUACCUAGAUCGAUAAAAUAAUUAAAUUUUUGAAUUUUUGUUAUCUUAGAUCAAGAAGUACAAAAUUUGAACCUAGACCGGGGGAAGGCCAAACAAGUUGAUUAAACCGACCAAUCGCUUACAUUUUGUAAUCCGGGGUAAGUUGUAUGCAAAUAAUACUGCUACAUUGUUAUUAUACGUGGUUGAACUAAUAUAGCAUAAAUUGCUUGUUUUUGGAAAUGGUUAUGCAUGUUGAAUAUUGAGAUAGUAGAACUCUCGUUUGAGCCGUAGGAAAUAUAUCGGAUAUUCAUGCCAUGACAUUUGGGUCAUAUGUGUGCUAGUGUAAGACAUGUCUGGGAUAUGCAUCGGCCACAUUAUGAGAGCCAGUGUAAGACCAUGUCUGGGACAUGACAUCAGUAUUGAGACAAGAGCUAGUGUAAGACAUGUUUGGGACAUGCAUCGGUCUCGAGACGUAAGCCAGUGUAAGACAUGUCUGGGAGAUGAAUCAGCUAUGAGAUGUGUCAAUGUAAGACCAUGUCUGGGACAUGGCAUUGGCACGGAUAUGUAAGAGCUAGUGUAAGACCAUGUCUGGGAUAUGGCAUCGGCCUCGAUGAUGAUAGUUAGUGUAAGACCAUGUCUGGGACAUGGCGUCGGCUUCAAUGAUGAUAUUCAGUGUAAGACCAUGUCUGGGACAUGACAUCGACUUAAGAUAUGAGCCAGUGUAAGACCAUGUUUGGGACAUGGCAUCGGUAUUCUACCCAAUGUUUGAGGCUUAUUGAAUAUCCGGUAGUGUUCUAAAUGGUUCAAUAGUGAGAGUUAUGGUUUAAGUUAAUGAGAAAAGUAUAAUCGUGUUAUGAGUGAUAUAGGCACCUAUUUGGUAUGUAUGAGAUGUGAGUUCAAUAUAUGCUACAUGAUGUGUAUUAGAUAGUGAUGAGUAAGUUGUGCUUAUGCCUACCUUUGUAUUAAGAGCAUGUAGAUGAAUGGUAAAGUUGUUAUGUAUUUGCAUGCUACUUAUUAAGCUUUAUGCUUACUCCCUUUCCUUUCCAUUUCCUUAUAGUGCCGCCUAAAUAGCUCGAGGACCAAUCGACGUCGGAGGCAACGAUCACACUAUCAUCCGAAGCACUCGGUAUAGUUAGAUUACUUGUUUUUGAGUAUGUCAUGUAUAGGGUUUGGACUUUAAUGUUUUGGGUCAUUGAAAAAUUGGCCAAAUGUGUUGGCUUGGGUUGAUACCCCUUCACUUUGUAUUAAGCCUUGAAUGAUGGCUAAUAUUCAUUUUGAUAUAUGCAAAUUAUGUUAUUUUUAUGGAUGAGCAAAUUCUAUAUAUGAACUGUUGUCUAUUGUGGUUGUGUUAGUUAUGAGGAUCAUUCUUGUAUUGGUGUUGGUUGAUUUUGUGUAGGUUGUAUAAGUAAGGGUGACAAAGAGGCUUGGUAGAUAGCCUUAUUUUUGUCCACAUGAGUAGACACACAGGUGUGUGUCUAGGCCAUGUGUGACACACUGUUUGCCCCACGGGCGUGCGAUCCGGCUAUGUGUACCCUGCACGUAAAAUUUGCAAGCCAGUAAGCAUGGUAGUAAAUACACGAGUAGAGACACGGCUAUGUAUUUCAGCCGUGUGAAGGGCACGGCCCAGCAUACGGAUGUGUGCCUUGGCCGUGUCACCCUUAAAGAUUGCUGAAAUUAGAAACAGAAUGUCAAGGUUUUUAGACACGGGAUAGGGCACAGGCAUGUCAUGGCCAUGUGAGGGACACGGGCGUGUGUCAGGUCGUGUGAAAACCCCUGUAGGUUCGAGUUUAGAAUUAAAUUCACAUGGGCAUGGGACAUGGGCAUGUCCCGAUAUGCUUAGGCCGUGUGUGUCACACGGGCCAUCAGUACGACCAUGUUGAAUUGGUCACACGGGUGUGUUGCCUCUCCCACACGGGUGUGUGCCCUUGUGUCUAGUGUUAUUUUUCAGAGUUCGUUGAAGGGCUUGAAUUGGUCCUGAUUGGUUUUAAAUGAAUGUUUGGAGUCUCGUAGGCCCAUAUUGAGGAAGUUUGAAAAAGUUUUAAUUUUGGUUAAGUUUUAAUGAUCCGUUAAUGUUGGUAUGCUUGAGUUUAAGAGUAGUAAUGCCUUGCAUCCCGUCCUGACAUAGGACUCGGGUAUAGGGUGUUACAAAAUCCUUUUUAUGACAUAUGCUCUAAAGAUAUUGAUCUGGAUUACCCGUCCGGGCUAAAUCCAAUCCAUAGCAUAUGCUCGAGAGGACUCAUAUCAGGUUUACCCGUCCGGGCUAUAUCCCGUCCGCAACAAAUGCAGGACCUCAUUCACUUUGGGAAAUCACAUAUCCAUCGAAUUUUUCAUUUAUUCAAAUGGAAUUUAGCAUCUUUCAAGCAUUAUCAAGCAUGUGGUCAAUCUCAUAUAUUUAUGCAUUUAUGCAAUUCAAAUGUUCACAUUAAACUCAAGCAUAAAAUUAACAUUUUUAACAUUUUUAUCAUUUAUCAUUUGUCGGGCGUUAUAAUUGAUUGGGCACUUUCACUUAUCAGGCUUUAACGAGUAUGUGAUCAUUUCACAUAUUUAUGGAAUUUAUACAAUUCACAAAUACUAUAUUUAAUUCAAGCAUAAAAAACAUAUACAAUUUAGUUACAUGAACUUACCUCAACAAAUGUUCGUGUAAAUAAGUAUACUAAUCCGACAUUUUCCUCAUUUCCUCGUUCUAGCUCCGAAUUUGGUCUAUCUCGAUCUAUAUGAGUAAAUUUAACAUCAAUUUAUCAUAUUUUAUAUUCAAGUGGACUCAAUUUUUAUCCUAGGAAAAAUUACUAUUUUACCUCUAACAUUUUCAUAAAUUCCCAUUUCGUCCUUAAGCUCGGAAAAUAAAAUUUGUGCAAUUUACUCCCUAUUCUAAGCCUAAAAAAAAUCCCAUUAAAAAAUUUACAGCACAUGUAUUCAUAAAAAUUCAGUAUUUUUCUUUAAUUUACAACUUUACAUUUUAGUCUGUAAAUCAUGUUUUCAUCAAAAAUCACUUUGUAAAAGUUAUUUAUCAGUCAGCAACAUUUCAUUUUCUACCAUAUUUCUAAUUUUCAGCAUAUACAUCCAUGACCCAUUUUCCAUACUUUGAUAACUUCUCAAAUUGAACCCCCAAAUAGAUAGAUUAAGCUAUCCCGGUUUCAAAAAUAUCAAAAUUACUAAAAAUGGGCCAAGAAAACUUACGCAAUUUGGCCAUUAAAGUUUCUUCUCUCUCCCCUAAGGUUUCCAUGUAUUUUUUGGGAAGAAGAUAAAAUAAAAUGAUAUUUCUUUUUUUUAUCAUCUUUUAAUUAAUUAAAUAUUUUCACUUUCCAAUUUAGUCCUUGUCUUUUUUCUAAAUUUACAUGAUUGAGUCACCAAAAUAGCUACAUACUUUUUAUUAAUGGUUUAAUUACCAUAUAAGGACCUUAAGUUUUGAAUUCCAUAGCUAUUUGAUCCUUCUAGCUACUAGAAUCCAACUUUUGCAUUUUAUGCGAUUUGGUCCUUCUCGUAAUUAAAUACUUAAUCGAUAAAAUUUUCUUAUCAAAAUUUUCACAUGACAUGUCUAUCAUAAUACAAACUAUAUAAUGAAAUAAAAUAAAUUUUAUUUUUCGGCUCGAAUUUGUGGUCCCAAGACCACUGUUCCGAUUUCACCGAAAUUGGGCUGUUACACUUUCUCUUUCUUUCCAUUUCCAAGAUUUUAUCUUUCUUUAAGCUUAUUUUAAUUUAUUUUAAUUAAAAUUUUCUUGCUAAAUUCAUAAAAACUAAUACAUUACCGUCCACUAUAGAUUAAGGAGGUAUAAUUGCCUUUUUAAUCCCUUCCAUUUGUUUCUAAUUAAAAUUUCUCUAACAAUUGAACUUUUACUAGUUUUAUGAUUUAGCCCGUAUGCCUUAAUUUAUCACUAAUUCGAUAAAAUUACUUAUCUAAAAUUCAAUUCACUUUUAAAAUAACUUCAUAAAUAUUUAAUUAAAAAUAUUUACGGUCUCGGUUUAAAAAAAUAGGGUCCCAAAAUUAGAUUUUUAGACAUCACUGAUUUUAGGAUUGUUGCACUUGUACCUUAAUAACUAUCAAUUAAAUAAAAAUACCAAACCAAACCUUAAUAUAUUUCUAUACUAGCCUUAUAAAUAUUAAAUCUUUACGAACACAGUUUACUAAAAUGGCAUUUUGAAAUUGGAGUUUUCGACACCACUGGAAACCAGGUCAUUACAAGUAUGUCAUGUCAUGACGUUAGGCCACUUGAUGUCAUGACAUCACUUACUGUCGGCUGACAUUGCGACGAGGAAAGAUGCUUGUCGGGACGAGGACUCUAUUUUUGGUAAAAAUAACCAUUUGGUAAAUAUUUCAAAGCUUCCAACCGAACCUACAACACUUGUACUAAACACCAAAUUCAGUUGAUGCAAAGCAUACCUAAAACCAUACCAAACAAGCUUAAACACUCAAUUCAACUUCUUAAUAAGAUAUUCAAUAUAUUUUCAUCAAUUAAACUUAAACAUUUCAAUACCAAUUGACAUGUUAACCAAAACAUUCAAAUGCCUAUUUUUACCUAAACCAAAUCAAUCAACACAUGCCAUUUCACUUUCAAUACAUACACUAUUCAUUCACCUACACUUUUAUAACGUACUUCAUGAACCAAACAUACUAUUCAGUACUAAUAUGUAACUUAAGCAUAUCAACAAGUUAUACCUUUUCAACUGGGUAUCAACCAAUUCCAAAUCAUGCAUUUCUAAUUCACAUACUAACUAUUAGGUUCAUGUUUUAACUUACCAGUGUAUCUAACAUUGCUUAGUCAAUAUCGACCAAUUCACUAGCUAUGUACAUCAUUUAAAUUCAACAUAUACCAAAAUCAUUACCAUAUUCAAUCUAACAAGACUUUUAUACAUUUAAGUAAGUAAGAAGACACCUAUAUACAUGCCAUACCCUAAGGUUUAAAAUGAUCAAACAUCUACUAAUUCGAUGAUAAAAUAGUGUGAGCUUCGAGCAAUCAAGCUUGACGCAUUCUACAAGGAAAUAAUCUACAAGGAAAAGGGAAAAACAACUAGGUAAGCAUAUGAAAUGCUUAAUAAGUUCAUAGGAGUUAAACAAAAAACUUACCUUAUGUAACACCCCUUACCCGUGUCUGAUGCCGGAAUAGGGUACGACGCAUUACCGGGCUUAAUCGUUCACAAACAUGCAAAAACUGGGCUAUAAAAUUUCUUUUAAUUCAAAACUUUUUCAAACACAUGCAAGUCAUCCCUUAUUUGGGUCUACGAAGCCCAAAACAUACAUCGGGAUUGAUUCGGACUAAACCGAGAACUUGAGAAGUUUCUUGAAAACUUAGAAAUUUUUUCCCAUGAAACAGGGUCACACGCCCACGUGACAUAGGGACACACCCGUGUCCUCAGGCCGUGUAAUUCUCUAUUUAUGACGUCAGCAUGCAAGUUGAACCACACGGUUGGGCCACAUGCCCGUGUCUCCAGGCCGUGUCCCUUACACGGUUGAGACACACGACCAUGUCUCAGCCCGUGUAGUCAACACUUAGGAUAUUUUCCAAGCCUUCUUGUUACCCAUAAACCCUUACAACCUUAUAUAUAUUAAAACCACAAAUCAUGGCAUCAUUUUAGUGGUUAAACACUCUUUAUUAAGACAUAUUCACAACAUUAACAUGUCCUCUUACAUGUAAUGCAUCUACUCAUGCAAUACCAAGUCUAGAUUCCUUAAUUCACAUUCAUAAGACUUGUCAUAUUGAUGAUCACUUUUAUCAUUAUACUAUGGUUACCAAUUUAUCGUGCAAUUACUACAUGGCUAUGAUCACCUCAAUUGGUCAUAGAGCAUACAUCCAACACACACAUGUCAUAUUACCAACCAAGCAUGGCAAACAAACAUAAUCACAUCAUAAACCUUAGACAUGACAUGAAUGCUAGGUUUACAAGCCAUAAUAAAUAUGAGCCACAUCUCAUGGCCUAUACAUAUAACUCAAUAUAAACCAAUACAUUUGGUCAAAGCAUAAUAACACAUGUCAAUAAACUAAAUUCCUAUACAUGCCACUCACUUGAAAUUUCUAAUAUAUGCUUCAUUAUUCCAAAAGUAGUGACUUGAUAGUCUGAUGCUGCCUCCGAUGAUCUCCAACCCCGAGCUAACCUGUCAACACUAAAGAAAGGAAAGAAAGGGAGUAAGCUUUAUAGCUUAGUAAGACCGUAUGAAAAAUAAUAAGCCACUAUCAACUUGCUCCUCAAGGUAAUACGACCAUAUUUGCACUUUUACUGAUGCUCAGGUCAAGCUGUUUUCUCGAGUCAUAGACACUAAAUUGUUGUAAUUAAAGUUUCAAACCCCCUAGGCAGAUUUGUUUUUGUAGAUAUAGUUUGUAAGAGUUGUCUGUUAAUAUUUCGAGACAUUUGUUUUCUGGCUGAUCUAAUUUUAUUGCCCUUUGAUGAGUUUGAUAUAAUUUUGGGUAUAGAUUGGCUAAUUUUGCACGAUGCUAUUAUGAAUUGCAAACGAAAAAUUGUUGAUUUGAGCUGCAAGAAUGAUGAAAUAAUUUGAAUUGAAUCUAGUUAUUUAAAUGGAUUGCCUGUUGUGAUAUCUUCGAUGAAAGCUUUGAGUAUUGUAUGAAAAGGUGGUGAAGCUUACUUUGCCUAUGUGAUUGAUUCGAAAGUGUCUGAAAAGAAAGUUGAAUCAGUGCCUGUUUUCUGUGAAUUCCUUAAUGUGUUUCUUGAAGAACUUCCGGGACUACCUCCGAUUUGAGAAGUUAAAUUUGGCAUUGAGUUAUUAUUGGGAACUAAUCCGAUUUCGAUAGCUCUGUAUAGAAUGGCUUCGACCAAGUUAAAAGAAUUAAAGUCUCAAUUACAAGAGUUGACAGAUAGAGGACUUGUAACACCCCAUACCCGAAACCCACAAUGGGGUGGAGUACAAGGCAUUACCUAAUUUGAUAUCAUGCUUACAACCAACCUCAAGUCACCGAGACUCGGUCCAAAUUAAAACUUUUUCUAUUUCUACUUUAACCUUCUUAUUAGAGGCUUACGAGCCCUAAAUCGAUCAUUGAAAACUAUUCAGAAACUUUUUGGGUCCUUAAACCAACCUUAAGAAAUUUGCCUUUAAAACAGGACACACGCCCAUAUGAAAGGGUAACAUACCCGUGUGACCAUUUUGACAUGGUCGUGCUAAUGGCCCGUGUGGCUCACAUGGCCUAAUCACCCUGGGACACGCCCGUGUCCCACACCUGUGGAGAAUUAAUUUCUACUUUUCACCUACAUGGGUUUUCACACGGCCGAACACACGCCCGUGUCAAUGGCCCGUGUCCCUCACACGGCCAUGACAUGCCCGUGUUCUAGCAUGUGUGCAAAAACUUGGACAUUCUAUUUCUGACGUCAGCAUCCCUAAAAUGUCACACGGCCAUGGCACGCGCCCAUGUACUAGACCGUGUCCUCCACAAAGCUGAGACACAUGGCCGUGUCUCUUCCCAUGUGUUUAUGCAUACUGACUUGAAAUUUUUACGUGCAGGGGACACACGGCCGAACUACAUGCCCAAGGGGUAGACUGUGUGUCACACACGGCCUAGACACAUGCUUGUGUGUCUACCCGUGUGGGCAAUAUAAGGCUAUUUGCCAAGCCUCAUUGCCACCCUUAUAUACCUAGUUCCAUGCAAAUACCAACCAAUACCAAGACAAACACAAUUUCUAUAAUCGAUUACCACAAUAGACAUUCAUUUAACCAUGGCAAUAUAUCUUUAUAAAUCAAAAUGAGUGCUAGCCAUCAUUCAAGGCUUAAUACAAAAUGAAGGGUUCCCAACCCAAGUUGUUACCAUUGGCCAAUUCUCAAAGGCACAAAAUAAUAAAGUCUAAGCCCUAUACAUGCCAUAUUCAAAAAUAUAAAUCCAACUAUACCGGUUGCUUUAGCUGAUAGUGUGAUCAAUAUCUCUGACUUUUGGUGAUCCUUAAGCUAGAUAGGCGGCACUGUAAGGAAAUAAAAAGGAAAGGGAGUAAGCAUAAAGCUUAGUAAGUUGCACAUAAAUAGAUAUACAACAAUAAGUCUACCAUUUAUCAACAACUCAUGAUACCAAAGUGGGCAUAAGCAUGACUUACUCUUCACUUCAUACAAAUUACAUAGCAUAUACAGUGAGUUCACAUCUUAUACAUAUGUAUCACUUAGGUACCUAUAAUACUCACAAUACGGUUAUACUUUCCGUAUUAACUUUAAUUUAUAAGACUCACACCUUACACUGGCUCUCAUAAUGUGGCCGAUGCAUGUUCCAGACAUGUCUUAACUAGCCUAAAAUAACCUAUAUGUCAUGGCAUGAAUGUCCGAUUUAAUUCCUAGGUUUGAACGGGAACUCUGCUAUCUCUAUUAUCAUUAUGCUUUCUCAAUUCUAAAAUCAAGUAAUUCAUGCUAUAUUAAUUUCAAGUACAAUUCAACACAUACACUGAUAAUGUAGUUGUAUUAUUUACAUACAACUUACCUCAGAUUUCAAAAUAUAACGAAUAUACAGUUUAGUCGAUUUGCUUGGCUUUCCUCCGGUCUUGGUUCUAAUUUAGAAAUUCUUGAUCUAUAUUAGAAAAAAUACACUCAUUUAGUCACUAAUUGCAAUUAGGCAAUUAAAAAUUUACAUAUUUGGUAAAAUGAUCAUUUUGCCCCUAGACUUUGGCAAAAUGACCAUUUUCCCUCUAUGCUCGAAAAUCGAUUUUUAUCGAAUUUCUUCACAUCUUAAGCCUAGCUGAAAUCUUUUUACUCUUAUAGCAACUCCAAAUUCCCUCUAUUUCACACACUUAUCACUUAUUUUGCAAUAGUCCCUUUAGGUGUUUUCAUGCUAACACCUUUCACAAAAGUUGUUUAUAAGACAACCAAGACUCAUUUUCUUCUAUAAAAACUCAGCAAACAAUACAAAUCCUCUCAUGGCAAAACCCUAAAAUCUUGAUCAUUUUGCAAAAUAGACCUCUCAUUAGAAAGCUCAUGUUUCUAGGGUCUCAAAAAUGUAAAAAUAAAAUCACUUACUUGUGAGUGCUUCAAGUUGCUGAAAAUUUUUGAAGCUUAAAGCCCCAAAAAUGGCUGAUAUUUUCAGCUAAGAAGAAAUAUGAAAUAGGGUGAUAUCAUCUUCCUUUUUCUAUUUUUUAUUUUGGUCAAAAUUGGUUACCUAAUCCCAGGAAAAUUGAAAUUUUUUACCACACGUCUCCUAUGGCCGGCCACACUAUUUCUAGGGGUCUAAUUGCCCUUUAAAGGCCCAAAAUUUAGGUUCUAUAUCUAUUUAACACCUUUAGCUAUCAAUUUAGGACUUUUGCACUUUAUGCGAUUUAGUCCUUUUUCACAAUUGGGCUCACAAACAUUAAAAUUAGCUCACCAAAUUUUUCAUGAACUAUAAUAAACAUGGUAUGACUCUAUUUUAAAAAGAUAAAAUAAUUCCUCCAACUUCAGAUUUGUGGUCCUGAGACCACUAUUCCGACUAUGCUUUAAAUCGGGUUGUUAUUUUUCUCCCCCUUAGGGAUUUUCGUCCUCGAAAAUCUUACCAGUGAAUAAGUUCAGAUACUAAUCUCUUAUAGUCUCCUUGGGUUCCCAUGUGGCUUCCUCAACUCCAUGUAUAUGCCAAAAAACUUUCACAAGUGCUGUAUUCUUAUUUCUCAACUGUUUGACUUCCUGAGCCAAAAUCUUGACUGGCUCUUCACCAUAAGUCAUGCCUGGAUGAAUCUCCACCUCUGACAGCGUAAUCACAAGCGAAAGAUCUGAUCUAUAUCAACGUAGCAUGGAUACAUGAAACAUGUCAUGAAUCUUUUCCAACUCUGGUUGUAAAACCAAUCGAUAGGCAACCGGCCCCACUCUUUCGGUAAUCUCAUAAGGUCUUAUGAAACAAGGACUCAACUUACCUUUUCUACCAAAUCUGAGGAUUUUCCUCAAUAGAGAUACUUUUGAAAAUACUUUAUCACCGAUUUGAAACUCAAUUUCCUUUCGUUUCAAAUCCGUAUAGGAUUUCUGUCUAUCUGAGGCGGCCUUCAAGCAAUCACAAAUUACUCUAUCUUUCUCGUCAGUCUCCUUGACUAAUUUGACCCCGUGAAUCUGACCCUUUCUAAGCUCAGUCCAAUAUAAGGGCAUUCGACAUUUUUUCCCAUAUAAAGCCUCAUAAGGCGCCAUUUUUAGACUUGUCUGAUAACUGUUAUUAUAGGCGAAUUCAACCAAUGAUAGAUAUUUUUCCCAACUACCUUGGAGAUCGAGGAUGCAACACUGUAACAUGUCGUCUAAUAUCUGAAUUACUUUUUUGGACAGACCGUCGGUUUGCGGAUGGAAAGCUGUGCUAAAACUCAACUUUGUUACCAAAGCCUCUUGUAACUUUUUCCAAAACCUCGAGGUAAAUCUCGAGUCUCUAUCUGAAACAAUCGAUAUGGGAACCCUGUGUAGUCUCACAAUCUCGGAAACAUACAAGUCGGCUAAUCUCUCAAGGGAGUAGUCGGUACACACAGGUAUGAAGUGUGUCGACUUUUUCAGCCUAUCCACAACAACCCAAAUAGCAUACUUUUUCUUUAGGGUUACCGAAAAACCCGUCACAAAAUUCAUAGUGAUCCGAUCCCACUUCCACUCGGGGACCAUGAUAGGUUGAAGUAGACCCGAAGGUACUUGGUGUUCAGCCUUCACUUGCUGAUACACUAGGCAUUUAGAAACAAACUCUAAAAUGUCUCUUUUCAUACCCUACCACCAAUACAUUUUCUUAAGGUCGUUGUACAUUUUCACACUGCCCAGUGGACGGACAAACAACCAUUAUGUGCCUUUCUCAGGAUCUUCUGAAUAAGCUCAUUGUUCUUGGGAGCACAAACUUUGUCUUUAUACAUUAAACAUCCGUCGGUACCAAUACAAAACUCGAACUCAUUUUCCUUUUUACACUGAGCCAUCUUAGCUUGCAACUUCUUAUCACCUUUCUGAGCUUCACGAAUCUCUUGUAGAAAUGUCAGUCUAGCUCUCAACUCUGCCAAAACCGAACCAUCAUUAGACAAAGCCAUAUUGACAUCCAUUACUCUCAGUGCAAAUAAUGAUUUUCUACUCAAUGCAUCAGCGACCACGUUCACCUUUCCCGGGUGGUAGUUAAUUACCAACUUGUAAUCCUUUAUCAGGUCUAACCACCUUCGUUGCCAUAAUUUAACUCUUUUUGAGUCAUCAAAUGCUUAAGACUCUUAUGAUCACUAAAUACUCGACAUUUCUCUCCAUACAAGUGAUGUCUCCAAAUCUUCAACGCAAAUACUAUAGCCUCCUGUUCCAAGUCAUAUGUCGGAUAGUUUCUCUCGUGUGGCUUGAGUUGUCUUGAGGCAUAGGCUAUGACCUUGCCUUCUUCCAUAAGCACACACCUCAAGCCAAUCAAGGAGGUAUCACUAAAAAUCACAAAUUCCUUGCCCGACUCCGGUUGCACUAACACUGGUGCUUCGGUCAUCAAAGCCUUCAACUUUUCGAAACUUUGCUGGCGCUUUUCUGUCCAUUCAAACUUGGCAUCUUUUUAUAGCCUCGUAAUUGGAUUAGCGAUCAUAGAAAACACAUUUACAAAUCGUCUGUAGUACCCAGCCAAUCCCAAGAAACUUCGAACCUCUAUCACCUUCUUUGGAGGUUUCCACUCAACAAUAGUCGAGAUCUUACUUGCGUCAACUCGGAUCCCGUCUCCCGACACAAGAUGUCCUAGAAACCUGACCUCCUUAAGCCAAAAUUCACACUUACUGAACUUGGCGUAUAUCUUGACUUUCAAGGUUUGCAACACAACUCUCAGAUGCUCCUCAUACUCUCUCAUCACUCGAAUAAACCAGUAUGUCAUCAAUAAAGACGACGACAAACUUAUCUGGAUAUGGCCUGAAAAUGCGGUUCAUCAAAUCCAAAAAUACCGCCAGGACAUUAGUGAAGCCGAAGGGCAUGACGAUGAACUCAUAAUGCCCAUAUCUCGUCCAAAAAGUAGUCUUUGGUACAUCUUGCUCUUUUACUCUUAACUGGUAGUAUCCAGAUGUUAGAUCAAUCUUGGAAAAUACCGUGGCUUCCUUUAACUGAUCAAAUAUGUCGUCAAUCCUUGGCAAGGGAUACUUGUUCUUCACUGUUACUUUAUUAAGCUAUCUAUAGUCGAUACAUAACCUUAUCGAUCCAUCUUUCUUCUUCACGAAAAGCACCGGGGCACCCCACGGUGAAGAGCUCGGUCUCGCAAAACCCUUAUCCGUUAACUCUUGCAACUGUACCUUCAAUUAUUUCAAUUCUGUCGGAGCCAUCUGAUACAGAACAAUCGAGAUGGGUGUCGUACCGGGGACCAACUCAAUUCCAAACUCAACUUCCCUCACUGGAGGUAUUCCGGGUAAUUCCUCUACAAACACAUCUAUAAAUUCUCAAACCACUGGUACCGAUUAAAUCUUCAACUCGGACAUUUGAGUAUUCAGCUCAAAAGCUAGGUAAGGCUCAUAUCCUUUCCUUAAAUAUUUCUCAAUAGUUAAAAACAAUACUACUCCAGGCAGAUUAUCUGACCCAUUUGGUCCAACUCAAAGAACAUUCCCGUCUUUACAUUUCAACUCAAUUAUCUCUUUCCCACAGUCCACCACAACACUAUGAGUAGUCAACCAAUCUAUCCCAAGGUUUACAUCAAAUUCAUUAAAAGACAAUAACAUCAAGUUAGCUAGAAAAUAAUGACCUCUAAUUGUGAAAGGACAAUUUCUACACACUUGGUCCACUAACACAUAUCUACCCAAAGGAUUGGACACUUUUAUCACAAAUUCAGUGGACUCUACUAUCAUGUUCAUUCGAGGUAUCAAUUCCAUACAAAUAUAGGAGUGGGUAGACCCCGAAUCAAUUAAAGCAAUGAUAGACAUAUCAUGGAUAGAAAAAGUACCCGUAAUCCCUUUGGGACACUCCGCUUUUUCGCGGACACGAAUAGCAUAAGUCCUUACAAGCACUUUGCCCUCGGACCUCACCGCAGUAUCUUUUGCUGUACCCCAGCUACUAGCCCUACUCUCGAGGUUCUUUUGUGAUCUACCCCUUAAUGGAGCACUGCUUGCCUUCAUUUCUUGUUCUUUUCUCUCUCUUCCAUAUCAGGGCAAUCACAGAUAAAGUGUUUUAGUGACCUACACUUGUAGUAGCCCCUCUCGUUUCCUUGGUACUCGCCAAAAUCACGCCUACCACAUUGAGAGCAUUCUGUCCUAUUUGCCCAAGCGCUACCGAUUCUUGCGACUGAAGUGGUCUGGGCUCUCGAAGUGGUGUUCUGCCGGUUCUUAUUUCUAUUUGAAAACCCCACUUCGAUCGGGUAGUGAAUUCCUCACAUUUCUUAGACGAGAAUUGAUAUGAUUUCCCCAUCUGUGUCUUCUUGAAAUCUCGCGACUCAAUAGCCGUUUUCUUCCUCUCUUUUACUAUCUCCUCUGCCUUGCAUGCUCUCUCAACGAGCACUACAAAUUCUCUCAGUUCUAGGAUGCCAACAAAUACUCAGAUAUCUUUAUUAAUGCCAUCCUCAAACCUCUUACACAUGGUAGCUUCAGUGGAUACGCAUUCCCGCGCAUACUUGCUGAGUUUCACAAACUCGCAUUCAUACUCCGUCACAAACUUAAUACCUUGCUUCAACUCUAAAAACUCCUUCCUUUUUUGAUCUAUGAAGAGCUAAUAUACUUCUUUCGGAAUUCUUCUUGGAAAAAUUCCCAAGUUACUCUUUCUCUCGAUACACGGAAACGAGAGUAUUCGACCACUGAUAUGUUGAAUGUCGUAGGAGCGACAAGCAUAUUUUACACACUCUUCAGGUGUGCAUGAUAACUCAUCAAAUACCCUAAUGGUAUUUUCUAACUAAAACUCUACUCUCUCCAGGUCAUCAUCUAUGCUAGCCCAGAAUUCUUUUGCCCAUUGUUUUCGGAUCUUGUCGACUGGAGGUUUCUCUCUUCUAAACAUGUCCGCACCUUGCGGAGCUACCGGGGCAUACUGAGGAAUCGGAGGAGGUGGGGGGGGGGUGGAGUGUUCGGGUUCGCACAAACGAACUCCGUGUACCAAGCAUCUAUCAUUCGGAGGUAGGCUUCUCUAGCCGCUCCAUCUUGGCCCGUAGUCACGGGCUCCCUCUCAACUAGUGCGGUCCUUUCUGCGGGAGAUGGCGCAUUACUUUUCAUGUCAUCCUCUGUGGUUCUAUCCAAAUCUAUUUACUAUUUAAAAACAUAAUUAUAAUCGUCAGAAAUCGUCACACUAAUAAUAUAUAAUUAUGGCAUGUAUGGCUAGACUUGUACUCUGGCUAGGUUAGUCCUAGAACUGACUAAACCAUAGCUCUAAUAUCACUAAAUGUAACACCCCAUACCCGUAACCCACACCGGGGCAGAGUACAAGGCAUUACCUAACUCAAUAUCAUGCUUACAACCAACCUCAAGUCACUGAGACUCGGUCCAGAUUAAAACUUUUUCUAUUUCUACUUUAACCUUCUUAUUAUGGGCCUACGAGCCCUAAAUCGAUCAUUGAAAACUAUUCGAAAACUUUAUGGGUCCUUAAACCAACCUUAAGAAAUUCGCCUUUAAAAUAGGACACACGCCCGUGUGGAAGGAUAACACGCCCGUGUGACCAUUUUGACGUGGUCGUGCUGAUGGCCCGUGUGGCUCACACGGCCUAAGCACCCUGGGACAUGCCUGUGUCCCAUACUCGUGUAGAAUUAAUUUAUACUUUUCACCUACAGGGGUUUUCACACGGCCAGACACAUGCCCGUGUCAAUGUCCCGUGUCCCUCACACGGCUACGACACGCUCAUGUUCUAGUCCGUGUGCAAAAACUUGGACAUUCUGUUUCUAAUGUCAGCAUCCUUAAAAUGUCACAUGGCCAUGGCACAUGCCCAUGUACUAGGCCGUGUCCUCCACACAUAUGAGACACACGGUCGUGUCUCUUCCUGUGUAUUUAUUACCAUGCAUACUGACUUGAAAUUUUUACGUGCAGGGGACACACGGCCGAGCUACAUGCCUAAGGGGCAGACUAUGUGUCACACACAGCCUAGACACAUGCCUAUGUGUCUACCCAUGUGGACGAUAUAAGGCUAUUUGUCAAGCCUCAUUGCCACCCUUAUAUACCUAGUUCUAUGCAAAUACCAACUAAUACAAAGACAAACACAAUUUCUAUAAUCAAACAGCCAUAAUAGACAUUCAUUUAACCAUGGCAAUAUAUCUUUAUAAAUUAAAAUAAAUGUUAGCCAUCAUUGAAGGCUUAAUACAAAAUGAUGGGUUCCCAACCCAAGUCAUUACCAUUGGCCAAUUCUCAAAGGAGCAAAAUAAUAAAGUCUAAGCCGUAUACAUGCCAUAUUCAAAAAUAUAAAUCCAACUAUACCAGUUGCUUCGGCUGAUAGUGUGAUCGAUAUCUCUGACUUUUGGUGAUCCUUGAGCUAGAUAGGCGGCAUUGUAAGGAAAUAGAACGAAAAGGGAGUAAGCAUAAAGCUAAGUAAGUUGCACAUAAAUAGAUAUACAACAAUAAGUCUACCAUUUAUCAACAACUCAUGAUACCAAAGUGGGUAUAAGCAUGACGUACUCUUCACAUCAUACAAAUCACAUAGCAUAUACAAUGAGUUCACAUCUUAUACAUAUGCAUCACUUAGGUACCUGUAAUACUCACAGUACAGUUAUAUGAUAAACCGUAAUUUAUACAUAUUUCUAUCCCAUGCUUAGCACAUUUUAUGGAUGAUUUUUCCUUAGAUUUGGUGAAUUCGCUGCUCCUCAUGCCUUAAUUUCAUGUUUUAUACUUAGGUGAGUAUAGGAGAGUGAAAGGAAUGAGAAACGGGCCAAAAACGGAGAAAAUGAGCCAACGUACGAAAUCAACACGGCCUGGACUUCCUAACACGGGCAGACCACACGGUCGUGUCAAUUUGGCAGAAUUGAAACACGACUCACAUGGGUAGACCACACGCCCGUGCCUAUUUAACAUGCUUGACCACGGCUUGAAGUAAUUGCACACGGGCGUGUCACACGGGCGUGUCCCUGUCGAGCCAAAGCAGAGUCCUAUUCCGAAAAGGCCACUUUUGAGGGCUCUUAGGCAUUCCAAAGCCUAUAAAUACACCCUAGAAGAGGAGAAGAGGGGGGAUGCACAGGAGGAAGGAAGGAAUUGCUCAAAGAAAUCUCUUUGAUCCAUCUUAGAAGCCGGAUUCACCAUCAAGACUGAAGAUCUCCCUUCAGAUUCCCUCAAGAGUCUUGGGUUUUCUUAUGUUUUGUUAUUUUUAUUCUUUUAAGAUGUUUUCUUUCAUUAGUAUGAACUAAAAACCCUAAAUACCCUAGGGGAAUGAAACCUAAGAUGGAUCUUGUUUUUAUUAUCUGAAUUGUAUGAUAAAUGUUUGACUUGUUCUUAAUUAUGUGUUCUUAAUUCUUGUUUUAAUAUUCCAGGAUAUUGAUUCAAGUUAAGCUCUUAUUCAGAGGAGGAAUAGACCCUGUCUAAGAGUAAAUUUGUCAAAUUGAAGCGGAGUUGGUUGCGCGCCUAGAGAUAGGGUGACAAGAUUUUACCGGAUUAGGGUGAAACCUAAUAUGGGAAUCCAUAGAUCGAAUUAAUGCAACCUUAGGGCGUUAAUUAGAAAGGGAUUUUAAUUAUUCAAUCUAGGGUUAGACGUUGUUAGUCUCGAGAGAGAUAAUAAUAUAACUUAGGGAUCUCUACGGAACAAGUUGAAUGAAUAAAUCGUUCGAUUCAGAGUCAAAUGACAAGUGAAGUCUAGGUGGAUUUUUCCUUAGGUAUUGUCUUAAUCAAUCGAAUUUUCCAAAAAGUAUUUUCCCCAAAUUUCUUUUUUGUGAUUUCUUAGUUUAAUUAAUUAGUUAGAUAAACAAAACCCUUUUAUUUUUUAGGAUAGAUAAUAAAAAGAAAGUUGAUACUAGUACUUUUAGUUCCUUUGGGUUCGAUAAUCUGGUCUUGCUAAAGCUAUACUACUGUUCGAUAGGUACACUUGCCUUCAUCGUGAUAAUAGUUAGUUUCAAGAAUGAUUCAUUAUAAAUAUUUAAAACCUGUCACGAAUAUCACGUAUCAUUAUACUUUCCUAAUUAACUUAAAUUUAUAACUCUCGUUGUUGAACCAUUCAAAACACUACCAGAUAUUCCAUAAGUCUCAAUCAUGGGUAAGAUGCCGAUGCCAUAUCCCAGACACGGUCUUACACUAGCUAUCAUCACCAAGGCCGAUGCCAUGUCCCAAACAUGGUCUUAUACUAGCUCUCACAUAUUUGUGCUGACACCAUGUCCCAGACAUGGUCUUACAUUGACAUAUCUCGUAGCCAAUGCAUGUCCCAGACAUGUCUUACAUAGGCUUACGUCCCGAGGCUGAUGCAUGUCCCAGACAUGUCUUACACUAGCACUCUUCUCAAUGUCGAUGCCAUGUCCCAGACAUGGUCUUACACUGGCCAUCAUAAUGUGGCCGAUGCAUGUCUCAGACAUGUCUUACACUAGCCCACAAUAACCUAUAUGCCAUGGCAUGAAUAUCCAAUUUAAUUCCUAGGUUUAAACGGGAACUCUGCUAUCUUGUUAUCAUCAUGCUUUCUUAAUUCUAAAAUCAAGUAAUUCAUGCUAUAUUAAUUUCAAGUAUAAUUCAACACAUACAUUAACUAUUUAGUUGUAUUAUUUACAUACAACUUACCUCAGAUUUCAAAAUGUAGCGAGUAUAUAGUUUAGUCGAUUUGCUUGGCUUUCCCUUGGUCUUGGUUCUGCUUUAGAAAUUCUUGAUCAAUAUUAGCAACAAUAAACUCAUUUAGUCACUAAUUACAAUUAGGCAAUUAAAAAUUUACAUCUUUGGUAAAAUGACCAUUUUGCUCCUAGACUUUGGCAAAAUAACCAUUUUGCCCCUAUGCCCUAAAAUCAAUUUUUAUCGAAUUUCUACACAUCUUAAGCCUAUUUGAACUCUUUUUACUCUUAUAGAAACUCCAAAUUCUCUCUAUUUCACACACUUAUCACUUAUUUUGUAAUUUGUGGAAAAUAGUCCCUUUAGGUGUUUUCAUGCUAACACCUUUCACAAAAGUUGUUUACAAGACAACCAAGACUCAUUUUCUUCGAUAAAAACUCAACAAAAAACACAAAUCCUUUCUUCCAUAAAAACCCAGCAAACAACACAAAUCCUUUCAUGGCAAAACCCUAAACUCUUGAUCAUUGUGUAAAAUAGACCCCUCAUUAGAAAGCUCAUGUUUCUAGGGUCUUAAAAAUGUAAAAAUCAUUAAGAGAGACUAUCAAAAUCACUUACUUGUGCGUGCUUCAAGUUGUUAUAAAUUUUUGAAGCUUAAAACCCCAACAAUGGCUAAUAUUUUUAGCUAAGAAGAAAUGGGAAAUAGGGUGAUAUCAUCUUCCUUUUUCUAUUUUCUAUUUUAGUCAAAAUUGGUCACCUAAUCCCACAAAAAUUGAAAUUUUUGACCACACAUGUCUCCUAUGGCUAGCCACCCUAUUUCUAGGGCUUUAAUUUCCCUUUAAAGGCCCGCAAUUUAGGUUCUCUAGCUAUUUAACACCUUUUAACUAUCAAUUUAGGACUUUUUCACUUUAUGCAAUUUAGUCCUUUUUUCUCAAUUGGGCUCACAAAUGUUAAAAUUAGCUUAACAAAUUUUUCAUGAACUAAAAUAACCAUGAUAUGACUCUAUUUUAAAAAAAUAAAAUAAUUCCUACAACUUUGGAUUUGUGGUCCCGAGACUACUAUUCUGACUAGGCCCUAAAUCGAGCCGUUAUAGGACUUGCAAGACCGAGUUUCUCAGCUUGGGGUGCUCAUGUUUUGUUUGUGAAAUAGAAAGAUGGUACGAUGAGAAUGUGUAUUGAUUAUCAUUAGUUGAAUAAAGUAACUAUUAAGAACAAAUACCCUCUUCCCCGAAUUGACAAUUUUUUUUGAUCAGUUAAAAGAAGCUACUAUGUUUUCAAAGAUCGAUCUGAGAUCGGGCUAUUAUCAGUUGCGAGUAAAAGAUUCAAACAUUUUGAAAACUACUUUGGAAUGAGGUACGGACGCAACGAGUUUUAGUUAUGCCUUUCGGAUUAACAAAUGCACCUACUAUCUUUAUGGAUUUGAUGAACAAAAUUUUUAGACCAUAUUUAGAUCAAUUUUUUGUCGUAUUCAUUGAUGACAUAUUGAUUUAUUCGCAAGAUGAAUCAGAGCAUGCCGAACAUCUGAAAAUAGUGCUACAGACUUUGCGAGAUAAGCAACUAUAUGCAAAGUUUAACAAGUGUGAAUUCUGGUUACGAGAAGUUGGUUUUUUGGGCCAUAUUGUAUCAGCAUCUGAUAUUCGAGUUGAUUCAAACAAAAUUUCAGCUAUUCUAGAAUUGGAAGCCUCCGAGAAAUGUCUCUGAAGUCCAUAGUUUUCUGGAACUUGCUGGUUAUUAUAGGCGGUUUGUAAAAGGCUUUUCUAUGAUUGCAACUCUGCUGAUGAAAUUGCUUCAAAAAGAUGUAAAAUUUGAAUGGUCUGAAAGGUGUCAGAAAAGCUUCGAUUGGUUGAAAGCCCUAUUGACUGAAGCUCCAGUGUUUGUACAAUUCGAACCGAGUAAAGAAUUUGUGAUCAAUAGUGAUGCUUCGUUAUACGGUUUGGGAUGUCUUUUGAUGCAGGAAGGGAAAGUCAUUACUUAUGCUUCGAUAUAGUUAAAGUCACAUGAAAAGAAUUAUCCGACACAUGACCUUGAGUUAGCUGCGAUUGUGUUUGCUUUGAAAAUAUGGCGUCACUAUCUGUUCAGUGAGAAAUGUCACCUUUAUUUUGAUCAUAAGAGUUUGAAAUAUCUGAUAACUCAGAAAGAUUUGAAUCUACGACAGAAAAGAUGGUUAGAACUGUUAAAAUACUAUGAGCUUGUUAUUGAUUAUCAUCCGGAAAAAGCAAAUGUUGUUGCUGAUGCUUUGAGUCAGAAAUCAUUGUUUGCUCUACGUACGAUGAAUGCUUAUUUGGUUGUGUCUGAUGAUGGUUCAGUUUUAGUUGAAUUAAAAGUAAGACCGUUAUUUAUUCAACAAAUUAUCAAAGCUCAGAAGAUUGAUAAUUAAAUUUUUGCAAAACGAGCUUAGUGUAAUUUAGAUUCUGAUUCAGAAUUUAGAGUUGAUAAUUAUGAUUGUUUGAGAUUUCGAGGUCAAAUUUGUGUUUUGAUAAAUUCAGAGUUGAUUCAAAUGAUUUUGAAUGAAGCUCAUAACAGUCGUUUAUCUAUUCAUUCUGGUAGUACUAAAAUGUAUAAUGAUUUGAAACAGCAUUAUUGGUGGUCUGGAAUGAAAAGAGAUAUAGUGUCCCUUAUCUGGCAUUGUUUCUAAAUGUUUAAUCUGUUAGCAAUUAAAACUUAACAUCAAGUGCCAUCUGGUUUGUUACAACCAAUUAUGAUUUCGAAAUGAAAAUGAGAUAAAGUGACAAUGGAUUUUGUUUCGAGGUUGCCCCUAUCUCCGCAUAAGAAAGAUGCUGUAAGGGUUGUAGUUGAUCGAAUGAUGAAAUCAACCCAUUUUAUUCCGGUAUGAUCUAAUUACUCGCUUGAUAAGUUAGCUGAGUUAUACAUUUCCAAUAUUGUGAAAUUACACGGUGUACCAUUAUCUAUUAUGUCAGACAAAGAUCCCAGAUUUACAUCACGAUUCUGGAAGAAAUUGCAAGAUACUUUGGGUACGAAAUUGCAUUUCAGUACUACUUUCCAUUCACAAACGGAUGGUCAAUCCGAGUAGAUUAUUCAGAUUCUUGAAGAUAUGUUGAGAUCUUGCAUUCUUGAAUUUGGAAGUACGUGGGAACAAUAUUUUCCUUUGAUUGAAUUCGCCUACAAUAAUAGUUUUCAAUCAAACAUUAAAAUGGCACCGUACAAAGCCUUAUAUGGUCGCAAAUGCCGUACAUCUUUGUAUUGAACUGAGCUUUGUGAAAAUAAAAUACACGAGGAUGAUUUGAUAAAAGAAACUGAACAAAAUGUAAAAGUGAUCCGAGAUAGUCUGAAAGUGGCUUCGAUCGUUAGAAAUCAUAUGCAAAUUUGAAACGAAAAGACAUUGAAUUUGAGAUCAGCGACAAGGUGUUUCUAAAAGUAUCCCUAUGGAAGAAAGUACUCUGAUUUGGCAGAAAAGGCAAAUUGAGUCCAAGAUUCAUCGGGCGUAUGAGAUUAUUGAGCGUAUCGGGCCAGUUACUUAUAGAUUGUUGUUGCCACCAGAAUUAGAAAAGAUUCAUGAUGUGUUUCACGUAUUGAUGCUUCGACGAUAUAGAUCCAAUCCUUCGUAUGUAAUUUCUCCGUUUGAGAUUGAGAUUCAGUCUGAUAUGACCUACGACGAAAAAACGAUCCGUAUCUUAGCGUACGAAGUUAAAGAACUACGAAAUAAGAACCUUUUGUUAGUUAAAGUAUUGUGGCCUUCUAUUUGUUAAAAGUGUCUAUUUGAUAUGGCUUAUUAAUUAUGAGGUCCUUAUGUUGUUAUUAUUCCAUUUAUAUCAAAAGUGGACUAAAAUGGCCUUAUAUGUUAAUGUUUUUAUAUAUUAUUAAUCAAGGGCAAAAUUGGAAUUUAGUAAUUUAAGUUAUAUUAAUAAAACAAAACAUAAAAACAGGCCAUUAUAUGUUUGUUUAUGUCAAAAAUUGAUGAACAAAAGAAAAGAAAAAGAACUCUAGGGUUCGGCUAAAGAACUCUAUGAUUAAAGAAUGUGUUUUGAUCCAUUUGUGAUCAUUUCUACGUUUUUGUAAUCGUUGCUUAGUAAUCCAUCAAACCGAUGUCUCAAUUUCUGAUUUUGUUGAUGAUUUUGAGUUGAGCCAUUGAUGAAAUUAUAAGCUUUGUUGAAAAAGAAGCUUGAUGUUCGGUUAACAUGUUUUGUCUUUGAAUUUUUGAUGAAUUUGAGUACAAUGGACUAAAUUUUGAAAAUGAGUUUUUGAGGGACUAAAAUAUGAAGUAAAUGAAAUAUGUGGGCUUGUAUGAGCUAUAUAAAAAUUUGGCUAGACAUGUGUAUAAUGAAAUUAUGUGUAUUUUGUGAUUUUGUGAAUUAGGGACUAAAGUGUCAAAAUGUGAAAAUGUGAGGGCUAAUCUGUAAAAUACCCUAAAUAUGUGUUUGUGGAUUAAUUUGAAUGAAAAUGAAAAUGAAUGAGUUUAAUUUGAAUUGAUUUAGAUCAAGAACCAAAGAAAACAGAAUUAGAUCAGGGGAAAAUGAAAGUCGUUGAAUAGUUGCUUAUUUCCGUUCAUUUUCGUACGAGGUAAGUCUACAUACAGAUAAAUGUAUUUGAAAUUGUUUAUUUAUAUGUUGGCAUCGACUUACGUGUAAGACCACGUCUUGGACGUUGGCAUCGUAUUUUAUUUACCUGUAAGACCACGUCUGGGACGUUGGUAUCGUAUUUGAUUUUAUGUAAGACCCUGUCUGGCACAGUGGCAUCGAUAUUUGAUUACAUGUAAGACCACGUUGGGGACGUUGGCAUUGUACAAGCCUUCCGAGUUAUCUGCGUAUCUUUAUGAUUACGAACUGUUCAACUGGCAUUCUGAGAAAUGAAUGAUAAUGAAAUUUUUAUUCGAUUCAGGUACGUUCGAAGUUGUAUACCAUAUUUGAUGUUGAAAGAUAAGUAUAUGUAUCUUUAUGGUUAGAUAAGUAUAUGUGACAAAAUCAUAAGAAAAUAUGCAUUAUGUGCAAAUGGAUGAAGAAUAUGUGAAAUGUAUUUGAGCUAUGUGUUUUGUGAUAGCAUGUGGUUAAAGAUUAUACGUAUAUUAUGGUGCUUAUAUGUUUAUAUUGUUAAGUUUUUUUGUAUAUGGCUUACUAAGCUUUUGAAAGCUUACUUUGUGUGUGUUUACAUUGUUUUAUAGAUAUCGUAGCUAUUGGGAGCUCGGGGAUCAUCGAGGAUCAUCACCACACUAUCAAACUAUAUUUUGGUACCUUUUGAAAAUGUAUAUAUUGAAGUAUGGCAUGUAUAGGCUAAAAGUACUUUGAUUAUGUUUUGUCAUGUAUAUAAAUCUAGCCAUGUGAUUUGGCUUGAUUAUGGUUGUGUAUAUGAAUGAGUUUUUGCUAUAAAAUAUGUGAUGCAAUUGAUUAUUAUGAUGUAAUUUGAAUGGCUAUAGAAAUUGGUCAUUUUGGUAAGUAAUGGUAUAUGUUUAUUUGAGAAAAUGGUAAGUUUUGAUCAUGAGAUUGAAUGAUGUAAGUUGAGGUAUUGAAACAUAUAUCUUGGUAUGAUUUUGGUUUAGAUUUGAUAUGAUUUGGUUGAUGAAUUGAGACUGAAAUUUGUUGAUAAUGUAAUGGCAUGAAUAAUGUAUGUUUUGGUAUUUAAUUGGCUUAAAUUAUGAUGUAAAUGUGCUUGGUUUGAUGUUUAUAGGUUCGACCCAAAAUGGGUGGCAAAUUGGCUUUUCAAAUGACCUAUUUUUGUCCACACAGACAUGUGCCUCAGCUAUGUGCGACACACGAUCAUGUUGCACGGUCGUGUGUCCCCUAGGGUACCCUACGAUUUUAAGUCAGGCUUAAGCACGGGCAAGGCACACGGACGUGUCUUGUGGCCGUAUGAUUAAGUCAGUAUGGAUGCCUAUUUUUACACGGCCUAGACACACGGACGUGUCUAAAGCUGUGUGAGGCUCACGGCCUAUUCACACGGGCGUGUGACCUGUAUAACUUUGAAAUAUGUUUAAGUUUUGAAAAAUUCUGUAUGAGCUCGGUUCAGUCCUGACCCCUUUCUAAAACAUGUUUAAGAUCUCGAUGAUCUAAAUAAAUGACAUUAUAUUGAUGUUUGAUCUUUGAUGCUAUGGUAUUUUUGAAAUGAAUGUUAAAUGUUCCGAUUUGUCCGGUAAUGGCUUUAACCCUAGUUCGGUGAUGGAUAUGGGUUAGGGGUGUUACAUUUGGUUGGUGUCAGAGCUACGGUUUAGUCGAUUCUAGGACUAACGUAGCAUAUGUGAGUCUAGCUAUACAUGCCAUAUUUAUGAAUUGUGAUAGUGUGAUGAAACCUGAUAAUGAAAAUGCGUUUUUAUAUAGCAUUUGGAUCCCAAACGAGCCAUAGCUGACAAUGUCGAGAGUAAUGUGCCUGCUCCCGAGUAAGGGACAGCGCCAUCUGAUUCUAGACCAGCUACGAGUAGCCAUGAUGGAAAGGCUAGACAAGCCUUCUAUCAAAUGAUGAAUGAUUGAUUUAGUCAGUACAUUAGAACUAAUCCGGCUGUUCAACAACCCCCAACCCCGGCUAAUCCUUCGCAAGUCCCUGCUAUGUUGCAAGUUAAUCCGAAUCAGUGGAUUAAGCCUCCGGUUGAUAAGAUUAGAAAAUAUGGGGCCAAAGAGUUUCGAGCUACCACUAGUGAUGAUAUUAAGAGAGUUGAGUUCUGGCUAGAGAAUACGAGAAGAGUAUUUAAUGAAUUGUCUCUGACUCUGGAUGAAUGCAUAAAAUGUGCCGUUUCACUUCUGAGAGAUAUGGCGUAUCAUUGGUGGAAGACUUUGAUAUUAGUGGUUCUGAGGGAACGAGUUACUUGGGAUUUCUUCCAAGUUGAAUUUUGAAAAAAAUACAUCAGUCAGAGAUUUAUCGAUCAGAAUCGUAAAGAGUUUAUUGAGCUUAAACGAGGCCAUAUGUUUGGUACAGAAUAUGAGUGAGAAUUUGUAAGACUGAGUCAAUAUGCUUGAGAAUGUGUAUCUACUGAGGCAAUAAUGUGAAAAAGAUUUGAAGAUGGCUUGAACGAGGAUAUCUAUUUGUUAGUCGGGAUUCUUGAGAUUAAAGAAUUCGUUGUGCUUGUUGAACGAGCAUGUAAAGCUGAAGAGCUCGGGAAAGAGAAAAGAAAAGAUGAUUCAGAAACUAGAGAUGUAAGAAAGAGAUCUGCAAGUAAAUCAUUUCAAUCUGCGUCAAAGAAAUUCCGAGAUGAUUAUAGCCAUUCAAAGGCUAAUGUGGGACAUUUGAGUAGAGAUUAUGCUAAAUUGCAUUCAUGUUUCAAAGCUCCAGAUACAUCUGUUGCUAGUGUUAGAAAUGUUCGAUUUGAUCGCCCUGAGUGCAAACAAUGUGGUAAAAGACAUCCCCACAAUUGUAGACUGCAGGAUCGAGCUUGUUUCAAAUGUGGAUCAUUAGACCAUUUCAUCCGUGAUUGCCCUGAAUCUGUUGAGCAAUAAAUUGUACAAAAUCUGAGACCUAGAAACACUUUAGCUCGAGGUAGACCUUCUAGAAAUACGGGUAAUGUGAGUAUCAGUCAGAGGGAAACAAAAGACAUUACUACUAGAUCCGAGGCUCGUGCACCUGCUAGAGCCUAUGCCAUUCGAGCUCGUGAGGAAGCUUCGUAUCCAGAUGUAAUUACGGGUAAUUUUACACUUUACUAUACUUUUGUGAUUGCUUUGAUAGAUCCAGGAUCAACGCAUUAUUAUAUAUGCAUGAACUUAGUGAACAGUAAGACUUUGCCUGUAAAGUCUACUGAAUUUGUAUUUAAAGUUUUGAACCCCCUAAGAAGAUCUAUUUUGGUUGAUAAAGUUUUCAAGAACUGUCCGUUAAUGUUUCGAGACAUUUGUUUUCUGGCUCAUCUGAUGUUAUUGCCCUUUGAUGAGUUUGAUAUAAUUUUGGGUAUAGAUUGGCUAAUUUUGCACGAUGCUAUUGUGAAUUGCAAGUAGAAAACUAUUGAUUUGAGAUGCAAGAAUGAUGAAAUAAUUUGAAUUGAAUCUAGCGAUUUGAAUGGAUUGCGUGCUGUGAUAUCUUUGAUGAAAGCUCUAAGUAUUGUGAAAAAAGGUGGUGAAGCUUACUUUCCCUAUGUGAUUGAUUGGAAAGUGUCAGACAAGAAAGUUGAAUCAGUGCUUGUUGUCUGUGAAUUCCCUGAUGUGUUUCUUAAAGAAUUUCUAAGAUUACCUCUAAUUUGAGAAGUUGAAUUUGGCAUUGAGUUGUUAUUGGGAACUAACCUGAUUUCGAUAGCUCCGUAUAGAAUGGCUCCGACUGAAUUAAAAGAAUCAAAGUCUCAGUUACAAGAGUUGACAGAUAGAGGACUUGCAAGACCAAGUUUCUGACCUUGGGGUGCUCCUGCUCUGUUUGUGAAAAAGAAAGAUGGUACGAUGAGAAUGUGUAUUGAUUAUCGUCAGUUGAAUAAAGUAGCUAUUAAGAACAAAUACCCUUUGCCCCUAAUUGAUGAUUUGUUUGACUAGUUAAAAGGAGCUACUGUGUUUUUCAAAAAUAGAUAUGAGAUGGGGUUAUUAUCAGUUGCGAGUAAAAGAUUCAAACAUUCCAAAAACUACUUUCCAAAUGAGGUACGAACACGAGGAGUUCUUAGUUAUGCCUUUCGGAUUAACAAAUGCACCUGCUAUCUUUAUGGAUUUGAUGAACAUAAUUUUUAGACCGUAUUUAGAUUGAUUUGUUGUCAUAUUCAUUGAUGACAUAUUGAUUUAUUUGCGUAAUGAAUCAGAGCAUGCCGAACAUCUGAGAAUAGUGCUACAGACUUUGCAAGAUAAGCAAUAUGUGAAGUUUAAAAAAUGUGAAUUCUGGUUACGAGAAGUUGGUUUUCUGGGCCAUAUUGUAUCAGCAUUUGGUAUUUGAGUUGAUUCAAACAAAAUUUCAGCUAUUCUGGAUUGGAAGCCUCCGAGAAAUGUCUUUAAAGUCUGUAGUUUUUUGGGACUUGUUGGUUAUUAUAGAUGGUUCAUAAAAGGCUUUUCUAUGAUUGCAACUCCGUUGACAAAAUUGCUUCAAAAAGAUGUAAAACUUGAAUGGUUAGAAAGUUGUUAGAAAAGCUUCGAUUAGUUGAAAGCCCUAUUGUAACAGUCCAAUUUUGACCCUAGUCGGAAUAAUGGUUUCUGAGUUAGAAAAAUAUUUUACCUAUUAUAAGUGAAUUUACAUGUGUGAAAGUCUCGUGUGAAGAUUUAACUAUUUGUGUGUUUAAUUGGCAAAAAAAGGAUUUAAUCUCGUAGAAUGUAAAAGUUGUGUGCUAGAUGCUAAAGUGCCAAAUUGCUAUGUCUUUAUAAUUGUAAGGUCCUUAGGUUGUAAAUGGACCCUUGGAAUAAUGCAUGGACAAAGUUAGUCAUGAUUUUAUGAAUUAUUAAUGUUAUAAAGCAGGGGUAUAUUGGUAAAACAUGUAUUAAUGUAUGUUUAAUAAAACAAAACUUAAAAAUAGGCCAUUAUGUUCAUCUUUGGCUAAAAAUUAGAAAAGAAAAAGAAGAAAGAAUGCAAGCUAGAGUUUCGGCAUGUUGAGCUUGAAUUAAUGUAUGUUUUAGUUUCAGUUUUUGAUGAUUUUUAUGUUUUUGAGAUUGUUGCUUAGUCUACUAUCAAGCCCAUGUCAUAAUUUGUGGAAUUGAUGAUGUGUUCAUGAGAUGAAGUUGUUGAAUAUGUGAUUCUUAUGUUGUUAAAUAAUUAAUUAUGGAAGCUUGGUAUGUGAUUAAUAUAUUUUGUCUUUGGAUUUUGGAUGAAAUUGAGUAUUUUGGGCUAAAUUGUGAAAUUAUUGUUUUGGGGGACUAAAAUGUAAAAUAAAUGAAAUAUAUGGAUUUGUAUGAGAGCUAGGAGAAUUUGGGUAGGCUUUUGUACAAGCAAAUUCUGUGUAAUUUGUGACUUGUUGAAUUAGGGACUAAAGUGUCGAAAUGUGAAAAUGUGAUGGCUAUUUUGAAAAAUGCCCUAAUUGUGUGUAUAUGGAUUGUUUUAAAUAAUUUGGUGAAUAAAAGAGUUAAUUUUGAAUACAUUUAGAUUAAGAAAAGAGGAAUUCGGAUUUAGACCAAUGAAAGCCGAAGAUUGUAGAAUAAACGUUCAAGUCGACAACUUCGAGUACGAGGUAAGUUUGUACGUAGAACAUGGUAUUAUAAGUACAUAUUUAUAUUUUGAUUAUACAUAGAUGUUUAAAUAAUUGAGCUAAAUGUAUAUGAUGAUGAAUCGAAAGCUUUAGCACUAAGUGUGCGAUUUAAACUAGCUUUGGCUACUUGAGGCACUAAGUGUACGAUACCGACUUAGUCUCACUUAUUUGAGAUGGCACUAAGUGUGCGAAAAUAUUCUAGCUUUGGCUGACCUUAUAGCACUAUGUGUGUAGAUGUUUAAAAUAUGAAUAAGCUAUGGAAAGUCUUAUAACAUUCAAUAAGAGGUAAGUAUGAAAGUGAAUAAGUACGGGAAGAUCCAGGUAUGUAUGAUACCUAAGUGGUAGAUGAUAUUAUGUAUGUGAAUUUCAUUGAGUUGAUAUGAUCUUAUGGAUUGGCAUUGUGCAAAUACUCAUAUGUUUCAUAUAAUGUUGAUGAUUUGAGUACGAGCUUACUAAGCUUUUGGAAGCUUACUGUGUUUCAUAUUUUUCAUAUAUCGUAGCUACUGCAAGCUCGAGGAUCUUCUAGGAUCAUCAGCAUACUAUCGAACUUCAUUUUGGUAUAUUUUGAAUAUAUAUAUAUUUGAAGUAUGGCAUGUAUAGGCUAGUAGUUGUAGAAGUAUGUUUUGUGAUGUAUAUAUAUUUAGCCAUGUGAAUUGGCUAAUUUGUGUUUGAACUCAUAGUUGAUAAUGGUUUAUGAUAUGUGAUGUUAAUUUGAAAUUGUAGUAUGCUUAGUUGGAUAAAGAAAAUGGUAAGCGUGGUGAGUUUUUGGAAUGAUAUUGCGUGAUAAUUUGAUAUAAUUUUAGAUUAUGUUCAUUAUAAAUAGGUAAGGUUUAUAAGUAUGUAAAUGGUUGAUAAUAUUAUGGUAUGAGUGAUAUGUGUUUUAGCAUGAAAAAUUGGUUGAUUGGAUUGUACAUAUAUGCUUAUUUCCAUGCUUGUAGGUUGACCCAAAAAGGGGUGGCAAUUUGGCUUAAACCAAGCGUGCAUUGUGCCACAUGGCCAUAGCACACGGGCGUGUCUGUUGGCCAUGGGGAAAAGUCAGUAUGUAAACUUUGUUUUGGCACGGCUGGUUUCAAGGGUGUGUCUGGUGCUCGUGUGAGGCACACGGCCUGGUUACAUGGCCGCGUGACCUCAACAGAAUGGAAAAAUUUUCUAAGUAUUGAAAUUUGUGAAUGUGUUCGGUUUAGUCCCGACCUCUUACUAAUGCAUGUUCAUGGUCUCAUUGACCUAAGAAAGGAACUUAAUGUUUAUGUUUGAUUAUAAUAUGAUGAUGUUUGACUUUUGAUUGUAAAGUGAUUACGAAAUGUUCUGAUGUGUCCAGUAAUGCCUCAUAACCCUAGUCUGAUGAUGGAUACGGGUUAGGGGUGUUACAUUUAGUUAGUAUCAGAGCUAUAGUUUAGUCGGUUCUAGGACUACCAUAGCGUAUGUGAGUCUAGCUAUACAUGCCAUAUAUCUGAAACUGCGAUAGUGUGAUGAAUCUUGACAUUGAAAUGUGCUUUUGUCUAGCAAUGGAUCCCGAUAGAGCUGUACUGAUAUGUUGAAAGCAAUGCACCUACUCCCGUGCAAGGGACGGUGCAAGCUGAUUCUCGACCGGCUACAAGUACCCGUGAUGGUGAGGCUAAGCAAGCCUUCUAUCAGAUGGUGAAUGAUUGGUUCACCCAAUACAUUAGAACCAAUCCGGCUGUACAACAACCUCCACCCCCGGUUGAUCCUCCUCAAACUCCUGUUAUGCCCCAAGUAAAUCCAGUACAAUUGAGUGGGCCACCAGUUGACAAGAUUAGAAAAUAUAGAGCUGAAGAAUUCCGAGCUACCACAAGUGAUGAUGCAGAAAAAGCUGAGUUUUGGUUAAAGAACACAGCAAGAGUGUUUGAUGAGUUAUCUUUGAGUCUAGAAGAAUGUAUAAAAUGUGCUGUUUCACUUCUGAGAGACACGGCGUAUCAUUGGUGGAAAACUUUGACAUCUAUAGUUCCGAGUGAAAGAGUUAGUGGGAUUUCUUCCAAGCUGAAUUUCGAAAAAAAUAUAUCAGCCAAAGAUUGAUUGAUUAGAAACGCAAAGAGUUUUUUGAACUUAAACAAGGUCAUAUAUCUGUCACAGAAUAUGAGCGGGAAUUUGUAAGGUUGAGUCAAUAUGCCCGUGAAUGUGUAUCUUCGGAAGAAAUAAUGUGCAAGAGAUUUGAAGACGGUUUGAAUGAGGAUAUUCGUCUGCUAGUUGGUAUUCUAGAAAUCAAAGAAUUCGUGGUGCUAGUUGAACGAGCAUGUAAAGCGGAAGAUCUUGGGAAAGAUUAAAGAAAGGCUGAUUCUAAAGCUAGAGAGGUACGAAAGAGAUCAUUGGGUAAAUCAUUUCAGUCUGGAUCCAAAAAUUUUAAAGAUGAUAGUAGUCAUUCAAAGGCUAGUGCAGGAUAUCUGAACAGAGAUCGUGUUAGAUUGCAAUCGAAUUACAAAUCUUUAGCCACAUCUAUUGCUAGUGUUGAUAAUGCAAAGAAUGAAAGGCCUAAAUGUGAUCAAUGUGGAAGAUGACACUUUGGUGAAUGCUGGGGAAAGAGUAAUAAUCGACCUUGUUAUAGUUGUGGUUCACGAAACCAUUUUAUUAAAGAUUGCCCAGAUUUAGCUGAACAAGAUAAGUUUCAGAAUCCGAGACAGAGUGGUAAUGAUUCUCGUGGCAGGCCUCCUAAAAAUUUAGGAAAUGUGAGUGGUAGUCAAAGAGGAACGAAAGAUACAACUGUUAGAUCUGAGGCUCGUGCACCUACCAGAGCAUACGCUAUUCGAGCUCGAGAGGAAGCUUCAUUGCCAGAUGUGAUUACGGGUACAUUUACUCUCUUUGAUACUUUUGUAAUUGCUUUGAUAGAUCCUGGAUCAACACAUUCAUAUAUAUGCAUGAACUUAGUGAACAAUAAGACUUUUUCUAUAGAGUCUACUGAAUUUGUGAUUAGAGUUUCGAACCCCCUAGGCAGAUGUUUUCUAGUUGAUAAAGUCUGCAAGAAUUGUCCGUUAAUGUUUCGAGACAAUUUUUUUCAGUUGAUCUUAUGUUAUUACCUUUUGAUGAGUUUUAUAUAAUUCUGGGUAUGGAUUGGUUAACCUGGCAUGAUGCUGUGGUGAAUUGUAAACGAAAAACUAUUGAUUUGAGAUGCAAGAAUGAUGAAAUGGUCAGAAUUGAAUCUAGUGAUUUGAAUGGAUUGCCUGCUUUGAUUUCUUCGAUGAAAGCUUUGAGUAUUGUGAGAAAGGGUUGUGAAGCCUACUUUGCUUAUGUUAUUGAUUCAAAAGUGUCAGAAAAGAUAGUAGAAUCCGUACCUAUUUUCUGUGAGUUCUCUGAUGUGUUUCCUGAAGAACUUUUGGGAUUACAUCUAGUUAGAGAAGUAGAAUUUGGCAUAGAAUUGGUACCUGGUACUACUCUGAUUUCGAUAGCUCUGUAUAGAAUAGCUCCGAAUGAGUUAAAAGAAUUAAAGUCCUAGUUGCAAAAAUUGAUCGAUCGAGGAUUUGCAAGACUAAGUUUCUCACAUUGGGGUGCUCCGGUUUCAUUUGUGAAAAAAAAGACGGCACGAUGAAAAUGUGUAUAGAUUAUUGUCAGUUGAAUAAAGUGACUGUCAAGAAUAAGUAUCCCCUGCCCUAAAUUGAUGACUUGUUUGAUCAGUUGAAAGGAGGAUUUGAAAUCGGGCUACUAUCAGCUACGAGUGAAAGAUUCAGAUGUUCCAAAGACUGCUUUCAGAACGAGGUACGAUUACUAUGAAUCUUUAGUUAUGCCCUUCAGAUUGACGAAUGCACCUGCUGUCUUUAUGGAUUUGAUGAAUAGAAUUUUCAGACCGUAUUUUGAUCAAUUUGUUAUGCUAUUCAUUGAUGAUAUAUUGAUUUAUUCACGUAAUGAAUCUGUAAGAGUCCAGUUUUGACCCUAGUCGAAAUAGUGGUUUCGGGACCACAAAUUCGAGUCUAAAAAAUAUUUUAAUAUUAUUUUCUAUGUCUAUGAUAUGAGAAUUUGCAUUUGUGAAAUUUCUACGAUUUAAUUUGUCUGUUUCUGUGCUUAAUUAUGAAAAAAAAGUAAAUUGCAAAAAGUGUAAAACUUGAGUGUUAGAUGAUAAAACACCUAUUUGGCUUGGCUUUUAAAAUAAAGGUCUUUGCAUGUCAAUUGUACCAUUUGUUUAAAUGGUGGACAAUUAUGGGCAUUAGUGGAUGGAAAUUUAUGUUUUAUUAACAAGGGCAAAAUGGGAAAAUGGUUAAUAAUGUUAAUUAAAAAAAUGAAAACAAAACAAAGAUGGCCUUAUUCUCAUGCAUGUUAACCGAAAAUCAACAAAUGAAAGAAAGGUUUGAAGCUUUUGUAUAUUCGGCACUUUGAUUGAUAAAUUAAGGUAUGAAUUUUAGCCUGUUUUUGAUAAUUUCUACGCUUCUGUGAUUGUUGCUUUGUGUUCUUCAAAGCCUAUGUUCGAAUUUUUAUUUUUGUUAAAGAUUUCAUGAAAUGCCAUUAUUGAUAUCAUGAGUUUUUUGAUGUUGUUGGAUGAAUUAUGAAGUCCUGUUAGAUGGGUUAUAUGUUUUAUUCUUGUAUUUUUUAUGAAAUGAGCUAAUUGGGCUAAUUUGUGAAAUGAGGUUUUGAAGGACUAAUUUGUAAAUUAAAAAUGUUGUAUGUGCUUAUAUGGAAGCCAUGUAUAUUUGGCCAAGUUAUAGUCUUGGUGAAUUUGGUAUAUUUGUGAAUUUGUGAAAAAUGGACUAAAGUGUCAAAAUCUGAAUUUAUAGGGGCUAAAUUGUAAAGUGCCCUAAACAUGUAUUCAUGGACUAUUUUGAAAGAAAUAUAUGAUUGAAUGGUUGAAUUUGAAUUGUAUUAGAUCAAGAACAAAGAAAAUCGGACUUAGAUCGAGGGAAGUCCAAAGUAGUCGAAUAGUCGACUCAUUUUCGUCCGAAAUCCGUACGAGGUAAGUCAAACUACACUUAUGUGUUAAGUUGAUUGAAUUUUGUGUUUAUAAAUUGUUAUAUACAUUGGACGGCCUUGAAAUCCUGAUAAAAUAAUGUUGGUAUUAAUCUGAAUUAUCGUGUAAGACCGUGUCUAGGACACAGGCAUCGAUUUGAAAUUUACGUUUAAGACUAUGUCUGGGACAUCGGCAUCGUAUCUGAUUUCGUAUAAGACCCUGUCUGGGACAGAGGCAUCGAUACUGAAUUACAUGUAAGACCACGUUUGGACGUUGGCAUUAUACUCGUUUAUGAAUAUUUGUAUCGUUUCUGAACCGUCUGAUGUCAAAGUAUGAGAUAUGAAAAUGAAUAUGUGAAAUGUGUAGUCUAUACAGGUAUGUUUGUAUCGUACUUAAUUUCUGAAUAUGAAAGACUCUGUUUCUGCGAAGUAGGUUCGGAAUCAUGGAAAUGAAUAUAUAUGCAUACAAGCAAAUGAGCAUGGUUAAGUUUAUGAACAAGUCUGAGAAAUGUAUAUGAAUUCUUAUUGUUGUUUUGAAAUAAAUAUAUAUGCUUUAGUAAUUAUACCAUUUGUGUUUGGCUUACUAAGCUCUUCGUAGCUUACUCUGUGUGAUUUCUGUCUGUAUUUCAGUUGUCGUAGCUACUGAAGGCUCGGGAAUAGUCGAGGAUCGUCACCACACUAUCGAACUCAUUUGGUACUCUUGAAGUGUAAAUAUUGCUAAGUAUGGCAUGUAUAGGCUAGAAUGUCUAUGUAUUAAGUUUUGAAUUGUAUAAAAGUUAUGCCAUUUGAAUUGGCUAGAAAAUGAUAUGUUUGUGUAUUGUUUUGGUGUAUGUGGUAAUGUGCCAUGUUCUAAUGUCUUUUGGUCAUAUUUGAGCACGGAAUUGGUUGGAAAUGUUAGUAUAAUUGUUGCAUAUUAAUACUUGUAGGAUUGGAACCAUAUGUGGUGGAAAAUUGGCUUAAACCAAGCUUGCAUUGUGCCACACGGCCAGGGAACACGGGCGUGCCUUGUGGCCGUGUGAAAAAGUCAGUAGCUAGCUAAAUUUUACACGUUCAUGGCACACGGUCGUGUCUGUUGCCGUGUUAAAAAGUCAGUAAAGGACCUCUUUUUAGCACGGUUGGAGCACAUGUGCGUGCCUUGUGCCCGUGUGAGUCACACGGCCUAGUCACACGGGCGUAUGACUUUGUCAAUUUUGAAAAGUUUGAUUAAGUUCAGAAAAUUCUGAAUGGGUUCGGUUUAGUCUCGACUUUCCCUAAAUGUAUGUUUUAGGUCUCGUAGACCAUUUUAAUAGAUGAAUUGUUAAAUAAUGCAAAUGUAUUAAUGUUAUAUGAUAUCUGUGAAGCUGUGUUGUUCGAAAAUGCUCUAUCUGUCUGGUGACACCCUUUACCUAUUCCGGUGACGGUUACGGGAUAGGGUUGCUACAUUUUAUUGGUAUCAGAGCCAUGGUUUAGUCGGUUCUAGGACUACCAUAGCGUUUGUGAGUCUAGCUAUACAUGCCAUAUGCCUAAAACUGUGAUAGUGUGAUGAAUCUUGACAUUUGAAAUGUGCUUUGAUAUAGCAAUGGAUCCCAAUAGAACCGUAGCUGACGAUGUUGAAGUAAUACGCCUGCUCCCGCGGAAGGGACGGUGCAAGAAGAUUCUCGACCGACUACGAGCAGCCGUGAUAGCGAGGCUAAGCAAGCCUUCUAUCAGAUGAUGAAUGAUUGGUUCACCCAAUAUAUUAGAACCAAUCCGGCUAUUCAACAACCUCCACCCCCGGUUAAUCCUUCUCAAAUUCCUAUUAUGACUUCCGUGAAUCCAGUUCAGUCAAGUAGACCACCAGUUGACAAGAUUAGGAAGUAUGGGGCUGAAGAAUUUCGAGCUACAACGAAUGAUGAUGCUGAAAGAGCCGAAUUCUGGUUAGAGAAUACGAUACGGGUGUUUGAUGAAAUGUCUUUGAAUCUGGAGGAAUGUGUUAAAUAUGCCAUUUCACUUUUGAGAGAUACGACGUACCAUUGGUGGAAAACUUUAAUAUCUGUGGUUCCGAGUGAACGGGUUACCUGGGAUAUCUUCCAAGCUAAAUUUCAGAAGAAAUACAUUAGUCAGAGAUUUAUUGAUCAGAAACGUAAAGAGUUUCUCAAGCUUAAACAGGGCUGAAUGUCUGUCACUGAAUAUAAACGGGAAUUUGUGAGAUUGAGCCAAUAUGCUCGAGAAUAUGUAUCCAAUGAAGCAAUAAUGUGCAAAAGAUUUGAAGAUGGACUAAACGAAGAUAUCUGUCUGCUAGUGGGGAUUUUGGAGAUUAAUGAAAUGGUAGUACUGGUUGAGCGAGCAUGUAAAGUUGAAGAAUUAAGCCAAGAAAAAAGAAAAGUUGAUUUUAAAGCUAAAGAUGCUAGAAAGAGAUCUUCGAGUAAAUCAUUUCAGUCUGGACCAAAGAAAUUUCGAGAUGAUCAGAAUCGUUGAAAUACUAAUGUGGGACAUUAACACCGAGAUCGAGCUAGAUUGUAUUUGAACACCAGAGCCCCUGUUACUUCUGUUGCAAGUGUUGGAAAUGUCCGAUCUGAGAAACUUGAGUGUAAACAUUGUGGUAAAAGACAUUCGAAAAAUUGUAGAUUGAAUGACUGAGCUUGUUUCUAAUGUAGGUCCCUGGAUCAUUUUGUAAGAGAUUGUUCUGAACCUGCUGAGCAAGAGAAUGUACAGAAUCUGAGACAGAGUAACACCUCAGCUAGAGGUAGACUUUCCAAAAACACGAGAAAUACAAGUGGUGAUCAAAGAGCUACUAGGGAUACUACUGUUAGAUCUAGGCCAGAGCACCUGCUAGGGCCUAUGCAAUCCGAGCUCGUGAAGAAGCCUAGUCUCCAGACGUGAUUACUGGUACUUUCACUCUUUAUGAUACUUCUGUGAUUGCAUUGAUAGUCCCUGGCUCAACGCAUUCUUAUAACUGUAUGAAUUUAGUGCACAGUAAGACUUUGCCUGUAGAGUCUACUAAAUAUGUAAUUAAAGUAUCGAACCCUUUAGGCAAGAGUGUUUUAGUUGAUAAAGUCUGCAAGAACUGUUCGUUAAUGAUUCGAGAUACCUGUUUUCCUGCUGAUCUGAUGCUAUUGCCUUUCGACGAAUUUGAUAUAAUUCUGGGGAUGGACUGGUUAACAUUGCACGAUGCUAUUGUGAAUUGUAAAAGAAAAUUCAUUGACUUAAGGUGUAAAAAUGAUGAGAUAAUUCGAAUUGAGUCUAGUGAUCUAAAUGGGCUACCAGCUGUGAUAUCUGCAAUGAAAGCACAGAAUUAUGCAAAGAAAGGUUGUGAAGCCUACUUAGCUUAUGUGUUAGACUCGAAAGUGGAUGACAAGAAAAUUGAAUCAGUGCCCGUUGUCUAUGAAUUCCCUGAUGUGUUUCCUGAGGAACUACCUGGUUUGCUUCCGAAUCGAGAAGUCGAGUUUGGCAUUGAAUUGGUACCUGGUACUUCUCCGAUAUUGAUAGCUCCGUACAGAAUGGCUCUGACUGAACUAAAAGAAUUAAAAUCUCAGUUGCAAGAAUUGGCCGAUCGAGGAUUUGCUAGACCGAGUUGCUCACCUUAGGGUGCUCCCGUUCUGUUUGUGAUUAAGAAAGAUGGCACAAUGAGAAUGUGUAUUGAUUACCGUCAACUUAAUAAAGUGACUGUAAAGAACAAAUACCCUCUGCCCAGGAUCGAUGACUUAUUCGAUCAAUUGAAAGGUGCUACUGUGUUUUCAAAGAUAGAUUUGAGAUCGGGUUACUGUCAGUUGCGAGUAAAGGACUCUGAUAUUCCAAAAACUGCUUUUAGAACAAGGUACGGGCAUUAUGAAUUUUUAGUUAUGCCUUUUGGAUUAACGAAUGCGCCUGCUAUCUUUAUGGAUUUGAUGAAUAGAAUUUUCAGACGGUAUUUAGAUCAAUUUGUUGUUGUAUUUAUUGAUGACAUAUUGAUUUAUUCAUGUAAUGAAUUUGAACACGCCAAGCAUUUGAGGAUAGUGCUACAGACACUACGAGAUAGACAGUUGUAUGAAAAGUUCAGUAAGUGUUAAUUCUGGUUGCGAAAAGUUAGUUUUCUGGGUCAUAUUGUAUCAGCCUCUGGUAUCCGAGUUGAUCCGAGCAAAAUUUCAGCUAUUAUAGAUUGGAAACCUCCAAGAAAUGUAUCUGAAGUCCGUAGUUUUCUGGGACUUGUUGGUUACUAUAGAAGAUUUGUGAAAGGUUUUUCGAUGAUUGAUACUCUAUUGAUGAAAUUGCUCCAAAAAUAUGUGAAGUUUGAGCGGUCAGAAAAGUGUUAGAACAGUUUUAAUCAGUUGAAAACUUUGUUGACUGAAGCUCUGGUAUUAGUACAACUUGAAUCGGGUAAAGAAUUUAUAAUUUACAGCGAUGCUUUGUUGAUUGGUCUGGGAUGUGUGCUAAUGCAAGAAGGUAAAGUCAUUGCUUAUGCUUCAAGACAGUUGAAGCCACAUGAAAAGAACUAUCCGACACACGAUCUUGAGUUAGCUGCUAUUAUGUUUGCUCUGAAAAUUUGGCAUCACUAUCUGUUCGGCUAGAAAUGUCAUGUGUUUUCUGAUGAUAAAAGUCUGAAGUAUUUAAUGAUGCAAAAAGAUUUGAAUCUGCAACAAAGAAGAUGGUUGGAAUUGUUAAAAGACUACGAGCUAGUUAUUGAUUAUCAUCUGGGAAAACCAAAUGUUGUUGCUAAUGCUUUAAGUCAGAAAUUGUUGUUUGCUUUGCGUAAAAUGACUGUGCAUUUGAAUCUAUCUAAUGAUGGUUCAGUUUUAGCAGAACUGAAAGCAAAACCCUUGUUUAUACAACAGAUCUGCGAAGCUCAGAAAUCUGACAAUGAAUUGAUAGUUAAACAAACUCUGUGUGAUUCUGAAUUUCGGGUUGAUGUCAAACGAACAUCGUAACUGGUUGUUCUAUAAAGACUGAUGUGUGAUAUACCACAACUAUGUAGAGGGAUAUGGUUGAUCAAUAUAGGAUAAGUCCCUCCUACAUAAUGGGUGUAAUAUCUUAGGCCACUUGAUUGAGUGAGACUAGAAAUGCAUGGCCAUGCUCAAAUAAGUAUGAAUAAGUUGAUAUGAGAUGUCAUACUUAUUUGUGUAUCAUAGUUCACUUAAGGUAUCAAGAAACAUGAGAUGGACUAUGCAAGUGUGAUUAUUCCAUGACUUGUGUCCAUUCCAAAGAUAUAGGACUUAAGGAUUAAUGCAUGAAAGGUUAAUCACAAAAGGUUAUGUCGAAUCAUGACUUUUCAUAACUUAGGUAGCAAUGAUGCAUUGCUAGAUGUCACUCAUUGUUUAUAACAUUAGAAUCAUUCUAAUAUUACUACUAACGUUAUAAGAACCUAUAGGGUCACACCCUAUGGUUGAAAUGAACGGAGUAAAACUUAGUUGGUAUUGUAUUCUGAUUGUCAGAUGAAUUAAAUUAAUUAUAGAAUUAAUUUAAUUGGGCAAUCAAAUUGUUGAACAUACUAUAUGUACAAGGAUGUUGUACACAUAAUCAGAACAUAAUUUCAUUAGUAUAUGAAUUUGGUUCAUAUAUAAGUUUAAAAAAAUAUAGUUUACCGAAAUCUUUAUUAUGAUUAAUGUAAUUAUAAUUUUCGGUUAAACAUUAUUAUAUUUAUUUUAAUGAUGACUAUUAUGUUUAGAUUAAUUUUAAUGAAUUAAUAUUCAUUAAAAAAAAAGAUAUACCAAUUAAAAGGGUGUUAUUUAUGGCAAGGGUAAAAACCCUAAAGAAAUAAUAUAUAAAUAAGCCCGAAACUAUGCUAAAGGAUCUAGCAGCCGUCAAGGAUAAAAAUUACUGAAAUAGUUUAUGAGAUUUUUCUACCGUUCAUUGUCAACUGGGUAGACUACGUAGAGGCCGACAUCGAAAAAGUUGCAGCUUGGUCUGAUAGUGGUUCAAGAUUCCCGUUGCCUAGGCGUCGCUGUCUACUCAGAUUGAAGUUUCAGUAAUUUCGAAACCUUUUAUCACCCCGAUAUGUUCCUUACACAUGGAUCCAUGGUUUGGAUCGCCGGAAUAUCUGUAAUUAUUUUAUUUUUCCGCUGCGCCUUAGAGGUAUCGGUGUUCCAACAGUGGUAUCAGAGCCACUUGUGUGAUACAGACUCGGGUUUAAAUACUUGGGUGAUGCAAUUGUAUGAGAUGCAUGUUUUAAUUUUAUUAUGUUUUUCUGUUUAAAUUGUUUAAGUAGAAUCUGAUAAUUGUUCCUCUCGAUAAGUGAUUAAAUGUUAAUCAUGGUGUUAUGGCCUAUUCGAUUUUAUGUUAUUGCUGUAAACCUUAAUAAAUCUGUUAUGAUGUAGCGGUGAUUUUACAAUUUCCAGUAAGAGUUUACUGGCCAGUGGAACAAAGGGUUGUUCCGAUAUGAAACCUCAAGGAUUAAAAUCCUAAAAACACGAUUCUAUUGAUAAAAGUUAUCAAAUCCUGAGGUUAUGGGAUAGGGAUGUUACAGAAUCUAAACAUGCCGAGCAUUUGCGAAUAGUGCUAUAGACUUUGCGAGAUAAACAGUUGUAUGUAAAGUUCAGUAAAUGUGAAUUCUGGUUGCUAGAAGUUGGUUUCCUAGGUCAUAUUGUAUCAGCAUUUGGUAUCCGAGUUGACCCCAGCAAAAUUUCAGCUAUUUUGGAUUGGAAACCUCCGAGGAAUGUUUCAGAAGUCUGCUGUUUUCUGGGACUUGCUGGUUACUACAGAAGAUUCGUAAAAGAUUUCUCGAUGAUUGCGACUCUGUUGGCAAAACUACUCCAGAAAGAUGUGAAGUUUGAGUGGUCUGAGAAGUGCCAGAACAGCUUUGAUCAGUUGAAAGCUUUGUUGACUGAAGCUCCAGUUUUGGUACAACCUAAAUCAGGUAAAGAAUUUGUGAUUUAUAGUGAUGCUCUGUUAAUUGGUUUGGGAUGUGUUCUAAUGCAAGAAGGAUAAGUAGUUGCUUAUGCCUCGAGACAGUUGAAGCCACAUGAAAAGAACUAUCUGACACAUGAUCUAGAGUUAGCUACAAUUGUGUUGCUCUAAAGAUUUGGCGUCAUUAUUUGUUUGGCGAAAAAUGUCACAUUUAUUCAGAUCAUAAGAGUUUGAAGUAUUUGAUGACUCAGAAAGAUUUGAAUAUACGAUAAAAAAGGUGGUUAGAACUGUUAAAAGACUACGAACUUGUGAUUGAUGAUCAUCCAGGAAAAGCAAAUGUUGUUGCAGAUGCCUUAAGUCGGAAAACAUUGUUUACUUUGAGUGCAAUGAAUGCUCAUUUGGUUCUGUCUAAUGAUGGUUCAGUUUUAGCUGAAUUAAAAGCAAGACCCUUGUUCUUACAACAGAUUAUCGAAGCUCAGAAGGUUGAUAAUAAGAUUUUAACUAAACGAGCUCUGUGUGAUGUAGAGAUUGAUUUAGAAUUCAGGGUUGAUAAAGAUAAUUGUUUAAGAUUUUGAGAUUGAAGUUGUGUUCCGAGAAAUCCAGAGUUAAUUCAAAUAAUUCUGAGUGAAGCCCACAGUAGUCAAUUAUCUAUGCAUCCGGGUAGUACGAAAAUGUAUAAUGACUUGAAACAACAUUAUUGGUGGUCCAUAUCUCUGAUUUUGUUUCUAAAUGUUUGAUCUGUCAAUAAGUUAAAACUGAACAUCAAGUGCCAUCUAGAUUGUUACAACCGAUCAUGAUUCCAGAAUGGAAAUGGGGUCGAGUGACCAUGGACUUUGUGUCGGGUUUGCCCCUGUCUCCGGGAAAGAAAGACGCAAUUUGGGUUGUAGUUGAUCGUUUGGCAAAAUCAGCUCAUUUUAUUCUGAUUCGAUCCAAUUAUUUGCUUGAAAAGUUUGCUGAGUUAUACGUUUCUAAUAUAGAGAGAUUGCAUGGUGUGCCAUUGUCUAUAGUGUCAGACAGAGAUCCGAGAUUCACAUCGAGAUUUUGGAAGAAAUUGCAAGAUGCUCUGGGUACUAAAUUGCAUUUUAGCACUACUUAUCAUCCGCAAACAGAUGGUCAAUCUGAAUGGAUUAUUCAAAUACUUGAGGAUAUGUUGAAAUGUUGCAUUUUUAAGUUUGAAGGCACGUGGGAACAAUACUUACCUUUGAUUGAAUUUGCUUAUAAUAACAGUUUUCAGUCGAGCAUCAAAAUGGCACCAUACGAAGCUUUAUAUGGUCUUAAAUGCCGUACACCUUUGUAUUGGACAGAGCUCAGUGAAAAUAAAAUUUAUGGGGUUGAUUUGAUAAAAGAAAUCGAACAGAAAGUGAAAGUGAUCCGAGAUAGUUUGAAAGCAGCUUUUGAUCAUUAGAAAUCAUAUGCAGAUUUGAAAAGAAAAGACGUUGAGUUUGAGAUCGGUGACAAAGUGUUUCUGAAAGUGUCUCCUUGGAAGAAAGUGAUUCGGUUUGGUAGAAAAGGCAAGUUGAGUCCAAGGUUCAUCGGGUCGUAUGGAAUCAUCGAGCGAGUUGGGCCGGUUGCUUAUAUAUUGAGGCUACCAUCUGAGUUAGGAAAGAUACAUCUGAUCCUUCGCAUGUAAUUCCUUCGUCUGAGAUUCAAAUUCAAUCUGAUAUGACUUACGAAGAAAAGCUGAUCCGAAUCUUAGCUCGAGAGGUUAAAGAGUUACGUAAUAAGAAGAUUCCAUUAGUUAAAGUGAUGUAGCACCGACACGAUAUUGAAUAGGCCACGUGGGAGCCUGAAGAUGCUAUGAAACAACAAUAUCCAAAUCUGUUUAACGGUAAGAUUUUCGGGGAUGAAAAUCCCUAGGGGGAGAAUUAUAACAGCUCAGUUUUGACCCUAGUCGGAAUAAUGGUUUUGGGACCACAUAUCUGAGUUAGAAAAAUAUUUUAAUAUUAUUUUUUGUGCCUAUUAUAAGUGAAUUUACAUGUGUGAAAGUCUCGUGUGAAGAUUUAACUGUUUGUGUGUUUAAUUGGCAAAAGAAAAGAUUUAAUCGCGUAGAAUGUAAAAGUUGUGUGCUAGAUGCUAAAGUGCCAAAUUGCCAUGUCUUUAUAAUUGUAAGGUCCUUAGGUUGUAAAUGGAACCUUGGAAUAAUGCAUGGACAAAGUUAGUCAUGAUUUUAUGAAUUAUUAAUGUUAUAAUGCAAGGGUAAAUUGGUAAAACAUGUAUUAAUGUAUGUUUAAUAAAACAAAACUUAAAAAUAGGCCAUUAUGUUCAUCUUUGGCCGAAAAUUAAAAAAGAAAAAGAAGAAAGAAUGCAAGCUAGGGUUUCAACACUUUGAGCUUGAAUUAAGGUAUGUUUUAGUUUCGAUUUUUGAUGAUUUUUAUGUUUUUGAGAUUGUUGCUUAGUCUACUAUCAAACCCAUGUCAUAAUUUGUGGAAUUGAUGUUGUGUUCAUGAGAUGAAGUUGUUGAAUAUGUGAUUUUUAUGUUGUUAAAUAAUGAAUUACGGAAGCUUGGUAUGUGAUUAAUAUGUUUUGUCUUGGAUUUUUGAUGAAAUUGAGUAUUUUGGGCUAAAUUGUAAAAAUGUUAUUUUGGGGGACUAAAAUGUGAAAUAAAUGAAAUGUAUGGAUUUGUAUGAGAGCUAGGAGAAUUCGGCUAGGCUUGUGUACAAGUAAAUUCUAUGUAAUUUGUGACUUUGUGAAUUAGGGACUAAAGUGUCGAAAUGUAAAAAUGUGAGGGCUAUUUUGCAAAGUGCCCUAAUUGUGUGUAUAUGGAUUGUUUUGAGUGAUUUGGUGAAUAAAAGGGUUAAUUUUGAAUACAUUUAGAUCAAGAAAAGAGGAAUUCAGAUUUAGACAGAGGGAAGUCAAAGAUUGUAGAAUAAACGUUCAAGUCAAUAACUUCGAGUACGAGGUAAGUUCGUAUGUAGAACAUGGUAUUAUAAGUACAUAUUUCUAUUUUGGUUAUACAUAGAUAUUUAAAUAAUUGAGCUGAAUGUAUAUGAUAAUGAAUCGAAAGCUUUAGCACUAAGUGUGUAGAAAUAUUCUAGCUUUGGCUAACCUUAUAGCACUAUGAGUGCGGAUGUUUAAAAUAUGAAUAAGCUAUGGAAAGUCUUAUAACAUUCAAUAAGAGGUAAGUAUGAAAAUGAAUAAGUACGGGAAGAUCCGGGUAUGUAUGAUACCUAAGUGGUAGAUGAUAUUAUGUAUGUGAAUUUCAUUGAGUUGAUAUGAUCUUAUGGAUUGACAUUGUGCAAAUACUCAUAUGUUUCAUAUAAUGUUGAUGAUUUGAGCACGAGCUUACUAAGCUUUUGAAAGCUUACUGUGUAUGUGUGUUUGAAUUGUUUUGUAGAUAUCGUAGCUACUACAAGCUCGGGGAUCUUCUAGGAUCAUCAGCAUACUAUCGAACUUUAUUUUGGUAUAUUUUGAAUAUAUAUAUAUUUGAAGUAUGGCAUGUAUAGGCUAGUAGUUGUAGAAGUAUGUUUUAUGAUGUAUAUAUAUUUAGCCAUAUGAAUUGGCUAAUUUGUGUUUGAACUCAUAGUUGAUAAUGGUUUAUGAUAUGUGAUGUUAAUUUGAAAUUGUAGUAUGCUUAGUUGGAUAAAGAAAAUGGUAUGUGUGGUGAGUUUUUGGAAUGAGAUUGUGUGAUAAUUUGAUAUAAUCUUACAUUAUGUUCGUUAUAAAUAGGUAAGGUUUAUAAGUAUGUAAAUGGUUGAUAAUAUUAUGGUAUGAGUGAUAUGUGUUUUAGCAUGAAAAAUUGGUUGAUUGGAUUGUACAUAUAUGCUUGUUUCCAUGCUUGUAGGUUGACCCAAAAAGGGGUGGCAAUUUGGCUUAAACCAAGCCUGCAUUGUGCCACACGGCCAUAGUACACGGGCGUGUCUGUUGGCCGUAGGCUUAAGUCAGUAGCUAGCUAAGAACCACAUGGCCAUAGCACACGGGCGUGUCUGUUGGCUAUGGGGAAAAGUCAGUAUGUAAACUCUGUUUUGGCAUGGCUGGUUUCAAGGGUGUGUCUGGUGCCUGUGUGAGGCACACGGCCUGGUUACACAGCCGUGUGACCUCAACAGAAUGAAAAUUUUUUCUAAGUAUUGAAAUUUGUGAAUGUGUUCGGUUUAGUCCUGACCUCUUAGUAAUGCCUGUUUAUGGUCUCAAUGACCUAAGAAAGGAACUUAAUGUUUAUGUUUGAUUAUAAUAUGAUGAUGUUUUACUUUUGAUUAUAAACUGAUUACGAAAUGUUCUGAUGUGUCCAGUAAUGCCUCAUAACCCUAGUCCGAUGAUGGAUACGGGUUAGGGGUAUUACAGCUAUUGACUGAAGCUCCAGUGUUUGUACAAUCCGAACCGAGUAAAGAAUUUGUGAUCUAUAGUGAUGCUUCAUUAAACGGUCUGGGAUGUGUUUUGAUGCAGGAAGGCAAAGUCAUUGCUUAUGCUUCGAGACAAUUAAAGCCGCAUGAAAAGAAUUAUCCGAUGCACGACCUUGAGUUAGCUGCGAUUGUGUUUGCUUUGAAAAUAUGGCGCCACUAUCUGUUUAGUGAGAAAUGUCACGUUUAUUCUGAUCAGAAGAGUUUGAAAUAUCUGAUGACUUAGAAAGAUUUGAAUCUGCAACAGAGAAGAUGGUUAGAAUUGUUAAAAGACUAUGAGCUUGUUAUUGAUUAUCAUCUGGGAAAAGUGUAACACCCCAAACCCGACCCCGACAUUUUGGUCGAAUUCGGUGCAUCACAUUGAAGUGUUUUAGCGAAAACCAUGUUUUCAUUGAAAACCCUUCUUAAAAUAAAAGAAACCUUAACUAUCUUUAAAAAAAAACUCAUUUGAAUCACUUGUUUAAAAUAUGUGUUCUUAUGAAAAUAUGUCACUUUAAAAAUUUAGUUGCGGAAACGUAGAAAGACAUACUAUAGUUUAAGAAACCAUGUUUAACUUCUUAUAAUUACAUUAUAUAAAAAUAAUAAUCCAAAUAAUAAUAAAAUGGAAGCCCUAUUACAAUCUGUUUUGAAAAGUACUUAAUAACAUAGAAACUUAUGUGCUUUAAAAAGAAAAACAAGUCUGAAUUAUCUUGCUAGCUGGCCACCCAAAGUCCCUCCAAACAUCAAACCUUCUACUGAGCAUCACUUGAAAAUAAAAUAAAAGAGGGGGUGAGUUUUUGCAAACUCAGUGUGUAUAGCCGUCGACGAGUAACAAACAUUCAAGAAACACCAUACAUCAAACAUGCAAUGCAAUCCCAUCCCAAUAAUCCAUCCGCUACACUCUAGCUUCGUCCCCCAUCACAUCAUGUGGGGAUAUAAAUAUCGACCCACCCAACCGACACAUCAAUGGUAGUCCGGUUGCGGAACUACCUUUAUUCACAUAUUGGGCUUUAAAGCCAUCGGUGGAUCCACGAUUUCCAAGCAACCAUGCGAUCCUCAUAUACUUCCUUCGUUCCAUAAUUCCCAACCCAUAUGCAACCUAAGUAGAAUAUUGUAUGCAUGCAGCAGAUAUGCAUGUCACAUCCAUAAAACUUACAUUCAACACCUAGGGGUAUUUUGGUUAUUUUCGUCCUUAGGGGCAUCUCGAUAAUUUUCCCUUUAUUACGGUUUUCACUUACCUUGGCCCGUUAACAAAUCCCUUGAGCUAAGAUGAACGAAUACUAUGCACCAGGUAGGAUUCCAGAGAAGAGGAGGUGAGUCAUUAAGAUCGCUUAAGUACCAAGCUAUCCCUAGAUCCAAUCCUAGACAUGCAUAUACCCGUUGCCACACCUUAACCCUAUGAAUUGUCCACGGUCGCAAUAUAUUAAUUAAGUUUUAUGUAGUUAUCAUAUACUAGGCCCAAAACCUCUACAUACAUGCAUAUGGCCCACUUGGCCCAUCAGGCUCAAUUUACAUUCAUUCAACCCAUCAGGCCCAAUUCAUAUCCAUAUGGCCCAUUAGGCCCACCCGCUAGGCCCAAAUCACCUUGUAUUCAUGCUCACACACAAAUUUUCUAUCACAUAGCAUCAAUUAUCAAAUUUUGCCUAUUAUGGGCCCAACAGCCCAUCGGGCCUAUUAAGCUUAUUCUGGCCCGGUUGACCAGAUCACAGCCCAAGUCCAUGGAAUUGCCCAUGGGCUUCAGACAACCUAUUGGUUUCCUCCUCACGAGUGUUCGCGCACUCGCAAGACUAUUGUAACCAAACUUUCGGCUUUUAGGCAUUUCAGCUUUUCAUCAUUUCGGCUUUUCAGCUUUUGCCGAUCUACUUGUGUGUGCAGUGUAUGUACACACCUGGUAAGCAAGUGUUCUACAAUUCCCUUAUUCACCAACCUACAAACGAUAUCACCCAUUCAAUUAAUCACAUUCUUAAUACAUAUCUUUACUAAAACCGAAACCUCACCUUAACCUUACCUCGCGCGAUAAGUAUAACAGCCCCUUCUUAAAUCGCUAACCACGAUCAACUCAUAGAUCUGCACUAAUCUUAACUAUUUAAACCGAAAUAAUAGGUGACUCGUAUCUAACACAAGUUCCCUUACCUUAACUAUGAACAUUCGACUACCUUAGCCAAUGGGAGAGGAAUACUUACCAAAAUCGAAAACACCUAAAGAGCAAUUUUGGCAGAGAGCUAAGAUCCGAGUUUCGAUACUAAUUCCCUACCACAAUUGAUUAGAAAGAGUGAGGAAAGAACAACGUAACAGAUUCUUAGCCAAACCGGUUGGAAGAGCAAACACUUACACUAGAUUCGGUCAAAGAGUAUUCGGCCCUUGGAAGAUUCAGCUUUUUGGCUUCCAAACUUAGUGUGGUGAAUAAUGUUUAUUUGAUACAUAUUAAAGAAAAAAUCGGCUAAGUGAAACAAAGAAAAUUGUGUAGAGAGAGAAUAGAAAUCGACACAAAGAAAAGAGAGUAAAAUAAAAGGGUUUUCGACUUUUAGGGAAAAGGGUUUUCGGUAACAGGGUGAAAGAAAUUCGGCACUAGCCUGGCAGCCCUGUAUUCGAUAGUUAUUUAUAGCCCCCAUAGCCGAAUUUCCUGGCCCUCAAUUCCCCAUUCGGCUCCAUCACUUCCCCCUUUUCAUCUCCUCGUUUUUCUCCCUGAUAACCCCUUGAUCCUUUCCUUAAUUUUCUCUCCUGAACACUCCUCUUAGAGCCCAUCUUCACGCCACUUCCAACCUUCUAGAAGGCCAAAAUUAAACUUCUAAAAACUCUAAUCUAGGAUUCGAACCUAGGAUCUCCUUGCUAGCUACUAAUGCCACCUCCCUACACUCUAAGUGGCGUCACUUAGCCACUCCACCACAAGGAUUUUUGAUGCCAUUUUUCCCUUAUUUUUAUUUAAAAGCCCAACUACUCACAACCCAGAACUUCUCCAACACACCUAGACACUCCAAAUUCAUUAAACCCUUAAAGCCAACAUAUCAUUUGUCAUUUUCUUGCUCACUUAAAAAUUUUAUGAGACCUAAAGCCCGAAGCCCAAUUCAUCUAGGCCCAAAAUUUGGGGCGUUACAAAAAGCAAAUGUUGUUGCUGAUGCUUUGAGUCGGAAAUAACUAUUUGCUUUACGUACUAUGAAUGCUCAUUUGGUUGUGUCUGAUGAUGGUUCAGGUUUAGUCAAAUUAAAAGUAAGACCGUUAUUCAUUCAACAGAUUAUCGAAGCUCAGAAGAUUGAUAAUGAAAUUUUAGCAAAACGAGCUUAGUGUAAUUUAGAUUUUGAUUUAGAAUUUAGAGUUGAUAAUGAAGAUUGUUUGAGAAUCUGAGGUCGGAUUUGUGUUCUGAGAAAUUCAGAGUUGAUUCAGAUGAUUUUGAAUGAAGCUCAUAACAGUCGUUUAUCUGUUCAUCUGGGUAGUACUAAAAUGUAUAAUGAUUUGAAACAGCAUUAUUGGUGGUUUGGAAUGAAAAGAUAUAUAAUGUCCCUUAUCUGGAUUUGUUUUUAAGUGUUUAAUCUGUCAGCAAGUUAAAGCUGAACAUCAAGUGCCAUCUAGUUUGUUACAACCAAUUAUGAUUCCGGAAUGGAAAUAGGAUAAAGUGACAAUGGAUUUUGUUUCAGGUUUGCCCCUAUCUCCGUGCAAGAAAGAUACUGUAUGGGUUGUAGUUGAUCGAUUGACGAAAUUAGCCCAUUUUACUUCGGUAUGAUCUAAUUACUCGCUUGAUAAGUUAGCUGAGUUAUACAUUUCCAAUAUUAUGAAAGUGCACGAUGUACCAUUAUCUAUUGUGUCAGACAGAGAUCCGAGAUUCACAUCACGAUUCUAGAAAAAAUUGUAAGAUGCUUUGGGUACGAAAUUGCAUUUCAGUACUGCUUUCCACCCACAAACGGAUGGUCAAUCCGAGCGGAUUAUUCAGGUUCUCGAAGAUAUGUUGAGAUGUUGCAUUCUUGAAUUUGGAAGUAAGUAGGAACAAUAUUUGCCUUUGAUUGAAUUCGCCUACAAUAAUAGUUUUCAAUCGAGCAUUAAAAUGGUACCGUACGAAGCCUUGUAUAGUCACAAAAGCCGUACACCUUUGUAUUGGACUGAGCUCAGUAAAAAUAAAAUACACAGGGUUGAUUUGAUAAAAGAAACUGAACAAAAUGUAAAAGUGAUCCGAGAUAGUCUGAAAGCGGCUUCCGAUCGUCCGAAAUCAUAUGCAGAUUUGAAACGAAAAGACAUUGAAUUUGAGAUCGGUGACAAAGUGUUUCUAAAAGUAUCCUCGUGGAUGAAAGUACUCCAAUUUGGCAGAAAAGGCAAAUUGAGUCUGAGAUUCAUCGGGCGUAUGAGAUUAUUGAGCGUAUCGGGCCAGUUACUUAUAGAUUGUUGUUGCCACCAGAAUUAGAAAAGAUUCAUGAUAUGUUUCACGUAUCGAUGCUUCGACAAUACAGAUCCAAUCCUUAGCAUGUAAUUUCUCCAUUUGAGAUUGAGAUUCAGUCUGAUAUGACCUAUGGCGAGGAACCGAUCCGUAUCUUAGCUUACGAAGUUAAAGAACUGCGAAAUAAGAAAAUUUCGUUAGUUAAAGUAUUGUGGCAUCGACACGGUAUUGAAGAGGCUACAUGGGAGCUUGAAGAUGCUAUGAAAUAGUAAUAUUCAAACCUAUACGACGGUAAGAUUUUCGGGGACGAAAAUCCCUAAGGGGGGAGAGUUGUAACAGUUCAGUUUAGACCCUAGUCGGAAUAGUGAUUUUGGGACCACAAAUCCAAGUUAGAAAAAUAUUUAAAUUUUAUUUUCUGUGCUUAUUAUAUGUGAAUUAGCAUGUGUGGAAGUUUUGCAUGAAAAUUUAAUCGUUUGUGUGCUUAAUUUGAUAAAAGGACUUAAUCACGUAAAAUGUAAAAGUAACAUUCUAUUUGUUAAAAGUGUCUAUUUGAUAUGGCUUAUUAAUUAUGAGGUCCUUAUGUUGUUAUUAUGCCAUUUAUAUUCAAAUUGACUAAAAUGGCCUUAUAUGUUAAUUAAGGGCAAAAUUGGAAUUUAGUAAUUUAAGUUAUAUUAAUAAAACAAAACAUGAAAGUAGGCCAUUAUAUGUUUGUUUAUGCCAAAAAUUGAUGAACAAAAGAAAAGAAAAAGAACUCUAAGGUUCAGCUAAGGAAAUCUAUGAUUAAGGUAUGUGUUUUGAUCCGUUUUUGAUCAUUUCUACGUUUUUGUAAUCGUUGCUUAGUAAUCUAUCAAACCCAUGUCUCAAUUCUGACUUUGUUGAUGAUUUUGAGUUGAGCCAUUGAUGAAAUUAUAAGCUUUGUGAAGUUAGUUGAUAGUAUAUGAAAGCUUGAUGUUGGGUUAACAUGUUUUGUCUUUGAAUUUUUGAUGAAUUUGAGUAAAAUGUACUAAAUUGUGAAAAUGAGUUUUUGAGGGAUUAAAAUAUGAAAUAAAUAAAAUAUGUGGGCUUGUAUAAGCUAUAUAAAAAUUCGGCUAGACAUGUGUAUAAUGAAAUUAUGUGUAUUUUGUGAUUUUGUGAAUUAGGGACUAAAGUGUCAAAAUGUAAAAAUGUGAAGGCUAAUUUGUAAAAUGCCCUAAAUAUGUGUCUAUGGAUUAAUUUGAAUUAAAAUAAAAAUGAAUGAGUUUAAUUUGAAUUGAUUUAGAUCCAGAACAACAAAAAAAAAGGAAUUAGAUCGGGGGAAAAUGAAAGUCAUUGAAUAGUUGCUCGUUUCCAUUCAUUUCCGUACGAGGUAAGUCUAUAUACAAAUAAAUGUAUUUGAAAUGGUUUAUUUAUGCUUAUAUGCUAUUGAACUAUGAUGAAUGACUUUAUUCCUUGAAUACGAUACAUCCGAGAAAGUACCGACAAAGUUUCGACGUCUGAAAAGGCCUGUACGAACCAUAAAAAUAGUUAGGAUACACAUGUCAUGACAUAGGAUUCGUUAUGGGUUAUUGUGUAAGACCAUGUCUGGGAUGUUGGCAUCGACUUAUGAUUUACAUGUAAGACCACCACUGGGAUGUUGGCAUCGUAUUUUAUUUACGUGUAAGAUCAUGUGUGGGACGUUGGCGUCGUAUUAGAUUUCAUGUAAGACCCUGUCUGGGACAGUGAUCGCGUGAUUUCGUGAUAGGUUUUAUAAAUUUAUAAUUAAUCGUUCUUGAAACUAACUUUUGUCGCGAUGUAGGCAAGUGUACCUAUCGAACAGUAGUAUAGUUUUAGCAAGACUGGAUUGUCGAACCCAAAGGAACUAAAAGUACUAGUAAUGACUGUCUUUUUAUUAUCUAGCCUAAAAAUAAGAGGGUUUUGUUUUAACUAACUAAUUAUCUAAACUAAGAAUUCACAGAAAGUAGAAUUGGGGGAUUACUUUUGGAAAAUGAUUGAAUUAAGACAAUACCUAAGGAAAAAUCCACCUAGACUUUACUUGUUAUUCUGGCUCCUAAUCGGACGAUUUAUUCAUUUAACUUGUUUUGUAGAGAUCAUUAAGUUAUGUUAUUAUCCCUAUUCAAGACUAAUAACGUCUAAUCCCUAGAUUGAAUAAUUGAGACUUUUCUCUAAUUAACACUCUAGGGUUGCAUUAGCUCGAUCUAUGGAUCCCUUUAUUAGGUUUCACCCUAAUUCGGCAAAAUCUUGUCACCCUAUCUCUAGGCCCGCAAUCAACUCCGCUUAAUUAUGACGAAUGUACUCUUAGAUAGGGUCUGUUCCUCCUCUGAAUAAGAGCUUAUCUUGAAUCAGUAUCCUGGGAUAUCAAAACAAGAAUUAAGAACACAUAAUUAAGAACAAGUUAAAUAUUUAUCAUACAAUUCAGAAAAUAAUAACAAGAUUCGUCUUAGGUUUCAUUCCCCUUAGGUAUGUAGGGGAUUUAGUUCAUAACUAAAAAGGAAAACAUCUCAGAAGAAUAAUGAAUACAAAACAUAAAGAAAACCCAAAACUCCUGAAGGGGAAUUGAGGGGAGAUCUUCAGUCUUGAUGAUGAAUCCGGCUUCUGAGAUGGAUCAAUCGGCUUCCUUCGAGUAAUUCCUUCCUUCCUCCUUGUGUGUGCCCCUUAUUCUUCUCCUUUAGGGUGUAUUUAUAGGCUUUGGAAUGCCUAAGAGCCCUCAAAAGUGGCCUUUUCCAAAUUGGACUCAACUUGGGCUCGGCAGGGACACGCCCGUGUACGAUUACUUUAAGUCAUGCUCGAGCCUAUUAAAUAGGCACAGCCGUGUGGUUUGCUCAUGUGAGGAGGUCCAGGACGUGUUGAUUUCGUACUUUGGCUUGUUUUCUCCAUUUUUGGCCCGUUUCUCGUUCCUUUCGCUCUCCUAUGCUCUCCUAAGUAUAAAACAUGAAAUUAAGGCAUUAGGAGCAUCGAAUUCACCAAUUGUAAGGAAAAAUCAUCCAUAAAACGUGUUAAGCAUGGGGUAAAAAUAUGUAUAAAUUACGAUUUAUCAAAUACCCCCACACUUAAGCAUUUUAUUGUCCUCAAGAAAAAUUCUCAACUCAUAGUCAAAAUAAAUUCUUCUCAACUUAUAAUUUCUAUCGAUAAUAUCUCAAAUUAAUCCAGAGGUAAUCAUACAUUGAGAAUUCAACUAAAAGAACAUCAAAGUUUCAAACAUUCCAAGUUAAGCAUUUUAUUCUGAAAACAAUGGUGUCUCCCCUUGUCUAAGUAAUUAUCUUCGAUUCAAAAUGUCACAGAGUUUCACAUCCUCACUAAAGAUUCAUUCAAAUCACUCGAGGUGUUUAAGGACAAUAAAUGAAGCACUCAAUAGUCAAUAAUUAAAAUGUGAUUACCAUAGGCUUGCAUGAAAAUCAAAUCUCCACACUAUAAAUUGAGAUGAUACAUCAAUCAAAAGGUCUUUAGAGGGUUGUAAUGAGGCUUUGUUAGGGGGUGUGGUCACAAGCUGAAAGAAAAAGUUAGAAUCGAGAGUGAAUUGAAAAAUUACCUAACUAGAAAAAUGACUAGUCAUUAAUCGCGUACAACAGAGCUUCCUCUCAGAAUAUGGAAUUUAACUUCUUUAUCUCAGAAGAUUACUACUACAAAUAUGUAUACAUAUUAUUUAUUUAUUUAUUUUAUUUUUUAGAACAAGUUAAAUAGAAUAAAACAUAGUUAAGCAACUAUUUCAAUUCAAAUCUCGACAAAAAAUGGGGAUCAAAUUAAUUUAGGAGAUUUCAACAAUAAUGGGUUAAGGGUUAUAGAAGAAAGGGGUUGUUAGGCUCAAGGGGGUUCACUAAGGGUCAAUUGUGGAGGUAGGCUUUUCAUGACAUGAGUGGGUUAAUCCUAAGUGCCUCUAUCAUCUUGACAUAUCAAAUCAAAUAGUGUGGUCUUGACAUGCAUAAUCAGGCAAGUUCUAGAAUAAUAGUUUAAUACUGACGCACUUAAAGUAAUAAUAAAAGUGAGCAUGAAAGAAUUAAUAGAUGCUCAAAAGGCUCAAAAAUCUCACAAAAAGUAUGGCUUUUUGAUGUUUAAAACUUGUGAAUUCCAACUCAAAGUAAUACCUAAACUAUGGGGAAACAACUUAAAAUUUUAAAUUCCUAAAGAUCAACUUAUCAUGCUUGAUUCUCUAAUGUCUUAAAGUUUAUACAAUCAAUGCAUAAAUGCCCAUGUUUUAAUUCAGGAUAUAUUAAUCAAAAUCAUAAAUCAAUCAAAAUUUAUCCUAAAUAUGAUAUGAGAGCUUUUCAAAACAACAAGGCAGUCAUUCAGGGAUUUUUCUGAUAAUGAAAUGAAUACCCCCCACACUUAAGAUGUACAUUGUCCUCAAUGUAAAAAAGAUAGAUAUAUUGAAAAAUGUAAGUGUAAGUUCAUAAGAUAGGGAGAAAAGUGAAACUUCCUGAGUUAAAAAUGGAUAGAAUUCCUGGAUUACCGAGAGCGAGUUGUUGGAAAUAAAGCUGGAGGAAAAACAUGAUUCUGAAGGACAAAAGGAGAAUUGGGGGAAUAAUUUGAUAGUAAUCAUAAAGAUAAGCCGUGUUUAAAAACAAAAGAAUCUUAAAAAAUUAAUAAAAGAAAAAUAAAAUAAAAUAAGAUAGAUGAUCUAAUUUUUCAAGUGGCACGGUAGUUCACACGCUCGUGUGGAUUGCGUCCCGCCCAUGUUUGUCGCAAAGAGAGAUAUCAUCACAUGGCCUUCGGGCACGCCCGUGUGUAUAGGCCGUGUGUCUACAUGAUCAUGUUACACAACCAUGUGUGAUGUGGUUCGCUUCUCCCACGGUCGUGUAGUUCGAUGCACACCCAUGUCAUUUUGACAGUGUCGUCCACAAGUGCUAGACACGGGCGUGUCACACGCCCAUGCUGUUUUAAUAGGUUCACCCAUGGUUCUUCCACAUGGGCGUGUUGCACGCCCAUGUUGUUUUGGUAGAUUCGACCACGUACAUGUCACAUGGCUGUGGUGUUUUAUCGAAGCCCGUGUUGGGGAAAAUUUUUGCCCUGUUUUCACACGGUCCUAAGCACGCCCGUGUGCUUGGCCGUGUCUCUGUGGAAAACCGUAUUCAAGAUCUCCAUUAGUAAGUUAGGUGUUAAGUACCAAAAUUUAAAGAAAUUAAUAAUGUUAGUGCUUGGGUUGCCUCCCGGGAAGCGCUUAUGUAUAGUCUAAGCUCGACUUACCUCUCCAUUGAAUGUCAUGGGGGUUUGAGGAGUUUAUACUCCUCAUUCCUGCUAUCAUUCUCAUCAAAAUAAGGUUUUAGACGGGUGUUGUUUACCUUAAAAGUGCCAAACUUGGGAUGACUUACCUCGACUGUACCGAAUGGGAAAAUGCUGAGUACCGUAAGAGGGAUUUCUUCAGUCGGUUUGGUAGUGACAAUGUGAGGAUCUGUGGCAUUUAAUAAAACUUUAUCUCCAACCUUAAGUUGAUUUGGAAAGGUAUUGAGCUUGUUCUGGCGUAGUUUCGGUUUAUCAGGCGUUCUCGGUUUAUGCGUCCGCCAUUCAUCUAGCUCCUCAAUUUGUGGCCUUCGUUCUUCAUGAAUAGGUCCUCUACUAUUGCUUGAGAAUGGUUCAUGUACUUCCUUCAAACUCAUUUCCUGCAGAGUAGGUUGUACCAUAAUGUCUGUUUUAGUAGAUUGGUCUACACAAUCACCUUCAAUUUUCGAUGUGUUGCCAGAAUUGCGAGCUUGCAGGGUGAUUGUUUCGUCUCCCACACGAAGUGUGAGCUCACCUGUGCCAACAUCAAUAAUCGUUUUAGCAGUUGCUAAAAAGGGCCUUCCUAAAAUAAAAUGAGUGUUGCUAUCCUCCUCUAUGUCUAGAAUAAUGAAGUCAAUGGGAAAUAUAAAUUUAUCGAUUUUAACUAGCACAUCUUCAAUAAUACCCAUAGGAAAUCUUAUAGUUUUAUCUGCUAAUUGAAUGCCUAUCCUAGUCUGUUUGGGUUUCUUGAGACCUAAUUGUUUGAACAUUUUGUAGGGCAUGACGUUAAUACUAGCCACCAAAUCAGCUAAUGCAUUAUUAAAAUCUAAACUACCAAUUAAGUAAGAAAUUGUAAAACUCCCUGGAUCUUUUAGUUUGCUAGCUAUUUUAUUUUGGAGAAUAGCUGAGCAAACUGCGUUUAGCUCCACAUGCGAUGCCUUGUCCAACUUCCGCUUAUUUUCUAAAAGCUCUUUUAAAAAUUUCAUUGCGUUUGGCAUCUGCGAUAGAGCUUCAAUAAACGGUAAGUUAAUGUGUAAUUUUUUUAAGAGUUUAAGGAAUUUACCAAAUUGUUCAUCUGAGAGGUCUUUCCUUGUCGCGUUAGGGUAUGGCACAUGAGGUUUAUAUUCGACAUUCACUAAUUUGUUUUUAUUGUGACCUACCUCACUUGGACCUCUACUCACCACAGUUUCUCGUUUCGGUUCUGGCUCAGGCUCAACGAAUCCUUCUUCAUUUUGAACAUUAAUCGCAUUGAGUUGUUCCCUUGGGUUGGGUUCAGUAUUACUUGGCAAGCUACCUUAUGGUCGUUCGGAGAUUAGUUUAGAAAGCUGGCCUAUCUGAGUUUUGAGCCCUUGGAUUAACGCUUGUUGAUUUUUAAGUGCUGUUUCGGUGUUCUGAAAAUGGGUUUCUGACACCAAGAUAAACUUUGUGAGCAUCUCUUCAAGGUUCGAUUUCUUUUCCUAUUGAUAGGGUGGCUGCUGAAAACCCGAAGGAUGUUGUGGUCUUUGAUUUCCUUGACCGCCCCACUAGAAAUUUGGGUGGUUCCUCCAACCUACAUUGUAAGUGUUACUAUAUGGAUUGUUUUGAGAUUGAGGAUUAUUACCCAUGUAAUUUAACUGCUCGUUAUCCAUGUUAUGGCCAUAAGGUUGGUAUUCUGAACGGCUUGUUCCACAUCCGCUUGCUUCACACUGCAUUAAACCUGUGAAGAACUAAGAAAACUAUCAAUCUUUUUAUUUAGAAGUUCUACCUGGUUUGAUAGCAUAGUAACCAAAUCGACGUUAUAAACACCUGCUGUUUUAGUUGGAUUAGUCCUCAUGACUUGCCACUGAUAGUUAUUCAGUGACAUCUCCUUUAUAAACUCAUAAGCAUCUUCAGGUGUUUUAUUAUUGAUGGUUCCAUCAGCAGCUGUGUCAACCAUUUGUUGAGUCGAAGGAUUCAGGCCAUUAUGGAAUGUUUGAACCUGAAGCCAAAGCGGUAACCCAUGGUGAGGGCACCUUCUCAAAAGGUCCUUGUAUCUCUCUCAUGCAUCGUAUCUGCACAAAUGAAGAGAUAUCAUUACGUAAUUUGGCCGUUUUAGCCGGCGAAAAAUAUUUUAAUAGAAAUUUUUCGGUCAUUUGCUCCCAAGUAGUAAUUGACCCUCGUGGUAACGAGUUCAACCACUAUUUAGCUUUGUUCCUCAAUGAAAAAAGGAAUAACCAAAGACGAAUGGCAUCAUCAGAAACACCAUUAAUUUUAAAUGUAUCGCAUAGUUCCAAAAAGUUUGCUAAGUGAGCAUUGGGAUCCUCAUCCUGCAAACCAUCAAACUGAACAAAUUGCUGUAUCAUUUGAAUAGUGUUAGGCUUUAGUUCAAAAGUAUUUGCAGCUACAGCAGGUCUAACUAUGCUCAAUUCAGUUCCUGUUAAAGAAGGUUUAGCAUAAUCAUACAUAGUGCGUGGAGUAGGAUUUUGAUUAACCGCAAUUGCAGGAGGUAGCUGAUUGCCUUGGUUUUCAGCCAUCUCUUCGGUUGGGGGUUGAGUAUCGUCCUCUUGCUCGUUCUCUGUAUAUCUUAAGCUUCGCCUUAUUUCUCGUUGGUUUUUGCGAACUGUGUGAUUGAUUUCUUCAUCAAAAAGUAGUGGUCCUAACGGGUUUCUUCUAGUCAUAAACUAUAAAAACCUGCCAAGAGAAAGAAAAAGUAAAUUAAUAAAUAAUAAAAAAUAAAAUAAAAUUAAUUUGCAAGGAAAAUAAAUGGCUAAAGUAAUAAAAAUUGGGAGUUUCUAAUAUCUUAGUUCCCCGGCAACAGCGCCAAAAACUUGAUCGCGUGAUUUCGUGAUAGGUUUUAUAAAUUUAUAAUUAAUCGUUCUUGAAAGAAACUAUUAUCGCGAUGUAGGCAAGUGUACCUAUCGAAUAGUAGUAUAGUUUUAGCAAGACCAGAUUGUCGAACCCAAAGGAACUAAAAGUACUAGUAAUGACUGUCUUUUUAUUAUCUAGCCUAAAAAUAAGGGGGUUUUGUUUUAACUAACUAAUUAUCUAAACUAAGAAUUCACAUAAAGUAGAAUUGGGGGAUUACUUUUAAAAAAUGAUUGAAUUAAGACAAUACCUAAGGAAAAAUCAACCUAGACUUUACUUGUUAUUCUGGCUCCGAAUCGGAUUAUUUAUUCAUUUAACUUAUUCUGUAGAGAUCCCUAAUGUAACACCCCUAUCCCGUAACCGUCACCGGAAUAGGUAAGGGGUGUCACCGGACAGACAGAGCAUUUCUUAACAACACAGCUUCACAGAUAUCAUAUAACAUUAAUACAUUUGCAUUCAUCAACAAUUCAUCCAUUAAAAUGGUCUACGAGACCUAAAACAUACAUUUAGGGAAGGUCGGGACUAAACCGAACCCAUUCAGAAUUUUCAAAACUUAAUCAAACUAUUCAAAACUGACAAAGUCACACACCCGUAUGACUACGCCGCGUGACUCACACGGGCACAAGGCACGCCCAUGUGCUCCAAUCAUGCUAAAAAGAGGUCCUAUACUGACUAGUUAACACGACCAACAGACACGGCCGUAUGCCAUGACCGUGUAAAAUUUAGCUAGCUGCUGAAUUUUUCACACGGCCACAAGGCACGCCCGUGUUCCCUGGCCGUGUGGCACAAUGCAGGCUUGGUUUAAGUCAAUUUGCCACCACAUAUGAUUCCAAUCCUACAAGUAUUAAUAUCCAACAAUUAUACUAACAUUUCCAACCAAUUCCAUGCUCAAAUAUGACCAAAACACAUUAGAACAUGGCACAUUACCACAUACACCAAAACAAUACACAAACAUAUCAUUUGCUAGCCAAUUCAAAUGGCAUAACUUUUAUACAAUUCAAAACUUAAUACAUAGACAUUCUAGCCUAUACAUGCCAUACUUAGCAAUAUUUACACUUUAAGAGUACCAAAUGAGUUCGAUAGUGUGGUGACGAUCCUCAACUAUCCCUGAGCCUUCAGUAACUACGACAACUGAAAUACAGACAGAAAUCACACAGAGUAAGCUACGAAGAGCUUAGUAAGCCAAACACAAAUGGUCUAAUUACCAAAGCAUAUAUUUUUAUUUCAAAACAACAUUAAGAAUUCAUAGCCAUUUCUCAGAGUUGUUCAUAAACUUAACCAUGCUCAUUUUCUUGUAUGCAUAUUAUAUUCAUUUCCAAUUCCGAACCUACUUCGUAGAAACAGAGUCUUUCAUAUUCAGAAAUUAAGUACGAUACAAACAUACCUGUAUAGACUAUACAUUUCACAUGUUCAUUUUCAUAUCUCAUACUUUGACAUCAGGCGGUUCAGAAACGAUACAAAUAUUCAUAAACGAGUAUAAUGCCAACAUCCCAGACCUGGUCUUACAUGUAAUUUAGUAUCGAUGCCUCUGUCCCAGACAGGGUCUUAUACAAAAUCAGAUACGAUGCCGAUGUCCCAGACAUGGUCUUAUACGUAAAUUUCAAAUCGAUGCAUGUGUCCCAAACACAGUCUUACACGAUAAUUCAGAUUAAUACCAACAUUCUUUUAUCAGGCUUUCAAGGCCGUCCAAUGUAGAUAACAAUUUAUAAACACAGAAUUUAAUCAACUUAACACAUAAGUGUAGUUUGACUUACGUCGUAUGGAUUUCGGACGAAAAUGAGUCGACUAUUCGACUAUUUCGGACUUCCCUCGAUCUAAGUCUCAUUUUCUUUGUUCUUGAUCUAAUACAAUUCAAAUUCAACCAUUCAAUCAUAUAUUUCUUUCAAAAUAGUCCAUGAAUACAUAUUUAGGGCACUUUACAAUUUAGCCCCUAUAAAUUCAGAUUUUGACACUUUAGUCCAUUUUUCACAAAUUCACAAAUAUACCAAAUUCACCAAGACUAUAACUUGGCCAAAUAUACAUGGCUUCCAUAUAAGCCCAUACAACAUGUUUAAUUCACAAAUUAGUCCUUCAAAACUUCAUUUUCACAAAUUAGCCCAAUUAGCUCAUUUUAUCAAAAAUUCAAGAAUAAAACAUAUAACCCAUCUAACAAGCCUUCAUAAUUCAUCCAAAAAAAUCACAAAACUCAUGAUAUCAACAAUGGUAUUUCAUGAAAUCUUUAACAGAAAUAGAAAUUCGAACAUGGGCUUUGAAGAACACAAAGCAAGGAUCACAAAAAUGUAGAAAUUAUCAAAAACGGGCGAAAAUUCAUACCUUAAUUUAUCAAUCAAAGUGCCGAAUAUACAAAAGCUUCAAACCUUUCUUUCAUUUGCUGAUUUUCGAUAAACGUGCAUUAGAAUAAGGCUAUCUUUGUUUUGUUUUCAUUUUUUUAAUUAACAUUAUUAACCAUUUUCCCAUUUUGCCCUUGUUAAUCAAACAUAAAUUUCCAUCCACGAAUGCCCAUAAUUUUCCAUCAUUUAAACAAAUGGUACAAUUGACAUGCAAGGACCUUUACUUUAAAAGCCAAGCCAAAUAGGUGUUUUAUCAUCUAGCACUCAAGUUUUACACUUUUCGCGAUUUACUCAUUUUUCAUAAUUAAGCACAGAAACAGACAAAUUAAAUCACAUAAAUUUUACAGAUGCAAAUUCUCAUAUCAUAGAUACAGAAAAUAAUAUUAAAAUAUUUUUCAGACUCAGAUUUGUGGUCUCGAAACCACUAUCCUGACUAGGGUGAAAAUCGGACUGUUACAAUUCUCCCCCUUAGGGAUUUUCGUCCCCGAAAAUCUUACCGUUAAACAGAUUCAGAUAUUGCUGUUUCAUUGCAUUUUUAGGCUCCGUGUCUAUGGCACAGUACUUUGACUAACGAAAUUCUCUUAUUAUGCAAUUCUUUAAUCUCACGAGACAGAAUACGAAUCGGCUUUUCUUCAUAAGUCAUAUCUGAAUGGAUUUCAAUAUCAAACGGUGAAAUUACAUGCGAAGGAUCAGAUCUGUAUCGUCGAAGCAUCGAUACGUGAAAUACAAUGUGAAUCUUUUCUAACUCAAAUGGUAAUCUUAAUCUAUAAGCAACCGACCCAACACGCUCAAUGAUUUCAUACAGUCCGAUGAACCUCGGGCCCAACUUGCCCUUUUUAUCGAACCGGAACAGUUUCUUCCACGGAGAUACUUUCAGAAACACUUUAUCACUUAUCUCAUAUUCGAUAUCCUUUCGUUUUAAAUCCGUAUAAGAUUUCUGACGAUCAAAGGCAGCUUUCAGACUAUCUCAGAUUAUUUUCACUUUCUUUUCUGUUUCUUUUAUCAGAUCAACCCCGUAAAUCUUAUUCUCACCGAGCUCAAACCAGUAUAACGGAGUUCUACACUUUCUGCCAUAUAAGGCUUCAUACGGUGCCAUUUUAAUGCUCGAUUGAAAACUAUUAUUAUAAGCAAAUUCAAUUAAAGGUAGAUAUUGUUCCCACGUACCUUCAAACUUAAGAAUGCAACAUCUCAACAUAUCCUCGAGUAUCUGAAUAAUCCGCUCAGAUUGACCAUCUGUUCGUGGAUGAAAAGCAGUGCUGAAAUGCAAUUUAGUACCCAGAGCAUCUUGCAAUUUCUUCCAAAAUCGCGAUGUAAAUCUCGAAUCCCUAUCUGACACAAUCGACAAUGGUAUACCAUGCAGUUUUACAAUAUUAGAAAUUUAAAGCUCAGCUAACUUAUCAAGCGAAUAAUUAAACCAAAUUGGAAUAAAAUGAGCUGAUUUUGUCAAACGAUCAACUACAACCCAAAUUGCAUCUUUCUUUUUCGGACACAGUGGUAAACUCGAAACAAAAUCCAUGGUCACUAGAUCCCAUUUCCAUUCCGGAAUCAAAAUUUGUUGCAACAGACCUGAUGGCACCUGAUGUUCAGCUUUAACUUAUUGACAGAUCAAACAUUUAGAAACAAAAUUAGAAAUAUCUCUUUUCAUUCCUGGCCACCAGUAUAAUUGCUUUAAGUCGUUAUACAUUUUCGUACUCCCUAGAUGUACAGAGAAUCUACUACUGUGAGCCUCACUCAAAAUCAACUGAAUUAACUCUGGAUUUCUCGGAAUACAGAGUCUAUCUCUGAAUCUUAAACAAUCAUUAACAUCAAACCAAAAUUCAGAAUCAUACAGAGUUCGUUUAACUAUCAAUUCAUUGUCAGAUUUCUGAGCCUCGCAGAUCUGUUGUAUAAACAAGGGUUUUGCUUUCAGUUCUGCUAAAACUGAACCAUCAUCAGAUAGAUUUAAAUGAGCAUUCAUUUUAUGCAAAGCAAACAACGAUUUCUGACUUAAAGCAUCAGCAACAAUAUUUGCUUUUCCCGGAUGAUAAUCAAUAACUAGCUCGUAGUCUUUUAACAAUUCCAACCAUCUUCUCUGUCGCAGAUUCAAAUCUUUUUGCAUCAUUAAAUACUUCAGACUUUUAUGAUCAGAAAACAUAUAGCAUUUCCAGCCAAAUAGAUAGUGACGCCAAAUUUUUAGAGCAAACACAAUAGCAACUAACUCAAGAUCGUGUGUCGGAUAGUUCUUUUCAUGUGGCUUCAACUGUCUUGAAGCAUAAGCAAUGACUUUACCUUCUUGGAUUAGCACACAUUCCAGACCAAUCAACGAAGCAUCGUUGUAAAUUAUAAAUUCUUUACCCGAUUCAGGUUGUACUAAUACCAGAGCUUCAGUCAAUAAAGUUUUCAACUGAUCAAAACUGUUCUGAAACUUUUCUGACCACUCAAACUUCACAUCUUUUUAGAGCAAUUUCUUCAAUGGAGUAGCAAUCAUCGAAAAACCUUUCACAAAUCUUCUAUAGUAACCAGCAAGUCCUAGAAAACUACGGACUUCAGAUACAUUUCUUGGAGGUUUCUAAUCUAUAAUAGCUGAAAUUUUGCUCGGAUCAGUUCAGAUGCCAGAGGCUGAUAUAAUAUGACCCAGAAAACUAACUUCUCGCAACCAGAAUUCACACUUACUGAACUUUGCAUACAACUGUCUAUCACGCAGUGUCUGUAGCACUAUCCUCAAAUGCUUGGCGUGUUCAGAUUCAUUACAUGAAUAAAUCAAUAUGUCAUCAAUAAAUACAACAACAAAUUAAUCUAAAUACGGUCUGAAAAUUCUAUUCAUCAAAUCCAUAAAGAUAGCAGGCACAUUCGUUAAUCCAAAAGGCAUAACUAAAAAUUCAUAAUGCCCGUACCUUGUUCUAAAAGCAGUUUUCGGAAUAUCAGAGUCUUUUACUCGCAACUGAUAGUAACCCGAUCUCAAAUCCAUCUUUGAAAACACAGUAGCACCUUUCAACUGAUCGAAUAAGUCAUCAAUCCUGGGCAGAGGGUAUUUGUUCUUUACAGUCACUUUAUUAAAUUGACGGUAAUCAAUACACAUUCUUAUUGUGCCAUCUUUCUUUUUCAUAAACAGAACGGGAGCACCCCAAGGUGAGAAACUCGGUCUAGCAAAUCCUCGAUCAGUUAAUUCUUGCAACUGAGAUUUUAAUUCUUUUACUUCAAUCAGAGCCAUUCUGUACGGAACUAUCGAUAUUAGAGUAGUACCAGGUACCAAUUCAAUGCCAAACUCGACUUCUCGAUUCGGAGGCAAACCAGGUAGUUCAUCAGGAAAUACAUCAGGGAAUUCACAGACAACGGGCACUGAUUCAAUUUUCUUGUCAUCCACUUUCAAGUCUAACAAUUAAGCUAAGUAGGCUUCACAACCUUUCUUUACAUAAUUCUGUGCUUUCAUUGCAGAUAUCAUAGCAGGUAGCCCAUUUAGAUCACUAGACUCAAUUCAAAUUAUCUCAUCAUUUUUACACCUUAAGUCAAUGACUUUUCUUUUACAGCUCACAAUAGCAUCGUGCAAUGUUAACCAGUCCAUCCCUAGAAUUAUAUCAAAUUCAUUGAAAGGCAAUAGCAUUAGAUCAGCAGGAAAACAGGUAUCUCGAAUCAUUAAUGGACAGUUCUUGCAGACUUUAUCAACUAAAACACUCUUGCCUAAAGUGUUCGAUACUUUAAUUACAAAUUCAGUAGACUCUACAGGAAAAGUCUUACUGCGCACUAAAUUCAUACAGCUAUGAGAAUAUGUUGAGCCAAGGUCUAUCAAUGCAAUCACAAAAGUAUCAUAAAGAGUGAAAGUACCAGUAAUCAUGUCUAGAGACGAGGCUUCCUCACGAGCUUGGAUUGUAUAGGCCCUAGCAGGUGCUCUGGUCUCAGAUCUAACAGAAGUAUCCCUAGUAGCUCUUUGAUCACCACUUGUAUUUCUCGUGUUUCUGGAAAGUUUACCUCUACUUGAGGUGUUACUCUGUCUCGGAUUCUGUACAUUCUCUUGCUCAGUAGGUUCAGAACAAUCUCUUACAAACUGAUCCAGGGACCCACAUCUAAAAUAGGCUCGGUCAUUCAAUUUACAAUUUCCCGGAUGUCUUUUACCACAAUGUUUACACUCAGGUUUCUUAGAUCAGACAUUUCCAAGAUUUGAAACAGAAGUAACAGGGGCUCUGGUGUUCGAAUACGAUCUAGCUCGAUCUCGGUUUAAAUGUCGCACAUUAGUAUUUGAACGGUUUUGAUCAUCUCAGAAUUUCUUUGGUCCAAACUGAAAUGAUUUACUCGAAGAUCUCUUUCUAGCAUCUCUAACUUCAAAAUCAGCUUUUCUUUUUUCUUGGCUUAAUUCUUCAGCUUUACAUGCUUGCUCAACGAGCACUACCAUUUCUUUAAUCUCCAAAAUCCCCACUAGCAGACGAAUAUCUUCGUUUAGUCCAUCUUCAAAUCUUUUGCACAUUAUUGCUUCAUUUGAUACACAUUCCCGAGCAUAUUGGCUCAAUCUCACAAAUUCCCGUUCAUAUUCAGUGACAAACAUUUGGCCCUAUUUAAGCUCGAGAAACUCUUUACGUUUCUGAUCAAUAAAUCUCUGACUAAUGUAUUUCUUCCAAAAUUCAACUUGGAAGAAAUCCCAGGUAACCCGUUCGCUCGGAACCAUAGAUUUUAAAGUUUUCCACCAAUGGUACGUCGUAUCUCUCAAAAGUGAAACGGCACAUUUAACACAUUCCUCUAGAUUUAGAGACAUUUCAUCAAACACCCGUAUCGUAUUCUCUAACUAGAAUUCAGCUCUUCAGCAUCAUCAUUCAUUGUAGCUCAGAAUUCUUCAGCCGCAUGCUUCCUAAUCUUGUCAACUGGUGGUCUACUUGACUGAACUGGAUUCACGGAAGUCAUAACAGGAAUUUGAGAAGGAUUAACCGGGGGUGGAGGUUGUUGAAUAGCCGAAUUGGUUCUAAUAUAUUGGGUGAACCAAUCAUUCAUCAUCUAAUAGAAGGCUUCCUUAGCCUCGCUAUCACGACUAUUAGUAGCCGGUCGAGAAUCAUCUUGCACCAUCCCUUGCGCGGGAACAGGUGCAUUACUCUCAAUAUCGUCAGCUACGGCUCUAUUGGGAUCCAUUGCUAUAUUAAAGCACAUUUCAAAUGUCAAGAUUCAUCACACUAUCACAGUUUCAGACAUACGGCAUGUAUAGCUAGACUCACACACGCUAUGGUAGUCCUAGAACUAACUAAACCAUGGCUCUAAUACCAAUAAAAUGUAACACCCCUAUCCCGUAACCGUCAUCAGAAUAGGUAAGGUGUAUCACCGGACAGACAGAGCAUUUCCGAACAACACAGCUUCACAAAUAUCAUACAACAUUAAUACAUUUGCAUUCAUCAACAAUUCAUCCAAUAAAAUGGUCUACGAGACCUAAAACAUACAUUUAGGAAAGGUCAGGACUAAACCAAACCCAUUCAGAAUUUUUAGAACUUAAUCAAACUUUUCAAAACUGACAAAGUCACACGCCCGUGUGACUAGGCCGUGUGACUCACACGGGCACAAGGCACGCCUAUUUGCUCCAACCGUUUUAAAAAGAGGUCCUAUACCGACUUUCUAACACGGCCAAAAGAUACAGCCGUAUACCAUGACUGUGUAAAAUUUAGCUAACUACUGACUUUUUCACACGGCCACAAGGCACACCCGUGUUCCCUGGCCGUGUGGCACAAUGCAGGCUUGGUUUAAGCCAAUUUGCCACCACAUAUGGUUCUAAUCCUACAAGUAUUAAUAUGCAACAAUUAUACUAACAUUUCCAACCAAUUCUAUGCUUAAAUAUGACCAAAACACAUUAGAACAUGGCACAUUACCACAUACACCAAAACAAUACACAAACAUAUCAUUUGCUAGCCAAUUCAAAUGGCAUAACUUUUAUACAAUUCAAAACUUAAUACAUAGACAUUCUAGCCUAUACAUGCCAUACUUAGCAAUAUUUACACUUCAAGAGUACCAAAUGAGUUCGAUAGUGUGGUGACGAUCCUCGACUAUCCACGAGCCUUCAGUAGCUACGACAACUAAAAUACAGACAGAAAUCACACAGAGUAAGCUACGAAGAGCUUAGUAAGCCAAACACAAAUGGUCUAAUUACUAAAGCAUAUAUAUUUAUUUCAAAACAACAAUAAGAAUUCAUACCAUUUCUCAGAGUUGUUCAUAAACUUAACCAUGCUCAUUUUCUUGUGUGCAUAUUAUAUUCAUUUCCAUGAUUCCGAACCUACUUCGCAGGAACAGAGUCUUUCAUAUUCAGAAAUUAAGUACGAGACAAACAUACCUGUAUAGACUACACAUUUCACAUGUUCAUUUUCAUAUCUCAUACUUUGACAUCAGACGGUUCAGAAACGAUACAAAUAUUCAUAAACGAGUAUAAUGCCAACAUCCCAGACCUGGUCUUACAUGUAAUUCAGUAUCGAUGCCUCUGUCCCAGACAGGGUCUUAUACGAAAUCAGAAACGAUGCCGAUGUCCCAGACAUGGUCUUACACGUAAAUUUCAAAUCGAUGCCUGUGUCCCAAACACGGUCUUACCCGAUAAUUCAGAUUAAUACCAACAUUCUUUUAUCAGGCUUUCAAGGCCGUCCAAUAUAGAUAAAAAUUUAUAAACAUAGAAUUUAAUCAACUUAACACAUAAGUGUAGUUUGACUUACCUCGUACGGAUUUCGGAGGAAAAUGAGUUGACUAUUCGACUACUUUGGACUUCCCUCGAUCUAAGUCUGAUUUUCUUUGUUCUUGAUCUAAUAUAAUUCAAAUUCAACCAUUCAAUCAUAUAUUUCUUUCAAAAUAGUCCAUGAAUACAUAUUUAGGGAACUUUACAAUUUAGCCCUAAUAAAUUCAGAUUUUGACACUUUAGUCUAGUUUUCACAAAUUCACAAAUAUACCAAAUUCACCAAGACUAUAACUUGGCCAAAUAUACAUGGGUUCCAUAUAAGCCCAUACAACAUGUUUAAUUCACAAAUUAGUCCUUCAAAACCUCGUUUCUACAAAUUAGCCCAAUUAGCUCAUUUCAUCAAAAAUUCAAGAAUAAAACAUAUAACCCAUGUAACAAGCCUUCUAAUUCAUCCAAAAAUAUCACAAAACUCAUGAUAUCAACAAUGGCAUUUCAUGAAAUCUUUAACAGAAAUAGAAAUUCGAACAUGGGCUUUGAAGAACACAAAGCAAGGAUCACAGAAAUGUAGAAAUUAUAAAAAACGGGCGAAAAUUCAUACCUUAAUUUAUCAAUCAAAGUGCCGAAUAUACAAAAGCUUCAAACCUUUCUUUCAUUUGCUGAUUUUCGGUUAACAUGCAUGAGAAUAAGGCCAUCUUUGUUUUUUCAUUUUUUUAAUUAACAUUAUUGACCAUUUUCCCAUUUUGCCCUUGUUCAUAAAACAUAAAUUUCCAUCCACUAAUUCCCAUAACUGUCCACCAUGUAAAAAACUGGUACAAUUGACAUGCAAGGACCUUUAUUUUAAAAGCCAAGCCAAAUAGGUGUUUUAUCAUCUAGCACUCAAGUUUUAAACUUUUCGCGAUUUACUCAUUUUUCAUAGUUAAGCACAGAAACGGACAAAUUAAAUUACAGAAAUUUCACAGAUGGAAAUUCUCAUAUCAUAGACACAGAAAAUAAUAUUAAAAUAUUUUACAAACUCAGAUUUGUGGUCCCGAAACCACUAUUUUGACUAGGGUCAAAACUUGACUGUUACACUUACGUUAUGUUAUUAUCCCUAUUCAAGACUAAUAACGUCUAAUCCAUAGAUUGAAUAAUUGAGACUUUUCUCUAAUUAACACUCUAGGGUUGCAUUAGCUCGAUCUAUGGAUCCCCUUAUUAGGUUUCACCUUAAUUCGGCAAAAUCUUGUCACCCUAUCUCUAGGCGCGCAAUCAAUUCCGCUUAAUUAUGAUGAAUGUACUCUUAGAUAGGGUCUAUUCCUCCUCUGAAUAAGAGCUUAUCUUGAAUCAGUAUCCUGGGAUAUCAAAACAAGAAUUAAGAACACAUAAUUAAGAACAAGUUAAAUAUUUAUCAUACAAUUUAGAAAAUAAUGACAAGAUUAGUCUUAGGUUUCAUUCCCCUUAGGUAUUUAGGGGAUUUAGUUCAUAACUAAAAAGGAAAACAUCUUAGAAGAAUAAUGAAUACAAAACAUAAAGAAAACCCAAAACUCCUGAAGGGUAAUUGAGGGGAGGUCUUUAGUCUUGAUGAUGAAUCCAGCUUCUAAGAUGGAUCAAUCGACUUCCUUGGAGUAAUUCCUUCCUUCCUCCCUGUGUGUCCCCCUUAUUCUCUUCCUUUAGGGUGUAUUUAUAGGCUUGGGUAUGCCUAAGAGCCCUCAAAAGUGGCCUUUUCUGAAUUAGACUCAACUUGGGCUCUGCAGGGACACGCCCAUGUGACACGCCCGUGUGCGAUUACUUGAAGCUGUGCUCGAGCCUGUUAAAUAGGCAGGAUCAUGUGGUCUGCCCAUGUGAGGAGGUCCAACACGUGUUGAAUUCGUACUUUGGUCCGUUUUCUCCGUUUUUGGCCUGUUUCUUGUUCCUUUCGCUCUCCUAUGCUCUCCUAAGUAUAAAACAUGAAAUUAAGGCAUUAGGAGCAUCAAAUUCACCAAUUCUAAGGAAAAAUCAUCCAUAAAACGUGUUAAGAAUGAGGUAAAAAUAUGUAUAAAUUACAAUUUAUUAGACAGUGGCAUCGAUAUUUGAUUACAUGUAAGAUAACAUCUGGGAUGUUGGCAUUGUACGAGGCUUCUAAUUUAUCCGCGUAUCCUUAUGAUUUUGAACUGUUCAAUGAGCAUUAUUGAGAAAUAAAUAAUCAAGUGAAUGUGUAUCCAAUUCAGGUAUGUUCAAAGUUGUAUAUCAUAUUUGAUGCCGAAAGAUAAGUAUAUGUACCUUUAUGAUCAAUUAAGUAUAUGUGACAAAAGUAUAAGAAAAUAUGCAUUAUGUGCAAAUGAAUGAAGAAUAUGUGAAAUGUAUUUGAGCUAUGUGUUUUGUGAUAGUAUGUGGUUAAAGAUUAUAUGUAUAUUAUGAUGCUUAUAUGUUUAAAUUGUUAACUUUAUUUGUAUAUGGCUUACUAAGCUUUUGAAAGCUUACUUUGUGUGUGUUUGCAUUGGUUUAUAGAUAUUGUAGCUAUCAGGAGCUAGGGGAUCAUCGAGGAUCAUCACCACACUGUCGAACUAUAUUUUGGUACCUUUUGAAAAUGUAUAUAUUGAAGUAUGGCAUGUAUAGGCUAGAAGUACUUUGAUUAUGUUUUGUCAUGUACAUAAAUCUAGCCAUGUGAUUUAGCUUGAUUAUGGUUGUGUAUAUGAAUGAGUUCUUGGUAUGAAAUAUGUGAUGUAAUUGAUUAUUAUGAUGUAAUUUGAAUGGAUAUAGAAAUUGGUCAUUUUGGUAAGUAAUGGUAUAUGUUUAUUUGAGAAAAUGGUAAGUUUUGAUCAUGAGAUUAAAUGAUGUAAGUUGAGGUAUUGAAACAUAUGUUUUGGUAUGAUUUUGGUUUAGAUUUGGUAUGAUUUGGUUGAUGGAUUGAGAAUGGAAUUUGUUGAUAAUGUAAUGGCAUGAAUAAUGUAUGUUUUGGUAUUGAAAUUGGCUUAAAUUAUGAUGCAAAUAUGCUUGGUUUGAUGUUUAUAGGUUUGACACAAAAUGAGUGGAAAAUUGGCUUUUCAAAUGGCCUAUUUUUGUACACAUGGGCAGAGACACGGGCGUGUGUCUCAGCCGUGUGUGACACAUGGUCAUGUAUCCCCUAGGAUACCCUAUGAUUUUAAGUCAGGCUUGAGCAUGGGCAAGGCACACGGGCGUGUGGCUAGCCGUGUGACCUAAGUUAGUUUUGGCCAAGGUACAUGGGUGUGUCUUGUGGUCGUGUGAUUAAGUCAGUAUGUAUGCCCUGUUUUUACAUGGCCUAGACACACGGGCGUGUCUAAAGCCGUGUGAGGCACAUGGCCUGUUCACACGGGCAUGUGACUUGUAUAACUUUGAAAUAUGUUUAAGUUUUGCAAAAUUCUGUAUAAGCUCGGUUUAGUCCCAAAGCCUUUCUAAAGCAUGUUUAAGGUCUCAGUGAUCUAAAUAAGAGACACUAUAUUGAUGUUUUGUAACGCCCCAAUUUUCGAGAUUUCUAUAAUUUCCAAUGAAUUUUAGAAAUACUGUGUUUUGACUAUCUGGUGUGGAUCUGAGUAUGUUAGUGGGCCUUUAAAAAGCCCAAGAGUAAAUUUAAUUCGAGGCAAUUCCUGAAUUUUUAAUUUUGAAGAGAGAGGGCUUUGGCGAUAUGGGCUUUUAAAAUUGAGGUGGUAAAAUAGGACACAAAAAGAUCUGAGGUAAAGUGGCAUGUGGCGCCACCUAGGUGUUUGGGGAGUGACGUGUGGAUGAUUAGGGGGAGCUAGAGUUCAAGUCACAAGGUAAGCGUGUUGUUACUUUUAUUUUUGUAUGCAUAUGCAGGGCAUGUGAUAGAGCUUAAGUGGAAAUUCAGCUAGGGCUUUAGGAAGGUUGGGUCGUGGGUUUGAAUGGCCAUUAGGGCAAGCUUUACUUUCUUUUUGUUUUUCCGAAUUAGGGUUAGCCACCUAGAGCCUUCACUUUCAUUCUAUUAUCUUCUCAGUGUCGCAAAAAGCCAAAAAACGCAAAGUUAGAUCUCCUGAGUGCCGAAUUCUUCCUUCUCUUCUCCUCUCUUCUACUAUUUUCUUUUUCUCUUUCUUUUCUUCUCUGGCUGAAACAUUCCUACCAUUCUACUCAUCUCCUCUUUCAUUCCUAUUCUUUUCUAAACCUCUAUAGCCAAUUUCCAUAAAAGCCCAAAUCCAGAAAGUUAUUUCUUGUGCCGAUUUCUUCUAGUCAAAAUCCUCCUAUUUUCUUCAUCUCUUUUGGCCAAUUUUCACAUCCUCUAAACCUCAACCCCUGUCGGCAAUACCACUGCAAAACCACCAUACCAAAUCAUCUUCCUCUUCACAGUUCCAAAAGUCGAAAACACCAUAGUUUUUAGGGACAUGUAGUCGAAUCUUAAAAUCUCUAAGAUUUGAUUUCUGCUAGUGUUUAAGGGCUAGAUCUGCAUCAGAUCUGAGUAGAAACUGAAGUGGAAUCAUUUGGUUGAAAGAACCUGAGGUAGGUACUCAAAUCUAUUCUUUAUUUUGGGUUUUAGAAAAGCCGAAAUCCCUAAAGGCAUAGGGAGGCUGUCGAUUGGAGCUUAAGGCUCUAAGGGUUGUAAAAAUUGAUUUGUUUUGGUGUUAGUGUGAUCCAGAGGCUGCUGAUCGAAGGCUUGGACAAGUGGAACAACUAGAUCUAGAUCUAGUCUCUAGUUUUGGCAAAGGUAGGAUCUCAAGGGCCAUAUGUAUUGAUGGUCGAUUAUGGUAAGUAAGUUUAUGAUGGUUGCCAUUGUAUUUUGGAUCUGAUAUGUCUAGUGACGAUUGUAGGACAUCGUGGGAGAUUUCGGUAGCAGUUGUCACAAAUCAGGUGUGUAAACGACACCCACUCAUAGACUAGAUCGACAAAAGUUGAAAAGCCGAAAUGCCGAAAAGUUGGUAUUUUGUAAACUUGCGAGCGUACGAGCACUCGUGAGGUGGUUUGUUUGUUAAUUUUGGUAAUCACAAGCGGUAAGAUUGCAAAGUGUGAAAUUUCGUGCACUUCGAUAUAUUUAGGCUUAAUAGGCCAAAAUCGGGUUAAUGGGCCAACGGGCCCAAUUCGGUAAAAAUGCUCGGUAAGUGUUUCUGUUAAUGUGUUAAUGGCUGUAAUAUGAGUGUAAACCGUAAAAUAGUUAAAUUUACUAAAAUACCCUUAAGUAUGAAAAUUACCAUUAUACCCUUAGGUGCAAAAUUACCAUUAUACCCCUAGGGUUAAUUUUGACUGAAAUGCAUGAUAUUUUGAUUCUGUUUGUUGUAUGCCAUGACAUGUAUAUCUAUUGCAUGGGAUAUGGGUUAUAUUGAUGGAGGAAGCGUUCUGGUGGCUCUGCCACAAAUAUAUGAUCUGGUGGCUCUGUCACAAAUAUCUGUAUCUGGUGACUCUGUCACAAUAUCUGUUCUGGGAGCCAUGCUGCAAAUUCUGUGACGUGUAGCAGAUGGAUGGGUCGAGUAGUCUCCCCACAUGGUGUAAGGUUGGUACAGGGGUGUAUACUGAUGGAUAUGGGUUGGGUUUUCUGCAUACAAGAUAUAUCUGCUCUAUUUCUGUUAUGGGCCUAUGGGCUUCAUUCUGAAUUCUGUGUAGGGAUAAGGCCCAACUUAAUCUGUUUCUGUGGUUUGAACUGAUCUGGACUAUGGUUGGGUUAGUUUACACAGUGAGUUUUCCAAACUUACCCCUUAAUUUUAUCCAUGCAGGUAACCCCUAACCAUAGUGGACUUGGAGCUGAGAGGGAUUCGGAGUGGCCACAUGUUUUGCAAGCUCAACUUUCUUCUUAUGACUUGAUUAGCUUCAUUUACUUUAAUUGCUUUGGGUUUUAAGUUGUAAUAAGGCUGCUUUAAUUAUUUUUAAUUGCUUUAGUAUGAUUAUUAGCUUAGGCAUGAUAUGGAUUUAAAUGUUUGAAACUGAAUAGCUCUAGGGCACGUUUUUAAAAGAGAUUACCUAAUUUCAAAUAUUGUGAAACAAGACAAAGCUUCCAAAAUGAAAACGUUUUCAAAAAUUAAUAAGUGUUUUCAAAGGCUUAAAAUGAAAUGGUUUUUCCUGAACAAUCAGUCAGUUAAAGUGUGGCAAUGGUUGUGUGCAUGUCUAGGAGUGGAUCCAUGGAGAGCUUGGUACUUAAGCAGUCUAAUAGACUCACCUCCUCUUUUUUCGGCAUCCUACCUGGUGCACAGCUUCCAUUCACUUUAAUCUAUAACGAAAAAAACCCUUUAAAUCACUAAGAAAGACUUUAGAUAAUACAUGACCUAUACAGUAACGCUUCAAUGUGACACACCGGAUUCGACCGUAAUGUCUGGGCUGGGUUUAGGGUGUUACAUGUUUGAUCUUUGAUGCUAUAAUAUUUGUGAAAUGAAUGUUAAAUGUUUCAAUUUUUUCGGUAAUGCCUUUAACCCUAGUCCGGCGAUGGAUACGGGUUAGGAGUGUUAAAACUGCAUAUUUGAUACUGUACUGAGAUGGGCUAAGGCCCAAAUCGUUACUGAUACUGAAAGGAGCUUAGGCCCAAAACUGUAUCUAACUAUGCACUGUGUCUACUAUUGUUUGUUUUCUGUGGGAUUACACAUUGAGUUUACGUAAAUUUACCCCUCUCUGUUUAAUGUGCACAGGUAAUCCCCAGGCCUAGACGGAUCGGUGCGGCAGAGGACUCGACGGUGACCAUAAUUUUUGGACUUUACGUUUUUUAUAAUUUAUUUUUAUGGUUUUAUUAUUAUUGGGAUGUAAUUUGAGGACUCUUGGGGCUUUUUCUUAAAUUUGAGUUUUUUUUUUGUGGAAUUAUAACUGGUACUCAUAGGAAGUUUGAUUUUAAAAAAGCUAAUGUAUUUUCUAAACUCACGAUUACUUAAACUGCUUUGUUUUAAAAGCUUCCGCAAUGAGAAACGUUUUAAAGCAAAUGUUUUAAAUAAGUAAAACGAUUUCCCUUCGAACUAAUAAUAGAUAAAGAUAGGUAAUAACAUGGAAAUGAUUUUAUUGUAAUAAUUUAGUUUUCGAACACACUAUCAUGUGGCAUAGCCAGAUUUGACCAUAACGUCUAGGCCGGGUUUGGGGUGUUACAAGAGCUUUCCCAAACUAAAAAGUUGCAUUAUUAAAUCCAAUAAUUACUUUCAAAAGGUUGAGUUGAAAUGAUUUCUUGAAAUAAGAAAAGUGCAACUUGAAAAGUGAUAUCAUUUUAAAGAGUCAUUUAGGCACUUAUUAGUGCAUUAUAAAUAGAAAAUAUAUUUGGAGAAUAGAAAAUCAAUUUGUUUCAUCUAAUUUGUGAGUGAAAUUUUUAGUACAAAAGUAUUCCUUCUUUUUUAUGACAUAUUUAAUUUGCGAUAUGAAAUUAUUUCUUUAUUUAGAUCAUAAUAUUAGUAACUAGCAUUUGGAUUACAUUGAUGAGACAUUAUUUUCAUUUUUAAAAAUGAAAGUUUGUAGAUGAUCAUAUAAUACAAAUAAUUUUGGUUGUUUUUGUUAAAUAACCUUAACCUAAAUGGGUUUUAUAUAUGAUUGCACAUUUUGAUUCCAUAUUAUAAAGUUUGGACUAGAAGUGGUAUUAACUAGAAAUGGAAUAAGUCAUAUACGUAUGCAUGGUUAAUUUUUCUAGUUAAUUUAGAAUAGUGGAAAGCAUUGGCUUAUAUAAUAAGAUCAUUAUUCUAGUAUGAAAUUUUCUAGUGAGAAUAUAUAACAUGAUAAUCAUAUAUUUGAGUAUAUAACAUGAUAAUCAUAUAUUUGAAAUCAAGAUCCUAUUGUGCAUAUUUAUGAUGGUGCAUGUGGUUUUUUAUAUAUGACUUGGAUAUAAUCUAUAAUCCCAUGAUUUUAUAAAAUUUUGAGAUGUAAAUUUUGAAAUUUACUUUGGAAGCUAUGAAUCAAAGAUCUCGUGAGUAGGGUUGAGUAUUCGAUCGAGUCGAGUUUGAGUAGGGUUGAGUAUUCGAUCGAGUCGAGUUGAGUCGAAUCAAGUUAAAAACUAUUGAGUUAGUCGAGUUAACGAAUCCUAUUUUAGCAAUCGAACUCAAUUUUAAUUUUUUUUUCAAAUCGAGUCGAAUCGAGUCAAAAACUUUCAAGUCGAGUUAACGAAUCCUAUUAUUUAUACUCAAUAUUGUGUUUACAUGGGCAGGUUAUUUAACUAGUAGACGAAGUACAAUAUUAUUUAACUACAUAAAUAAUAUAAUUUACUAAAUAAUUACAUGUAAAGAAUUAUUUUAGGCAUGCAAAAUAACUAUAUAUAACGUUGCAACAUGAUCACUGUGGCCGUAAUUCGAGUCAACUACCUAAGCUAUUACACCACACGCAUAAUUAUAUUUACAUAGUGUAUAAUUAUGCAUCAAGAACUAUCUUAUAUACAAGAUAACAAAAUGAUAUACCGAAAGCAUGAUACAAGGAUGCAUGCCACUACUACACAAAAUAUGAUAUAACAAAAUGAUACACCAAAUGUAUGAUAUAGUUGGUCAUGGUGUGACACUCCAAGACUCGAAUUCAAAAAAAUAAAUUCAAGUGUCCUGCACAACAAAAUCCAGAGUUUAACCAAUUGUUUUGACCAAAACAAAGCAAAUGCAAGGUUGAAGUUUUCAUAAGCAUUAACAAAAUUUUUAUUCCAAAAAGUUAAAAUCAAACUAUCUUCAAGCUUCAUCUUCUUUGAACAUUGUAGAUAGUACCGAAAAUUCUAUAACAAAAAUAAAAAUGUAUUCUUAAAUUACGAAAAUCUUUACUAGAAAAACUAAAAAUAAACAUUCAAUUUUGUGAGUUGUAGUUAAGCAUGUUACCAUCUUCAUGUUCCGAUAACUGUGACAAUUCUAAUAAAUAUCAAAAGAGAAAAAUGUUAGUUAAAUUGUGAGAAUGUUUAUAAAAUUAAAUAAAAUAAGCAAUUAACCUUUUGAAUUAAAGUUAGUCCCUUACCGUCAUCUAUAUUUUGAAGUUCCUCCACAUACUCCUCAAGGUUGAUAGGAUCUUUUAACCUUUGAAGCCAAUCUUGUGUGCAAACCAAAGCCUCAACCAUAGAAGGAGUCAAAGAACUUCUAAAAUUAUCUAGAACACGUCCACUCAUGCUGAAAGCACUUUAGAUGUAGUGGUUGAGAUAGGAACGGAUCACACAUCUCAAGCCAUUUGUGCAAUAAUUAAGAAUCUUGGACUAUUAACUUUCCACCACAAUAACAAACCAAAUGAAUCUGAAUUAUUUUCACAAUCUUCUCCCAAAUAUCUAUCCAACUCAGAUUUACUUUCCAAGCCAACAUGUUGCUUUUUCUUCAUAUAUUGUUGCAUGACUAAGACUAUCUUCGGUUUUACUUGAUCUAUUUCAUUUUCAGUUAAACUUGGAGCUCUAGUAGGAAAAUUAGAUUCAACUUCAAUGUUCAUGUGAAGAUUUCCCUCAACAAUUGCAGAAUAUCCAUCAAACAAACAAUGCAAUUCUCUAUUGACCAUCCUUAUAAUGUCAUCUGCAAUAGUAGGAAAAAGCAAGUUGACUGUAAAUGGAAGAAAACCUAUUUUGCACCUGAUAAUCCAUAAAACUAACAUAUUUUUAAUCCUAUUCUUGAUGCAUUUUUUGGAUGAUUAAUUAUCUAAAUUAGUGAAUUUGAUACUCUUAAUCCUUUAAAUUCAUGUCUUUAUACUUAGGAGAGCAUUUGGGAGCAAAAUGAGUGAAAAAUGAGUCAAAAUUGGACAAAUAGAGUUGUUUACAGAAUCCACACGGGCUGGCCACACGCCCUUAUGAGCCACACGGACUAACCAUACGCCUAUGUGAUAGCCCAUGUCGAUAUUACACCUUGCUUCCCAAAUAUGCGGAAAAACCCAAUUUUUAGGCUUUUUGAGCAUUCUAAAGUCUAUAAAUACCAAUUAGAAGAAGACCUAACGGGGGCACUCAGAGAAGAUUGAAGAGAACAUGCGAAGAACUCCAUUGGAAUCAACUCAAAAGCAGAUCUCCUUCAAGAUUGAACAUCUCCAUUUAAUUUUCUUCGAAGUUUUAUUGAGUUUCUUUAUGUCUUGUUGUUAUCUUAAUUUUGAGAUGUUUCUAUUCAGGGUUAUGAGCUAAAUUCCCUAGAUACCUAGGGAAUAUGAAACCUAUGAUAAAUCUUAUUAUUUGAUUUUUGAUUUACACAAUAAAUACUUGAUUCUUGUUCUCAAUUAUGUAUGCUUAUUUCUUAUUUUAAUAUUUCUGAGAUAUUAAUUCAAGUUUAAUGUGCAUAUUUCAAUAGAGAAAAAGUCUCUGUUUAAGAGUAGAUCUAGCAUAACUGAGUGGAGUUGCAUGUAAUCCGAGAAAUAGGACAACAUAAAUCUACCGGAAUAGAGUCAAAUCUAAUAGGGGAAUCCAUAGAUCAAGUUAAUGUGACAAUAGGGGUUUUAAUUUGAAAGAAAUUUUAAUUAAUCAACCUAGAGUUAGUUGUUCUUACUCUCGAAAGAGAUAUUAACAUAAUUAAGGGAUUUUUAUAGAUCAAGACACAAGUGAAUAAAUCAUUUAAUUCAAAUUCAAAAUAAUAGGUGAAGUCUAGGUGGAUUCUUUCCUGGGUAUUGUCUUUCUCUUUGGUUAUUGUCGAUUAUUUUCCUAUUUUAUUCUCUGCUGUGUUCUUAGUUAAAUUAGAUUAUUAAAUUUAGAUUAAAAACAAUCACUCCAAUUUAUCUACUAAAUAAUAGAAAAACGGUGAUUACUAGUACUUUUAGUCCUCAUAGAUAUGAUAUUCCCUACUCACCAUAGCUAUACUAUUGCUCAAUAGGUGCGCUUGCCUUUGUAGCAAUUAUAGUUAGUUUGGUGAUCAUCAAGUUUUUGGCACCAUUGUCGGGGACUAAAAUAUAGGAACACUCGAUUUUUAUUAAUGUAGCCAUUUUUAUUUUUAGUUUAAUUUUUGCAUUCUAAUUUUUCUUUUCUUUUAUUUGCUUCUGACAGGUUCCUUUAGUUUAUGACUAGAAGAAACCCAUCCGACCAUUACUAUUUGAAAACGAAAUUGAAAGUAUAACUUUCAGAAAUUGUAGAGAAGUAGGGUAGAGUCAACAGAGUAUAGUAGAUGAGCAAGAGGAUAUUAUUAUUAUGACUGAGAAGAUGGGUGAUAAUUAGAAUAAUUUGCUACCUCCUGCAGUUGUUGCAAAUCCAGAUCCUGCUCCUCAUACUAUGUACGAUUAUGCCAAGUCCACUCUAACUGGGCCUGAAUCAAGUAUUGUGAGACCCACUAUUGCUGUGAAUAAUUUCAAACUGAAGCCGAACACUAUUCAAAUGGUACAACAAUUUGUUCAGUUCGAUGGUUUGCAAGACGAAGAUCCAAAUACUCAUUUGGCUAAUUUUCUAGAAGUCUAUGAUACUUUCAAGAUAAAUGGCAUUUCUAACGAUGCCAUUUGCCUACGGUUAUUCCCUUUCUCACUGAGGAACAAAGCUAAACAGUGGUUGAAUUCUUUAUUGUGAGGUUCUGUCACUACAUGGGAUCAAAUGACUGAGAAAUUCCUAUUGAAGUACUUCCCACAAGCUAAGAUGGCAAAAUUAAGGAAUGAUAUCUCUUCCUUCAUUCAAAUCGACCUAGAAACCCUAUAUGAUACAAGGGAGAGGUAUAAGGAAUUAUUGAGACGUUUCUUUCACCAUGGGUUACCUUUAUGGCUACAGGUUCAAACCUUCUACAACAGCUUGAAUCCCUUAACUAGACAGUUGAUCGACACAGCAACCGGUGGUACAUUGAAUAAUAAAACACCAAAGUAACUUAUGAAUUUGUAGAAGAGAUGUCACUAAAUAAUUAUCAGUGGCAAGUCAUGAGGACGAAGCUGAAUAGAGUAGCUGGUGUUUUCAAUCUAGAUCCGGUCACCAUGUUACCGAAUCAGGUAGAACAAUUAAAUAAGAAAAUUGAAAUUUUUUAUGUUUCUACGGAAGUAUAUCUGAUGAUGCAAUGCGAUACAAAUAGAGGUGGAAUGAACAAUCUAGAAUGUUUACCAUUCGCUUCUAGCACAGAGAAUGAACAAAUCAAUUAUAUGGGUAAUAAUUCUAGGCUUCAAAAUAACCCUUAUAGUAAUUACUACAAUGUAGGUUGGAGGAACCAUCCCAAUUUCUCUUGGGUGGUCAAGAAAAUCAAAGAGCAAAAUCCCCUCCAGGCUUUCAACAACCUUACCAACAAGAGAAGAAGCCGAACCUUGAGGAGAUAUUGAUAAAGUUUAUCUCAGUGUCAGAAACCUGUUUUCAGAACACUAAAGUAGAGCUUAAAAAUAAAAAAGCAUCAAUUUAAAGGCUUGAGAACCAAAUCGGUCAACUUGCGAAGUUGAUUUCAAAAUGACCACAAGGUAGUUUGCUUAGCAAUACCGAAACUAACCCAAUAGAGCAACUUCAUGCAAUUCCUAUGCGAGAUGAAGAAGGGUUAGUUGAAUCUGAACCAAAAUCGAGGCAAGAAAUUGUGUUAAGUAAUGGUAAGGUUGAGGUAAGCCAAAAUGAGCAAAAACAGGUUGGUAAAGAAUAUAAACCUCGAGUGUCAUAUCCUAACACGAUGAAGAGAGACCUCACGAAUGAAAAAUUUGGUAAAUUUCUUAAACUUCUGAAAAAAUUUCAUAUUAACUUACCGUUUAUUGAAACUCUUUCAUAGAUGCCUAAUUCUGUUAGAUUUUUAAAGGAGCUUUUGGUAAACAACGAAAGUUAGAUGAUUUGUCGCAUGUGGAACUAAAUGCAGUUUGCUCAGCCAUUUUGCAAAAUAAACAACCCAACAAAUUGAAAGAUACAUGGAGUUUUACUAUUCCUUGUUUAAUUGGUAGGUUGAAUGUUAAUAAUGCUUUGGUUGAUUUAAGGGCUAGUAUUAAUAUCAUGCCUUAUAAAUUGUUUAAGCAAUUAGGUCUUGAGAAACCCAAACAAACUAGGAUGAGUAUUCAAUUAGCAAAUAGAACCUUAUUGAAGAUGUUCUUGUAAAAAUUGAGAAAUUUAUCUUGCCAGUUGAUUUUGUUGUUUUAGACAUGGAUGAGGAUAGUGAUGCACCUUUGAUUCUAGGUUGGCCCUUUUUAGCAACUGCUAGAACUAUUAUUAAUUUUGGUACAGGUGAAUUAUUACUUUGUGUAGGUGAUGAAACGAUUACUCUCCAAGCUCGUGAUUCUAUUAAGACAUUUAGUGAUUGAAAUGAUUUUACAAGUUCUGUUAAUAUGAGUAACCAUGUGGCUUAACCUUAUUUACAAGAAACCCAUCGAAACAAAUGUAAAGAGUCACGUUCCAAUCCAUGUGACAAAAAUAGAAUUACUCAUGAAGAAUGAAUGUUAUAGGUCGAUGAACUAGACAAAUUGCGGACACAUAUCAAGGAGAAACCAGGAAUACACGAUGCAAAGCCAGAGCGACGCCAUGAUAGGCAUUUGGAUAGAACGAGUCAAUUUAAGGUUGGUGAUAAGGUACUGCUAGAAUAAAUGGAUCCAAACUGUAACACCCCUAACCUGUAUCUGUUGUCGAAAUAGGGUUAUGGAGCAUUACUAGAGUUUACAUUUCAAAACUAUAAUUUUUUUUAAAACAUUUAAUUUAUAUCAUCAAUCACAGCAAAACCAAUCAAUAGCAUACAUAGUCCCUUAUACGAGCCCUCAAGGCCCUAAAAACACAUUAGAAACAAAUUGGAACUAAACCAAAAACAUAUAAAAAUUUCAGGGAAAAGAUGAAAAUUUACGACUGCAGGGGUUACACGGUCGUGUACCCUUCGAAAUAACCUCACAUUCCUGUGUGUCAGGCCGUGUGCUAGGCCGUGUAAAACUUGACUUGAAACCCUUUGAAAACUACAGGAACACACAGCCGUGCUACCUGGCUGUGUGUCAUACACGACUGAGACACACGCUUGUGUCUCUGCCUGUGUGGAUGAAAAUAAGCUAUUUUACAAGCCAUUUUUCUCACCCUUUUCAACAUGUACCUAUAAUCCCUUUUGCACAUGUACAUAAGUCCUCAAAAUGCACGAAAAUCAUGCAAAAUCAAGCCAAACACAUAUGGUUUAUUAACAUUCAACCAAUAUGCCUAAAGGCACCCCAAAUGACAACAUUAAAAUAUGUAUAACCAUGUACUCAAUUUGGCCAAAAUAAUUGAUUAACUUCUAACUAAGUUUACAUCAUUAAACAACAUGUAAAUCACUUACCGAAACAUACCAUUUGGUACCAACUGUACCACAUAAUAAUUAGCUUCAAAACACAUGUAUGCUUAUUAUGGCAAAACACCAAUUCAUAACAAGUUAUAUGUCAUAUCUAAUAUGCACAUUCAACUACUUUUCUAUCGACCAUCAUUCAACCAUAAUAAGACAUAUGUCAACCAUUACAAGGCUACAUAUAUACACCUUAUAAUGUAUAUCAUUUUACCAACACAAGGCCAAGAUGCAAAUUAACCAAAUGGUCAAUUCCACAACCAAAGCACAUAGGCCAACAUUAGCCAAAAUACCUAUACAUGCCAUUAUAACAUUAACCAAGACAUCAACAUCUACCGAUAUAAUCACUGAAUAGUGUGAUAAAUCUCCUAUGAGCUUCCAACCUGAUCGAGCUUUCGAUAGUCUAAAAAGUAAAGAAAAAUAACUACAUAAGCAAUGAAUGCUUAGUAAGCUUGUAUAAACUUUAGUCAUAUCUAUCCAUUUCAAAUAUGAAAUUUAUACAAUUCAAGAAUAAUCAUAUAUCGAUACCACACUAUUCAUGAAGCCAAAUUCAACAAUUCACAAAUUGCAUAAUUCCACAACAUCACUUAUACCUAUCAUUCCUAACAAAGUAGGAUUUUAUAAAAACUUUAAGUCUCUUUCAAUUUUCUUCCUUUCUUUUGCAUGUCAUUACUUUCCGUUACAUUUACUUUCUUUAGCUUAAUUAACAUCAUAAAUUCAACUCAUCAUUCCCUUUUUCAUCACUCAUUUCAUAUGCGUAAUACACAAGACACAAGCAUAUCAUCAACCAUAGCCACAAGCUAAUGCAUUUAAAUAUAGCUCUUUUAUAAUUAAUCACAUGAUAAACCAUUUCAUAAGAAUUUGCAUAAUUUAAACCUUACCACUUUUUCAUGAGUACAAGCAUAUAUUCAUUUGAGCACUUACCAUUUCAGUACGACUUAUAAGUAAACAUAAUACCAUUCAACCAAUAGCUUGGCACUUGCCUAAGCAUCAAAUAGCAACACAUGUUAGCAUACUUGAACAUAUUUCAUAUAAAUUCAACAUUUAUAGCCUUAUUUUCUCAACAUGUCACACUUGAGUUCAUUACUCGUCUCAACUUACAUAAUUACCAUGUAUCAACAUAUCAAAGAUAUUCAUAUAUGUAUAUGUCAUGAUACAUAUCAUUAUCUUACCGUUUCAUUAUAUACAUAUAACAUCCAUUUUAAUAUAUCAAUAUAUCAUGUACCAUCAUUUCCAUGUAUUUCAUGUAUAUACCUAUAUUAGUUCGUAUCGAACUCAUAUCAUCUCGUAACAACACAUUUCUCAUUGAACCACUUAGAAUAAUAUCAGAUACGUGGGGAAUCUCGCACACUAUGUGCCAACACAUGGUCAAAACCAUCUCUAUCUCAUAUCUCAUAUAGAUGCUUACUCUCAAGCUAUCACUGGGUUUGCUCACACAAGCUAACGGUCAAGACGUAACUACACAGUGCUGCUCACACAAGCUGACAAGUAAUAGCAACACAUGCCGGAAAACUCAGCCACUGGUAGAACGUACAGGACCAGCACCCAAAACAUGGUAACAUAUAAUGGCAUGUCAUUUGUAUCCUAAAUAUUCCUAAGGUUCAAACGGAACUCGAUAGUCGUUGUGUGUUGUUGAAUUUCCCUCGUUUCAUUAUAAGCCAAAUUGUAUAAUAACAUAUAUAUAUAUCGAUUCAUUUUCAAUAAAAUUUCAUAUAAUAACAUUAAAUUUAAUCAAAAAUAUACAUAGUAUAGUUCAUACGAACUUACUUGGCUAAAUUGUAAAAAUACCAAAGUUUAGGAGCAUUUUUGAAAUUUUCCAUUUUCCUCGAGUUUCCACCCAAUCUUGAUCUAAAUUAAUAAGUUCAUUCAAUAUAUUAAUUUAGACAAUAAAAUAAUUCAUUUCAUACAAUUUGACCAUUUUUGACACUUUUACAAAAUUACCCCUAAAGUUUUAAUUUUAUUCAAUUUAGUCCCUUUCCCAAAACAUGUAAAUUAACCAUUUUUAACCAGAAUUGAGCUUAGCUGAAUGUUCAUGGUAUCAAAAAAAAACCCAUUUAUGCAAUAAUUUCACAUUAAAUCCUUGUACUUUUAUUAAUUUAUCAAAUUAGUCCCUAAUCAAAAAAUUCAUCAAAAUCACUUAGCAAAAUACUUUUAAAUAUAAAUCAACAACCCAAAUUCAUCAUCUAACAUAAAAAACCACAAGAUUCAUCAAUGGAAACAUUCAAAAUAUUUAACAAUUUCAAAAUCGAAGGUACAGGCUAGUUGGACCUAGUUGCAGCGAUCUCAAAAACAUAAAAAUUAUUAAAAACGAACGAAAAAUACUCACAUGCAAGCACAAAUAGGGAUGGCAGAAUGAAGUUGCAUCCAUGGCUGCUUUCUUAUUUUUCUAUUCGGUUGAAGAAACAAAAAUAAAGAUGCAUGUGUCAUUUUGUUUCUUUAAUUAUUAACAUUUAUUAAUUAUUUACUUAUUUAACCUUGAAAACCAGCCAAAAAUUUCAAUAAUGUCAAACCAUUAUCAUCCACUACCAACUCUAAUGGCAUAAUUUCCAUAUAUGGAAUUCCACUUUAAAUUUUUAUAGUUAUUUAAUACCUUUAGCUAUUAGAACUUAAAUUUUGUACUUUACGCGAUUUAGUCCUUUUUACUUAAUUAAUUAUUGAAACGAUAAAAUUUUUCAACGAAACUUUAAUACCACCUUAAUUAAACUCCAUAAAUAUUUAUAAAAAUAGCUUGGUUUAUAAAAAAUGAGGUCUCAAUACCUCAAUUUUCAAAACUACUUGACCUUAGAGCCAUACCACUUGAACUUAAUAAAUCGCUUAUAAAACAAAAAUCAUAUCAAAAACCUUUUUAAAAUCAAAAUUAACUCGUAAAUAUUAAAUAUAAUAUUUAAAAACUUACUUGUCAGAUUUGGUGGUCCGAAACCACUGUUUCCAGCACCACUGAAAAACGGGCUAUUAUAGAAACCCUAGAACUCGUUUCUCAAUUUGUCUGUUUCUUCUUCCCUAACUAAGCUACACCUUUUAUUUUAUUUUAUUUUAUUUUAUUUAUUACUAUUUUUUAUAUUAUUUAUUUUUGUUUUUCUAAUUAUUUUAUUUUAUUUUAUUUUAUUCUUAUACUUAUAUUUUAAAUUUAUUUCAAUUUUUCUAUUAGUUUUAUUAUUUUUAGUAUUAUUAUUACAAUUACCUUUAAGUUUAUUGAUAUCAUUGAGUUUAUUAUUUUUUUAUUUUUUAUUAUUUAUCUUUAUUUUUAAUUUGUUUUAGUUUCUUUAUUUUUUUAUUUAUUUUCUUAAACUUAUUUUAAUUAUUAUUUUUUGAAAUAUAUUUUUAUGGUUGUUUCUAAUCGAGUUAUAACCGUUUAAUCUUUACUAUUUGUGUUUAUUUUCUUAUUAGUUUGCUAGAAAUCAUUCACUGCAACUAGAUUUGUCUACAAUUCCUCUUUUAACCAUUCUGGUAAUUUCAUCCAAUAUUCAAGGCAGUUUCAGUUUUCUCCCUCUCUUAUGAUAUUCUGUUUAUACUGUGAUUAUCUAUGUUUGGAGGUUAUUUAUAUAAUUAUUAGAAAAUCCCUGAAUUAUGUCUUGUGUUUAAGUAAUUUUCUCAUACCUCUAUUAGAAUGAAUUUUUAUCGAUUUGUGAUUUUUAUUGAUGUGUUUUGGAUUAAAUUCACAGAUAUUUUUGCAUUGGUUGUUUUAAACUUUAAGGCAUGAGAGAAUCAAGCAUGAUAAGUUUAUUUUCAGAAUUAAAAAUUUUAAGUUGUUUCCCUGAAUUGAGGUAUUAUCUUAAAGUUUUAAAUUUACAAGUUUGACAUCAAAAACCAUGAUUUUUUUGUGAGAUUUUGAGCCUUUAGAGCUUACAUUUUUCUUGCUCAUUUUAUUAUUGGUUAUGAGUGUGUCAAUUUGAUUUAUUAUUCUAGAACUUACUCGAUUAUACAUGUCGAGACCACACCUUUUGAUUUGAUAUACUGAGAUGAUAAAAGCACUUAGGUUUUAACCCACUUAUCCCAUAAAAAGCUUACCUAUAUAAUUAACCCUUAGUGAACCCCGUUGAGCCUAACACACCGUUUCUUGAUUUACCCAUUAAUGUUAACCCAUAACUCUUUUUUUUGUUGACACUUUUUCCUAUUUUAUUGACUCCUUUUUGUGGAGAUUUGAUUUGAUUAGUUGUCUAAUUGUGCUCUUUUGUUUGAUUUGCUAAAUUAUUUCUUAUUGUUCUCAAAAAAACAAAAAGAAGAAAAAAAUAGAAAAAAAUAUAAUAAAAAAAUAUUGAUCAUUAUUUAGUUUUAUGUUGAUUGAGCUUGAACAGUUAAAUUCAUAUUUUGAGAAGAAGCUCAUUUUUAUUCUUGAAUAGUUUUCAAUUGAUGUAAUUAUUUUUUUUAAUUCUGUAUUUGUUUAUUUUUCUAGUUUGGUAAUUUAUCAAUUCGAUCUCAAUUUUAACCAACUUUUUCAGCCUUUUUCCACACCCUUAACCUAAGCCCCAUUACAACCUAUUAAAGACCUUUUGAUUUGUGUAUCAUAUCAUUUUAUAGUGGUGGAGAUUUGAUUUUCAUGCAAGCCUAUGGUAAUGACUUUUCAUGUUUGACUAUUGAGUGCUUAUUAUUGAACCUUAAACACUUUGAGUGAUUUGAGUUAAUCUUUAGUCAGGAUGUCGAUUCUUGUCGAUCUUUAGUGCUCUUUUAAUUGAAUUAUCAAUGUAUGAUUAUUUGUGAAUUAUGACGAAACAUCAUUGAUGAGAAUUAUAAGUUAAGAAAGAUUAAUUUUAAUUGUGAGUUGAGGAUUUUGCUUGAGGACAAGAAAACGUUUAAGUGUGGGGAUAUUUGAGAAGCCUGUAACGCCCCUUACCCGUAUCCAACACUAGAAUAAGAUUACAAGGCAUUACUGAAUAACACAACGCAUUCACAUACAUUUAUGCAACAUUAAUCAAAAUCCAUUCAUAUGAAUCACAUUGUCCCUUAUAAGGUCCUACGAGACCUUAAAACAUGCUUAGAAGUGGUUCGGGACUAAACCGAUAACAUUUGCAAACUUUGGGUAACUUAGAAAAUUUUCAAACAUUUAAGGGUCACAUGCCUGUGUGAACAGACCGUGUUCCUCACACGGCUAUCAGACACGCCCGUGUCACAGGCUGUGUGAAAAUAGGGCAUACAUACUGACUUGCAUCACACGGCCGGAGACACGCCAGUGUGCCAUUGCCGAGGGAAAAUUAGAGAAGUUACUGACUUGGUCACACGGUGGACCACACACCCGUGUGUCAAACUCGUGUACCUUUUGAAAUGGCCACACACGCCCAUGUGCCAAGGCUAUAUGUCUCACACGGCCAAUAGAUACGCCCGUGUGUCUAGGUGAUUGCGUGAUUUCGUGAUAGGUUUUAAAUAUUUAUAAUUAAUCGUUCUUGAAACUAACUAUUAUCACGAUGUAGGCAAGUGUACCUUUCGAAUAGUAGUAUAGUUUUAGCAAGACCGAAUUGUCGAACCCAAAGGAACUAAAAGUACUAGUAAUGACUGUUUUUUUAUUAUCUAGCCUAAGAAUAAGGAGGUUUUGUUUUAAUUGACUAAUUAUCUAAACUAAGAACUCACAGAGAAUAAAAUUGGGGAAUUACUUUUGGGAAAAUCGAUUGAAUUAAGACAACACCUAAGGAAAAAUCCACCUAGACUUUACUUGUUAUUCUGGCUCUGAAUCAGACUAUUUAUUCAUUUAACUUGUUCCGUAGAGAUCCCUAAGUUACGUUAUUAUCCCUAUUCAAGACUAAUAAUGUCUAAUCCCUAGGUUGACUAAUUGAGACCUUUCUAUAAUUAACACCCUAGGGUUGCAUUAACUCGAUCUAUGGAUCCCCUUAUUAGGUUUCACCCUAAUCCGGCAAAAUCUUGUCACCCUAUCUUUAGGCGCGCAAUCAACUCCGCUUAAUUAUGACAAAUAUACUCUUAGACAAGGACUUUUGCUCAUCUGAAUAAGAGCUUAUCUUGAAUCAGUAUCCUGGGAUAUCAAAACAAGAAUUAAGAACACAUAAUUAAGAACAAGUUAAAUAUUUAUCAUACAAUUCAGAAAAUAAUAACAAGAUUCAUCUUAAGUUUCAUUCGCCUUAGGUAUUUAGGGGAUUUAGUUCAUAACUAAAUAAGAAAACAUCUCAGAAUAAUAAAGAAUACAAAACAUAAAGAAAACCCAAAACUUCUAAAGGGGAAAUUGAGGAGAGAUCUUCAGUCUUGAUGGUGAAUCCAGCUUCUGGGAUGGAUCAAUAGGCUUCCUUGGAGUAAUUCCUUCCUUCCUCCCUGUGUGUGUUCAUUUUAUUCCUCCUCUAAGGUGUAUUUAUAGGCUUUGGAAUGCCUACAAUCCCUCAAAAGUGGCCUUUUACGAAUUGGAGUGAACUUGGGCUCGGUAGGGACACACCCGUGUAUGAUUACUUUAGGUCGUGUUCGAGCCUAUUAGAAUGGCACGGGUGUGUGUUCUACCCGUGUGAGUCAUUCUUCGAUUCUGCCAGAUUGACACGGCCGUGUGGGAUGCCUGUGUGAGGAAGUCCAGGCCAUGUUGAUUACGUACUUUGGCCCAUUUUCUCCAUUUUUGGCCCGUUUCUCGUUCCUUUUGCUCUCCUAUGCUGACCUAAGUAUAAAUCCUAAAAUUAAGGCAUUAGGAGCAUCGAAUUCACCAAUUCUAAGGAAAAAUAAUCCAUAAAAUGAGUUAAGCAUGGGGUAAAAAUAUGUAUAAAUUACGGUUUAUCACUAGGCCAUGUCAAAACUGUAGGGUAUACUGCCUUGAUUCGAAAGGGUACCCUAGGGGACACACAGCUGUGUAACAUGACUGUGUGUUGCACACGGCUAAGACACACACCCGUGUCACUACCCGUGUGGACAAAAAUAGGCUAUUUUUAAAGCCAAUUUGCCACCCUCAUCUCAAACACACCUAGCCAUCAAAUGGUAUCAAUUUAACACAUAUACCGGCAACCAAAAUUAUACCAAUUCAGACACAUAUAAUGACAUUUAUUCACAAACAUUUCACCCACUCAAUUCCAUAUUCAAACAUACCAAAUCAUUAUGCCAAAAUCAUCACAACUUAUCUAAUUUCCAAAUGCAUUUAUAUAUCAUUUACUAAUCAACCAAAUAACAACUAUUUGGCUAUAUCAACAACAAUUCCAAACAUACCAAAGUAAGCCAACAUAUAAGGCAUUAUAUAUGUAACACCCCAAACCCGGCCUAGACGUUAUGGCCGAAUCUGGCGCGUCACAUUGAGGUGUUUUAGCCAAAACCUUGUUUUCAUUGAAAACCCUUCCUCCUAUAUGAAACCUUAGUUAACUCAUGAAAACUCUCCUUUCAGUUGCGAAAGCUUUGUCUAAAACAUUUGAUUUAAGAAAACUUAUCAUUUAAAAAUUUGGUUGCGGAAAAGUAGAAUAGCAUGUUAUAAUUUAAGAAACCAUGUUUAACCUCUCAGAAUUACAUCUCAUAAAAGUAUUAACCCAAUAAUAAAAAAUGGAAGCCUUAUUACUAUUUGGACUAAAAAGUACUUAAUAAAACAGAAUCUCGUAUGCUUUUAAAAAACAAAACGCAAGUCCAUGUUGUCUUGCUAGCUGGCCACCCAGAGUCCCUCCAAACAUCGAACCGACUACUGGGUAUCACCUAAAAAUAAAAUAAAAGAGGGGGUGAGUUUUCGCAAACUCAGUGUGUACAACCCUCGACGAGUAACAAGCAUUCAAUAAACACCAUACAUCAAACAUGCAAUACAAUGUAAUGCAAUACGAUCCCAUCCUAAUAAUCCAUCCACUAUGCACCAGCUCCGUCCCCCAACAUAUCAUGUGGCGAUAUAAAUAUCGACCCACCCAACCGAUACACAUCAAUGUAGCCUGGUUGCGGAACUACUUUCAUUCUCAUAUUGGGCUUAAAAGCCGCCGGUGGAUCCACGAUUGUCAAGCAACCAUGCGAUCCUCAUAUACUUCCUCCGUUCCAUAUUUCCCAUCCCAUAUGCAACCGAAGCAGAAGAUCAUAUGUAUUCAGCAGAUAUGCAUGUCAUAUUCAUAAAACUUACAUUCAACACAUAGGGGUAUUUUGGUCAUUUUCGUCCUUAAGGGCAUUUCAGUAAUUUUUCCCUUAUUACGGUUUUCACUUACAUUGGCCCUUUAACAAAUCUCGUGAGCUAAGAUGAAUGAAUACUAUGCACCAGGUAGGACUCCAGAGAAGAGGAGGUGAGUCAUUAAGACCGCUUAAGUGCCAAGCUCCCCCUAAAUCCAAUCCUAUACAUACAUAUACCCGUUGCCACACCUUAACCCUAUGACUUGUCCACGGUCUUAGCAAUUUAAUUAAGUUUUAUGUAGUCAUCAUAUACUAAGCCCAAAACCUCUACAUACAUGCAUAUGGCCCACUAGGCCCAAUCUCAUUUAUAUGGCCCAUUUGGCCCAAUUCACGUUCUUAUGGCCUAUUAGGCGCAAUUCACAUUCAUAUGGCCCAUUAGGCCCAAUCUCAUUUAUAUGGCCCAAAUCACAUUAUAUUCAUGCUCACACAAAAUUUUCUAUCACAUAGCAUCACCUAUCAACUUUUGCCUAUUAUGGCCCAAUAGCCCAUCGGGCCUAUUUAGCCCAUUAUGGCCAAUUUGGCCUAUUCACAACCCAAGUCCAUGGAAUUUCCCAUGGGCCCCAGGCAACCUAUCGAUCUCCCCCUUAUGAGUGUUUGCGCACUCGCAAGACUACCGUAGCCAAACUUUUGACUUUUCGACAUUUCGGCAUUUCGGCAUUUCGGCUUUUGCCGAUCUACUUGUGUGUGCAGUGUAAGUACACACCUGGUAAGCAAGCAUGUUGCGGUUCCCUUAGUCACCAACCUACAAAUGAUAUCACCUUUCCAUUAAUCGUAUGCUUAAUACAUAUUUUACCCCAAAAAAACUGAAACCUUACCUUAACCUUACCUUGAACACCAAUCCCUAAUAGCUUUUCCUUGGUCACGUACUCCUUAAAUUUGCAUUAAUCUUACUCAUUAAACCCAAAGACUAGGGGACUAGCAUCCAACAUAAUUCACCCCCUUAUCUCACUUAAGAUCAUUCAGACAACCUUAGUCAAUAAUAGAGGAAUACUUACCAAAACCGCAAAACACCUAAGGAGCAAUUCGGUAGAGAGUUAAAACCCGAGAUCCGAUACUAAUUUCCUACCAAAGUUGAUUAGAAAGAGUGAGGGAAGAAUAGCGUAACAGAUUCUUAGCAAAACCGAUUGGGAGAACAAACACUUACACUAGAUUUGACCGAAGUAGAAGGAGUAGUAGUUGCACCAAGGGUAGUCAGCCAAAGAGGUGUUCGGCCCUUUAUGAUUUCUGUAUGGCAAAAAAGGGUUAUUUGGCUCUAAGAAAAAAGAAAGAAAAGUCGGGAAUGAAGUAGAGGAAGAAUGGAAAUCGGCACAAGGAAGAGAAAAGAGAAAUAGAGGGUUUUUGACUUUUAGAGAAGAGGGCUUUUGGUAAUAGGGUAAAGGGAAAUUUGUCAUUAGCCUGACAACCUCCCACUCAGCACCUAUUUAUAGUCCCUAUAGCCGAACUCCUCAAGCCCAAGUUCCCAAUUCGGCUCCACUUUCUCCUCCCUUCUCAUCUCCUCAUUUUUCUGUCUGAUAACCCCUUGAUCCUUUCCUCAAAUUUCUCUACUGAACACUCCUCUUGGAGUCCAUCUUCAUGCCACUUCCAACCUUCUAGAAGGCCCAAAAUUAAACUCCUAAAAAUACUAAGCUAGGAUUCGAACCUUGGAUCCCUUGCUAACCACUAACAUCGCCUCCUUACACCCUAAGUGGCGUCACUUAGCCACUCCUCCGCAAGGCUUUUUUAUGCCAUUUUCCCCUAUCUUUAUUUAAAAGCCCAACUACUUGCCAACAAGGUCCUUUUAACUAUUAACGUAUAAUUUUCUUUUCCCCUCAGUUAGAACUUAAACCUUAGCCAAGACCUACUAUUACCUACUUAACCGAAAAUACUUAGCACAUUUUUCAUCAGAACCAAAAAAAAUGAGGAUUUUGAAAUUUUGGGGGCGUUACAACUCUGCCGCCUAAAGGAAAUUUCGUCGAAAUUUUACCUGAUUCAAACAGUUGAGGAUAUUGACGUUGCAUCACUUGCUCAAGUUCCCAAGUAGCCUCCUCAACCUUGUGAUUAUGCCAAAGUACUUUGACUAAUGGAACGGACUUCCUUCUUAAUACCUUGACAUCUCGACCAAUUAUUUGUAUAAGCUCUUCCUCGAAAGUUAGGUCUGGUCUGACCUCAAUUUCUUCAACCGCCACGACAUGUGAAGGAUCUGAGCGAUACCGCCUUAGCAUGGAAACAUGAAACACGUCGUGGAUCUGGCUUAGUUCAGGAGGUAACUCUAGCUGGUAAGUGACUGGCCCAACUCACCUUACAACCCGAAAUGGCCCAAUGAACCUUGGGCUUAGCUUCCCCUUCCGUCCAAACCUUAAUACCUUCUUCCACGGAGAGACCUUAAGAAAAACUAAGUCUUUUACUGCAUACUCUAUAUCACGACGCUUAAGGUCAGCAUACGAUUUCUGUCUAUCCGAGGCCUGCUUCAACCGAUCUCGAAUAAACUUCACUUUAUCCUCAGUAUCUGUUACCAACUCAGGGCCUAAAACUCUUAGUUCGCCCAACUCCGUCCAAUAUGUUGGAGUUCGACACCUUCGCCCAUACAGUACCUCAUAUGAAGCCAUCCUAAUACUUGCUUGAUAGCUAUUAUUGUACGCGAAUUCGGCUAACAGAAAAUAGUCCUCCCAGCUACCUCGAAACUCAAUCACACAUCCCCUCAGCAUAUCCUCCAAUACUUAGAUCACCCUUUUCCACUGUCCAUCAGUUUGAGGGUGGAACGCCGUACUAAGGUUCAACCUAGUACCCAACACCUCAUGUAGCUUCUUCCAAAAUCGCGAAGUGAAACGUGGAUCCCUAUCAGAUAUUAUGGAGAUUGGCACUCUAUGCAGACUUACAAUCUCCGCCACAUAAACCUCGCUAGCUUUUGCAAUGAGUAAUUGGUGCGAACCCGUACAAAAUGGGCAGACUUGGUUAACCGAUCCACUAUAACCCAUAUUGAGUCUUUCCUAGUAGGCGUCAAGGGAAGCACUCUGACAAAGUCUAUAGUGAUCCUUUCCCAUUUCCAGAGCGGAAUCUUCACUGGCUGAAGUAAUCCCGAAGGUAACUAAUGUUCCGUUUUUAUCUUUUGACAGACCAAACACUUACUUACAAACUCCAUAACCUCUCGCUUAAGUCCAGGCCACCAGUAAAGCUCCCGCAAGUUUUGAUCAUCUUAUUUCAGCUAGGGUACAUAGCAUAGAGGCUGCUAUGUGCUUCUCGUAGAAUAGACUGUCUUAGAUCAUUGUCCUUAGGUAUACACAUUCUCCCACAGAAAUACAACACUCCUUCACUAUUUAUCCCAAAGUCUGAUGUCUCCCCAUUCUCUACUUGUUUAAAACGAGCACCCAAAGUCUCAUCCACUAACUACUUACUCCUUAUCUGCUUGACCCACACUGGUUUUACUUGAAGCUCAGCUAACAAGCUACCAUCAUCCAACAAGCUUAAUUGGGCGAGCAUAGCCCUCAAGUCUGACUGAACCUUACGUCUCAACGCGUUGGCUACCACAUUCUCUUUGCCAAGGUGGUAUUCAAUCGUACAAUCAUAAUCCCUCAACAAUUCCACCCACCUACACUGCCUAAGGUUUAGCUCCUUCUGGUUAAGGAGGUACUUCAAACUCUCGUUGUCCGAAUAAAUUAUACACUUCUCCCUGUAUAAGUAAUGCAUCCAUAUAUUUAAUGUGAAAACCAUCGCAGCUAGCUCCAAAUCAUGGGUUGGGUAAUUCACCUCGUGAGUCUUAAGUUACCGUGACGCAUACGCAACCACCUUUCCUUCUUGCAUCAAUACACAUCCUAAUUCCACCCGCGACGCGUCACUAUAAACCGUAAACUCCUUCCCAGGCACUGGCUGAAUCAAUACAAGGGCCUCAGUUAAAACUUUCUUAAGUUUUCAAAAACUCUCCUGCGGCUUGUCCAUCCAAACAAACGGUACCCCCUUCCUCAACAACUUAGUUAAGGGUGAAGCAAUUACUAAAAAGCCCCCAAUAAACUGCCUAUAGUAUCCUACCAAGCCCAGAAAACUUCGAAUUUUCGAUAUUGACUUGGGUGUUUUCUAGUCUAACAGCGCUUCAAUUUUUCGGGGAUCCACCUUAAUCCCUUUGACUGGCACCACAUGUCCUAGAAAAGUAACCUCCCUUAGCCAAAAUUCACACUUUCUAAAUUUGGCAUACAUCUGUUUCUCCCUCAAAGUCUACAACACAAUCCUUAAGUGUGCAUCAUACUCAUCCUCAUCUUUUGAGUACACAAAAAUGUCAUCUAUAAAGACUACCACGAAUCGAUCCAAGUAGGGUUGGAAGACCCGAUUCAUGAGAUCUAUGAAAGUGGCCGGUGCAUUCUUCUACCUGAAUGGCAUCACCAAGAACUCGUAAUGCCCAUAACGAGUCUUGAAAACUGUCUUAUGAACAUCUGUCUCCUUAACCCUCAAUUGGUGAUACCCCGAACGCAAGUCAAUCUUCAAGAAAAUAGAAGCUCCCCUAAACUGAUAAAAAAGAUCAUCAAUUCUCGGUAGAGGGUACUUGUUUUUAACCGUUAAAUUGUUUAGCUAUCGGUAGUCGAUGCACAUUCGCAACAUCCCAUAUUUCUUCUUCAUGAAUAACACCGGGGCUCCCCACGGAGACACACUUGGUCGUAUGAAUCCUUGAUCCAACAAUUCUUGAAUCUGUGCCUUAAGUUCUACCAACUCCUUUGGUGCCAUCCGAUAAGGAGCGAUGGACACUGGAGUCGUACCAGGUAGCAACUCGAUUCCAAAUUCUACUUCUCUGCUGGGUGGCACCCCUGGCAGCUCCUUGAAAAAGACAUCAGGAAAUCUCCUAACUGUUCUCAACUCCUUAAUAGUAGGGAUCUUGGCCUCCGUAUCACUCAUAUAAGCCAAAAAGGAUUUGCAUCCCUUUCGUACUAACUUCUCAUCCUUCAACACUGAAAUCACAUUCGACAAGUAAUUCCGGCGUUCACCAAUCACCACCACCUCCUUAUCCUCCACCAUUCUUAACACCAUUUUCUUUGCAGCGCAAUCCAAGGUGGCUUGGUGCUUCACCAGCUAAUCCAUACUUAAGAUUAUGUCAAAUUCGCUAAAAGAUAGCUUUAUCAAAUCCGCUAAAAAGGUAACCCCUUGGACUACUAAGGGUACCUUUCUAAACAACUUAUUUACUCCUACAGACUGCCCUAACAGACUGAUCAUAGUCAUUUCAUUCGCAGUAAUUUCAAACAUAUCACCCAAAGAUUUAGUCAUAUUGCAUGAAACAUAUGAAUAUGUCGAUCCAAUAUCAAUCAAUGUUGUGUAAGGUAACUCGUAUAUAAAGAACAUACCCGUUAUCAUCUGGGGCAUCCCUGUCUUCUUGGCAACGAGCAGCAUAAACCAAAGCUGGCUGUCUUGCCUCAGAAUGGCCUGCAUUUUCGCCUGGUGCUCCACAUCCACGUCAACUUCUGUUACCGCCCCUGGCCUGCCCAUGACCCCUUGGCGGCAACUGACCACCCCUUGGUGGCUGAGCACCACCUUGACUCACUACUGGCACUCGACCUAGCAUUCGAGGGCAAUCCUUGAUCCUAUGCUACAUAGACCUACAAUCGAAACAAGCCCCCAUUCUCUUCCAACACUCGCUUCUAUAGCUUCUUCCACAAUCAGCACAAGGUGGCACCUCUGGAUUAACAGUAGGAGGCCCUGCUCUAACUGGCCCAUUAACUCUGGCCCUAGCCCUAGGCCUCUGUCCAACACUAGAAGUCUCAGCUUCCCUCUUGUUCUUGCCCCUUUCCUUUUCUCGAUUUAGGCGCUCAAUGCGGUUCACAUCUUCCACUAUCUUUGCUUUCUCCACUAAUUUCGAGAAAAAUCGCUCACUUUGUGGAGCUAUUAAUACCCUGAGGCUAUCUCUUAGCCCAUCCUUAAACUUAACGUAACGCUCAUAGUCCGUUGCCACCAUAACUCUUGCAUACCUACUAAGGCACAGAAAUUUCACCUCAUACUCCACCACAGAUUUGUUUCCCUGGGUCAAGUUCAGGAACUCCUGCCUUUUAGAAUCCACAUAACUCGCUCCUAUAUACUUCCCUUGGAACGUAGCUUUGAAGAAUUCCUGUGACAGCCCUAAAUUGACCCUAGUCAGAAAGUGGUUUCGGGACCCCUAAACUGAGUCACCGAAGUAUUUGAGUUUAAUAUUUAUUGUCUAAAAUAUGUGAAUAUGAGUGUGUGAAAGUUUUAAGCUUCAAUUUAGUCAAUUGCAUGUGAAUUUAGUUAAUAGGACUUAUGUGUGACACUUUUGAAAUGUGAUAGGUUAAUCUAUAAGGAUCUAUUAGUGCAUGUUAUGAAAAUAAUGGGUUUGCAUGUCAAAUUUCCACCUAUGACAAGUAGUGGCCGACCAUGAUGGGUUAUAUACAUGCAAUAUGUAUUAAUUAUUAGUUAGUAGCUUUAUAUUUUAUAACAUAAAUAAAUAAAAAAGGAAAAGUAAUUGAAAUAAGGAAAUGAAGGGUGAUGAAAAAAAAGCUUGAGUUUCUUUCUUCUUGGCCGAAUAUAAAGAGGAAGAUGGGAGAAAGGCAUUCGGUCAUCUUAAAUUAGCAUUAAGCUCAAGCGCUUAGAGGAUCAAAGUUGGAAAAGGGAAAGGAAAAAGUGAUUGAAUAGCCGUUGAAAACGUUCGACAACAUCCGAGGUAAGUUUUCGAGUAAUGAAACUUAGUUUAUGAUUUGAUUAAGUCAUGACAUAUAAGCAUAACAAAUAAACAGUGAUAUAAUGAUUCUACUUGAAUUGUAUAUUGAGGUGAUUAGUUUAUACCUAUGAUGGGUAGCCGAAUGUGUAUAGAGAUCAUGUUAUAAAGCAAAUCAAAAUCAUGCUCUUUGUAUGUGGCUAUUGAGCCGAAAAUGGUAAUGGUUGAUAAGCGUCUUGUGUUUGAAUUCUAGUUAUGAUAAUGAAAUAUGGAUGUGUCAUGGUUUAUUGGUAUAUGUGCUUGAUUAUUCGGAUGAUGUCCGAGCUAAGUCCCGAAGGCAUUUGUGCAAGUUACUAUAUCCGGGCUAAGUCCCGAAGGCAUUUGUGCUAGUGACUAUAUCUGGGCUAAGUCCCGAAGGCAUUCAUGCUAGUGACUAUAUCCGGACUAAGACCCGAAGGCAUUUGCGCAAGUUGCUAUAUCCGGCUAAAUCCCGAAGAUGCUUGGGUUUGGAAGCGAGCGAUCUUGCUAUAAUAAUUUCAAUUAAUACGCUCAUAAAAUACAAACGAUAAGGUAUGUUUCGUAUAUGCAUCGGAAAGGUUGAUUCCUUUCAAAUAGUACUCGCUCAAUUGAUUAACGAGCUUCCGGCCUCUAGUUAGGUUUGAUACCCUGUGUAUGAAUGUAUUGGUUGAAGCGUGAAGAAAUUAUGAUUUUGAGAAUGUGCAUAUAUGAAAUUAUUCAUUUAGUCAUAUGAACGCUAUACUUUAGUCGUAAAUAAUUUCGUUACUCAAAACUUACUAAGCAUUAAAUGCUUAUUCCGUUUCUUUAAUUCUCUGUUUUAUAGAUUUUUGUUCGUCAGCUAUCGGACUCGGGAUUGUCGAAGUCAAAGUCAUCCACACUAUCUAAACCCUUUUGGUAAUCUUUUAAUUAAACGUUGAUAAUGGCAUGUAUAGGACUGACCUUUGUUGUUAAUCAAGUACCUUUGGUAAUGUGUAUAUAUUCGGAUAGCCAUGCGAAAAUGGCUUAAAUAUUUUGAGCAUAGUAUUAAAAUCAUUUUGUAUAUAUAUGGUUAUUGAGAGGUGUGGAAAUUCUUGGCAAUGAUUAGCCAUUGGAAUGGUUAAUCACGAUCAUAUUUGGUGCUAUGUAUGUCAAAUGGCUAGUUGAAUCAUGGAAACUAUGAAAUAGGUGAAAUUUACCUUAAAAUAGAUGCUGACAGCAGCAGUGAUGUGAGUUUGAAAAUUCACUAAAAAUAGAAGGAAUGUAAUUAAAUAAUGAAUAAAUAAUUUAAUCGAACCUUGAUGAGUCUAUUUUCAUAUGGAAGAAGUGAAAUGACUAUAUGAGCCGUAUUUUAUGAGAUGUCUAAGUUUUCGUUAAACAGGGCCAGAACGGUUACUGGAUCCCCUGUUCUGACUUUGAAAAUUUACCAUAAAUUAACCAGAAAUAAUUAGAAGUCAUGCUUUAUAUGUACAGAUUCCUUUUUGAUUCUAGUUUCCUUAGAAACAAACGACAUAUGUAUUGAAGCCCUGUACAGGGAGAUAUCUAAGUCGUAAUACAUGAAGGUCAGAGUAGUCGAACCCUGAAACAGGGGAGAUUUUAACUAAUAAACUGUACUAACUGAACCAAACAAAAAUUCUAGAAAAAAAAAUAUGUAGAUGGAUAUAUGAGUCUAGUUUCAGGGAAAAUUUACGGAAUCAGUUUUCGAGUUUUGGAACUCGAGAUAUGAUUUUUAUACUGACAGUGACGCAGUUAGCCAGCUUGUCUGGAAAUUUUAAAAUGAACUGUGUAAAUAAAUGAAUUAAGUUCGUUAACACCUCGUGUUCGACUCCGGCAACGGUCUCGGGUGCGGGGCGUUACAAUUUUAUUGGUAUCGGAGCUACGGUUUAGUCGAUUCUAGGACUACCGUAAUACGUUCGGGUCUAGCUAUACAUGCGAUCGUGUGUCUAUUUGAUAGUGUGGUGAUUUCUGACAGUUAAAAAUGUGUUUGUUUAUAGUAAUGGAUCCCGAUCCCAACCGAGCGGUAGCUGAUGAUCUUGAGAGUGUAGCGCCUGCUCCUGCACAAGGGACAGCGCCGGUGGACUCUCAACCUAUUGCUAGUAAUCAGAAUGACGAAGCUAGACAGGCUUUUUAUAGCGUAACGAAUGAUUAGUUCAACCAAUACAUUCGAACUAAUACGGCUGUUCCACAACCCCCAUUUUCGACUAAUACAACCCCUGCACCUGCGAUACCUCCGGUAACUGACCAGAUAAGGUUAAAUAAGCCCCCAGUUGAUAGAAUCCGAAAACACGGGGCUACUGAAUUUAAAGCUACAGACAGCGACGAUGCCGAGCAAGCUGAAUUUUGGUUGGACAACACUAUUCGGGUACUUGAUGAACUAUCUUGCACAUCAGAUGAAUGCCUAAAGUGUACGAUCUCCUUGCUACAUGAUUCUGCCUACUAUUGGUGGAAUACGUUGAUUUCUGUUGUGCCCAGAGAGCAAGUAACUUGGGAGUUUUUCCAAACCGAGUUUCGAAAAAAGUAUAUCAGCCAGAGAUUCAUUGAUCAAAAACGAAAAGAAUUUCUUGAACUUAAACAAGGUUCCAUGUCGGUUACUAAUUAUGAACGGAAGUUUGUAAGGCUUAGCCGGUAUGCGCGAGAAUGCAUUUCUUCAGAAGCUGUGAUGUGUAAACGUUUCGAAGAUAGACUGAACGAUGAUAUAAAGCUGUAUGUUGGCAUUUAGAAAUCAGAGAAUUUGUGGUACUUGUCGAGCGAGCUUGCAAAGCCGAAGAGCUCAGUAAGGAGAAAAGAAAAGCUGAUAUGGGAGCAAAGGAGUUUCGUAAGAGAUCUUCGGGAAAGCCCUUUCAACAGUCAUUGAAGAAAUUUAGAGAUGAUUUAGGCCGAUCUAGAGACACGUCGGGCUUUUCUAGACGAGACCGUGAUCGACCCCCUGUGAGUACACGAGUUACUUCGGUCACCAAUGUUGGAAAUGAUCGUCGAGGCAGAACAGAGUGCCAGUAUUGUGGUAAAUGGCAUUCGGGGAGUUGUAGAUUCCAUGACCGCUCCUGUUACAAGUGUGGAUCAAUUGACCACUUUAUUAAAGAUUGCCCGAGAUUGUCUGAACAGAAUGUAAAUCAGAGUGGGAAACCGGGUGCUACUACUGCUCGAGGUAGACCAUCUAAAAAUGCGGGGAAUGCUAGUGGCGGUUAGAGAGGAUCUAGAGAUGUUACCACCAGAUCUGAGGCUCGUGCUCCUGCCAGAGCUUAUGCUAUACGUGCACGCGAGGAUGCUUCUUCGCCUGAUGUUAUUACCGGUACAUUCACUCUCUUUGAUACUAAUGUGAUUGCAUUGAUUGACCCUGGUUCUACUCAUUCUUAUAUAUGUGAGACUUUAGCAUCCAGUAAGACUUUAGCAUCCAGUAAGACUUUACCUGUUGAGUCUACUGAGUUCGUUAUUAGAGUGUCGAAUCCUUUGGGUCAUUGUGUGCUUGUUGAUAAGGUGUGUAAGAAAUGUCCCCUAGUAAUUCGAGGUUCCCGUUUUCCGGCGGACUUGAUGCUUUUACCGUUUGAUGAAUUUGAUGUUAUUCUCGGUUUGGAUUGGUUGACCGUGCAUGAUGCGGUUGUGAAUUGCAAAAGCAAGACUAUUUAUUUGAGGUGUGCAAAUAAUGAGAUAAUCCGAGUUUAGUCUACUGUCUUGAAUGGAUUGCCAACAAUAAUAUCCUCGACGUUAGCUCAAAAAUAUGUGAGAAAGGGGUGUGAAGCGUAUCUUGCAUACGUGCUUGAUAAUGAAAAAUCAUGAAAGAAACUUGAAUCGGUACCAGUGGUUUGUGAAUAUCCGGAUGUUUUUCCUAAAGAAUUACCGGGGUUACCACCUGUUCGGGAGGUAGAGUUUGGCAUCGAACUUGUACCUGGGACUACACCGAUUUCGAUAGCUCCGUAUCGUAUGGCACCAACGGAAUUAAAAGAACUGAAAACUCAGUUGCAAGAGUUGACGGAUAGAGGUUUUGCUCGACCGAGUUUUUCACCUUGGGGUGCACCAGUAUUGUUUGUGAAAAAGAAGGACGGAACCAUGAGGUUGUGCAUCGACUAUUGUCAGCUGAAUAAAGUGACAAUAAAGAAUAAAUAUCCAUUACCGCGUAUUGAUGAUUUGUUUGAUCAACUAAAGGGAGCCUCAGUGUUUUCAAAGAUAGAUUUGAGAUCGGGUUAUUAUCAGUUGCGAAUUCGAGAUUCGGAUAUACCCAAAACUGCUUUCAGAACGAGAUACGGUCACUACGAGUUCUUAGUGAUGCCAUUUGGGCUCACUAAUGCCCUAGCGGUAUUUAUGGAUUUGAUGAAUCGGAUCUUCAGACUGUUUUGGGAUCGGUUUGUAGUUGUGUUUAUUGAUGAUAUUUUGGUCUAUUCGAGAAAUGAAACCGAUCAUGCUGAACACCGGGGUUAGUGUUACAGGUUUUACGGGAUAAGCAGUUAUAUGCUAAGUUCAGUAAAUGUGAGUUCUAGUUGAGAGAAGUUAGCUUUUUGGGACAUGUGGUAUCUGCAUCGGGUAUUCGAGUUGAUCCGAGAAAAAUUUCAGCCAUACUUAACUGGAAGCCCCCGAGAAAUAUUACUGAGGUUCGGAGCUUUUUGGGACUUGCCGGUUACUACAGAUGGUUUGUAAGGGGUUUCUCGACGAUAGCCACACCAAUGACGAAGCUACUUUAGAAAGAUGUUAAGUUCGAAUGGUCAGAAAAAUGUCAGAAAAGUUUCCAUCAAUUAAAAACUUACUUGACUGAAGCUCCAGUGCUAGUGCAGCCUGAAUCAGGCAAAGAGUUUGUCAUUUACAGUGACGCAUCCUUGCUUGGGUUGGGUUGUGUAUUGAUGCAAGAAGGUCGAGUUGUAGCUUAUGCAUCGAGACAAUUGAAGCCACAUGAGAAAAAUUAUCCAACCCAUGAUCUCGAACUAGCUGCCAUCGUAUUCACUUUGAAAAUAUGGCGACAUUACUUAUUUGGUGAGAAGUGUCAUGCAUAUUCGGAUCACAAAAGUCUCAAAUAUUUGAUGACUCAAAGAGACUUGAAUCUGCGACAAAGACGUUGGCUCGAGUUGUUAGAAGAUUAUGAGCUUGUCAUUGACUAUCACCCGGGAAAGGCUAAUGUGGUUGCAGAUGCUUUAAGUCGUAAAUCACUAUUUGCUUUACAAGCGAUGAAUGUACACCUGUCUGUUCUAUCCGACAAUGUGUUAGUAGCAGAAUUAAAGGCCAAACCAUUGUUGAUUCACCAAAUUCGUGAAGCUCAGAAAGUCGAUGAUGAAUUGGUUGCAAAAUGGGCUGAAUGCGUUUCAAAUAUGGAAUCAGAGUUCCAAAUUGAUGAUGACGAUUGUUUGAGGUUCAGAAGUCGUUUGUGUGUUCCAAGAAAUUCAGAACUUAUUUCGAUGAUUCUGAACGAAGCUCAUUGAAGCCGAAUGUCAAUUCACCCGGGGAGUACGAAAAUGUACAACGAUCUGAGACGUCAGUUUUGGUGGCAUGGUAUGAAACGAGACAUUUCUGAUUUUGUUUCGAGGUGUUUAAUAUGUCAACAAGUGAAAGCGGAACAUCAAGUACCUACAGGUUUACUUCAGCCGAUCAUGAUACCUGAAUGGAAAUGGGAUCGAGUCACGAUGGAUUUUGUAUCUGGGUUGCCAUUAUCGGCAAGUAAGAAAGAUGCGAUUUGGGUUGUUGUUGAUAGACUGACUAAGUCGGCUCACUUUAUCCCCGUACGUACGGAUUUUUGAUUGGAUAAACUAGCUGAAUUGUAUGUUUCUCAGAUUGUAAGAUUACACGGGGUACCUAUUUCUAUUGUGUCGGAUAGAGAUCCGAGGUUCACCUCGCGAUUUUGGAAGAAAUUGCAAGAAGCUUUAGGUACCAAGUUGCAUUUUAGCACCGCCUUUCAUCCAUAAACUGAUGGUCAAUCCGAGCGGAUAAUUCAGAUACUUGAGGAUAUGUUGAGAUGUUGCAUCCUUGAGUUUAGUGGUUCAUGGGAGCGGUUUUUACCUUUGAUUGAAUUCGCUUACAACAAUAGUUUUCAAUCAAGUACUAAGAUGGCGCCUUACGAGGCUUUGUAUGGUCGUAAAUGCCGUACACCAUUGUUUUGGACCGAGCUCGGUGAAAGUAAAAUUUUCGGAGUUGAUUUGAUUAAAGAUGCUGAGCAGAAAGUAAAAAUAAUUCGUGAAAGUCUGAAGGCAGCAUCAGAUCGUCAGAAGUCGUACGCGGAUUUAAAACGAAAAGAUAUUGAGUAUCAGGUGGGAGACAAAGUGUUUCUUAAAGUUUUACCUUGGAAAAAGAUACUCAGAUUUGGCUGUAAGGGCAAACUGAGUCCGAGGUUCAUAGGGCCAUAUGAAAUAUCCGAACGAGUUGGCCCAGUGGCAUAUAGAUUGAUUUUACCCCCUGACCUCGAGAAGAUUCACAACGUUUUUCAUGUCUCAAUGCUUCGACGUUACAGAUCUGAUCCUUCGCACAUAAUAAAUCCCUCCGAGGUUGAAAUUCAAGCCGAUAUGAGUUAUGAAGAAGAACUGAUUCGCAUCCUAGCUCGUGAAGUGAAAGAGUUGCGAAACAAGAGGGUUCCGUUAGUAAAGGUGUUAUGGCUCAAACACGGGAUCGAAGAAGCUACUUGGGAAACCGAGAACUCUAUGAAAGAACGAUACCCAAACCUAUUUACCGGUAAGAUUUUCGGGGACGAAAAUUUCUUAAGUGGGGGAGAGUUGUGACAGCCCUAAAUUGACCCUAGUCGGAAAGUGGUUUCGGGACCGCUAAACCGAUUCACCGAAGUAUUUGAGUAUAAUAUUUAUUGUCUAAAAUAUGUGAAUAUGAGUGUGUGAAAGUUUUAAGCUUCGAUUUAGUCAAUUGCAUGUGAAUUUAGUUAAUAGGACUUAUGUGUGACACUUUUGAAAUGUGAUAGGUUAAUCUAUAAGGAUCUAUUAGUGCAUGUUAUGAAAAUAAUGGGUUUGCAUGUCAAAUUUCCACCUAUGACAAGUAGUAGCCGGCCAUGAUGGGUUAUAUACAUGCAAUAUGUAUUAAUUAUUAGUUAGUAGCUUUAUAUUUUAUAACAUAAAUAAAUAAAAAAGGAAAAAGUAAUUGAAAUAAGGAAAUGAAGGGUGAUGAAAAAAAAGCUUGAGUUUCUUUCUUCUUGGCCGAAUGUAAAGAGGAAGAUGGGAGAAAGGCAUUCGGUCAUCUUAAGUUAGCAUUAAGCUCAAGAGCUUAGAGGAUCAAAGUUGGAUAAGGGAAAGGAAAAAGUGAUUGAACAGCCGUUGAAUCGUUCGACAACAUCCGAGGUAAGUUUUCGAGUAAUGAAACUUAGUUUAUGAUUUGAUUAAGUCAUGACAUAUAAGCAUAACAAAUAAACGGUGAUAUAAUGAUUCUAAUUGAAUUGUAUAUUGAGGUGAUUAGUUUAUACCUAUGACGGGUAGCCGAAUGUGUAUAGAGAUCAUGUUAUAAAGAAAAUCAAAAUCAUGCUCUUUGUAUGUGGCUAUUGAGCCGAAAAUGGUAAUGGUUGAUAAGCGUCUUAUGUUUGAAUUCUAGUUAUGAUAAUGAAAUAUGGAUGUGUCAUGGUUUAUUGGUAUAUGUGCUUGAUUAUUCAGAUGAUGUCCGGGCUAAGUCCCGAAGGCAUUUGUGCAAGUUACUAUAUCCGGGCUAAGUCCCGAAGGCAUUUGUGCUAGUGACUAUAUCCAGGCUAAGUCCCGAAGGCAUUCAUGCUAGUGACUAUAUCCGGGCUAAGACCCGAAGGCAUUUGCGCGAGUUGCUAUAUCCGGCUAAAUCCCGAAGAUGCUUGGGUUUGGAAGCGAGCGAUCUUGCUGUAAUAAUUUCAAUUAAUACGCUCAUAAAAUACAAACGAUAAGGUAUGUUUCGUAUAUGCAUCGGAAAGGUUGAUUCCUUUCAAAUAGUACUCGCUCAAUUGAUUAACGAGCUUCCGGCCUCUAGUUAGGUUUGAUACCCUGUGUAUGAAUAUAUUGGUUGAAGCGUGAAGAAAUUAUGAUUUUGAGAAUGUGCAUAUAUGAAAUUAUUCAUUUAGUCAUAUGAACGCUAUACUUUAGUCGUAAAUAAUUUCGUUACUCAAAACUUACUAAGUAUUAAAUGCUUAUUCCGUUUCUUUAAUUCUAUGUUUUAUAGAUUUUUGUUCGUCAGCUAUCGGACUCGAGAUUGUCGAAGUCAAAGUCAUCCACACUAUCUAAGCCCUUUUGGUACUCUUUUAGUUAAACGUUGAUAAUGGCAUGUAUAGGACUGACCUUUGUUGUUAAUCAAGUACCUUUGGUAAUGUGUAUAUAUUCGGAUAGCCAUGCGAAAAUGGCUUAAAUAUUUUGAGCAUAGUAUUAAAAUCAUUUUGUAUAUAUAUGGUUAUUGAGAGGUGUGGAAAUGCUUGGCAAUGAUUAGCCAUUGGAAUGGUUAAUCACGAUCAUAUUUGGUGCUAUGUAUGUCAAAUGGCUAGUUGAAUCAUGGAAACUAUGAAAUAGGUGAAAUUUACCUUAAAAUAGAUGCUGACAGCAGCAGUGAUGUGAGUUUUAAAAUUCACUAAAAAUAGUAGGAAUGUAAUUAAAUAAUUAAUAAAUUAUGUAAUCGAACCUUGAUGAGUCUAUUUUCAUAUGGAAGAAGCGAAAUGACCAUAUGAGCCGUAUUUUAUGAGAUGUCUAAGUUUUCGUGAAACAGGGCUAGAACGGUUACUGGAUCCCCUGUUCUGACUUUGAAAAUUUACCAUAAAUUAACCAGAAAUAAUUAGAAGUCAUUCUUUAUAUGUAAAGAUUCCUUUUUGAGUCUAGUUUCAUUAGAAACAAACGUCAUAUGUAUUGAAGCCCUGUACAGGGAGAUAUCUAAGUCGUAAUGCAUGAAGGUGAGAGUAGUCAAACCCUGAAACAGGGGAUAUUUUAACUAAUAAACUGUACUAAUUGGCCCAACAAAAAAUUCUAGAAAAAAAUCUGUAGAUGGAUACAUGAGUCUAGUUUCAGGGAAAAUUUACAGAAUCAGUUUUCGAGUUUUGGAACUCGAGAUAUGAUUUUUAUGGUGACAGUGAUGCAGUUAGCCAGCUUGUCUGGAAAUUUUAAAAUGAACUGUGUAAAUAAAUGAAUUAAGUUCGUUAACACCUCGUGUUCGACUCCGGCAACGGUCUCGGGUGCGGGGAGUUACAAUUCCCAAGUGACCUGCUCGGGUUGAGUGCCCUCUUUCACUGUCAACCACCACUGGUAAGCUUCUUCCCUAAGCAAUGAGACUGCCCCUUUCAGCUUUUGUUCUGGUGAACAGUCCAAAUCCUCUAUUAUCCUUUCCAUGGCCUCCAACCAAUAUUCCACCACGUUAGGAGCAACACCAGCCACGCCCUUAAAGAUCUCAGCCCCAUUCGAUUGAAGUAGCUCCGGAAUGGACCCCCGAUUUCCAGUGCCAUUAUUGGGCCCAGCGACCCUUUCCAAAAUUCUCAGCAAUACUUGCGACAAUGCAUCUUCUCUCACGGCCUGAUCAUACGAUCUAUUCCCAGCCACAGGUGCGGCCGGAGCCUCUUUUAAUCCAACAUCUGGCAUAUGGCCCAAUGCCGACGAUUUAGCCCUAACACUUCCGCAGCCUCGGCCACGGCCUCUUGCACCUCUUUUAGCACUCAUCGUCAAUUCACGUAUUAUCUGGAUUAGAAAUUUUAUGAAGUUUUAGUUAGUUUAAUAAUUAAACCGAUGUUUUAUGGAAAUAUUUAAAGAGAAGAUUGUUUUCGAAAAGCCUCUACAGUUUCAAGAUCCUACGGGCUUCAGUUUCAUUCUACAUAAUCAUCUAGAGUAGCCCUCUAACUAUCUACUGUAUAACAAUUUAAACAUGUUUAAGAAUAAAAGAACUUACUUGGUGUGACGUCGGAGACUUAGUGUGCCACUCAGCAAGACUUCCCCUUUUCCAAAACAUUGUAAUUCAAUCAGAAAUAUAUAUAUAUUAACACAAAAAGAAAUCAAGUAAUAAGGCCCACUUCACAGCCCGCAUUUUGCAACUUGGGCUCUAAUACCAUUAAAUGUAACACCCCAAACCCGGCCCAGACGCUAUGGCCGAAUCUGGCGCGCCACAUUGAAGUGUUUUAGCCAAAACCUUGUUUUCAUUGAAAACCCUUCCUCCCGAUAUGAAACCUUAGUUAACUCAUGAAAACUCUCCUUUCAGUUGCGAAAGCUUUGUUUAAAACAUUUGAUUUAAGAAAACUUAUCAUUUAAAAAUUUAGUUGCAGAAACGUAGAAUAGCAUGCUAUAAUUUAAGAAACUAUGUUUAACCUCUCAUAAUUACGUUGCAUAAAAGUAAUAACCCAAUAAUAAUAAAAAAUAAGCCAUAUUACAAUCUGGACUGAAAAGUACUUAAUAAAACAGAAUCUCGUAUGCUUUAAAAAAACAAAACGCAAGUCCGUGUUGUUCUUGCUAGCUGGCCACCCAGAGUCCCUCCAAACAUCGAACCAGCUACUGGGUGAAGGGAAAUUCGGCAUUAGCCUGACAACCCACUCAUCACCUAUUUAUAAUCCCUAUAGCCAAAUUCCUCAUGCCCAAGUUCCCAAUUCGGCUCCACUUGCUCUUCCCUUCUCAUCUCCUUGUUUUCUCCCUGAUAACUCCUUGAUCCUUUUCUCAAAUUUCUCUACUGAACACUCCCCUUGGAGUCCAUCUUCACACCACUUCCAACCUUCUUGAAGGCCCAAAAUUAAACUCCUAAAAAUACUAAGCUAGGAUUCGAACCUUGGAUCUGUAAUAUCCUGAUUUUGGGCCUAGUUGGAAUAGUGGUUUCGUGACCAUAAAUCCGAGAUAUAAAUAAUUAUUUUAUAAUUAUUUUAAGGUUUAUGAUAUGAUUGCAUGAUUGUGUGAAAAUUUCGUGAUGAAAUUCUAUGCCUAAAGUGCUUAAACUAAAUGUAACGCCCCCACGCCCGAGACCGUCGCCGGGGUCGAGUAUGAGGUGUUACUAAGCUUAAUUUAACAUAUUUAGAACUUUGGAUUAUUUAUUUCUACAUUCACGGCUUUUAAGCUACUUGCAUCACAGUCACAAGAAAAAUCAUAUCUCGAGUUACAAAACUCGAAAUCAAGAUCCGUAAAUUUUCCUUAAAUCUAAACUCAUAUACCUAUCUACUAAUAUUUUUCUAGAAUUUUUGGUUGGGCCAAUUAGUACAGUUUAUUAGUUAAAGUUACCCCUAUUUCAGGACUUGACUGGUCUGACCUCUGUUUACUACGAACCGCAUUUCUCUCUGUACAAACUCCAUAUAACUAUGAGGUUCAUUUAUACUGAAACUAGACUCAAUAAAUAUUCUGAUAAUAUAAAAUACACUACCUAAUUAUAUAUUUACAAUUUAUGGUGAAUUUCUAAAGUUGGAAUAGGGGAUUCAGAAACUGCUAUGACCCUGUUUCACUAAAAUUCAAAUAUCUUGUAACAUAUAAUUCCUUUACCUGUUUCAUUUGUUUCAUGUGAAACUAGACAUAAUAAGCUUCAAUUUGAUAUGUAGUCCAUCAGCAAGUUCAAUUUCUAUGAUUUUUAGUAAAUUUUUAAACUCGCAUCAGUGUUGCUGCAGUAUUCUAUUUAUGGCAAAUUUCAUCCCUUUUAUUAGUUUUUAUGCACUAAGUAUCUUAAUAAUUUUCCUUAACAUCAAAUAUAAUCUAAACUAACUAUUUUCAUAAUUUAUCAUUAUCAAGCAUUUCCUCAACCAUUCAUGGCCAUAUCAUAAAAUUAUUUACACAAAAUAAAUAUAUUGCUAUACAUGCCAUACUUAAGUUUUACAAGCCAUUUACCCAGAUGAAAGUCCUUUGGAUAGUGUGAUCGAACCUUCGACCCGUCCCGAUUCCCGAGCUGGCUUGUUCAAAACUGUCCAAAGUGUCCAUUUCACAACACUUACCAAAACGUCGCUUGCAUCUUAAGUGUUCUUCCAUUUGAGUAGAAUUUUACCCGUUGAACACAUCGGAAUACAACUCGGAUACACGGAUAAUUUGCACAUAAGUGCCUCAUAUGUAAUCAAGAAAUCAUGUAACCCGCCCCUAAGUGAACUCAGACUCAACUCAACGAGCUCGGGCUUCGCAUCCAUAAGUGAACUCGGACUCAACUCAAUGAGUUCGGAUGCCUAGUUACAUUUCACGAACUCGGACUCAACUCAACGAGUUCGGACAUUCGCAUCCAUAAGUGAACUCGGACUCAACUCAACGAGUUCGGAUGCUCAACCAUCCUAGUGACAUGUCACUUGUAUCCUAAUCUAUUCCUAAGGUUCAAACGGGCUUUUUUCCUCGAUCUCACAUUGCCAUCUUCCAUGGAAUAUCAGAACCGAUACUCGGUAGCAAUUCAUAUUUAUCAAGUAGUAAACAUAAUUUGCAUAUUACUCAACAUUAACCACAAAGCAUAAUAUUUCACGAUAAAAAAAAUCAGCAUAUCAUAUAAUUAACAUCAAUAACUUAAAAAUAACAAUUAUGCUACAUUAUUUACACAUGAACCUACCUCGUAUGCGAAAAUCGCUACUUUUACCAUUUUCGUCCACAACUUGGUAUUUUUCCAUUUUAGCCCGAAUUUCAGUUUUCCUUGCUCUAUCAUUUAAAAUAUAGUCUAAUUAGGACUCACAUUAUUCAAAUUGACCCAAAAUCAUAUUUUGGAAAAAUUACAAUUUUUCCCCUAAACUUUUACAUAUUUACACUUUUGCCCCAAAGCUCGUAAAUUAAACUUCAACCUAUUUUCUUAUGUUUUAUGACAUGCUGAUCAUUUUUCCCUUCUAUGGCAACAUCAAAUUCUCACUCUAACAUGUACUUAUGACUAUUAGGUAUUUUUACCGAUUAAGCCCUUUUGCUAGUUUUCGCUUAAAACCGAGUAGCACAAGUUGUCUAACAUAAUUUAAAACCUCAUAUUCUAUCAUAAAACACCAAAAUACACAAAUUUAACCUAUGGGUAUUUUUCCAAAUAUAAACCCUAGGUUAAAUUAUUGCUAGCAUAAGCUUAAUCGAGCUACUGGGACUCCAAAAACGUAAAAAUCAUUAAAAACGAGGCUAGAACGGACUUACAAUAGAGCUUGGAAGCUUGAAAAACCCUAGCCAUGGUUUCUCCUUGCUAUAUUCGGCCAUGGGGUUGAAGAUGAGCAAAAUUGGCUUUUAAUUUUGUAUUUUAAUUCAUUUUACGCCUAAAUGACCAAAAUGCCCUUACUACUAAACUUUCCAAAAAUUCCAUCCAUGUCCAAUUUAUGUCUAUAGACUUAGAAAUUGGUAAAAUUGCUAUUUAAUACCUCCUAAUUAAUAUUUCAAAACAAUUUCAUACUAGAAACUUCUAGAAUGCAAGUUUUGCAACUUAUUCGAUUUAGUCCCUACUUUCAAUUUAAGCACUUUAGGCAUAGAAUUUCAUCACGAAAUUUUCACACAAUCAUGCAAUCAUAUCAUAAACCUCAAAAUAAUUAUAAAAUAAUUAUUUCUAUCUCGGAUUUAUGGUCACGAAACCACUAUUCCAACUAGGCCCAAAAUUAGGAUAUUACAGGAUCCCUUGCUAGCCACUAACACCGCCUCCCUACACCCUAAGUGGGGUCACUUAGCCACUCCUCUAUGAGGCUUUUUGAUGCCAUUUUCCCUUAUCUUUAUUUAAAAUCCCAACUACUUGCCAACAAGGUCCUUUUAACUAUUAACGCAUAAUUUUCUUUUCCCCUCAGUUCGAACUUAAACCUUAGCCAAGACCUACUAUUACCUACUUAACCGAAAAUACUUAGCACAUUUUUUAUCAGAACCAAAAAAAAAAAGAAAUUUCGGGAUUUCGAGAUUUUUGGGGCGUUACAAUAUACAUUACAUACAUAUCACUUAUCAACAUAUAAAUCACACUAACAUAAAUGGCCAUAUUCCAACAUUUGCAAGCGAAAUCUCAUGGCUAUAAUAACAACUCAAAACAUAACAAAAUGACACUAGCCUAUACAUGCCAUAUAUCAUAUAUACAAAGCUCCAAAAGUACCAAUAAGUAGUCGAUAGUGUGAUGAUUGUUCCCGAUGAUCCUCAAUGUCCGAGCUAGCUUCAAUAAUCUAUAAAACAUGGAAAGAACACACAAAGUAAGCUAUAAAAGCUUAGUAAGCCAUAUACAAAUAAAGCUAUCAGAUGAACAUUUGCAUUUUAAAUUCAAAUUUGUUUAACAUAGUUAAUUUCAUUCAAAUUCACAAACCUUUCCCAUUGGACAUAUAUUCAAUGUCUUAAUCGAGUUCAUCAAAUAUUUCCCCUUUUCAAUACUCGUACGAAUUUUGUACAUACUUGAGUCAUUUAUCUCAUUCACAUAUUCUUUCUCAACUUGAAUUUGCCCAUUGAACCAUUCGGAAUCAUUAAGGAUAUUCGGAAAUCACAUAAGCUCGUACAAUGCCAUAUCCCAGAUAUGGUCUUAAAUGUUAUCACAUAUCGAUGCCACUGUCCCAGACAGGGUCUUACACGAAAUCGAUUAACGAUGUCAAUGUCCCAGACAUGGUAUUAUGGUCACUAAACUAACUAAAAAUUUGACUAAGGAAAGCUCACCUAUCGAACAGUAGUAUAGUUAUGGUGAGAUUAGAAAUAUCGUACCCACAAGGACUAAAAGUACUAGUAAUUACUAUUUUUUUAUUAUCUAGCCUAAGAAUUAAAGGGAUGUUUUAAACUAAGAUUAACUAUUUAAUUAACUAAGAACACGACAGCAAUUAAAAUUGGAAAAUACUUUUAGAAAACCGAUGGAGAAGACAAUACCCAAGGAAAAAUCCACCUAGACUUCACUUAUUACUUUUGAAUUAGAUGAUUCAUUCACUUGACUCAAUCCGUAGAAAUCCCUAGCUUAUGUUAAUAUCUCUCUUGAGACUAAAAACAACUGAUUCUAGGUUGAUUAAUUGAAAUCCCUUUCUAAUUAAAACCCCUAUUAUCGUAUUAACUCGAUCUAUAGACUCCCUUAUUAGAUUUGACUCUAAUCCGACAGAUUUAUGUCGUCUUAUCUCUAGGAUUGCAUGCAAUUCCGCUUAAUUAUGGAAGAUCUACUCUUAAACAGGGACUUUUGCUCCACUGAAUAAGCACAUCAAAACUUGAAUUAAUAUCCUAAAAUAUUAAAGUAAGGAUUAAAACUCAUAAUUAAGAAUAAGACAAGUAUUUAUCAUAUAAUUCAAAUAAUAAUAAGAUCUAUCUUAGGUUUCAUCUCCCUAAGGUAUUUAGGGAGUUUAGUUGAUAACAAUGGGGAAAACAUCUCAAAAUUGGGAAAAUAACAAAACAUAAAAAACCUAAAAACUUCGGUAGAAAUUGAAUGGAGAUCUUCAGUCUUGAAGUAAUUUCUACUUCCGAGCUGAUUCCAAUGGCUGUCUUUGAGUAUUUUCUGCCUUCUACUAUAUGUGUACCCCUUGAUCCUCUUCUUGUGUGUUUAAAUAGACUUUGGAAUGCCCAAAAUAGCCCAAAAUUAGCCUUUUCUGAGUAGAACUAAAAUAGGUCUCGACAGGAACAUGGUCGUGUGGCACGCCCGUGUGAUGGUGCUCAAGCCGUGUGCAAUUCUGAUAUGGUUUUAAGUCAACACGGCCAUGACACACGGGCGUGUAGUCUGCCUGUGUGUCUCACACGUGCGUGUGGAUUACUUGUGUGGAAAUGUCUGGGCCGUGUGCAGCACUGAAAUAAACCUAUUUUGUCCGUUUUUGGCCUUUUUCUUGCACUUUUCUCUUUCCUAUUCUCAUCUAGAUAUAAAACAUGAAAUUAAAGGAUUAGGAGCAUCAAAUUCACUGAAUCUUAUGAUAAAUCAUCCAAAAAUAUGCGAAGCAUGGGAUUAAAAUAUGUUACUUUUGAGGUUUAUCAAAUAUCCCCACACUUAAGCAUUUGCUUGUCCUCACAAUUAAAGUGUAUUCUUCUCAACUUAUAAUUCUUAUAAAAAAUGUGUUUGAAAUAAUCCAUAGAUAAUUAUACACUGAGAAUUCAACUAAAAUAACAUUAAAAAUUUCAAACAAUCCAAGUUGAGCAUUUUAAUCAUAAAAUCAUAGGUACCCCCUUUAUCUAAGUAAUUAUCUUUAAUUCCAAAUCGACAAUGGUUGACAUCCUUACUAAAGAUUCACUCAAAUCACUCAAAGUGUUUUAAGGUUCAAUAAUUAAGCACUCAAUAGUCAAACAUGAAAAGUUAUUACCAUAGGCUUGCAUGAAAAUCAAAUCUCCAUCACUAUAAAUGAGAUGAUACACAAAUCAAAAGGUCUUUAAUAGGGUUGUAAUGGGGCUUGAGUUAAAGGUGUGGAUAAAGGCUGGAAAAAAGGGUUAGAAUCGAGAUUAAUUUAAAUAAUUACCAAACUUAGAAAAAAAAGCUAAUUAUCGAAUUACAAACAAGUGCCAAACUUAUAUCCAAAACUAAUGAAGUGAGCUUUUUCUCCAUAUAAUAACUUUAACUUAUCCAAGCUCUUUAUCAAAAUAUGUAAUUAUAUGAAUAUAAAUAUACAUUUUUUUUAAGAAUAAGACAAUAAUGGAAAGUACAUAAUAAGGAAUAAUUCAGCAACUGAAAUGAACAAACAUAGUUAGGUAAUUAAUCAAAUCAAAUCUCAAUAAAAAGAGAGUCAAUAAAAAGGGAGAAAUUCUUAACGAAUCAAAAAGGGUUAAGUUGUGGGUUAUCAUUAAAGAGAAAUCAAGAAAUGAUGUUUAAGGCUCAAAGGGGCUCACUAAAAGUUAAUUAUGUGGGUGGGCUUUUUAUGGAGUAAGUAGGUCAAAACCUAAGUGCCUUCAUCAUCCUAGUAUAUCAAAUCAAAGGUGUGGUCUCGACAUGUAUAAUCGAUGCAAGUUCUAGAAUAAAAAAUCAGCAUUGACUCACUCAUAACCAUCAACAAAGUGAUCAAGAAAGAUAUAUGCUCUAAAAGGCUCAAAAUCUCACAAAAAUUAUGGGUUUUUGAUGUCAAUCCUGUAAAUUCAAAACUUUAAGAUAUUACCUCAAUUCAAGGAAACAACCUAGCAAUUUUAAUUCUCAAAAUUGCAACUUAUCAUGCUUGAUUCUCUAUUGUCCUCAAGUUUAAAUAAUCAAUGCAUAAUUACCUAUAUUUUAAUCCAAAACAUAUCAAUAAAAAUCAUAAAUCAAUCACAAUUCAUUCUAAUAGUAAUAUGAGAAAAUUAUUUGAGAACAAGAUAUAAUUCAGGGAUUUUCUGAUAAUGAUAAUAUCAUAACCUCCCUACACUUAAGAUGUACAUUGUCCUUAAUGUACAAAGAUAGAUAAUAAAAAUAUAAGCAUAAUAUCAUAAAAGAGGGGGAGAAGCGAAACUGUCCUAAAUUUGGAUGUAGUCCUUGGAAUAGCAAAAGCGGGUUUAUAGACAUUGGAAAUUAUGUGGAUGUGGAACUAGACAGAGGUGAAGGUGGUGGUAGAGGUUGGGUUCCACAAUCACAGCGCCAAGUGAAGAGGUUAUCGCGGUGGUCAGUGUCGUGAUGGCUAUGGUCGUGGUCGAGUAGGACAUGGCAGUUGUGGAAUAUCUUUCCCCAUAGGAUUGUUUAUAUAUUCCUGAGUAGCACCAAUCGACUGAACCUUUUGAAACUACGAUAUCACCAGUAAUAUUUUAGGGAGUUAUAUCAAUGGGGUUGUUAUGGUUAUUCAAAAAGGAACAACCAUAAAAUUAAGGGGUUCAAAAUAUACUAAUAAAAGUCUUUUAGAACAUGAAAAAUGAAAAUAAAAAUAAAAAUAAAAAUAAAAAUAAAAACAGAAGGGAAAGCAAAACAAAGUGAAAAUAAAUGGACUCAAAAGUCUUCAUCGACAGCUGGAUUGUGAGGUGGUGGUGCUAAAGGCGAAAUGUGGAAAUGUUGGCAAAUCUACUGUAGAGUUGCAUCUAUGUGUCGAAUCACUGAGUGCAAUAUUGCUCGAAUUGAUUCAGGUGGUCCAAAAUUUAUGUUAAUGAAGCAGUCGCAUGUACUGGUUUGGGACUCAGCUGUGGAGGAGAACUUGGGUUCUCAUGGAAGAAAGGGAUAUUGUCAGUAAUAUCCUUACGGUCAUCCUGGUUGGUGGCUCGUGCUAAUUGGUAUUGAGGAGGAUCGAACCCACAACGACACUCUAUUAUCCUCAUGUGGAGCAUACUUGAGAUGCCCUAUAGGGACAUCUGACCGAUGAGUGUGAGUGAUGAGGAUUGUGCUAAUGUGUUCAGGAGCCCAAAGUGUCGAGCUAGACGGGUCACGUAAGGGCUGAUGUUGAUGACUCCAUUUCACUGCCGUUCAAUCUGAUGGCGAAAGGUGAGGGCGAUUAAGUAUGCAAGAUCGAAAACGUGCCCUUGCCUCAUGCUCCAUAAGAAGUAUGUGUCGUGAGUGUUAACGACGCUAGUGCUCUCUCGUCGCCCUGUUAAAGUGUGAGCUAAAAGGGCGUGGGGGUAUCGUAAUGCUGGAGAUAGAGUUGAUGCCUUGAAGCGGCUGGGGUCAUAGAUGCUUGUAGCAAGAAUGAGGGCUGCCCAAUAAGAGGAAGGUGCAUAAUGGAUGUGACAGUGGAGAUGGGAAAAUUUGUCAACCUCCAUAAAGUUUUCUGUAUAAAGUCCCAAAGCAACUCCGAAUUCUGGGACACUCAAUUGCCGCACUAGACCUCCAAGACGGAAUUGGACUGUGCCUAGGUCGUCGUAAUCUGUCAUAAUCAUCUGUAACUGAAAUGUCGAACAAAGUUCCAAAGUGAACUCCAGGUAUGUUGGCUCAAUAAUGUCGAAAAAAGGGUCCCAAGGAGCGGUAGCAAGGAGGGCCCAAACUGAGUCAGCAAGGUGGACUUGUUCCAAUGCAGCCCAGUCGAUGCACUGACCCACGCUUAGGGGUCCGGCACGUAGAAUCUGGAACAACUCCUCCCGAGGUCCUAGUGGAAAUUGGAGGAAUGGAUGGCGUAUCUCAGUGGUCGCAGUUGAGGAUGUCGCUCCUUUUCGUUUUGUAGAAACGAGAACUGCGGUUUUGGUCUUUCCAUGUAUUUGUCAUAAUGAGUCUGAAAGAAAAAAUAUUUCAAUAUAAGAAAAAUAGAAACAAACACAACAUCUAAUAACCGCUUCAAGAAGGUUAAAAGUAAAUCAUGUAACAUUUAUUCCUAUAUGCACUAAUGUUAACAAGUGUAAAAACUCAGCAUAGGAAUCGGAACCAAACGAAUUCAAACCAGCCAGUACACCUAAUGGUAAGGAAUAAGCAAGAGAUUUCUAUCAUAUUUAACUAUUAACCAAAUUUAAAACUAUCGAAAGAACCUAUUAUUUAGAAUUAGGAAUCAAAAUAAUAAAAUAAAAAUCAAGUUAUCCUAUGCUAUGAAUGCAAUAACAAUAGUCAUAAAUUUCCAAUAAGAAUGAAUGCUAAAAACUAAGGACAAAAUUAAAAGAAUAAAAUAGAGCAUAAAGGAGUCGAAGAACAUAGGAACCAACUGUAGGUGGUGGUCAGAGGGUUGGCCGUGUGAUGGUGCUUAGUGGUCGGCCAAAGGGGUGGGCGAUGCGAGGGUUGCGGGUCGGAGAGAGAAAAAGGAAAAGAAAGGAAAAGAGGAGGGGAAGAGAAGUAAAACAAGAAGAGGGAUGUGGUGGCUCGGCAGAGAAUGGUGGCCGGAAUAGGGAAGUUGUUGACUAGUGGCUAGCGGGUGAAUAGUGAAAAUGGAGGAUGAAUAGUAGGUUUAAAUAGGGAUGCGGGAUUUUUAGGGUUAGGGUUUCAAUUAAAAAGGGGGCCACGAUCGUGCAGGCCCCGUUUUGGACCACACGGCCGUGGCCCAUGCCCGUGUGUCUCACUCCUAGCCCGUGUUUUUUGUGAAAUUUUAAGUGUAAUCAUUUCGAUCACUCACCUGUACCGACAUCAAUAAUAGUCCUAGCAGUUGCUAAAAAGGGUUGUCCUAAAGUUAAAGGAAUGUCACUAUUCUCAUCCAUGUCUAAAACAACAAUGUCUACUGGAAAUAUAUAUUUGUCGAUUUUAACAAGCAUAUAUUCAAUUAUACCCUAGCAAAUCUAAUGGUUUUAUCAGCCAAUUGAACGCUCAUCCUAGUUUGUUUGGGUUUCCCAAGACUUAGCUGUCUAAACAUUUUAUGAGGCAUAACAUUAAUACUUGCCCCUAAAUUAGAUAAAGCAUUGUUAACAUUCAAACUACCAAUUAAACAAGGUAUCGUAAAACUCCCUGGAUCUUUCAAUUUGUUAGGUAGCUUGUUUUGAAAAAUAGCUAAGCAAACUGCAUUUAACUCCACAUGCGAUAACUCAUCUAACAUCUGUUUUUUUUACUAAAAUCUCUUUUAAAAAUUUAACUGCGUUUGGCAUCUGUGAAAGAGCUUCAAUAAACAGUAGGUUAAUAUGUAAUUUUUUAAGUAGUUUAAGGAAUUUACCAAAUUGUUCAUCUGUGUGGUCUUUCCUUGUCGCAUUGGGGUAUGGCACACGAGGUCUAUAUUCUUUGCUUACCGGCUUUUGUGUAUCAUGACUCACCUCAACCUUACCAUUGCUUACCAUAGCUUCUUGCCUCGUUUCAGAUUUAGGUUCAGCUAACCCUUCUUUGUCCUGUACAGUGAUGGCAUGGAGUUGCUCCCUUAGGUUAGUUUCUGUAUUACUGGGCAAGCCACCUUGCGGUCUUUCAGAGAUCAACUUAGCAAGCUGACCUAUUUGAGUUUCAAGCCCUUAAAUUGAUGCUUGUUGAUUUUUAAGUGCUAUCUCGGUAUUCCAAAAAUGAGUUUCUGACACCGAGAUAAAUUUUAUUAGCAUCUCCUCAAGGUUCAGCUUUUUCUCCUGUUGGUAAGGUGGUUGUUGAUAACCUGGAGGGUGUUGUGGCCUUUGAUUCCCUUGACCACCCCACGAGAAAUUGGGAUGGUUCCUCCAACCUGCAUUGUAAGUGUUACUAUAAGGGUUAUUCUGAGGUCUAGAAUUAUUCGGUGCUGGGGUUGAAGGAUGGAUAGUCUGUGUUAUGCAUCCUUCCUCCAUUUGAAUCACACCUCAUCAGUGGAUGUACCUAAGUAGAAUCAUACAAACCAUCAAUCUUUUUAUUCAAUAGUUCUACCUGGUUAGAUAGCUUAGUGGCCGUGUCAAGAUUGAAAACACCAGCUGCUUUUGUCGGCUUUGUUCUUAUGACUUGCCACUGAUAGUUGUUUAGUGACAUCUCUUUAAUAAAUUUGUAAGCCUCUUCAGGUGUUUUGUUGUUCAAGGUUCCAUCGGCAGCAACAUCAAUCAGUUGCCUUAUUGAAGGGUUCACACCAUUGUAGAAGGUCUGAACCUGUAACCAUAAAGGUAACCUAUGGUGAGGGCACCUUCUCAAUAAAUCCUUGUAUCUCUCCCAUGCAUCAUAAAGUGUUUCUAAAUCCAUCUGCACAAAAGAAGAGAUAUCAUUCCUCAAUUUAGCCAUUUUAGCCUGUGGAAAAUAUUUAAGCAAAAAUUUUUCAGUCAUUUGUUCCCAAGUAGUGAUUGAACAUCGUGGUAACAAGUUUAAAAACUGUUUAGCCUUAUUCCGCAAUGAAAAGGGAAACAACUAAAGGUGAAUGGCAUCGUUAAAAAUGACAUAGAUCUUAAAAGUGUCGCAGAAUUUUAGAAAAUCUGCUAAAUGAGUGUUUGGAUCCUCGUCCUGCAAACCAUCAAACUGAAAAAACUGUUGUAUCAUUUGAAUCGUGUUAGGUUUCAGUUCAAAAUUAUUUGCAGAAACAAUAGGUCUAACUAUACUCGAUUCAGUUCCUAUUUAAUUGGGCUUAGCAUAGUCGUACACAGUACAAGGAGCAGGAUUCUGAUUCACUGGAUUUGCGACAGCCACAGGAGGCAGCGGAUUAUUUUGAUUUUCAGCCAUCUCCUCAGUGUUAUUGGUGUCCUCCUCGUGCUCUUCCUCUAUAUACCAUAGACUUCGCCUUAUCUCUCUAUAAUUUCUACGAGCUGUGCUUUCAAUUUUUCUGUCAAAAAGCAGAGGUCCUGACGGGUUUCUUCUAGUCAUAAACUAUAAAAACCUGCCAAAAGAAAAUAAAAGAAAAAUUAGUAAUUAAAAUAAAAACAAAAUUAAAUUGCAAUAAAAAUAAAAAUGGCUAAAGUAAUAAAAAUUAAGUGUUCCUAAUAUCUUAGUUCCCGGCAACGGCGCCAAAAACUUGAUGGUCACUAAACUAACUAAAAAUUCAACUAAGGUAAGCACACCUAUCGAACAGUAGUAUAGUUAUGGUGAGACCGAAAAUAUCGUAUCCGCAAGGACUAAAAGUACUAGUAAUUACUAUCUUUUUAUUAUCUAGUCUAAGAUUUAAAGGGAUGUUUUUAAACUAAGAUUAACAAUUCAAUUAACUAAGAACACGACAACGAUUAAAAUUGGAAAAUACUUUUGGAAAACCGAUGGAGAAGACAAUACCCAAGGAAGAAUCCACCUAGACUUCACUUAUUACUUCUGAAUUAGAUCAUUUAUUCACUUGACUUAAUCCGUAGAAAUUCCUAGCUUAUGUUAAUAUCUCUCUCUAGACUAAAAACAACUAACUCUAGGUUGAUAAAUCGAAAUCUCUUUCUAAUUAAAACCCUUAUUGUUGCAUUAACCCGAUCUAUGGACUCCCUUAUUAGAUUUGACUCUAAUCCGGCAGAUUUAUGUCAUCCUAUCUCUAGGAUUGCAUGCAACUCCGCUUAAUUAUGGAAGAUCUACUCUUAAACAGGAACUUUUGGUCUAUUGAAUAAGCACAUCAAAACCUAAAUUAAUAUCUUGGAAUGUUAAAGCAAUGAUUAAAACCCAUAAUUAAGAAUAAGACAAGUAUUUAUCAUAUAAUUCAAAUAAUAAUAAGAUUUAUCUUAGGUUUCACCUCCCUUAGGUAUUUAGGGAGUUUAGUUCAUAACGAUAGGGGAAAACAUCUCAAAAUUGGGAAAAUAAGAAAACAUAAGAAACCUAAAAAUUUCGGUAGAAAUUGAAUGGAGAUCUUCAGUCUUAAAGUAAUUCCUGCUUCCGAGCUUAUUCCGAUGGCUGUCUUCAAGUAUUUUCUGCCUUCUACUAUAUGUGUACCCCUUGAUCCUCUUUUCGUGUGUUUAAAUAGACUUUGGAAUGCCCAAAAUAGCUCAAAAUUAGCCCGUGUGAUGGUGCUCAAGCAGUGUGCAAUACUGAUAUGGUUUUAAGUACACAUGGGCAGACACACGGGCCUGUAGUCUGCCCAUGUGUCUCACACGGGCGUGUGGAUUACCCGUGUGGAAGUGUCUGGGCUGUGUACAGCACUGAAAUAAACCUAGUUUGUCUGUUUUUGGCCUUUUUCUUGCACUUUUCACUUUCUUAUGCUCAUCUGGAUAUAAAACAUGAAAUUAAAGGAUUAGGAUUAAAUUUAAAAUUAGGCAUAAAUUGAGUAGAAAUUUAAUUAAUUAUUUAAAUUAAUGUUGUAAUUAAUAAUGUAAGUUGUUAUUAUUAUUUUUAUUUUCGUAGCGAAUAAGGAAAACGAGGCAUCGACAUCCAAAGGAAAAGAAAAGAUCGUUGAGGAGUAAACUCGUUUUCCAGGUUUGUAUUACUAUAACUCAAACUAUUUAUUAAUUUGUAUAUUGAAUUUAUAGGUAUGGAAUAAUUAAGGUAAGGUAAGUAUUAUAUUUGAAAUUAAAUAUGAGUAUGUGUGAAAAUUAAUUUGUAUAUGAAUUAAGAUAAUAGAUGUUUGAAUUGAUUGAGUAUUGAAAAUUUUUGUGGAAAUGAAAUUGAAAUUGGAAAAGUAAAAUAAUACCCUAUUAACUUGUCAGAUUAGAUUUGAUACAAAAGGCAUGCCAUUGGAUUUGUGAUGUGAUGAGGAGAUUUGUAGUUCGGCCGAGAAGAUGUUUCUGUUAUUAUAUACUUCGGUUUAUCCGAAGAGGUAUUUAAUGCCUUGUUGGUGUGUUUGGGAAGAUAUGAUAUACUGGUGUGUUUGGGAAGAUAUGAUAUACUGGUGUGUUUGGGAGGCUAUAUUAUACUGGUGUGUUAUGUAGGAUUUAUAAUAUUCCAGGUGUGUUUAGCCUGGAUAUUCUGGUGUGUUUGGGUGAAAUCCGCAUAUCUGUCAGAGUCCGAGCCUUGUUAAUAGGGUAAAUAAUUGAAAUGAAAUUUUGAAAAUGAGAUUAAUUGUUUUGGCACUAUUGAAAAGUAUAAGAAAGAAAGUAUGAGUUAAAUUAUGAUUUGAGUUAGUAUGUGAAAAAUGAUAUAUGAAUUUAAGAGUUAUGAGGUAAUAUAAUUAUAUAUAAUUAGUUUAAAUGAUUAUAAAGUUUAUGGUUGAUGUUUGUAAUUUAUUAAUGUUAAAUAGUUUUGAUUUAUAGUAAUACCACUGAGUAUGAAAUACUCAGCGUACGGUUGUUUUCGUGCGCAGGUCAUUAGAGUUUCGGAUCCGGUCCAGCAUCCAAAACAAACCCGACUCCGACAAGAAAAUUUUGGUGACGUAUUUCUUCUUUUUGUUUAAGUGGCAUGUAUUAGGUGGUUGUAAAUGAGUUAUAUAUAUAGGUUAAAUGAUCUUGUUGUAAUUAGAUAGUUAUGCAAUUUUGAGGUUUAUCAUCUUACAUGUAAUCUUAAUAAAAUGCCAAUGUCCCAUACAUGGUCUUACAUGUAAUCACAUCUCGAUAACCAAAUGUCACAACAUUCGUAUCCUAUACAAUUCUUGAGGUUCGCAUGAGACUUUCGGAUGUCGUAACUCUGUUGAUUCUUACCCGUUCAAAAUUCAUUGCAAUUUAAUCAUAAUAAAACAUAUAUAAUUUAAUGUAAAGACGUUUAUUUGCAUAUGAAUUUACCUUGUGUUCGGAAUAAACGGACGGAAUUGACUAUUCGUCAACUUUCGAUUUUCCCCGAUCUAAAUCCAUUUUCUUUCAUUCUUGAUUUAUAUACAUUCAAAAUUAACUCUUUUAUUCAUCAACACAUUCAUGUCCACAAACACAUAUUUGGACAUUUUUUCACUUUAGCCCUUAAAGUUCCACACUUAUUCAAUUUAGUUCUUCUUUCACAAAAACACAAAAUUCAAUAUGACCCAUGCUUAGCUGAAUUUUCUAUAGCUUCAUAACAGCCCAUAUUUUCAUUUAUUUCACACUUUUAACCACAACAUUUCACAUUUUCUCAAUUUAAUCCCUUUUGUACAAUUUCACUAAAAAUCACUUUACAAAACAUGAUAAUCAAUCAACAAAUACUCAUUUUCCAUCAUCAAACAUUCAAGAGCUCAAGGACCCAUCAAUGGCAUUUCACAAAAUCAUCAUCAAUUUCAAAAAUUAGGGCAUGGGCUAGCUAGUACUCAAAGCAACGAUCACAAAUACAUAAAAAUCAUAAAAAACGGAACAAAAAUCACAUACCAAUUGAGCCUUGCAAGUGCCGAACCCUAACAAGCUUCCAACCUCCCUUAUUUUCGAUGAUAUUCGAUCACCAAGAGAAAGAUGAACACAAAUUAUGAAUUUUUGUUUUUUUUAUUAACCUUUAUUAUUCAAAUUACAAGUUUAACCUUAAUGAAAUAACAUAGAAUUUUAUAAUACAUGUCCAUAAUGGUCCACUUAACCUAUUAGUGGUAUAAUAACAUCAUAAGGUCCUUUCUUUUAAUAAGCCAUGGCAAUUAAGCACUUUUAACAUAUAGAAUGCAACUUUUGCGUUUUACGUGAUUAAGUCAUUUUCUCAAAUUGAGCUAUUAAACGAUAAAAUUAACUUACGAAAUUUUUACACAUAUUUAAUCAAAUGCUGUAAACACAAAAAAUAAUAUUAAAAUAAUUUUACGACCUCGAAUUUGUAGUUCCGAAACCACUAUUCUGAUUUAGCUAAAACCAGGCUGUUACAACUCUUCCCUUUAGGUAUUUUCAUCCCCGAAAAUCUUACCAGUGAAUAGGUUUGGAUAUUGCCUUCUCAUAGCAUUCUCGGGAUCCCACGUAGCUUCUUCUACCCAGUGUCGAUGCCAUAACACUUUUACUAAUGCUAUUCUUUUAUUUCUCAGCUCUUUGAUCUCACGAGCUAAAAUUUGGAUCAGUUCUUCACUGUACGAUAAAUCUAAUUGGAUCUCAACUUUGAUCGAGGAAAUAACAUGCGAAGGACCAGAUCUGUACCUUCGUAGCAUUGAUACAUGAAACACGUUAUGAAUCUUUUCUAACUCAGAUGGAAAUGCUAGCUGAUAAGCGACUAGUCCAACUAGCUCGAUAAUCUCAUACGGCCCGAUGAAUCUCGAACUCAAUUUGCUUUUACGACUGAAUCGAAGUAUUUUCUUCCAGGACAACACUUUUAAAAACACUCUAUCCCCGAUUUGAAACUUAACAUCUUUUCUUUUCAAGUCUACGUAUGAUUUCUGACGAUCUAACACUACUUUCAAAUUUUCACGAAUUACUUUCACUUUUUCUUCUGUUUCUUUAAUCAGAUCAACACCGUGAAUCUUAUACUCGUUUAGUUCAGUCCAGUACAAAGGUAUUCGACAUUUUCGACCGUAUAAGGCUUCGUACGAUGCCAUUUUAAUACUAGAUUAAAAGCUAUUAUUAUAUGCAAAUUCAAUCAACGGCAAAUACUUUUCCCACGUACCUUCAAACUUUAGAGUACAACAUCUCAACAUAUCCUUGAGUAUCUGAAUAACCGUCUGCGAGUGAAAUGUGAUACUAAAAUGUAAUUUUGUACCUAGUGUAUCUUGUAAUUUCUUCCAAAACCUCAAUGUAAACCUCGGAUUUCUAUCUGAAACAUUAGAAAUAGGUACUCUGUGUAAUCUCAAAACCUCAGAGAUAUACAAUUCAGCUAACUUUUCAAGUGAAUAGUCUGUUCGUACUAGAAUGAAAUGAGCUGAACUAUAACCUAGAUCACAUCUUUCUUUCUCAGAGAUAAGGGAAAUCCCGACACAAAAUCCAUAGUCACUCUAUCCCAUUUCCACUUGGAAAUCAUAAUCGACUAUAAUAAACAAGACGGUACCUGAUGCUCAGCUUUAACUUGCUGACAAAUUAAACAUCUAGAAAUGAACUCUCAAAUGUCAUGUUUCAUACCAUGCCACCAAUAGAUUUGCUUCAAAUAGUUAUACAUUUUCGUACUUUCCGGAUGAACAGAUAAAUGACUACUAUGUGCUUCGUUCAAAAUCAUCUGAAUCAACUCAGAAUUUCUCAGAACACAUAUUCGGCCUUUAAAUCUUAAACAAUCAUUGGAAUCAACUUGCAACUUUGAAUCAGGGUUCAAAUCACAUUAAGCUCUUUUAACUAACAAUUCAUUAUCGACUUUUUGAACUUCACUAAUCUGCUAUAAAAACAACGGUCUCGCUUUCAACUCAGCUAUAAUCAAGCCAUCAUUAGAUACAACCAACUGAGUAUUCAUUGCACGUAGAGCAAAUAAAGAUUUCUGGCUUAAAGCAUCAGCAACAACAUUUGCUUUUCUUGGAUGAUAGUCAAUCACUAACUCGUAAUCUUUUAACAAUUCAAGCCAUCUCCGCUGUCGCACAUUCAAAUUUUUCUGAGUUAUCAGAUAUUUUAAACUCUUGUGAUUUGAAUAAACAUGACAUUUCUCACCAAACAAAUAAUGACGCCAGAUCUUCAAUUCAAAUACAAUGGCUGCUAACUCUAAAUCAUGCGUCAGGUAAUUCUUUUCACGUGGCUUCGACUGUCUCCAGGCAUAAGCUAUGACUUUGCCUUCUUUCAUCAAAACACAACCCAGGCCAUUCAAUGAUGCAUCACUAUAGAUCACAAAUUCUCUACCUAAUUCUGGCUUUACUAACACUGGAGCUUCAGUCAAAAGAGCUUUCAACUGAUUAAAACUUUUCUGACAUUUCUCAGACCAUUCAUACUUUACAUCUUUCUGAAGCAAUCUCAUCAACAGAGUCGCAAUCAUCGAAAAGCCUUUUAUAAACCGUUGGUAAUAGCCAGCUAGUCGUAGAAAAUUACGGACUUCAGAUACAUUUCUCGGAGGCUUCCAAUCCAUAAAAGUAGAAAUCUUGCCUAGAUCAACUCGAAUACCGAUGCUGACACAAUAUGCCCUAAAAAACAACCUCACACAACCAGAAUUCACAUUUAUUGAACUUUGUAUAUAACUGUUUAUCACGCAGAGUCUGCAAUACAAUUCUAAAAUGCUUGGCAUGCUCAGUCUCAUCUCUUAAAUAGAUCAAAAUAUCACAGUUAGAAAAUUCAGUUCAUUAAGUCCAUAAAGAUAGCAGGUGCAUUUGUUAAUCCAAAAGGCAUAACUAAAAAUUCAUAGUGACCAUACCUCAUUCUAAAUGCAAUCUUUGGCACAUCAGAGUCUCUAACUCGCAACUGAUAAUAGCCCAAUCUCAAAUCUAUCUUUGAAAACACUGUAGCCCUUUUCAAUUGGUCAAAAAAAUCAUUGAUUCGUGGUAGAGGAUAUUUGGUCUUGAUCAUCACUUUGUUAAGCUUUCGGUAGUCUAUAUACAUUCUCAUCGUGCCAUCUUUCUUUUUCACAAACAACAUAGGAACACCCCACGGCGAGAAACUCGAUCGUGUAAAUCCUCUAUCAGUUAAUUCUUGCAAUUGAGAUUUUAAUUCUUUUAACUCUGUCAGAGCCAUUCUAUAUAGAGCUAUCGAUAUUCGGAAUUGUACUCGGCACUAAGUCAAUGCUAAAAUCAACCUUUCGUAUUGGUGGUAAUCCUAUUAAUUCUUCAAGAAACACAUCCAGAUAUUUACACACAACUGGCAUAGAUUCAAUCUUCUUUUCAGUCACUUUCGUAUCAAGCACAUAAGCCAAGUAAGCUUCACAACCCUUUCUCACAUAUUUCUGAGCUAACAUAGAUGAAAUCACUACUGGAAAACCAUUCAGAUCAUCUGACUCAAUCUGGAUAAUUUUAUUAUCCUGACAUCUCAAAUCAAUCAUCUUUCGUUUGCAAUUCAUAACAACAUCAUGCAGCAUUAACCAAUCCAUACCCAAAAUUAUAUCAAAUUUGUCAAAUGGUAAAAACAUUAGAUCAGCCGGAAAAAAAAAUCCCAAAUCAUCAAUGGACAGUUCUUGCACACUUUAUCAACCAACACGUACUUGCCUAAAGGGUUUGAUACUCUAAUUACAAAUUUAGUAGACUCUACAGGCAAAGUCUUAUUGGAUACUAAAUUCACACAUAUAUACAAAUGAGUUUAUCCUGGAUCUAUCAAUGCAAUAACUUUAGUAUCAUAGAGAGUAAAAGUACCAGUAAUGACGUAUGGAGAUGACGCUUCUUCGCGAGCGAGAAUAGCGUAGGCUCGUACAGGUGCUCUAGCAUUAGAUCUCACAGUAAUGCCUCAUGUCUCCCUCUAACUACCGUGUUACUUGGUCUCGUACUCUAAACAUUAUCUUUUUUAGCUAACUCUGGGCAAUCUCUAAUAAAAUGAUCUAAUGAUCCAUAUUUAAAACAAGCCUAAUCAUUCGAUCUACAAUCACCGAAAUGUCAUUUCCCACACUGUCUACAUUCGAGUCAGUUUUGUAUCACACUGCCAACACUAGCUAUCGAAGUAGCUGGAGCACUGAAGCUCGACUAUUGUCUUACUCGAUCUUUAUUUGAAUGUCCCACCAAUGCAAUAGAAUGAUUAAACGAGUCCUAAAAUUUCUUCGAUGCAGACUGAUAAGACUUACUAGUUGAUCUUUUUCUAGAAUGUCUUGCUUCAAAGUCAGCUUUUCUCUUUUCUGUGCUGAGAUCUUCGGCUUUACAAGCCCUUUCAACUAAAACAACGAAUUCUUUAAUUUCUAGAAUCCCAACUAAUAGCUUUAUAUCUUCAUUCAGUCCAUCAACGAAUCGUUUACACAUGAUCUCUUUGGUAGAAACAUAUUCCCAAUCAUAUUUGCUCAAUCACACAAAUUCUCUUUCGUACUCAGUCACAGUCAUUCGACCCUGUUUCAAUUCUAGAAACUCUUUAUGCUUCUUAUCAAAUAAUUGCUGACUUAUAUAUUUCUUUCGGAAUUCAGAUUGAAAGAACUCCCAAGUAAUCCAUUCUCUAGGAACCACUUAUUAAGGUUUUCCACUAAUGAUAUGCAUUAUCUCUUAGCAAUGAUGCAACGCAUUUGAUACAUUCUUCCGGAGUAUAGGACAAUUCAUUAAAUAUUCUUAUCAUGUUCUCGAGCCAAAACUUAACUCUCUUAGCAUCAUCAUCAACUGUAGCCUGAAACUCUUCAGCCCCGUGUUUCUGAAUCUUAUCCUUUGGUGGCUUACUCAAUUGAAUCAGAUCUAUCACCUGUGGCACAAUUGGGAUUUACUGAGGAACAGGUGGGGUGGAGGUUGUUGAGCAGCUAGAUUUGUUUGUAAGAACUUCGUGAACUACUCACUCAUCAUUUGGAAGAAGGCUUGCUUAGCCUCUCCCCAUUGGCUACUUGAAAUAGGCCUAGAAUCGGCUGGAACUACCCCUUAAGUGGGAGCAGGCUCAUUACUUUCCACAUCAUUAGCUCGAUCGAGAUCCAUUUGCUAUAAAAAACACAUUUUUAACUGUCAGGAAUCAUCACACUAUCGCAGUUUAUAUAUAUGGCAUGUAUAGCUAGACUCCAACACGCUACGUUAGUCCUAGAAUCACUAAAUCAUAGCUCUGAUACCAAUUAAAUGUAACACCCCUAACUCGUAUCUGACACUAGAAUAGAGUUACGAGGCAUUACCGAAUAACACACCUCAUUCACAUACAUUUAUGCAAUCAUAAUCAAAAUCUAUUCAUAUGAAUCACAUUGUCCCUUUAAGGUCCUACGAGACCUUAAAACAUGCUUAGAAGUGGUUCGGGACUAAACCAAUAACAUUUACAAACUUUGGAUAACUUAGAAAAUUUUCAAACAUUUAAGGGUCACACACCCAUGUGAACAGGCCGUGUGCCUCACAUGGCUAUCAGACACACCUGUCUCAUAGGCCAUGUGAAAACAGGGCAUACAAUACUGACUUGCAUCACACGGCCGGAGACACGCCCGUGUGUCAUUUCCAUGGGAAAUUUAGAGAGGUUACUAACUUGGCCACAUUAUUGACCACACGCCCGUGUGUCGAACCUGUGUACCUUUUGAAAAGACCACACACACCUAUGUGCCAAGGCUGUGUGUCUCACACGGCCAAUAGACACGCCCGUGUGUCUAGGCCAUGUCAAAAAGGCAGGGUAUACUACCUUAAUUAGAAAGGGUACCUCAGGGGACACAUGGCUGUGUAACAUGACCGUGUGUCGCAUACGGCUGAGACACACACCCGUGUCUCUGCCCGUAUGGACAAAAAUAGGCUAUUUGCAAAGCCAAUUUGCCACCCUCAUCUCAAACACACCUAGCCAUCAAAUGGUAUCAAUUUAACACAUAUAUGGGCAACCAAUAACAUACCAACUCAUAAACAUAUCAUGACAUCUAUUCACAAACAUUUCAACCACUCAAUUCCAUAUUCAAACAUACAAAUCAUUAUGCCAAAAUCAUUAAACUUAUCUAAUUUCCAAAUGCAUUUAUACAUCAUCUACUAAUCAACCAAAUAACAACUAUUUGGCUAUAUCAACAACUAUGACAAACAUAUCAACAACUAUAUCAAUAACUAUUUAUACAUCAUCAGGACUUCGAUAUAUAAAGAAACUUUAUUUUGGAAAUCAAUGGCAUGUAUAAGCUAAUAAAGUAAAUGAUUCUGUGAAAUGAAUGUAAGGUCAGCCAAUGGUAUGGCUAACAAAUCUUGGUUUUGAUUUGUGAUGAGGUUAUCUUAUAAAUACGCAUGAAUUUAUCUUGAAAAUAUGUUGAAUUGGUUUGGUUGAUCUGGAUUGGUCUCGAUUUAAUAUUACAUGAAAGGUUAGAUAUUUAUAAAGGGGCUAUAUUAAAUAUAAAAAUAAAUAAAUAAAUAAAAUAAUUCGUAAACUCCUGUAAUGCCUCGUACCCUAUUCUGGCAAUGAGUACAGGUAAGGGGUAUUACAUCUACCUAAUUAGAGAGCAUGGUGACCGAAUCGACAUUAUAAACACUGGCUACUUUCAUUGGCUUUGUCCUCAUGACUUGCCACUGAUAGUUAUUAAGUGAUAUCUAUAAACUCAUAAGCAUCUUUAGGUGUUUUAUUAUUGAUGGUUCUGUCAGUAACUGCGUCAACCAUUUGCCGAGUCGAAGGAUUUAGGCCAUUAUGGAACGUUUGGACCUAUAGCCAAAGCGGUAGCCUAUGGUGAGGGCACCUUCUCAAAAGUUCCUUGUAUCUCUCCCAUGCAUCGUAGAGUUUUUCUAAAUCCAUCUGUACAAAAGAAGAGAUAUCAUUAUAUAAUUUAGCCGUUUUAGCCGGCGGAAAAUAUUUUAAAAGAAAUUUUUCGAUCAUUUGUUCCCAAGUAGUGAUUAACCCUCGUGGUAAUGAGUUCAACCACUGUUUAGCUUUGUUUCUCAAUGAAAAGGGAAACAACUGAAGACGUGUGGCAUCAUCAGAAAUGCCACUGAUUUUAAAUGUAUCGCAUAGUUCCAAAAUUUUCGCUAAGUGAGCGUUAGGAUCUUCAUCCUGCAAACCAUCAAACUAAAUAAACUGUUGUAUCAAUUGAAUUGUGUUAGGUUUCAGUUCAAAAGAGUUCAAAAGUAUUUGUAGCUACAGUAGGUCUAAGUAUGCUUGAUUCAGUUCCUGUUAAAGAAGGUUUAGCAUAAUCGUACAUAGUGUGUGGAGCAGGGUUUUGAUUAACCGCAAUUGCAGGAGGUAGCUGAUUGCCUUAGUUUUCAGCUAUCUCUUUGGUUGGGGGUUGAGUAUCGUCCUCUUUCUCGUUCUCUGUGUAUCUUAUGCUUCGCCUUAUUUCUCUUUGGUUUCUGUGAACUGUGCGAUCAAUUUCUUCGUAAAAAAGUAGUGGUCCUGACAGGUUUCUUCUAGUCAUAAACUAUAAAAACUUGCAAAGAGAAAGAAAAAAUAAAUUAAUAAAUAAUAAAAUAAAAUUAAUUUGCAAGAAAAAUAAAUGGCUAAAGUAAUAAAAAUUGAGCGUUCCUAAUAUCUUAGUUCCUUUGCAACAGCGCCAAAAACUUGAUCGCGUGAUUUCGUGAUAGGUUUUAAAUAUUUAUAAUUAAUCGUUCUUGAAACUAACUAUUAUCGCGAUGUAGGCAAGUGUACCUAUCAAACAGUAGUAUAGUUUUAGCAAGAACAGAUUGUCGAAUCCAAAGGAACUAAAAGUACUAGUAAUGACUAUUUUUUUUAUUAUCUAGCCUAAGAAUAAGGAGGUUUUGUUUUAACUAACCAAUUAUCUAAACUAAGAACUCACAGAGAAUAAAAUUGGGGAAUUACUUUUGGGAAAAUCAAUUGAAUUAAGACAAUACCUAAGGAAAAAUCCACCUAGACUUUACUUGUUAUUCUGGCUCCAAAUCGGACGAUUUAUUCAUUUAACUUGUUCCAUAGAGAUCCCUAAGUUAUGUUAUUAUCCCUAUUCAAGACUAAUAAUGUCUAAUCCCUAGGUUGAAUAAUUGAGACCUUUCUCUAAUUAACAUGCUAGGGUUGCAUUAACUCGAUCUAUGAAUCCUCUGAUUAGGUUUUACCCUAAUCUGGCAAAAUCUUGUCACCCUAUCUCUAGGCAUGCAAUCAACUUCGCUUAAUUAUGACAAAUGUACUCUUAGACAGGGACUUUUGCUCCUCUAAAUAAGAGCUUGUCUUGAAUCAGUAUCCUGGGAUAUCAAAACAAGAAUUAAGAACACAUAAUUAAGAACAAGUUAAAUAUUUAUCAUACAAUUCUGAAAAUAAUAACAAGAUUCGUCUUGGGUUUCAUUCCUCUUAGGUAUUUAGGGGAUUUUGUUCAUAACUAAAUAAGAAAACAUCUCAGAAUAAUAAAGAAUACAAAACAUAAAGAAAACCCAAAACUCUUAAAGGGGAAAUUGAGGAGAGAUCUUCAGUCUUGAUGGUGAAUCUGGCUUCUGGGAUGGAUCAAUUGGCUUCCUUGGAGUAAUUCCUUCCUUCCUCCCUAUGUGUGUCCAUUUUAUUCCUCCUCUAGGGUGUAUUUAUAGGCUUUGGAAUGCCUACAAGCCCUCAAAAGUGGCCUUUUCUGAAUUGGACUCAACUUGGGCUCGGCAGUGACAUGCCCGUGUACGACUAUUUCAGGCCGUGUUUGAGCCUGUUAGAAUGGCACGGGCGUGUGUUCUACCCGUGUGAGUCGUGCUUCAAUUCUGCCAGAUUGACACGACCAUGUGGGAUGCCCGUGUGAGGAAGUCCAAGCCGUGUUGAUUUCGUACUUUGGCCUAUUUUCUCCAUUUCUCGUUCCUUUCGCUCUCCUAUGCUCACCUAAGUAUAAAUCCUAAAAUUAAAGCAUUUGGAGCAUCAAAUUCACCAAUUCUAAGGAAAAAUCAUCCAUAAAAUGCGUUAAACAUGGGGUAAAAAUAUGUAUAAAUUACGGUUUAUCAUAGAACUAUUAUUGAUGUUGGUACAGGUGAACUCACACUUCGUGUGGAGGAUGAAACAAUCACUCUUCAAGAUCAAAAUUUUACUAAUACUGAUCAUGUGGUGCAACUUUUUUUUGCAGGAAACACGUUCGAAGAGUAUACAGGAACCUUGUUCAAGUAACAACAAAGGACCCAUCUAUAAAGAACGAAGGCUACAAAUCGAGGCAUUAGAUGAAUGGGGAACACAGAAACCGAGAACAGACGAUAAACAAAACCACGCCAUGACAGGCUCAAUGUUUCACCAAAUCAAUUUAAGGUUGGAGACAAAGUACUAUUAGAUGCAGCAGACCCUCGUAUUGCCACUUCUGAACCUAAUGGAGCAAUCCCUCUUAUGGUACUUAGCAUUUUUUCAUAUGGUACAGUCGAAGUAAUUCAUCCCAAAUUUGGCACUUUUAAGGAAAAUAUUACUCGUCUAAAACCUUAUUUUGAUGAGAUUAAUAGCAGGAAGGAGGAGUGUAAACUCCUCGCACCACCAUGACGACGCAACAAGAGAGGAAAGUCGAGCUUAGACUCUAAAUAAACGCUUCUUGAGAGGCAACCUGAGUACUAACAAUGUCGAUUUCUUUACAUUUUUGUUUUUAACAUCUAAAUCAUUAACUGAGUCCUUAAACGCAGGUUUUCCAAAUCCACAUGGAAAGGCACACGGGUGUGCCUUCGGCAGUGUGCAACCACAGGAGGCGACAUGGUAGUGCGUUACGGCCAUGGGAGAACAGAGCAAAAUUUUUUCCCAACACGGGAUUCAAUACAUUGCCACUGCCGUGCGGCAUGGCCAUGGGCAAUUCUGUCAAAUCAACACGGGCGUGCGACACGCCCGUGUUUAUAAACCAUGGUCAAAACUACCAAAUUAACACUGGCGUGCGACACGCCUGUGCCCACUAGUCGUGGUCGAUACUGUCAAAAUAACACGGGUGUGCGUAUAUAUACACAGGUGUGGGAGAAGCAAACGAAGCAGGACACGUGUCACAGAAGCAGGACACGGCCAUGCGACACGACUGUGUGCACCAGCACACCCAAGGAACACGGGCGUGGGCCGAAUUUCAGACGUGGCCAAAUUUGAAAAUCACGAAAUGCACAGGCUAAAAUAAGGGCACACGAGCAUGACCCAUGGCAGUGUGCCCCAAUAUCUAUAUAAAUGCCUCACUAUUCAUCAUCCCCUUCCUCAAAAACCCUAACCCUAGCCGUCGCAAUCUUCUUGCCUCACCAACCGGCCACCCCCUAACUCUCCUUUCUUCUUCCAUUUUCUUCCUCCUCAUACCUCAUUUCCCUUUUCUUUUCCAUUUUCUCAUUUUUUUCACCCUUACGAGCCCCAUUGCAAACCACACGGCCUCACUACCCACGCCCGUGGCUGACCCACACCCCUACCAUCAUGCCGUCGCUCCUUCGGCCACAAGUCCUCCACUAACGAUUUUCUCUUCUUUUUUAUUCCCUUUUGAUGCUUACUAUCAUGAUUUUAUUACUUACAUUUUGUUGCUAAUUGGUUAUCAUAAUAUUCUCAUCCUUAGGAUCUAUUUCAUCCAUCUUGUGUUGAAUUUAGUCAUGAUAUUACUAUGUCAUUUGCCAUAAAAUUUCUGUCAUCAAGUUAGAUUGCUUUUGGUUGAGUCUUGUUAGUGUCAUUAGUUUGGUUGGAUUUGUUAGUUUAACGAUAUUCAUGGUUAAUUCAUGAAUUUGUUAGAAUAUGUUAUUUUCGUCGUUAUUCUUACAGAUACACCAUGUCAAACCCACGAGGGAAAAAGACUAUCAUCCCCGCCUCGAAGAAGCGAAAAGGACCAGCAUCCUCCUUGGGUCCUACCACCGAAAUCCUGCACCCAUUCCUACAGUUUCCCCUGAGACCUCAGGAGGAACUCUUUCAGAUACUACGGGCCCGACCCCUAGGUGUGGGCUGUUGCAUUGAUUGGGUUGCACUCGAGCAGAUCCAACUCACUGAUGCUAUCCGGGCCCUCAGACUACUGACCCGUGGGGCCUUUUCUUCGAGAUCAUCGAGCCGACGUACCUCGAGCUCACACUCGAACUCUGCUCGACCUUCCACCUUCAAGUUGUUGUGACAGAGUUUGAUGAUCCUGGAAUGAUCCAGUUCUGUCUCGGCAUUUUAGUUUGCCAGCUGAGUGUGUAACACCCCGAACCCGAGACCGUCACUGGAGUCGAACACGAGGUGUUAACAGACUUUAAACCACUUAUAAAAAAAUUUCCCAGACACUGCCAAUCUGCGUACUAGUCGCUUAAAAAAAUCAUAUCUUGAGUUCAGAAACUUGGAAUCCAGUUCUGUAAAUUUUCCCCGAAACUAGACUCAUAUGUCCAUCUACAUAUUUUUUUCUAUAAUUUUUGGUUGGGCCAAUUAGUACAGGUUAUUAGUCAAAAUCUCCCAUGUUACAGGGAUUGACUACACUGACCUUUGCGCAUUACGACUUGGAUAUCUCCCUGUACAGGGCUUCAAUACUGAUGUCGUUUGUUUCUAUAGAAACUAGACUCAAAGAGGAAUCUAUUCAUAUAUGGCAUGACUCCUAAUUAUCUCUGGUUAAUUUAUAAUGAAUUUCCAAAAUCGAAACAGGGAAUCCAGAAACCGUUCUGGCCCUGUCUUACGAGAACCUGAAUAUCUCUUAACAUACUGUCCAUAUGAUUGUUUCGUUACUUUCCUAUGAAAAUAGAUUCAUCAAGGUUCGUUUACAUAAUUUAUUCACUAUUUAAUUCCAUUCCUAAUAUUUUUAGUGAUUUUCCAAAUCUACAUCACUGCUGCUGUCAGCAUCUGCCUUUAAGGUAGACUUUACCUAUUUCAUAGUUUCCAUGAUUCAACUAGCCCUUUUAGCAUAAAUAGCACAAUUUAUGAUAGUGAUUAACCAUUCCCAUGGCCAAUCCUUGAUAAGCAUAUCCACACCUCUCAAUAACCAUAUCCAUACCAAAUGAUUAUAACAUUAUACUCAAACAUAUAUAAGCCAUUUUCGCAUGGCUAUCCAAAAUUAUACAAGUCCAAAGGGUCCAUGACCCACAACAAAAAGGGUAGUCCUAUACAUGCCAUUUCGAAGUUCAACCAAAAUUGUACCAAAAGGGGGGGCUUUGAUAGUGUGGGCGACUUCGACUUCAAAAUCCCGAGUCCGAUAGCUGGAGAACCAAAAUCUAUAAAACAGAGAAUCAAGGAGACGGAGUAAGCAAUUUAUGCUUAGUAAGUUUUGAGCAAGGGAUUCCAGCACAACAAAAGUAUAGCAUUCAUGUAGCUAAACGGAUAAUUUCAUAUGCACAAUUUUUCAAUAUCAUACUUACUUCACAUUACCAACCUUUUUAUUCAUACACAAAGAUCAACUUAGCCAAAGGCCGGUAGCUCAUUUAUCAACUGAGCGACUACUUAUUUGUAAGGGCUCAACUAAUUCAAAGCACAUACGAAACAUACCUCAAUGUUGGGAUGUUUCAAGCGUAUUAACUGAAAUUUUUACAGCAAGAUCAUUCAUUCCCAAAUCACGUACCUUCAGAAUUUAACCGGAUAUAGCUACUCGUUCAAAUGCCUUCGGGACAUAGCCCGGUUAUAGUAACUCGCACAAAUGCCUUCGGGACUUAACCCGGAUUUAGUAACUCGGACAAAUGCCUUCGGGACUUAACCCGGAUUUAGUAACUCGCACAAAUGCCUUCGGAUCUUAGUCCGGAUAUGGUCACUUAGCACAAAGCCUUCGGGACUUAGCCCAGACAUCAUUCAAAUAACCAUGCACAUUUAGCAAUAAAUCAUGGCACAUUCGUAUUUCAUUUUCGUUAGCAAAACUCAAACACAAGACACUUAUCAUUCUUGCAAUUUCGGCUCAAUAGCCACACAAAGAGCAUGAUUUUAAUUUGCUUAAAACAUGAUCUAAUCAAAUCAUAAUUUAAGCUCUUUUACUCAAGAACUUACCUCGGAUGUUGUCGAACGAUUCCGAUAGCUAUUCGACCACUUUUUCCUUCCCUUUAUCGGAUUUAGUUCCCCUUUGCUCUUGAGCUUAAUUAAACAAAUAAAUUGAUUUAAUCAUUUGAGCAUCGAAAAGAGGAACACAAGGCACUUAGCCCAUAUUUAUACAUUAGACAUUAAAGUCACAUAUGUACGGAAUCAUGAAUCAAACUCAACAUUUUGGCUAAUUUUCCCCCUUGGCCGAACUUUCUAAGCCAAGACAAAAGCAUCAAUAUGCUUGCCUCUAACCGAAUACAUGCAACACCAAUCUCCUUCCUAUGGCCGAAUAUGCAUGUCUAUGUUGGGGCCGAUUGCAACACUUAAUACAUUCUACAAGUAUGGUCACUUAUAUUGACUAAACACCAUUUUGUUUCAAGUUCAAAACUUGGCUAAUACACACAUAUAUACACUAGUGAAGCAUCCUCUCCCUUUCCAUCAAUUUAACACAUGCAUUACUCAUUAAUAUACAAAAAUUAUAUUCGGCCUUAGCACACAACUUGCUAGCCGAUUCUUCUCCAUCUAGCAACCAAUGCACAUAUGUGCUCACUCAAAAAUGCUAAAAAGAAGAUUCAGGAAUCAUCAAUCCACCAUCACAUGCAUCAUUAACAAGCUUCAUAUUUAGCAUGCAAUGGCAUUAACACAAAAUCCACCUAGGCCGAAUAUCAUCCCCAUGACAUAGCAAAGAUUUGAACCAUGGGCUAAUUAGAACUCAAGCUAGCAACUAAAAAAAAACAUGCAUGAAUCUCAUGGCACAACCUCAAACAUACCUUGAUCUAGAUACAAGUAUGGCCAAACCUCCUCCUAAUCCUCUUCCAAACCAAACAUGAAACAAGAACUCCUUCCUCCUUCCUUAAAAUUUUAGGCCAAAAGAAGAUGAAAAAGGAUGAACAAAAUUUUUCUUUUCUUUUCUUUUACUCACGGCAAUGGGGGGGGAACAACCACAUACUUUUUUUUUUGUUUUCAUCAUAUUCCCUUUCAUUAUUUUAUGCCCAUGCUCCUUAUUUUAUCAUACUUCCCAUGACACACUAACUCAACAUGUUUAUGACAUGUUCUUGCCCAUCACACUUGGUCUACCAUGCUUGUCAUGGCCGGCCACUACUAAUUAGGGGGGAAUUUGACAUGCAAGUCCCCCCUUUUUAUUUCAUGCACUAAUAGGUCCUUAUGCUUUGACCUAUCACAUUUCAAAAUUUUCUCACAUAAGUCCUAUUUACUAAAAUUCACCUACAAUUAAACAAAAUUCAAACACGAAAUUUUCACACAUGCACAUGUACAUAUAAUGAGCAUCAAUUAUGACGGUUAAUUAUUUUUAUGACUCGGUUUAGCGGUCUCGAAACCACUUCCCGACUAGGGUCAAUUUUAGGCUGUCACAGAGUGUGCCUGAGUUCGGAGUCGCGUUAGGACUAUACACGGAGGAGUUCAUGGACGACGAUGACUUCGCCAGCCUCUAUCGCCAUAUCCACUACUUUCCUUCUAACUGUUGGAGGGCCCUCGUCCCUGCUUCGGCCACCUAUGACCCUAGUCGCUCCAAGGCAUCGACUCUUGCCCCAUCCUUGAGAUACCUACACGCCAUCCUAGCCCACACCCUGACAAGACGACGAGAGAGCACCGGUGACAUCAACACUAACGACGCCUAUUUUUUAUGGAGCAUGGAGCAUGGGCACGUAUUUGACCUCACUAUUUCGUUUCCCUCGCCAUUCGCCAUCAGGCGGAGCGGCAUAGGAAGGGAGUCAUUUUCAUCGGCCCUUAUGUGACUUGCCUGGCACGAUACUUCGGUCUCCUCAACACGGCGACGUAAGCAUCCUCCCUCACCCUCAUUGGUUAGAUAUCCCCACAGGGCAUCUCAAGUAUGCUGCAUAUGAGGAUAUUCGAGUGACGACAUGGAUUUGAUCCUCCCCAGUACCGCCUCAUCUAGUCAGCCGAGUAGGAGGACCCAGAGGACAUUGCCGAUGAUGUCCUUCCACCUCACGAGGAUCCAGCCUCUCAGGCACCACCUAUUCAUCAUCCAGUUCAUGCGGCGGCUUCACUCUCUGACAUCUCUGAGCGCCUCACUCGAUUUGAGCAGCAAUGUUUUUAGCGCUUUGAUCACAUUGAUGCAACUAUACAUAAGAUAUGUCAGCACCUUCACAUCUCAUCGCCGCCCCCACCUCGCGAACCAUCUAGCGAUAAAGAUGUUUAAAGACUUUUAUUUAUUAUUUUUAUGUUUUUACUUUUAUCUUUUUAAAACAACUUUUUAUUUUAUUUUUCUUUAAUUUUAUUUUUUACUACAUCCUUAGGUUUUAUAAUUUAUAUUAAACAAUUUAUAUUUUCAGCCAUUUCUUUAUGAGUAAUCAUGCUAUUUUAUAUUUCCUAAAGAAUUAUUGAUUUUAUCGUAGUUAUAAAGAGCUCCAAAGCUCACUAUUACUUAGGAAUUUGCAACUCCACUGGAAAAGGUUCUCCAUGACUGCCAUGUCCUACUCGACCACGACCAUAGCUACCACUAGAAUAUUCUUUUGGCGCAGGACUUGUGGACUAACGAACCUCUACCACCACCGGAGUAUCCUCCUCCAAUCUUACAUUUGCCUUAACCGACUACUCUCUAUGAAUCUAAUUCAAGGAUUCCAUUUAACAUUCAGGAAGUUUCACUCCUCUCCCUAUCUUGUGAUCUUAUAUCUAUAUUUUUCAGUAAAUCUAUCUUUGUACAUUGAGGACAAUGUACAUCUUAAGUUUGGGGGGGUUAUUUAUAUCAUUAUCAGAAAAAUCCCUGAAUUUUGUCUUGUUCUUAAAUAAUCUUCUCAUAUCAUUAUUAAAAUGAAUUUUGAUUAAUUUAUGAUUUUUAUUGAUAUGUCUUGAAUUAAAACAUAGGCAUUUAUGCAUUAAUUGUUAAACUUUAAGGAAUUAGAGAAUCAAGCAUGAUAAGUUGAUUUUUGAAAAUUAAAAAUUUUAGGUUGUUUCCCCAAGUUUAGGUAUUAUCUUGAGUUGAAAUUCACAGGUUAAACAUAAAAAACCCAUAAUUUUUGUGAGAUCUUGAGCCUUUAAAGCAUAUAUUAUUUCUUUCAUGCUCACUUUUAUUGUUGCUUUGAGUGCGUCAAUAUCAAAUUAUUACUCUAGAACUUGCUUGAUUAUGUAUGUCAAGACCAAACCUUUUGAAUUGAUAUGUCAAGAUGAUAAAGGCACUUAAGUUUAACCCACUCACUCCAUAAAAGCCUACCUUUAUAAUUAACCCUUAGUGAACCCCCUCUAGCUUAACAAGCCAUUCAUUGAUUUACCCUCAAUACUAACCCAUAAACCAUUAUUGUUGAAAUCCCCUCAUUUAAUUUAAUCCUUAUUUUUGUCGAGAUUUGAUUUGAAUAAAUUACUUAGCUAUGUUUUAGUUUUAGCAAAAUUCUAUGUUAAUUUGAUUUGUUCUUAAAAAAAUUAUGUAAUGCUUAGAUUAAAAUGAUGUUAUCCAUGAAGAAAAGUUCAAUUAGGAAUGUAAUUUGUUAGUUGUAUUAAUUUUUCUAGCUAGGUAAUUUUUCAAUUCAAUUUCGAUUCUAACCUUCUUUGUUAGCUUAUGACCACACCCCCUAACCAAAGCCAUUUACAACCCUCUAAAGACCUUUUGAUUGAUGUAUCUUCUAAUAUAUAGUGGUGGAGAGUUGAUUUUCACGUAAGCCUAUGGUAAUAACUUUUCAUAUUGACUAAUGAGUGCUUCAUUUGUUUUCCUUAAACACUUCGAGUGAUUUGAGUGAAUUGGUAGUGAGGAUGUUGAAUUCUGUUAUAUUUUGAAUCAAAGGUGAUUACUUAGAUGAGGGGAGACGCCUAAUGUUUUCAUGAUAAAAUGCUCAACUUGGAAUGUUUGAAAAUUUGAUAUUCUUCUAAUCGAAUUCUCAAUGUAUGAUUACUUAUGGUUUAUUUUGAGAUAUUAUUGAUAGGAAUUAUAAAUUGAGAAAAAUGAAAUAUUAAUUGUGAGUUGAGGAUUUUGCUUGAGGACAAGCAAACGCUUAAGUGUGGAGGUAUUUGAUAAAUCGUAAUUUAUACAUAUUUUUAUCCCAUGCUUAGCACAUUUAUGGAUGAUUUCUCCUUAGAUUUGGUGAAUUCGAUGAUCCUAAUCCUUUAAUUUCAUGUUUUAUACUUAGGUGAGCAUAGGAAAGUAAAAAGAGUGAGAAACGGGCCAAAAAUGGAAAAAAUGGGCCAACGUGGGAAAUCAACAUGGCCUGGACUUCCUUACACGGGUAGACCACACAUCCGUGUCUAUUCAAUAGACUCGAACACUGGUUGAAGCACUUGUACAUGGGCGUGUCACACGGGCGUGUCCCUGUCAAGCCCAAAUCUAGUCCUAUUCAGAAAAGGCCACUCUUGAGGGUUUUGAAGCAUUCUAAAGCCUAUAUAAACACCCCAAGACAUACCUAGAAAGGACACAUGGAGUAGGAGGCAAGGAAUUACUCGAAGGAAGCUGAUUGAUCCAUCUCAGAAGCCGGAUUCUCCUUCAAGACUGAAGAUCUCCCUUCAAUUUCCUUCGGGAUUUUUGGGUUUCUUUAUGUUUUGUUAUCAUUAUUCUUCUGAGAUGUUUUCUUUUACAUAUAUGAACUAAAUCCCCUAAAUACCUAAAGGAAAUGAAACCUAAGGCGGAUCUUGUUAUUAUUUUCUGAAUUGUAUGAUAAAUAUUUGACUUGUUCUUAAUUAUGAGUUCUUAAUUCUUUCUUUAAUAUUGCAGGAUAUUGAUUCAAGUAUUGAUGUGCUUAUUCAGAGGAGCAAAAGUCCCUAUCUAAUAGUAGAUCUAGCAUAAUUAAGCGGAGUUGAUUGCACCCCUAGACAUAAGGCGACAUAAUUUUGCCGGAUUAGGGUAAAACCUAAUAAGGGAAUCCAUAGAUCGAGUUAAUGCAACACUAGGGGUUUUAAUUAGAAAGAGAUUUCAAUUAAUCAACCUAGGGUUAGACAUUGUUAGUCUCGAGAGAGAUAAUAAUAUAACUUAGGGAUUUCCACGGAUCAAGUCAAGUGAAUAUAUCGUCUGAUUCAGAGUCAAAUAACAAGUGAAGUCUAAGUGGAUUUUCCUUUGGGUAUUGUCCAAAUCAAUUAAUUUUUCCCAAAAGUUAUUUCCCCAAUUUUCUUCCUAUGUAUUCUUAGUUUAGUUAAUUAAUUUAGAUAAAACAAACCCCUUUAUUUUUAGGCUAGAUAAUAAAAAGAGAGUUAAUACUAGUACUUUUAGUUCCUGUGGUUCAACAUUCCGGUCUUGCUAUAAACUAUACUACUGUUCGAUAGGUGCGCUUGCCUUUAUCGUGAUAAUAGUUAGAUUUCAAGUACGAUCAAUCAUAAAUUUAAAACUUAUCGUGAUUUGCUUCAAUGAAAAACCUUCUCAAUCCCCCAAUCCUGGAGACAUUUCUCAAGGGCUUGACCAAUGCUCUCAUCUCUAUGAGUAGAAAUUAGGAAAAAUUUUAUAAUUAUCUUUUGUAACUUCCACUCAUUAUCUAUCCAAUGAGAUAUUAGAACCAUGUAAGACAUCCUUUGCAAUGACGUCCAAGUGUUUGUCAUCAAACAAAUUCUACUUACCUCUUUUUAAAAAGAUUGUUUUAAUGUAUUCUUCAUGGAAUUAAACAAAUCAAGACAACAUUUUCUAAUUGUCCAAUGAGAUGGAAGAUGAAACAUUGGGCAUGCUAUAGAAAUAAAUAACUUAAAACCCUCCCCUUCCACAAAUAUAAAAAGUAAUUCAUCCACAAUGAUCUUAUGAAUUAAUCCAUUUCUAAUAUCAUCUUGGUUAAAUACCCAAGUUGACAAAUCUACAUUUUCUUGGCUAGAUUUUGUAAAUGCAAGUUUUUUUUGCUUAAUAUCAGAGAUAUUACCUUGGAGUUUUCUUGAGCAAAUCUUGUAACACCCCAAACCUGGCCUAGGUGUUAUGGUCGAAUCUGGAGAAGAGCUAUAGAACACCAAAGAAAUGUAAUCGUGAAACUAAGAGUGACAAGUGGCAUUGAAAAUAAAAGAAGAAUAAGCCAAGAUUUUGCCAAAAAGGGAAAAGAACGUCAAAAGAAAACUAAAGAAAAUGUUUUUAGGGGAUAAAAACAAAAAUAAAAUGGGCAUGAUGGCAUAUCCCUAACUUUCCUCUGAUUUCUAGCUAAAUCGAGACUCUCCUAAACAACCAAGAAAAAAAAAAUUAAGUACCCACACUCGCGCAGAGAUUCGAACACAAGACCUCCAACACACCAAUACCUUUACCACUCGAACCAGCAGGCUCAUUCUGAUAUGGUACUACAAUCAAUUUAAUAUAAGCCUAUUGAACAGAGAUAGGGCUUAAUUCUAAAAAAAAAAUUGCCUAAGCUAAGGCUUGAACUUGGGACCUCUCACAUACAUUCAGAGCGGUUAACCACUAAAGUAGAUACAUAGUUAUGUCACAUUUUCACAAAAGCAGAAAUAAGAAUUUUAGGGCGUCUUCAUAUGGUUAUUUAGAUUGGUGGUAGAAGCCCCAGUUUCCAUUGUGUAAGUAGCAUUGCAAUAAUUACACUUUGCCCUAUUCUCCCUAUCUUCAAUUGAGUAUUUGCUAAAAUGUUGCCAACAAGAUGCCCUUGGUUUGGUCUUUUUUCGAGUAUUUCCCUUCUUUGUUGUGCGGACAACUUUAGCAGGAAAAAUAGGUCUAACUUCUUGUAAUGUUUUUUUGGUUUGGGACGUUUGCGAUGAUAUUGAGUCAUUUAUCUUCAAAAAUAAAUAUAACCAGUUAAAAUUACAAAAAUGGUCAAGGGCCAUAAUUUCAUCAAAUUUUUAUACUCAUAGAUAUGUUCCACACAAAUAUCCAUCAACAAUUCAAAUUAAAGCAUUCAAAAUUAACUCAAAACAAAAACAAUAGAGUAGUUUAUAAAAUAUACUAAUUUAACUUAUCAAAUAUAUUAACGAAACUUAUAAUUGAGUAAAAGUAACAAAAUUUUAAAAAAUUGAGAAUAAAAAGCCAAAUUUUUAAAACUCUUGUUUGAAAAGUUGUUGUUCACAUAAAUAAUAAUAAAAAGAAAUAAAGUUUUCAAUAAAUAAUAUAAAAAAUCAAUAGUCAAAGAUGAAAGAAGCCAUGACCAUAACACUUAUUUUGGAAGAUUGGAGUGAGAUUCCCAAUCAUUUCAACUAAUGUUUAUAAUGGAUAGAGAUUAACAAAUUAUUUUAGCUUGCAAAUCAUUCUCAUCCACAUGUUCAGGAAUAGAAUUUGAAAGAGCUAAAAUCCCAUCACGUUUGUCACAUACUGCUUAAAUAAAUGUAAUAAACAUAACAUUAUUAGGCAUCAACAGGUUAAAGGUCGUGAUUUCUAGUUUUGGCCAAUACAUACUUUGUUACAAUCUAACAAAUUGGAUUAAGCUGAAGACUUGAGUGGGAAGUUAGCGUAAGGCAUUUUUUUCUUUCAUGUUAGGACAUUUGAUGCACUAUGUCUUCGUCUAUUUUUCAAACACACUAUUGGAAGAAUUAUGAUUCACGUGUUGUUUAAGAUAAAAAAUUGCAUGCCUAAAUAAUACUUAUCAGAAACAAAUAACGUAAUAGGUCAUGUUCGUUUUCACCUUUAAUAUCCAUGGCUUGGUCUUCAUCUAGAAUGUUGCAUUAAAGUAGCUAUAUUUGUUUUUUUUUCUUCUAUAAAAUUAAUUUAUUCAAAUAGUUUAUUAGUUUAAUUUGAAUUGGUUUUUAUAAUAUAUAAAUAUGCAUGACUUAAAUGAAGCUAAACCUACUAAUAAUGGUUAAUUAAACUUUCAAUAAUGAGAAUGAAUAACAAAACCUGGAAACCUUGACUAGUAAAGACAGACCCUUAAAUUCAUAAAAAGGCAGGUAGACGAGGCAAUCUUGAAAUGAGAAUUUUUUAAAUGUGUGAUGAGCUAACUUAGUUGGGAUUCCCUCUAGCAUUGAUAUUGUAACAACCCGAUUUAGGGCCUAGUUGGAACAGUGGUCUCGAGACCACAAAUUUGAAGUUAGAAAAUUUAUUUUUUUAUUAUUUUUAUGAGAAUAUGGUACAAUUAUAUUACUGCAGGAAAAAUUAGGUGAGUUAAUUUUAGCGAUUUCUAGUCCAAUUUCGAAAAAUGACUAAAUCGUAUAAAAGGAAAAAGUUACAUUUUAGUACCCAAAUGUGUUAAAUAACUAGAGAAUCAAAAUUGAGGGCUUUUAAAGGGCAAUUACACUCUUUUUAAUAGUGUUAGCCGGCCAUGGAGUGAGGGGAGACAAAAUUGUCAAAGUUAGGUGAAGCUUAGGUCACCAAUUUUGACUAGUUUCAUUUUUAAUAAAAGAAAAAGAAAAAGAAAGAAAAAGAUAUCAUCUUUUCUCCCUUCUUAGCUGAAAAUAUCAGCAAAUAUUUGGGGUUUAAGAGCUUGAAAUUUCAGCAACUUGAAGCACUCAUAAGUAAGUGAUUUUGAUAGUUUCUCUUAAUGAUUUUUGCAUUUUUGAGACCCUUGAAGCAUGAGCUUUCAAAUGAGGGUGAUAUCUUACAAAAUAGUCAAGAGUUUAGGAUUUUUCCAUGGAUGUAUUUGUGAUAUAUGAUGAGUUUUUAUGGAAGAAUAUGAGUCCUAGUUGUGUUAUAAACAACUUUUGUGAAAGGUGUUAGCAUGAAAACACUUGAAGGGACUAUUUUGCAUAAGUUGCAAAAUAGGUGGUUAGUAUGUGAAAUAGUGAGAAUUUGGGAUUGCUCUAGUAGUAAAUAGAGUUUAUCUAGGCUUGAAAUACGAAGAAAUUAGAUAAAAAUUGAUUUUCGAGCAUAGGGGUGAAAUGGUCAUUUUGCCAAGGCCUAAGGGCAAAAUGGUCAUUUUACCAAAAUUGUGAAGUUAUUAAUGCCUAAUUAUGUUUUGUGACUAAAUGGAUGUAUAUUGUUAAUAUAGAUCAAGAUUUGCCAAAAUUGAGCCUAGACUGGGGCAAAGCCAAGCAAUCCGAUUAAGCCGUCUAGUCAAGCACUUUUUGUAAUCCGAGGUAAGUUGUAUGUAAAUAAUACAACUACACUGUUAAUACUUGUAUUCAUAUUGUCAUUGAAUUGAUAUUGUACGAGUUGUUAAGUUAUAAAUUGAGAAUGCCUUGUAAUAUUUGAUAUAGUAGAAAUAUCCCGUUGAAACCUUAGGAUAUGAACUGGAUAUUCGUGCCAAGACAUGGGGUGAUUUGUGCGCCAGUGUAAGACAUGUCUGGAACAUGCUUCAGCCACAUUAUGAGAGCCAUUGUAAGACCAUGUCUGGGACAUGGCAACGGCAUCCAGACGAGGGCUAGUGUAAGACAUGUCUAGGACAUGCUUCAGCCAUAUUAUGAGAGCCAGUUUAAAACCAUGUCUGGGACAUGGCAUCGACAUAGAAAUGAGUGCCAUAGUAAGACAUGUCUGGGACAUGCAUUGGCCUCGACAAAGAUAGCCAUUGUAAGACGUGUCUAGGACAUGCAUCGGCUAAGAGUUGUGCUAGUGUAAGACAUGUCUGGGACAUGCAUCAGCACGUAUAUAUGAGAGCCAGUGUAAGACCAUGUCUGGGACAUGGCAUCGACAAUGUAUCCCAUGUUGAAGGUUCAUAGAAUAUCCAGUAGUAUUCCAAACGGUUCAAUGGUGAAAGUUGUAGUUCAAUUUAAUAAAGAAAUGAUGAUCAUGUUACAAGUGUUACAGGUACCUAUAUGAUAGGCAUGAGUAACGAGCUAAUUUAGAAAAUGAGACUCGAGUAGAUGAUAAUGAGUAAGUUAAGUUAUGUUUACCUUUGAGCUAUAAGCAUGAUGGUAAAUGGUGAGAUUCUUGUAUAUUUAUUUAUAUGCGACUUACUAAGCUUUAUGCUUACCCCCUUUUCUUUCCCUCUUAUUUCAGUAUUGCCAGGUUAGGUUAAAAGUCCCGUAAAGUCAGAGAUAUCGAUCACACAUCAGCCACAACACUCGGUAUAGUUUGAUUUAUAUUUUUGAAGGUGACAUGUGUAGAGCUAGACUAGGAUGUUGUAUUAAGAGGAUUAUUCAUGUAUUUUGGCUCCAGUCAAAAGCCUUUUCACUUUGUAUUAAGUCUGGAAUAGUGGUUAUUAUUCAUUUUCAUGAAUGAAUAUAAUGUUCUUUCUAUGGAUGAAUUGGUGCCCAUUAUGAUGAAAUUUGUAUAUUGACAGGAUCUUGUAUAGGUUGUGCAAAAUGGGUGACAAAAUGGCUUGGGAAAUAGCCUAGUUUGUCCACACAGGGAAGACAGACGAGCGUGUGUCUAGAUCGUGUGUGACACACGGCUCUCACCCAUGGGUGUGUGUCAUGGCCGUACGUCCCCUGCACUUAAAAUUUUAAAGUCAUUUUAGUACACGGGCAGGCCACACGGGAGUGUGCCGAUGCCGUGUCAUAAAGUCAGUAUGCAUGCUAGUGGUACACGGGCAAGAGACACGGUCGUGUGUCUUGGCCAUGUGAAGGACACGGUUAUAGGGCACGGGUGUGUGCUUGGGCCAUCUGGUUUUGGCAGAAUGCCCAGGUUUUCAGACACGGGUUCGGGACAUGGGCGUGUCCCUAGCAUACGGUCAUGUGUUCUAUACCCACACGGUCAUGUGGAGUCUUGAUGCAUGAAAUUUUCUCAGUCUUUCAUGAGUUCUCAGUUGGGUUCCGAACCACCCUAGAUGUAUGUUUUGGGCCUCAUAAACCCGUAUAUGAGACAAAUUUCUGGUGAAAAGAGAAGUUUUUAAAUUGUUCAAAAUUUCACGGCCCAGUUUAUACAGUUGGUUGAGUUUAAGUAAGGUAGCACCAUAAACCCUAUCCUAGCAUUGGAUACGGGCGAGGGGUGUUACAUUUGGUGGUACCAGAGCAUUGUUUAGUCGAUUCUAGGACUAACCUCGCUAAAGUACGAGUCUGGCCAUACAUGCCAUAUAUAUAUUUAUAGUGUGACGAUUCUUGACAAUUAUAAAUUGUGUUUUUCUUAUAUAGUAAAUGGAUCCUGAUAGAACCACAGUAGAUGACGUGAAAAGUAAUACGUUGGCUCCCGCAAAAGGGACCGCACCGAUAGAGAGUGAGCCCGUAAGUAUAGGCCAAAGCAGAGGGGCUAGGGAAGCCUACCUCCGAAUGAUGAAUGCUUGGUACACAGAGUUCAUUCGUGUGAACCCGAACGCUCCACCUCCCGCACCUCCUCUGAUUCCUCAGUAUGCCCUGGUGGCUCCGCAAGGUCGGAUAUGUUCAGGAGGGAAAAACCUCUGGUAGAAAAGAUUCGGAAGCAAGGGGCCAAGGAACUUCGGGCUAGUAUAGAUGAUGACCCAGGGAGAGCUGAGUUUUGGCUAGAGAAUACCAUGAGGGUAUUUGAUGAGCUACCAUGCACACCAAUAAGUGCAUGAAGUGUGCCGUGUCAUUCCUACGAGACUCGGCUUAUUAGUGGUGGAACACUCUCGUGUCUGUUGUACCGAGAGAGAGGAUCACUUGGGAAUUUUUCCGAGAAGAGUUUCAAAAGAAGUAUAUUAGCCAGAGGUUUGUGGAUCAAAAAAGGAAGGAAUUUCUAGAGUUGAAGCAAGGUAGUAAGACUGUGACAGAGUAUGAGCGUGAGUUUGUGAAGCUCAACAAAUAUGUGUGAGAAUGCGUAUCCACUGAAGCUACUGUGUGUAAGAGGUUUGAGGAUGGCCUCAAUGAAGACAUUCGAGUGUUUGUAGGCAUCCUAGAGUUAAGAGAAUUCGUGGUGCUCGUUGAGAGAGCAUGUAAAGCAGAAGAACUGGUGAAAGAGAGGAAGAAGGCGGCCAUUAAGUCGCGAGAUUUAAAGAGAAGAAAAAUGGGGAAAAUGCAUCAGUCUUCCUCCAAGAGGUCGAAAGAAAUUAAUACCUGAUCGAACGCUUCAAUGGGAUUUUCAUGGAGGAACAAGAAUCAACAGAAUAUGACGUCUACAGCCCAGACCACUUCGGUUGCUAGUUUCGGCAGUAUAUGGCCAAAUAGGAAGGAGUGUAUGCAAUGUGGGAGACGCCACUUGGGUGAAUGCUGAGUAAAUGAGAGGGGCUGUUUCAAGUUUGGGUCGUUAGGCCACUUCAUCCGAGAUUGUCCUGAAAUAAAUGACAAGGAGAAAAAUCAAGAGAUGAGAGCGAGUAGUGCUCCUUUGAGGGGCAGACCCCAAAGGAAUACGGGCAGUAGAGCUAACAGUGAGGCGUAACUAGAGAUGCAGUGGCAAGGUCCGAGGGCAGAGCGCCUGCAAGGACCUAUGCUAUACGAGCCCAUGAAGAGGUAGAGUCUCCAGACGUGAUCGCGGGUACCUUUUCUAUUAAGAUAUAACUGUUUCGCUAUUAUUGACUCGAGAUCUACCCACUCUUACAUAUGUAUGGAAUUAAUACCUCGUAUAAACAUGCUAGUAGAGUCCACUAAGUUUGUAAUAAAAGUGUCUAACCCGUUAGGCAAGCAUAUAUUAAUAGACCGAGUAUGUAGAAAUUAUCCUUUGGCGAUUAGAGGCCAUUGUUUUCCGGCCAACUUGAAGUUGUUGCCGUUUAAUGAAUUCGAUGUAAUUCUUGGGCUGGAUUGGUUGAUCUCUCAUGGCGUUGUAGUAGAUUGUGGGAGAAAAGUAAUUCAGUUAAGAUGUGAGGAUAGAAAUUGGGUCAGACAAGUCAUAUAACUUGUCUGUGGUAAUAUCAUCUUUGACUGCCAAAAGAUAUUUGAGAAAAGGUUAUAAAGCUUAUCUAGCUUUUGUGCUAAAUACCCAAGUGUCCAAGUCUAAGAUUGAGUCAAUACCAGUGGUUUGUGAGUUUAUAGACGUCUUUCCGGAGGAGUUACCAGGGUUACCCCUAAAGAGAGAGGUUGAGUUUGGUAUCGAAUUGGCUCCUAGUACGACGCCAAUCUCGAUUGCACCUUAUAGGAUGACCCGCACCGAGUUCAAGGAUUUGAAAGUACAGUUGCAAGAGUUAACAGAUAAAGGUUUUGCUAGACUGAGUUAUUCACCAUGGAUUGCUCCGGUACUUUUUGUGAAAAAGAAAGGUGGGUCGAUGAGGUUAUGUAUCAACUAUAGACAGCUUAACAAGGUGACAGUGAAGAACAAGUAUCCCUUGCCGAGGAUUGAUGACCUCUUCAAUCAAUUGAGAGGAGCCACUACAUUUUCCAAAAUAGAUUUGAGGUCAGGUUACUACUAGUUAAGAGUCAAGGAACAAGAUGUAUCGAAGACCGCUUUUCGGACGAGAUAUGGGCAUUCCAAGUUUCUUGUUAUGCCUUUUGGAUUAACAAAUGCCCUGGUAGUAUUUAUGGACUUGAUGAACCGCAUCUUCCUGCCGUCCUUGGAUAAGUUCGUUUUCAUUUUUAUUGAUGACAUAUUGAUUUAUUCGCGUGAUGAGAGUGAGCAUGCAGAACAUUUAAGAACUGUGUUACGAAAUUUGAGGGAUAAACAACUUUAUGCUAAGUUUAGUAAGAGCGAGUUUUAGCUUAAGGAAGUUGGAUUUCUAGGACACAUUAUGUCGAGUGAUGGGAUCAAAGUUGACCCAAAUAAUAUCUCAGCUAUUGUAGAAUGGAAACCGCUGAGGAAUGUAACAGAGGUUCGUAGUUUUCUAGGGCUAGCAGGGUAUUAUAGACAUUUUGUAAAUGGAUUUUCUAUGAUAGCUAUACCGAUAACAAGACUGUUGUAGAAAGAUGUCAAGUUUGAAUGGACAGAAAAGUGUCAGCAGAGUUUUGAGAAAUUAAAGGCUUUGUUGACUGAAGCCCCAAUUUUAGUGCAAUCGGAGUCGGGUAAAGAAUUUGCAAUUUAUAGUGACACCUCCUUAAAUGGUUUGGGGUGUGUACUCAUGGAAGAAGGCAAAGUUAUAGCCUAUGACUCGAGACAGCUAAAACCUCAUGAGAGGAAUUACCCGGCCCAUGAUUUAGAGCUAGCAGCUGCGGUGUUCGCACUAAAAAUUUUGCGACACCAUUUAUAUGGUGAGAGAUGCUGAGUAUUUACCGAUCACAAGAGUCUAAAGUAUCUAAUGACUCAGAAAGAGUUGAAUUUGAGGCAACGACAAUGGUUAGAGCUAAUAAAAGAUUAUGAGUUGAUCAUUAACUACCAUCUAGGAAAGGCGAACGCAGUCACCGACGCUUUGAAUAGAAAGUCAUUGUUUGCUUUGAGAGCUUUGAAUGCUCAGUUGAUCGUAUCUAAUAAUGGUUCGAUCCUAGAAGAGUUGAGAGUUAGGCUGACUUUUCUUCAUGAGAUCCGAGAAGCUCAGAAAAGUAAUGAGAAGUUGUAAGCUCAGAAAAGUCAGUGUGAGUCAGGUGUUGAAUCAGAUUUUCAGAUUGGAACCGACAGAUGUUUAAUAUUCAAAGGUAAAGUUUGUGUACCUAAAGAUAAUGAGCUCAUUCAUAAGAUCUUACAAGAGGCACACAGCGGUUGUUCAUCAGUUCACCCAAGUAGCAUGAAAAUGUACAAUGACCUUAAGAAGAUGUAUUAGUGGUCGGGUAUGAAAAAAGACAUUUCAGAGUUCAUUUCCAAGUGCCUAGUGUGUCAACAAGUAAAGGCUGAACAUCAAGUGCCUUCAGGUUUACUUCGGCCUAUUAUGAUUCCCAGGUGGAAAUGGGAUCGUAUCACCAUAGAUUUCGUGACCAGUUUACCAAUAACCCUGAAAAAGAAAGAUACAGUACGGGUUAUUGUUGAUAGACUCACUAAGUCAGCACACUUCAUACCAGUGCGUGCCGACUACUCCCUUGAAAAGUUGACCUACUUGUAUGUUUCUAAGAUUGUGAGGCUUUAUGGUGUACCGUUAUCAUUGUAUCUGAUCGAGACCCGAGGUUCACCUUGAGGUUUUGGAAAAAGUUACAAGAGGCUCAAGGAACCAAGUUGAAUUUCAAUACGGCAUUUCAUCUGCAAACUGACGGACAGUCGGAAAGAAUAAUACAGAACUUAGAAGACAUGUUAAGGUGCUCCGUUUUUGAAUUUCAAGGAUGUUGGGAAAAAUACUUAUCAUUGGUUGAAUUCACUUACAACAACAGCUAUCAGUCGAGUCUGAAAAUGGCACCUUAUGAAGAUUUGUACGGGCGGAAGUGCCGAACACCCUUAUUCUGGACCGAGUUAAAAGAGAAUUAGAUUCACGGGGUGGAUUUGAUUAAAGAGGCUAAGGAAAAAGUUAAGGUGAUUCGUGACUGUUUGAAAGCUGCCUCAGAUAGACAAAAACCUACACGGAUUUGAAACGAAGGGAGAUUGAUUUGAAGUAGGGGAGAAGGUAUUUUUGAAAGUUUCCCCAUGGAGGAAAGUCCUCAGAUUUGGUAGAAAAGGCAAGUUGAGUCCUCGUUUUAUAAGACCUUAUAAGGUUACUAAGAGAAUGGGGCCUGUUGCCUACCGUUUGAGUUUGUCACCAGAGUUAGAAAAGAUUCACGACGUAUUUCAUGUGUCCAUGCUACGCCAAUACAGAUCUGAUCCUUCACAAGUAAUUACGCCAACUGAAGUUGAUAUUAUUUCAAAAAUGACUUAUGGUGAAGAACCAGUCAAGAUCUUAGCUCGAGAGGUCAAACAGUUAAGAAAUAAGAAUAUACCACUUGUGAAGGUUUUGCGGCAUAUACAUGGAAUCGAGGAAGCCACAUGGGAAACCAAGGAGUCUCUGAGCGAGCAGUAUCCAAACUUAUUGACCGGUAAGAUUUUCGAGGACGAAAAUCCCUAAGGAGGAGAAACGUAACAACCUGAUUUAGGGCCUAGUUGGAACAGUGGUCUCGGGACCACAAAUCCGAAGUUAGAAAAAUUAUUUUUUUAUUAUUUUUAUGAGGAUAUGGUACAAUUAUAUUAGUGCAAGAAAAAUUAGGUGAGUUAAUUUUAGUGAUUUCUAGUCCAAUUUCAAAAAAUGACUAAAUCGUAUAAAAGGAAAAAGUUACAUUUUAGUACCCAAAUGUGUUAAAUAACUAGAAAAUCAAAAUUGAGGUCUUUUAAAGGGAAAUUACACCCUUUUUAAUAGUGUUAGCCGGCCAUGGAGUGAGGAGAGACAAAAUUGUCAAAGUUAGGUGAAGCUUAGGUCACUAAUUUUGACUAGUUUCAUUUUUAAUAAAAGAAAAAGAAAAAGAAAGAAAAAGCUAUCACCUUUUCUCCCUUCUUAGCUGAAAAUAUCAGCAAAUAGUUAGGGUUUAAGAGCUUGAAAUUUCAGCAACUUGAAGCACUCAUAAGUAAGUGAUUUUGAUAGUUUCUCUUAAUGAUUUUUGCAGUUUUGAGACCCUUGAAGUAUGAGCUUUCAUAUGAGAGUGAUAUCUUAAAAAUUGUCAAGAGUUUAGGAUUUUUCCAUGGAUGUAUUUGUGAUAUAUGCUGAAUUUUUAUGGAAAAAUAUGAGUCCUAGUCGUGUUAUAAACAACUUUUGUGGAAGGUGGUUAGUGUGUGAAAUAGUGAGAAUUUGGGAUUGAUCUAGUAGUAAAAAGAGUUUAUCUAGGCUUGAAAUACGAAGAAAUUCUAUUAAAAUUGAUUUUCAGGCAUAGGGGUAAAAUGGUCAUUUUACCAAAGUUGUGAAGUUAUGAAUGCCUAAUUAUGUUUUGUGACUAAAUGGAUGUAUAUUGUUAAUAUAGAUCAAGAUUUGCCAAAACCGAGCCUAGACUGGGGCAAAGCCAAGAAAUCCGAUUAAGCCGUCUAGUCAAGCACUUUUUGUAAUCCGAGGUAAGUUGUAUGUAAAUAAUACAACUACACUGUUAAUCCGAAAAUUUUGAAUUUUUUUGAGUCAAUCCGAAUAACUCAAACUAUUUAGUUCAAAUUUUGAAUUUUUUAUCUAAUUUUUCAAAUCGAGUUGGAUUUUGCUCACCCCUACUCGUGAGUAUGAAAACAACAAUAUGAAUGUUAUUUAACCCAUUUAGGUGAUGAACAUGGUUUUGAUCAUACUCAAAAAAUAAUUGAUAAUGUCCGUGGUGAAGGGUGAAAAAAUGUAUAAUUUUAUAGUCAUUUGAUUGGACAAUUGAUGGUCCUCUAAUAUGACUAUAUAUGUUACACCAAGGAAUAAUGUUAAGAAAAAUAAUGUUAUUUGACUAUGAAUGCAAAAAGUGUUAAAGUUAUGUAUUGACUUUGAAAAGAAGAUAUGACAAAUAGAAAAUAUAUUGUCUAGUUUCACCAAGGAAUUCGAGGCCUCUUUACAACUUACUUAGUGAAAUAAACAUGAUGUAUGGUUUCAUAUAUAUGGUGAUUGUGAAACUAAUUUCUUCGAUAUCAAGAAAUAAGUAAAGUAGCCAAAUAUGAAAUUAUCAUGAUAAGAAAAAAUAAAGUGAUCAUCAUAAUUUGAUAAUAGUAGAAAGGAUAUCAUUGGUAGCAUUCUUUUGUGAAAGAAUGGGUAAUUUAACAUGGUGCGGAUGUUGGACUUGUGAAUUUUCAAGAUAAAAAUAAAUAUAAAUUUUUACCCUAUGGUAUAAAUAAUUAACAUAGCUAUGUUGAAAAUUUGGAAAUCUAGGGGUAAGGUACAAGCUUUAUAAUAUUCUAGUCAUCCAUGAUGGAAACUCAACUCAAUGCUUAGAAUAACGUCAAGUCUUGAGUUCAAUAAGACAAAGUACAACAUCAGUAUGUGACUGCUAGCACUAUAAAAUAAUAUAUAAUAUAUCAUUUCAAGGGAAAAAGUGUUAGGUAUUCGUAGUGAUAAGGAAAGUGUGAGAGUAUUAUACUUUUAAUAAGCCUAUAACAUAAAUAUGUUAAAGUAUUAUAAUUACAGGAAUACUCUUGAUGGGAUAUACCUAUGUGAGUGGAAGUGUGGUUGUUUCAAAGAGCUCAAAGGACUUGGCUUUGAGAACACUCAUGAAAAAAGGUUACAAACACAUGGGCAUAAUAGUGUCCCUGGAUACUGUGCAUUUACCGGUGUUGAAAUCAUUGUGUGAGAUAUGUUCAGUUAAUCAAAUGGAAUAGUUGGUUCAAAGCAUAGUCUAUCAUGCAAUUUCGAUUAAAUUUAAUAUGUUUUCACUAAGUGAAGGUUCAAUUAUAAGAGACAUUCAUUUAUGCAAUUGAUUUCCAAGAUUAUCAAAAUCUAGAAUAUUUUGAAAAUUGGGGGAGACUGUUGGAACAUUUUCAAAAUAUAUAUAGUGUUCUAAUAGUUGCAAAUGAAAAAUUAUAAGUAAUUAAAAGUUAUGUCACUUUAUUAUUGAAAAAUAGUCAUAAUUAUUCAAAUAGAUAUAUAUUGAAUAAUUAUAUUUAUUGCUAAAGGUAUGACUAUCCAUUUUGGUAGUUAUGUCCCUAUGAAGACACAUGAGACCUCUUAUAAAUAGGAAAUAAAUUUUAUUUGUAUGACACACCUAAAAAUGUAGAAAAAAAGUUUCUUUCUAUUCUCUCACCAUCUUUUAUAUUUCUAGAUUGUUUUAUAAAGAAUUACUGUAGAAAUUUUUUAUAGAAAUUAAUAUUCUUGCUAUGCUUUGCUCAGUGCUUAGUGAAUUGUUUCCGUGAGUGUAGAACAUAAACAAUCGUUGGGCUUCAUUGUAUCCUCGAGGUUCAAUUGUCAGUAACAUUUUUGCACACCAUGAUAUAGGUGGGGGCAAAUAGAACCUUAAAGAAAGUAGCAUUAGUACACGCCUUGAAGCCUUCGUUAAUUUCUUAUAAGUUUAUUUUUAUCCCUAUGCAUCAAGAUAUCUGGACUUAGAGCAUGUUUUAAUUUUUAAUUUUUUUAUUCUAGAAUAUGUCAAAACAAAUAAGCAAUCCAAUCGAAAUGUGGGCGAAAAAUCUUACUAAUUUUUAAUAUAGAAAAGGGUUUAGGGAUUUGAAAAAACAAAAUUAUGUUCAAACAAUAGUACAUAUCUACAUAACUUUAGUUUUAGCAUUUAAAAUUUUUUUUUUUUGGAAUUUAAGAAUUUAUAUUUGAUGGUGCAAAAUUUAUAUAUUGUCAAUAAAUUAAAUGAUAUUAUUUUAUAAAAAUUAAAAAAUACAAAAAAUUUCAUUUUAAAUAAUAUAACAUUACAUAAUUCACUAAUAUUUCAUAAAUUUUGUGGGGUUAUAAAUUUAAAAUUUAUUAUAAGGUUGAACCAUAUAUUAAAAAAUGUAGUGAGAUUAAUCUUGUCUUUUUCGUUAGCCAUUCAAUUGGGAAAUUAAUCUAAUAAAUUUGUUAAAGGUUUUUUUAAUGAAUGUGUUAAAUUCCAAUUCAUAUCCAAUUUAUUUAUAGUGGGCAAAUUCAAUGGAUUGUUCGGCAGAAGUUGGGUGUCUAAUUUAUUUGGGUAAAGUUGACAUUAUAAAUAGUGAAUGUAUGAUUUGCUUAAUGAGUCUAGAUUAAUUUUUGGCAAAUAUGGGUAAGUCUUGACAAAAUUUUAAGCUCAUAUUUCAGGUCGCAUCAAAUUUGGAUAAGCAUAAAAUAUAUUAAUAUCAUGUUUAGACUUAACCUGAACUCGACCAAAUCCGCCACAUGAACACCUCUUAUUUCCUAUUGUUGGGAUAAUGCCUCAGCUUCACCUUGAAACUCAUAGGCUCCAUGACUGAAUUACUAAGACUCUACAAAGAUGUAAUGACACUAUUCUUUUUCGUGGCCAUUGGUUUGCUAGGAUUAACAUGUUGCUGACUUGCACCUUAUAAAAUAAUAAUUUUUGUUCUUAACAUUUACAAUAUUUUCGGUUAAUUUGAUCAUUACCUUUUAAAAUUAUAUAAAAAUUUAAAAAAAAGGAAAAAACCCUUUUUAUUUUUUAAAUAAAAGUUUAUAAUUAAAAAUUAUAAUUCUUAAAAAAUGUUAUGAAUAUUUUAUGCAGUGGAUGUCCAUCAUAAUCAAGAUAAAGUUUUGAUGUACCUUAAAUUCUAAUAGUUAUAAGAAUUAGAUCUCUACUUCUUUUAUACUUCUUAUUCCUAUAAAUAGAGACUCUGAUGAAGCAUUGUAAAUCACCCCUUUUGAUCAAUAAAUUACAUUCUCUAUUGCUUUCAUAUUUUCUUUGUUUUUUAUUCUCUCCAUAUCUCUUUAUUUUAUAACACGUUAUCAGCAUAAUGAUUCUCUAUUUUUUUCUUUUAAUAUCUUUUGAAGUCUCCCCCUAAUCCAAUUCCUCUUUCAUCUUAAACUUUCACCUUCACAACUGCAUCUUUAGGAUAUUGAAAGAUUCAAUCUCAUAAUGGAUCAUGGUGAUGAUGAUGAUGUUAAAGAUCUUUAGGUAUAUUUUACUAUUUUUCAUUUAUUACAUCAUGUUUAUUAUAAUUGGAGACUAAUCAUGACAAAAUUAAUAGAUAGAUUAUGAUUUAAAAUCCACACAUGUUUGCGAUGGUGCUUAUGAAAUAAAGAAUCUAUUGGGAUGUUUAUAAGUCCGUCCUACUAGAUUUGUUGCAUUCCUCGAAGUGAAUGUAAACGUAAAGAAAAUUAAAUAUAUAAUCAUGGACCACUAAAAGUGGGAACAUAGUAAUAAAUAAGAGAACAAUGAGAGUUCCUAAGAUAACUCUUCAAAGGAUAAAGAUAACUUAUGUUAUCAAUGUGAUAUGAAAUAUAUUGGCCAUAUAUCUAGCAUAUGCCCAAAUAUUUUAUUUCUAUUAAUAUUCUUUGAGGAAGAAUAUGAAAAUGUAGUAAUGAAUUCUAUCAUUAUAGAUAGAAAAUAUUUAUCUUAUUUGGUACUAAAACAAACAAAUAUUAUUCCAAUAUUUGAUAGUAUAAAAUUAGUCGAAAGCUCCAGAAGAGCUAAUAUAUCACUAUCUAAAAAGCACAAAAUUUGUGAUGGAUAAUACAUUACUUUUAAAAGUUAUUUGUAAUGGAUCUCAUAUUGAGAUUGUGAAUGAGAAAAAUAUUAUAUUUCAUAUGAAUAAAAAAGGGGAUUGAGUUAUUAAUUUAUAUUUAUUUUAUAAUCUUUGUGAUAUUCUUUUGUCAUCAUCCCUAUUAAAGGGUUGAAAGCAAAAUAUUUGACAGUGAAAGAUCUACUUAUGAGCGAUAGAAUAUGAUAAUUUAAUCUAAAGCUUAUUAUGGUUGGAUGCACCUAAAGUUGCAAGUUUUUUAAAAAAAAACUGUGAGUAUAACUCUAUAGUAUUUAGAAUAAGUCCUCAAUUAAAAUUAUAUGGUAAAAUAUUAUUGAUGAGAACUUGAAAGAGAGAAAAAUUUUGUAUGAAAAGUCAUUGGUUAUGUACAUGUUGUACACCUGGAAAAUAAGAUCCACUCUCAAAGUUUUCUAUUAAUAGAUUUUUAGGCAUUUGAAGAUUUUAGCAUAUUCCCUGAAGUGAAUAUUGCAUACAAUUAUUUGGAAAUUAUAUUUAUUAACUUGGUGGCAUUAUAGACUUCACAUUGAUUUAGACAUUUUCAGUAGUAAAUGUCACAAUAGUACUUAUGUGGAUACAAAUUAAAAGGAAUGAUAAUAAAAUUUUUAAUUUGUUACAAUUUAGUACAAUUGAAACACAUGUUAUGUAACGCCCCAAAAUUUUGGUAAUUUCGGUUUUUGCGAUUAUUGAGUGUGAAAAUAUUGAAACUUUUGUUUUGAUUCUUUUUUGUAUAAAUAUAUGUGGUUAAGAGGUUGUGUGCUUUGAGGUGUGUCUUGGAGGUCCCAAGUUCAAGCUUUAAAUUUGGCUAAAUUUUGGUUUUUAUUGAAUAAAGCCUGACUUUAGGUUAGUGGGCUUUUAAGGAAUUGUUGGUAAAAACUUAACAGAAUGGGCCUACUGGUCUAGUGGUUAAGUGACAAGAGUUUAUCUUAGAGGUCUUGUGUUCGAAUCCUGGCUUGGGCAUUAUAUUUGCCACUAGGGCCGUGAUAGAAUUGGAGGUGAACUAAAAUUCUAUAGUGGUAGGGUUUAUCAGAUUUUUCUGAGUGGUUUCCCCCAAAAGAACUCUCUCUGUCGUAACUCCCUAUUAUUUUCCUCCAUCCACGUUCUUUUUCUUUUCUAUUUUGCUGAAAUUUCCCCUGCAUUCCUCCCAUUCAUGUUGAUUUCAUACUAACGGGCUUCUAAGAUUCAUUGACGUUCUCCUCAUUGGUAAGUUUUCUGUUUCGCUCGACUUGUAUAUUGUUUGAGUUAAGUGUCUAGUAAGGGGUUUCUAUUGUUUGAUCGGAGUGGAUCAAGGGGCUGAAAAACAGCUAUUAACGCUUUAAGGAUUCAGGUUUGCUACUUUUUAUUCAAGGGUAAGUUGAUCGUCCGUUGAGUGGAUAUUUCAUUUGAGGUUAAGUGACAACACUCGUUUAUGAGGUUCUAAUAGGUUGGAUAUACUGAUUAUAGGUCUUAAAGUGCUCGAGAUUGCGUUAAGCUACAAUCAAAACCAGGUGUGUACUCCAAUAGAUCUGAAAUCGCGUUUCAACGAAAGUCGAAAACGUUACUGUCGAUGCCACGCUGGAGUGCAAACAGGUCGUGUGGCGAGACACGACUGUGUGAUCGAUGAACUAGGCCGUGUGCCAUACGGGCACAACGGACACAGGCGUAUGAUGGCUUGUAGGCUGUGUGCGGGGCACGGGCUUAAGUAAAUGGGUCGUGUAACCCACACAGGUGUGUGGGCCCACACGGGCAAGGCAUACAGGCUUGUGAGCCCCUUUAAUCUGAAAUGUUUUGUAAGGUUGCACGGGUCACCCAAGUCGACUGUGACUUGUAGUAGGGUCGGUAAGCCUUAACUAGACUAUUAAUUCUGGGAUGUAUGUGUUCGCAUGAUAUACUUAGCAUGGUUAUCUGACCUGUUCUGUAAAUAAAUGCAUGAUCUAUUUGUCUACAUUACAGCAUGCCAUAUUUGUAUGAUACAUUGCAUCGGGGCGGGUUUGACGAAGUGAAGGAAGUAUCUGAAGGGCUUCAUAAGCCUAUUAUCUGGCAGCUAAGCUGCAUACUUAUGAUAUGAAUCGCGAUGCGGUACCUUAUAGUGUGUAGGGUUGGACGGGUCGAUUAUAUCCCCAUAUAUGGUGUACAGGGAUGGGUGGGUCGAUUUUAUCCCCACAUGGUGUAAUGGUUGGACGGAGAUGGUGUGUAGGGCUGGUGGGCAUGAUAUUUCUGAUAUCUAAUCUGUUAUGCAUGCAAUAUUUGUAUGCCUAAGGUCGAAUAACUAUAUUCUGUUAUCUGUUUGUAUGCAUGCUGUUUAUGGGGAUAUACACACUGAGUUUGCGAAACUCACCCCUUUGUUUAUUUUAUUUGUAGAGUAAUCCUCGGCAGUAGAUGGAUCAAUGUGACGGAGGGCUCGAUGGUGACCACUAGUAGACAUUCACGAAUUUUUGAGUAACACUUUAUUUUGUCAACUUUAUUUAAAUAUAUGUUUUGGGAUUUUAAAUUGUUAAAUUAUUGAUUUAUGAGUUAAUGGUGUUUUAGCUUCCGCGUUAAUGAAAUAUUUUCAGUUAAUAUUUGGAAUAGAUAUUUCACGACUUAAGUAAAGAUAACGAAUUGGAUGAUUUUUAACUUGCUAAGGUUUUCCUAAAAAGCACUCACGUAUGACGCUGCCAGAUUCGACUAUAGCUUCUAGGCCGGGUUUAGGGGUGUUACAUUUAGUGGUAUCAGAGCCUGGUUUAAAACUUGGCUGUGAAUUUUUGGUUCCAAAUUGGUUAUAAAGAAACACUUUCAAAUGUUUUCAAAUACUCUGAUUAAGUAUGUGGUUCACCGAGUCUCCGGCACUGAUCCUAUAAGUUCACUGAAACUCUGAUAUGUAUUGUCUGAUUAAGUUCCUGUAAGUUCACUAAAACUUUGAUUAAGUAUGUGGUUCAUCGAGUCUUCGGUACACGUGGUAAUCGUGGACGGCGUACUGAAACUAAGGUAAAAGUCGUAGAGGGAUUCGAGUUGAGUCAUUUGCAUCUGAUACGAUCCUUAAUCUAGACACUAGUGAAAUGCCAGUGUCACCUGUUAUUGGGACUGGUGCUGAGUCUCAAAACCGUGCAGCUAGGGACAACGCAUUGUCCCAAGCCAUGCUACGAAUUUUGGAGAGGGUCGUUGGGGCUAAUGCUAGAUCUGGAGGUCGUGGGUCGGUUACGGAAUGACUCCGAUCCAAUAGGGCUGAGGUAUUCAGGGGCAUGGCUGGAGUUGCUCUUAAUGUGGCUGAGUACUAGAUGGAGGCCAUGGAGCGUAUUAUGGAUGAUCUAGAUUUUACUGACGAGCAGAAGCUCAAGGGGGUUGUUUCGUUACUUUGCGAUGAAGCAUAUCAAUGGUGGCUGACAGUUAGGGAUGGCACUCAGCCUGACAGUCUGACAUGAGAUUUGUUUAAGCCGGCUUUCCAGAGCAAGUAUGUGGGGGCUAGUUAUAUCGACGCUAGGAGGCGUAAGUUCCUAAAACUUACUCAGGGAACCGUUCGGUGGCUGAGUAUGAGGCCGACUUUCUGAUGCUGAGCCUUUAUACACGAGGCAUGGUGGUGGCUGAGUAUGAGCACUGUGUUCAUUUUGAGAUAGCCUUAGGGACAACUUGAGGGUCCUGAUAGCUCCGCAGAGGGAGCGUGAGUUUUCUGUGUUGGUCAAGAAGGCCAAGAUCGCGGUGGAGGUUAAGCGCGCUGAGCGUCAGAACCGUGACAGAGGGAAGGCUAAGAGGAAUGUAGAGUCUUUGAAUGCUAGGGUAAGGCCAAGGAAAAAGGCCAGAUCUGACGGGCCCGUGAGAGUUGGGCCUACUGUUGCACCGACUGGGGUGGCAAUUUGUCAGCUUUGUAAUAGACGCCAUCUGGGCGAUUGUUGGAGGCCUACUGGAUCUUGUCUUAGGUGUGGAUCUUCUGAGCAUCAAGUUAAAGACUGUCUAUUAAGGACUAAUCAGAUGCAAGCUUCGGCUACUAAGACUGCACAGCUGCCAAGGGUAGUUCAGCAGCCACCUAGGGGCCGAGGCUAGGCUAUGGGUGGUAACAGAAUAGGCCGAGGACAGAAAGCACCGGGUCAAGGUGCUGGGCCGACUGAGGCAAGGAAACCUACGCUUGUGUAUACUGCACGUCGUCAUGGGGAUGGAGAUGCUCCAGAUGUCAUCACGGGUACGUUCUUAAUCCUUAAUGUACCUUAUGUUGCACUGAUAGACAUAGGCUCUACAAAUUCCUACAUCGCAUAUUCUGUGUCUGAGACUUUGGGAAUACCGUAUGAGAGCACUUCUAGUGAGAUUUCAGUGGUGAGUCCGUUGGGGUAGUCUAUUAGGGUUAGUAAAUUGUUCAGAGACGUUUCGUUGGAAGUACAAGAUUAUCUGACUAAUGUGAUAUCUGCAUUAGUGGUAGAAAAGUUGGUAAGGAAGGGAUGCGAGGUGUACUUGGCAUAUAUCAGUGUUGCUGAUUUUGAAAACUCAUCAGUUAAGGACAUCUGAACAGUGAGGGACUUUCCAGAUGUCUUUCCACAGGAACUACCAGGAUUACCUCCGAAUCGUGAGGUAGAAUUUGGGAUUGAGUUGUUUUUAGGCACAGUUCCGGUGUCUAUCGCCCCUUACCGAAUAGUGCCGAAGGAGCUGAUGAAACCUAACGCUCAGAUUCAGGAGCUGUUGGAUCUUGGAUUUAUUCGUCCCAAUGUGUCUCUGUGGGGAGCACUUGUUUUGUUUGUAAAGAAGAAGGACAGUAAAAUAAGGAUGUGUAUCGACUACCGUCAAUUGAACAAGUUGACGAUUAAGAAUAAGUACCUACUUCCGAGGAUAGACGACUUAUUCGAUCAGUUCAGAGGGGCUUCAGUGUUUUCUAAAAUCGAUAUGCAAUCAGGUUAUCAUCAGUUGAGGGUUAAGGAGGCCGAUGUGCAUAAGACGGCAUUUAAGACUCGUUAUGGGCAUUACGAGUUUCUAGUCAUGCCUUUUUGGUUGACUAAUGCACCAGCAGUAUUCAUGGACUGGAUGAACCGUGUGUUUUAGCCUUACUUGGAUUAGUUUGUGGUGGUAUUCAUCGAUGACAUUUUGGUGUAUUCUAAGUCUGAGGUCAAGCACGACGAGCAUUUAAGAGUGGUUCUGCAGAUCCUUCGUGAGAAACAAUUGUAUACGAAGUUCAGCAAGUGUGAGUUCUGGCUUCGGGAAGUGGCAUUUCUGGGUCAUAGAGUUUCUGCUGAGGGGAUUUGGAUAAAUUCUCGUAAGAUUGAGGCUGUGAUGGAUUAGAAACAGCCGAAGAGUGUGUCAAAAAUCCACAGUUUUUUGGGACUGGCAGGGUAUUACCGAUGUUUUGUUAGGGGGUUCUCGUUGAUCGCAGCACCAUUGACUAAGUUGUUGCGUUAAGGAGUUCCUUUUAUUUGGACUGACGCACAGUAGGAGAGCUUCGAGAAGCUUAAAACAAUUUUGACUCAGGCUCCAAUGCUGAUACAGCCUGAGCCUGGUAAGGACUUCAUGGUUUACAGUGAUGCGUCACAUGUGGGUUUGGGUUGCAUCUUGAUGCAAGAAGGUAAGGUAGCUGCUUAUGCAUCUCGACAGCUUAAGACUCACGAGGCUAAUUAUCCGAUGCAUGAUUUGAAGUUGGCGGCAGUGGUUUUUUCAUUGAAGAUUUGGAGGAAUUAUCUGUAUAGAGAGAAGUGUACCAUCUACACUGAUCACAAGAGCCUCAAGUAUCUCUUCACUCAGAACGAGUUAAAUCUUAGGCAGCGACGAUGGGUCAAGCCACUUAAGGACUAUGACUGCAGUAUAGGGUAACACCCUAGAAAGGCCAAUGUGGUGGCCGAUGCAUUAAGCCGUAGGGUUGUGGAUGAUUUAAGAUCGUUGUUCGCUUGACUGAGUCUUUAUGACAAUGGGAGUCUCCUAGCUGAGAUCCUGGUUAAGCCGACGUGGCUGGGUCAAAUUAAGGAUAAGCAGUUAGGAGAUGAGUCUCUUCAGUUGCGAUUUUGUCAAGUUGAGACUGGGACUACUACUGACUUUAGGAUUAAUAGUGAUAGGGUACUGUGUUUCCGAGGUAGGAUCUGUGUACCUAAUGAUGAGGAGUUAAGACUGUCGAUUUUGAAUGAGGCACAUAGUAGCAUUUAUGUUAUGCAUCUUGGUGGGAACAGGAUGUAUUAAGAUCUUCGAGAGUUGUACUGGUAGCCAAGGUUGAAGCGUGAGGUGACUGAUUUCAUUGCUUACUGUCUAACGUGUCAAUAGGUUAAGGCUGAGCAUUAGUUGCCUUCGGGGUUACGGCAGCCAGUUAAGAUACCGAUGUGGAAAUGGGAGCGAGUAACGAUGGACUUCGAUAGUGGGUUGCCCCUAACACCCACUAAGAAGGAUUCUGUUUGGGUCAUCGUGGAUCGAUUGACCAAGUCUUCACAUUUUAUUCCAGUUAGGAUGGACUUCUCUAUGCAAAAGCUAGCUAAGCUCUACAUUUUCGAGAUAAUGAGGAUGCAUGGGGUUCCUGUUUCAAUCAUCUCCGAUAGGGAUCCUCGUUUUACUUCUUUAUUUUGGGGAAAGCUUCAUGAGGCUUUGGGUUGACGACUUGACUUCAGUACUGCAUUUCAUCCUCAGACUGAUGGUCAAUUAGAGAGGGUGAUUCAGGUAUUGGAGGAUAUGUUGAGGGGAUGUGUUAUAGAUUUUCAAGGUAGCUGGGAGGAGUACUUGCCUCUAGCAAAGUUCGUUUAUAGCAACAGUUAUUAGUCUAGUAUACAGAUGGCACCAUAUGAGGCACUUUAUGGUCGUAAGUGUCGCACUCCUUUGUGUUGGACUAAGUUGGGUGAGUGACUUGUUCUGGGUUCAGAGCAGAUCUCUGAGACUGAGGAUAAGGUGCGGUUGAUCCGAAAACGUCUAAAAGCGACUUCUGAUAGACAGAAGUCCUAUGCUGAUCUAAAGAGGAAAGACAUUCAGUAUUCUGUGGGGGACUUGGUCUUUCUUAAAGUUUCACUGUGGAAGAAGGUUCUGAGGUUCAGACGCAAGGGUAAGCUGAGUCCUCUGUUUAUUGGGCCGUACCAGAUUCUAAAGCGAGUAGGGCCAGUUGCAUAUUAGUUAGAGCUACCUCCAAAGUUGGAUCUUAUAGAUGACGUGUUCCACGUCUCGAUGUUGACGCGCUACCGCUCUGAUCCCAUGCACAUCGUGCCUGUGGAAGAGAUUCAGGUUAGACCAGAUCUGACGUUUAAGGAGGAGCCUGUUCAGAUCUUAGAUCGUGACGUGAUGGUCUUGCAUAGGAAGUCUAUUCCCUUGGUGAAGGUGUUGUGGCAGAAUCAUAAAACUGUGGAGGCUACUUGGGAGCCAGAGGAUUCGAUGCAGCAGCAGUAUCCUCAUCUUUUCUAAUCAGGUAAAAUUCGAUUAUGAAUUUUCUUUAAUGGGGUAGACUUGUAACGCCCUAAAUUUCGGUAAUUUUGAUUUUGGCGAUUAUUGAGCGUGGAAAUAUCAAAACUUUUGUUUUGAUUCUUUUUGGUAUAAAUAUAUGUGGUUAAGAGAUUGUGUGCUUUGGGAUGUGUCUGGAAGGUCCCAAGUUCAAGCUUUAAAUUUGGCUAAAUUUUGGUUUUUAUUGAAUAAAGCCUGACUUUUUGUCAGUGAGCUUUUAUGGAAUUGUUGGUAAAAACUUAAUAAAAUAGGCCUACUGGUCUAGUGGUUAAGUGGCAAGAGUUUAUGUUAGAGGUCCUGUGUUCGAAUCCUGGCUUGGGCAUUAUGUUUGCCACUAAGGCUGUGAUAGAAUUGGAUGUGAACUAAAAUUCUGUAGUGGUAGGGUUUAUCAGAUUUUUCUGAGUGGUUUCCCCAAAAGAACUCUCUCUGUCAUAACUCCCUACUAUUUUCUUCCCUCCACGUUCUUUUUCUUUUCAAUUUUGUCAAAAUUUCCCCUGCCUUCCUCCCAUUCAUGUUGAUUUCAUACUAACGGGCUUCUAAGAUUCAUUGACGUUCUCCCUAUUGGUAAGUUUUCUGUUUCACUCAACUUGUAUAUUGUCUGAGUUAAGUGUCUAGUAAGGGGUUUCUGUUGUUUGAUAGGAUUGGAUCAAGGGGCUGAAGAACAGCAAUUAACACUUUCAGGAUUUGGGUUUGCUACUUUCCAUUCAAGGGUAAGUUAAUCGUUCGUUGAGUGGAUAUUUCGAUUAGGGUUAAGUGAAAAGACUCGUUUAUGAGGUUCUAAUAGGUUGGAUAUACUGAUUAUAGGUCUUAAAGUGCUCGGGAUUAUGUUAGGCUUCAAUUGAAACCAGGUGUGUACUCCAAUAGAUCUGAAAUAGCAUUUUGACGAAAGCCGAAAACACUACUGUCGACGCCACACGGUCAUGUGGACAGGCCAUGUGGCGAGACACGACCAUGUGAUCGACGAGCUAGGCCGUACGCAUGCCACACAGGUACGACAGACACGAGCGUGUGAUGGCUUGUAGGCCGUGUGCGAGGCACGGGCUAAGGCGAAUGGGCCGUGUGGGCCACACGGGCAUGUGGGAAUUUGGGCUAGGCCAUGUGAUCCACACGGGCAAGGCCAAUUUGGGCCGUGUGACCCACACGGGCAAGGCACACGGGCGUGUGAGCCCCUUUAAUCUGAAAUGUUCUAUAAAGUUGCACAGGUUGGCCAAGUCGACUGUGACCUGUAGUAGGGUCGGUAAGCCUUAACUAGACUCUUAAUUCUAGGAUGUAUAUGUUCGCAUGAUAUACUUAGCAUGAUUAUCUGAUCUAUUCUGUAAAUAAAUGUAUGAUCUUUUUGUCUGCAUUACAGCAUGCCAUAUUUUUAUGAUGCAUUGCAUCGAGGCGGGUUUGACGAAGUGAAGGGAGUAUCUGAAGGGCUUCAUAAGCCCGUUAUCUGGCAUCUAAGUUGCAUACUUAUGAUAUGAGUUGCGAUGCGGUACCUUAUGGUGUGUAGGGUUGGAUAGGUCGAUUAUAUCCCAAUAUAUGGUGUACAGGGAUGGGUGGGUCGAUUUUAUCCCCACAUGGUGUGAUUGGUUGGAUGGAGAUAGUGUACAGGGCUGGUGGGCAUGAUAUUUCUGAUACCUGAUCUGUUAUGCAUGCGAUAUCUGUAUGGCUAAGGCCGAAUAACUGUAUUUUGUUAUCUGUUUGUAUGCAUGCUGUUUGGGGAUGUACACACUGAGUUUGCGAAAACUCACCCCUUUGUUUAUUUUGUUUGUCAAGUAAUCCUCAGCAGUAGAUGGAUUGGUGUGGCGGAGGGCUCGAUGGUGAUCGCUAGUAGACAUUCACGAAUUUUUGAGUAACAUUUUAUUUGGUCAACUUUAUCUAAAUAUAUGUUUUGGGAUUUUAAAUUGUUAAAUUAUUGAUUUAUGAGUUAAUGAUGAUUUAGCUUCCGCGUUAAUGAAAUAUUUUCAGUUAAUAUUUGGAAUAGAGAUUUCACAACUUAAGUAAAGAUAAUGAAUUGGAUGAUUUUUAACUUGCUAAGGUUUUCCUAAAAAGCACUCACGUGUGACGCCGCCAGAUUUGGCCAUAGCGUCUAGGUCGGGUUUGGGGGUGUUCCAUGUUUAAGUAAACCAAAAGUUUACUAAUACAAAUGCGCUUACUACUUGGUAUGAUUAGUUAGACCAUCCUGGAUCGUAAAUGAUGCGAAAACUACUUGAGAUAUCAUAUGGACAUCCAUUAAAGAACCAGAAGAUUCUUUAAUUUAAAAGAAUUCUCAUAUGUUGCUUGUUCUCAAUGAAAAUUGAUUAUUAGUAGCUCACUAUCUAAAGUUGAGAUUUAAUGUCUUGCAUUUCUGAAACAAAUAUGGGCCCAUCCAUCCACCAUAUGGAUAGUUUUGAUAUUUUAUGAUUUUGGUAGAUGCAUCUACAAAAUAAUCACAUAUGUAUUAUCAGUUUACAACCUGUCAUUUGCAAGAUUGCUUGUUUAAAUGAUUAAUUUCAGAUUAUGCAAUUAAAACAAUUCAUCUUGCUAAUGUUGGUGAGUUUACAUCCCAAGUUUUCAAUGAUUAUUGCAUGUCAAUUGGGAUAAAAGUUGAACAUCCUAUAGUUCAUGUUCACACACAAAAUGAUUUAGCUGAAUUGUUUAUCAAAUGCAUCCAACUAAUAGUUAAAUCAUUACUUAUGAGAGCUAAAUUUCCUAUUUCAACAUGAGUUAAGUUGAUUUAUGUGUUGUACGCAUCAAGCCAAUAAGUUAUAAAUACUCCCCGUUACAAUUGGUUUUUGAUCAAUAGCUAAAUAUUUCUCAUCUUUGAAUUUUUGAAUGUGCAUAUAUGUUCCAAUUACUCUACCACAACGCACAAAGAUGAGUGAAUCCUCAAAGAAAGUUGGGAAUAUAUAUUAAUUACAAGUUUAUUUAUAUUAUUAGAUGUUUUGAAUGCAUUGGAAUUCAAUUAUGACAUGAUUUGUGAUUACAAUUUUGAUUUGAUAGUUUUCUCGACAUUUGGGGGAGAGAAAUAAUAACUUAUAAUGAGUUAAAGGGAGAGUAAUUUGAACCAGAAGUUCAAUAAGGAUAAGUCAUUACAAGUUAACUAUUAGAUGUAUUUACAAACUUAAUAAGAAUAACCAAGUGUUAUAUAGAUUGAUUGGUUCCAAAGAUGAAAAAUUCUUCUAGGUAGUCAUAUAGUGGAGGCAGGUGCUCCAGAAGAGACCCAAGACAUAACUAAUAAGUAAAACUCCAGAAGAGAUUCAAGUACCUAAAAUUGAAUUUUAAAAUAAUGAAAAUAAGAGAUCUCGAUAAGUUAUGUCAAUUUGAGAAAAUGUGGAACCGAAUAAUAAAAGUGGUCGACAAUGAUUUUGCAUGCAAUAUUAUUAUUGAAAUAAUGAAAUAAAAAGAGGAUCCUAAGUAAAUCUAUUGAGAAAUAUAUAUAUAGAAUAAAUUGAUCAAAAUAUAAAGACGCAACUCAAGUACAAUUAAAUUCGUGGAGUUUUUGGACCAACCAUCCAAAUAUCUAAAGGUAUAAAACCAGUAAAGGUGCAAUUGAAGUAGUUUUGCAAAACAAAAUAAAAAUAUGAAGUGUUUCGCUAAGUCCUGCCAGUGAUUAUGAAAAGAUAUAAUAUUCUUUUGUGGUGGAUGCAAAAGCCUUUAGAUAUAUUAUUAAAUUGACAAUUCAUAAAAGUUUAACUUGUGUCUAAUGGUUUUUCUUACAACCUUUUAUGAAUCACUAUAUAGUAAAGUUUAUAUUAAAAUCCUUAAAAGGAUCUAGAAUGCUAGUAGCAUAUUAAAAUUCUCAGGAAAUUAUUCAUUUAUAUGAAUUGAAAUAAUUUGAACAUAUGUGGUAAAUUUGAGUAGUUGAAUGAAGAUUAUAAAAUGAUCCAAAAUACCUAUCUGUGUUUUUAUAGAAGAAUCAUGAUUAAAGUUUGUUAUGAUUAUUGUUGAAUCUCCUGAAGAGAUCAAAAUAUAUUUCCCCAAAUUUCCUUCACUUAUGACUUAUAAAAUAUAAAUGCUUAGCAAAUACAUUCAAAUAGUCAAUUGAAAAACUAGUAUUCAAGAUUGAAUACGUAGAAUAUGAGAAAGUAUGUGAUGUUUUCAUGAGGGGGAAAAUACGCGUUGUACUCUUUUUCCCUUAACAGAGGUUUUGUUCCAUUUGGUUUUCCUAGUAAGGUUUUUAAUGAGGCAAUAUAUUAUCAUAUUAUAGAUUGUGUACUUUUUUUUCCUUGUUAGGUUUUUAUCCCACAGGGUUUUUCCUAAUAAGGUUUUAAUGCGGCACAUUAUCUACCAAUGAACAUAUAAGGGGGAGUGUUAUGAAUAUCUUAUUAAGUGGAUGUCCAUCAUGAUCAAGAUAAAGUUUUGAUAUAUUUUAAAUUCUAAUAGCUAUUAUGUAACACCCUUCGCCUGUAUCUGAUGCCGGGAUAAGGUUCGAAAUGUUACCGGAUUUAAGCCAAGACUUCCAUACUAAACCGGCCAUGAAAUUUCUUUCGAAUUUAAAAAUUUUCAUUUCACAUGCAUACUGUCCCUUAAACAAGCUUACACGGCCCAAAACAUACAUUCGGGGUAGUUCAGAACCAAACAGCGAACAUAAGAAAAACUUGGAAAUUUCAUGCUUUAAGGCUCUACACGCUCGUGUAAUCAUUUUGAUAUGGCCGCGUUGGUUGCCCGUGUGCACCACACGGCCUAGUGUUCAUCGGGACACACCCGUGUGUUUACUACCAUGCAUACUGACUUGAAUUUCCAAGGUGCAGGGGACACACAGCCAGGUCACACGCCUAUGUGGGCAGACCGUGUGUCACACACGGCCUAGACACAUGCCCGUGCGUCUACCCGUGUAGACAAAUACAAGGCUAUUUUCCAAGCCAUUUUGUCACCCUCACAACAUAUGCACACAUACUUAUACAAUAGCAUACAACAAGGCAUACAUGGGCACUUAAACGUCCAUAAACAUGUUAUGAUCAUGUCAAUUUCUCAUCCAAUAGAUAUCAUAGAUUUUACUCACAUCUUUACCACAUUCAUGCCAUAAUCAUUAUAAACUCAUUACAUAAGACCAUAGCACAUGCAUGCAUAUAUAAAUAGGUUUACAACCUCAAUAUCUAAUGUAAGCCAAUACAUUUGGCUAAAAAAAUGUCACACACUCAAAUAUUUAAACUCCUAUACAUGCCAUAGAAUCAAAGUCCUUGAAAUCACUUGCACCAAUAGCAAUAGCUUGACAGUGUGAUAAUAUCUCCGAUGAACUCCAACCCGAGCUAACCUGGAAAUAUUAGAGAACUUGGGAAAGGAAGGGGGUAAGAUUUACGCUUAGUAAGUUCAUAUGAAAACAAUAAGAAACUCAUUUACAUGCUUUUAUCAAGGUUCCCAACAUAUUCUCAAGUUCAUGAUAAGUUGUCUUCUUGUACAACGGUCAAUAAAAUAUUUAUAUCUGGAGCUACAAACUCCAAAUUAAGUUCCGUUAAUUUUCCUUGAACUAGAGUCAUGUACCUUUCUACCAUAGAAUUUCCAGAAUUUUUGGUUUAUCCAAUUAGUACAGUUUAUUCCUAAAAUUUACCCCUGAUUCAUUGUCUGAUAGUUCCGACCCUUUUGCACUAAAGUUUAAUUAUCUCAUAGCACAGGACUCAAAUAAUGUUCCCAUCUAUUUCUCUCAUUAAGAAUUCUAAACAUAUAAAUUAUAACUCAUAACUUUUUUUUUUACAAUUUAUAAUGAUGUUCUCAAAUUAGAAAAGGGGAUUUCGAAUUCGUUCUGACUAUGUCUAACACAACUUCAAAUAUCUCACUAUAUGAAAUUCUUUUGCUUACAUGGUUUCUUUUAUAAGAAACUAGACUCAAUAAGAUUUAAUUCCAUAUUUUAUUAAGCCUCUAACUCAUUUUCCACUAUUUUUAGUGUAUUUUCAAAGUUACACCACUGCAGUAGCCCAAAACUGUCAAGGCUAAUUUACUCAUUCAUAAUUAUUGUUCACCAAAUUAAUACCACAUCAUUUCAUCCAUCAUGGUAAGAACACAUAGCUAUGCAUCAUAAGCAUGGACCCCUAAUCUCAAUGUCCUUAAUUAUCAAAGACUUAGUCCUAAUCAUGCCAUUUUCAUAGUAUUCACCAAAUACUAUAUACAUCAUAGAUUAUCCCAUAUCAAGGCAUUACUCAUAAGUUUAGUGUACAUACUUGUACAACUUGUAACAUAACUCAAGUACAUACUCACCAAUGACUUACCUCAUUGGGACCAUUAUCAACUCUUUCCUCGGAUUUCCCGUUGAACACUUGGAAUACUAAUAGAUAGACGGAAGAUUGCACAUAAGUGUUAUAUAUGCAGCUAGACCACUCAAUAGAGCAUAAUAUAUGUAGCCAAAGCUACCUCAUAACAUGUAACACAUCCAUAAUGAACUCAGACCACUCAACGAGCUCGGAUGCUACAUGCAUCGCAUCCAUCAUGAACACGGACCACUCAACGAGCUCAGAUGUUCACAUCCAUAAUGAACUCGGACCACUAGACGAGCUCAGAUGUUACAUGCAUCGUAUCCAUCAUGUUCAUAACAUAUUCAUACUUUCAUGGAAAUAAUUGACAUUUAAGGCAUGUUUCAUCAAACACAUCACAUGGUAUCAAUAAAGCAUUUAAUUUCACAUAUUUCAUAGACCACAUUUGUACAAUAUCAAGUAUUAAGCACACGAUAAUGAAGUUGAUAAAUUACUUUCAUACAAACUUACUCCUUUCAAAGAAACAUCAUAUUCCAUCAAACUUCCAAUAUGUUAAAUCAUAUAAAAUAUGCAAUAUUAACAAGGAAUGUAAUUCAAACAUAACUUUGCAUUAUUAUUAUCAUACGAACUUACCUCGACACCAAAUUGGUAAAAGAGGCCUAAACAUCAAUUUCUUAUUUUUCCUUGUUCUAAGCCCGAAUCUCAUUUUUCAUCAUUAGCAUGGGAGUUUCUUUACUGAAAUUUUCCAGCUUCAAAACGUUUUCUUUGCUACAUAUUUCGGUGGAGGAGAAGAGAAAAAGUGAUAGCUUUUUCUUUUUGAUUUGUUAAUAAUAAAACUAGUCAAAAUUUGUGACCAAAUUUCACCUAAUUUUGACUUUUCAACAAUUUUGUCUCCCAUGGCCGGCCAUGCUUUAUUUAACGGUCUUAUUGCACUUUAAAGGCCCCCAAUUUUAAUUAUCUAGCUAUUAGACACAUUUAAGUACUAAAAUAAAACUUUACCUUUUUCGUGAUUUAGUCCUUUUUCGAAAUUAAACUAGAAAUCGAUAAAAUAAAAUUACCAAAAUUUUCUUGCACCUUUAUAAACAUGCUAUAUCACAUAAAAUAAUCACUAAAAUAAUUUUUUCAGCCUCAAAAUAGUGGUUCCGAAACCACUGUUCUGACUAGGCCUAAAAUCGGGCUGUUACAAUUCUCCCUCCUUUAGGUAUUUUCGUCCCCGAAAAUCUUACCAGAAAAAGUUGCUUUCAACUUUCACGUGUCACUUUCACCCUUUUCUCAAAAUUACAAAUCAACUUAGUGUCAUACUCAGGAUUUCCUGUAGCCAUUCCAUAGUUGCGGUAUAAACCUCGAGCUCAAUUCGAACACUGGAGGCUGAUAUUCUAGGAGUUAUAAACUUGGAAACAUACAACUCAGUUACAUCUGUCGAAUAAUAUAUCUGUACAUACUAAAAUAAUCAUGUAGACUUCCAUCAUCACUUUAACACAAACCAAUUGGCAUCUCUCCUUUUUCCUGGAGAUGAGAGAUAUCCCUAUACGAAAUUCAUAACAAUCCUUUCUCAUUUUCUUUUCAAUGUCAUCACUGACAAUAAUAAUCUCGAAUACAUUUGAUAUUCGGCUUUUCCCUGUAGACAACUCAAUAUCCUUUGGAAGAACAGGUAAGAUGCUACUGUGAGCUCUCUACACGAUUCUCUGCAUAACCCAGAGUUUCUCGGUACUCAAAUCUUACUGGGAAAUAAUAAUAAUAGAAACCAAAAAUCAAAUCCUCCUUGAAAUUCCAAAUUGAAAGUUGAAUCAUGCUUUACUAGCCUAAUUUAUCAUUUAUAGUAACAUCUAUAUGCUCAGGCCAUCGACUAUUUAGAAAUCUUACUAACAUGAAUUAAAUGAUUUCAACUUCAUAAAUUUGAUCUCCUUAUCAAUCAGGACAACUUUACUUAUAACAACAUCUCUCAAAUGAUAAAAGUCCAACUAAUUUAUUUUCGUAUCAUACUUAUAAGAAUAAAAUUUCUUCAUUUCAGGCUGUACAUCUAUUUAACCAUAAUUGCACAACAUUAUUCCCAGACUAUAGAAUAAACUUAAUGCACAUAACUUAAUUUACCUUUGCUGAUAAUAUUUCUUUACAUGAAGAUUAUAGAAAUCAAAAUACUAGAAUCCCCACACUUCCAUAGUCGAGCCACAAGCAUAAUCAUAAUAAAAAUUAUUAUCACAAGUCAAAGAAUAUACUUAAAGAUAAGCCAGAUUUGAUAAUUCUUAAAAUAAGAACGAUAGCAAAAACCAAGAUAAAGAAUUCCAGAUAUAAUACCAUACCAGAAAUCCUAGAAUAUAACCCCGAAGAAAAUAAUGAGGAAAAUCUGGAAAAUCCCUUAGAGAAAUCCAGAAAGAAACUACCGUUUAUACGCUCUGGAAUUCCAUCAUGACAGAGAUAAUAUGUUUCCCGCAUAUAUAUAUACAUAUAUAUAUAACCAUAAUCAAUAGAAACAUCAGAAUGGUCUCACCUGAAUUUUCACCAUCAACUUCCUUUCGGCAUAUCAGAAAAGAAUUCCAAAAUAUAAGAAAUGUUGAUCAUAACUAACCAGAUUAAUAGAGCUUUCCAUCUAAUAUCACAGUUGCUAACGUUCUAAUCUAACAAGAUUUUCACUAGGAAUGGGCAACGAUACAUAUUCCCAAGGAUAGAGGAAAAUACAGAAUACUUAGAAGAGAGAGAUAGCCAUAAACUUUUUACUUAAUUGAAUCCGUCAUACUCAGACAUCCUUGCAAGUCUGACAUCAUUCCUCUGAUUAAUUCUGUCCUCACUAAUCCCAUAAUAUUCCAUUAUUGUACUCUUUAGUUCCACUUUUGCAAGUUUAUACUAUAAAUCUCUCGCGAGUCUCAUCAUAUAACUCUAUUCUGCUAGGGGGUGAAGAUUGUAAAGCCUUUAAAUUUUUCAACUCUUACAAAAAUAAACAUUUAACAAAAUCACCGCAUCAUGCACAUCUGAUUCAAACAUUUCAAAUUUCUAACUUGUUAUAAACACACUUUCACAUAUCUUAGUAACACAUGCAACUUUAUUUCAUAAGAAUAUUAGCCAAACAUCAGUGAACUUAUCACAAUACAAAUUUUCAUUUCUUUUACUCGAAUCAUCAUUAAUAUCUAAUCAAGUUUCAACACUUAGCCUUAUUUUACUUACCAACCUUUAUCAAAUUAGAGAACAUCUUACAGUCUUGAGUACAUCAUUGAUGCCAUAGUCCAACUAUGGUCUUGUAUUAGCUCUCAUCCAUCUGUGUCGAUGUCGUGUCCCAGAUAGGUCUUACACUAACACAUAUCAAGCAAUGCCAUGUCCCAGAUAUGGUCUUACACUAGCUUUCACAUCUGGCUGAUGUAUGUCCCAAACAUGUCUUACACUAGCACACAUAUCUGAGUCGAAGCCAUGUCCCGGACACGGUCUUACACUGACACAUCUUGUAACCGAUGCAUGUCCCAGACAUGUCUUACACUGGCUUACGUCCUGAGGCAGAUGCAUGUCUCAGACAUGUCUUACACUAGCACUCGUUUCAAUGCCGAUGCCAUGUCCCAAACAUGGUCUUACACUAGCUCUCAUAAUGUGGCCGAUGCAUGUCCGAGACAUGUCUUACACUGGCGCACAUAUCAUAUGCAUUGCCAUGGUCCAACCAUGGUCUUAUCCGUCAAUUCAUCAUUGAACGAUCGUACUCAUUUCCAGCGUUCUACUCAAUUUGAUCUUUCAUUUCAGUUUUCAUGCUAUCAUAACAUUUAUGACAUCUUUAAUGCAGAGAUUUAAACAUAAAUGUCAAUCACAUGUACAUACUAAUUAGACAUCAUUAAAUAGAAGUACUUAUACACACAUUCUGUCAUUUCGAGUAAAGUUUUCUUUUCAUAAUCACUAGGCCAAAUGAGUUAGGCACGUAACAUCGUAUGAAUACUAACAUGCAUGAAAGAGCUUAUCACAACUUAACUUUCAUUUCAUCCUACGCUUCCACAUUCUUCAACUCAUGAUUAUCACAUAUUGAGUAUUAAUUCAUAAAAAAAUCAUGAAUUUAUUUUCAUACCUUUCCAAAUUUCAACAUAUCACAAGCACGUUUCAAUCAUCUCAAUAUUACUUCUAUCAUUAACAAGAUUUGCUCGGUUGGAAAUCUUUCCUGUCUUAGCAAACAGUUUCGUUAGUGCCAGGAGAUAUCACACUAUCACGAGUAGUACUAUGGCAUGUAUAGCUAGACUCACUUAUGCUAUGUUAGUCUGAUAAUCGACUAAACCAUGCUCUGAUACCACUAAAUAUAACAUUCUUCGCCUGUAUCCGACGUCGAGAUAGGGUUCGAGGUGUUACUGGAUUUCAGCCAACACUUUCAUACUAAAUCGACCAUGAAAUUUCGUUCCACUUUAAAAAUUUUCAUUUCACAUGCAUACUAUCCCUUAAACGAGCUUACGAGGCCCAAAACAUACAUUCAGGGUAGUUCGGAACCAAACCGCGAACUUAAAAAAAACUUGGAAAAUUCAUGCUUUAAGGCUCUACACGCCCGUGUAAUCAUUUUGACAUGGCCGUGUUGGUUGCCCGUGUGCACCACACGGCUUAGUGUUUAUCGGGACACGCCCAAGUGUUUAGUACCAUGCAUAUUGACUUGAAUUUUCAAGGUGCAGGGAAUACACGGCUGGGUCACACGCCCAUGUAGGCAGACCGUGUGUCACACACGGCCUAGACACACGCCCAUGCAUCUACCUGUGUGGACAAAUACAAUGCUAUUUUCCAAGCCAUUUUGUCACCCUCACAACAUAUGCACACAUACUUAUACAAUAGCAUACAACAAGGCAUACAUGGGCACUUAAACGUCCAUAAACAUGUUAUGAUCAUGUCAAUUUCUCAUGUAAUAGAUAUCAUAGAUUUUACUCACAUCUUUACCACAUUCAUGCCAUAAUCAUUAUAAACUCAUUACAUAAGACCAUAGCACAUGCAUGCAUACAUAAAUAGGUUUACAACCUCAAUAGCUAAUGUAAGCCAAUACAUUUGGCUAAAACAAAUGUCACACACUCAAAUAUUUAAACUCCUAUACAUGCCAUAGACUCAAAGUCCUUGAAACCAAUUACACCAAUAGCGAUAGCUUGAUAGCGUGAUAAUAUCUCCGACGAACUCCAACCCGAGCUAACCUAGAGACAUUAGAGAACAUGGGAAAGGAAGGGGGUAAGAUUUAUACUUAGUAAGUUCAUAUGAAAACAAUAGGCAACUCAUUAACAUGCUUUUAUCAAGGUUCCCAACAUAUUCUCAAGUUCAUGAUAAGUUGUCUUCUUGUACAAUGGUCAAUAAAAUAUUUAUAUCUAGGGCUAAAAAACUUGAAAUUAAGUUCCGUUAAUUUUUCUUGAACUAGAGUCGUGUACCUUUCUACCAUACAAUUUCCAGAAUUUUUGAUUUAGCCAAUUAGUAUAGUUUAUUCCUCAAAUUUACCCCUGAUUCACUGUCUGACAGUUCCGACCCUUCUGCACUAAAGUUUAAUUAUCUCAUAGCACAAGCCUCGAAUAAUGUUAUCGUCUAUUUAUCUUGCAAAUAGACUCAUGAAGGACUCUAAAAAUAUAAAUUAUAACUCAUAAAUAUUUAUGUACAAUUUAUAAUAAUUUUCUAAAAUCAGAAUAGGGGAUUUCAAAUUCAUUCUGACUAUGUCUAACACAACUUCAAAGAUCUCACUAUAGGAAAUUCUUUUUCUUACACGGUUUCUUUUAGAAGAAACUAGACUCAAUAAUAUUUAAUUCCAUUAUUUAUUCAGCAUCUAACUGAUUUUUCACUAUUUUUAGUGUAUUUUCAAAAUUACACCACUGCAGUAGCCCAAAACUAUCAAGGCUAAUUUACUUAUUCACAAUUAUUGUUCACCAAAUUAAUACCACAUCAUUUCAUCCAUCAGGGUAAGAACACAUAGCUAUGCAUCAUAAGCAUGGACCCCUAAUCUCAAUGUCAUCAAGUAUCAAAGACAUAGUCCUAAUCAUGUCUUUUUCAUAGUAUUCACCAAAUACUAUAUACAUCAUAGAUUAUCUCAUAUCAAGGCAUUACUCAUAAGUUUAGUGUACAUACUUGUACAACUUGUAACAUAACUCAAGUACAUACUCACCAAUGACUUACCUCAUUGGGACCAUUAUCAAAUCUUUCCUUGGAUUUCCCGUUGAACACUUGGAAUACUAAUGGAUACGCGGAUGAUUGCACAUAAGUGCUAUAUACACAGCUAGACCACUCAAUAGCGCGUAAUAUAUGUAGCCAAAGCUACCUCAUAACAUGUAACACAUCCAUAAUGAACACGGACCACUCAACGAGCUCGGAUGCUACAUGUAUCACAUCCAUCAUGAACUUGAACCACUCAAUGAGCUCAGAUGCUCACAUCCAUAAUGAACUCGGACCACUAGAUGAACUCAAAUGUUACAUGCAUCGCGUCCAUCAUGUUCAUAACAUAUUCAUACUUUCAUGGAAAUAAUUGACAUUUAAGGCAUGUGUCAUCAAACACAUCACAUGGUAACAAUAAAGCAUUUAAUUUUAGAUAAUUCAUAUACCACAUUUGUACAAUAUCAAGUAUUAAGCACAUGAUAAUGAAGUUGAUAAAUUACUUUCAUACAAACUUACUCCUUUCAAAGAAACAUCAUAUUCCAUCAAACUUCCAAUAUGUUAAAUCAUAUAAUAUAUGCAGUAUUAACAAGGAAUGUAAUUCAAACAUAACUUUGCAUUAUUAUUAUCAUACGAACUUACCUCGACACCAAAUUGGUAAAAUAGGCCUAAACAUCAAUUUCUCGUUUUUUUCUCGUUCUAAGCCCGAAUCUCGUUUUUCAUCAUUAGCAUGGGAGUUUCUUUGCUAAAAUUUUCCAGCUUCAAAACCCUUUCUUUGCUGCAUAUUUUGGUGGAGGAGAAGAGAAAAAGUGAUAGCUUUUUCUUUUUGAUUUGUUAAUAAUAAAACUAGUCAAAAUUGGUGACCAAAUUUCACCUAAUUUUGACUUUUCAACAAUUUUGUCUCCCAUGGCCGGCCAUGCUUUAUUUAAGGGUCUUAUUGCACUUUAAAGGCCCCCAAUUUUAAUUAUCUAGCUAUUAGACACAUUUAGGUACUAAAAUACAACUUUUACCUUUUUCGCGAUUUAGUCCUUUUUCGAAAUUAAGCUAGAAAUUUUUAAAAUAAAAUUACCAAAAUUUUCUUGCACCUUUAUAAACAUGCUAUAUCACAUAAAAUAAUCAUUAAAAUAAUUUUUCUGACCUCAGAAUAGUGGUUCCGAAACCACUGUUCCGACUAAGCCCAAAAUCGGGCUGUUACAUAUUAAAAUUAGAUCUCUACUUCUUUUAUACUUCUUGUUCCUAUAAAUAGAGACUCUAAUGAAGCAUUGUAAAUCACUCCUUUUGAUCAAUAAAUGACAUUCUCUAUUGCUUUCAUAUUUUCUUUGUUCUUUAUUCUCUCCAUCUCUCUUUAUUUUAUAACAAAAAAAUAUUUUUUAAAAUUUUUAAAAAAUAUAUUUUCUAAAAUUAAAAAAUGAAAAUAAAAAUAAAAAGUCUUUAAAAUUAAAAAAUAAAAUAAAAAUGAUUUUACAAAUAUAAACAAAAAUUUCAAAAUUCAAUGUUGACUAAAUCGGACCAAAUCGAGUGGUCAGAUUGGGAACAAAUUUAGGUACCAGUCUGGUGAAAGGUAAAAAAAAUGAAAUGACCCACAAAUCUGUACGGAUUGGUUUAACUGAGCUAGAAAAUCGAUUGUACCAACAACUGAAUCAGUUUCGAACUGGAUUGACUAAUAGGUUCCCAAAACAACUGCUCUAACUGGUUCAAAGCAAAAAAUUUAUUAAAAAUAAAAAUAAAAAUAUUUUAAGAAAUAUCAAAAUCAAUUCAAUUUUCAGUUCAAAUUUUUUUUUUGUCCAGUUCAACUAGUUCAUAUCAGUUCGCGGGUCUACUGGUUGUUAAAAUUUUAUAACUUUAUUAGUGUUAUAAAAUAAAGAGAGAUGAAGAGAAUAAAGAACAAAGAAAAUAUGAAAGCAAUAUAGAAUGUACUUUAUUGAUCAAAAAGUGUGAUUACAGUGCUUCAUCAGACUCUCUAUUUAUAGGCAUAGGAAGUAUAAAAGAAAUAGAGAUCUAAUUCUAAUAACUAUUAGAAUUUAAAGUAUAUUAAAAUUUUAUCUUGAUCAUAAUGGACAUCCACUUAAUAAGAUAUUCAUAACAUUCCCCCUUGGAUGUCCAUUGGUAGAUAAUGUGCCUCGUUAAAACCUUAUUAGGAAAAGCCCUGUGGGAUAAAAACCUAAUGAAUGAAAAAGAGUAUUCAAUCUAUAAUGCGCAUAAUAUGUUGUCUCAUUAAAAACCUUACCAGGAAAACCUAAUGGGACAAAGGCUCGAUUAAGGGAAAAAUAAUGCAACCCGUAUUUACUUCCCCUUAUGAAAACAUCACUUUUUUUCUCAUAUUCUACGUAUUCAAUCUUGAAUACUAGUUUUUCAAAUCAUUAUUUGAAUGUAUUUGCUAAGCAUUUAUAUUACUAUUCUUUUAAAAGUCAUGAGCAAGGGAAAUUUGGGGAAAUAUAUUUUGAUCUCUUCAGGAGAUGCAACAAUAAUCAUAAUAAACUUUAAUCAUGAUUCUUUUAUAAAAACACAAAUAGGUAUUUUGGAUCAUUUUAUAAUCCUCCUUCAACUACUAUUCACUAAGUCAAAUUUACCACAUAUGUUCAAAUUAUUUCAAUUCAUACAAAUGAACAAUUUCUCAAGAAUUUCAAUAUGCGUCUAGCAUCCUAAAUCCUUCAAGGAUUUUAAUAUAAAUUUUACUAUAUAGUGAUUCAUAAAAGGUUGUAACAAUAACUAUUAGACGCAAGUUAAAUCUUUUAUGAAUUGUUAAUUUAAUAAUAUAUCUAAAGGUUAUUGCAUUCACAACAAAAGAAUAUUAUAUCUUUUCAUAAUCAAUGCCAGGACUUAGCGAAAUACUUCAUAUUUUUAUUCUGCUUUUGCAAAACCACUACAUUGCACCUUCAUUGGCUUUAUACCUUUAGAUAUUUGGACUACUGGUCCAAAAACUCCACAAAUUUAAUUGUACUUGAGUUGGGUCUUUUUAUUUUGAUCAAUUUAUUCCAUAUCUAUAUUUCUCAAUAGAUUUAUUCAAGAUCCUCCUUUUAUUUCAUUAUUUCAAUAAUAAUAUUGCAUGCAAAAUCAUUGUCAACCACUUUUAUUAUUCGAUUCCACAUUUUCUCAAAUUGACAUAACUUAUCGAGAUCUCUUAUUUUCAUUAUUUUAAAAUUUAGUUUCAGGUACCUGAAUCUCUUCUGAAGUUUUACUUAUUAGUUAAGUCUUGGGUCUCUUCUGGAGCACCCGCCUCCUCUAUAUAACCAUCCAGAAGAAUUUUCAUAUUUGGAACUAAUCAAUCUAUUAUUUAUUCCAACUGAUUGUCCUACUGGGACUUUGAUUCAAAUUAAAAUAUUAGAUGGUAUAUAACACUUGGUUAUUCUCAUUAAGUUUGUAAAUACAUCUAACAGUUAACUUGUAAUGAGUUAUCCUUAUUGAACUUCUAGUUCAAAUUAUUCUCCCCCUAACUCAUUGCAAGUUAUUAUUUCUCUCCCCCUAAUGUCAAAAAAACUAUUGAAUCAAAAUUGUAAUCACAAAUCGUGUCAUAAUUGAAUCUCAAAUACAUUCAAAACAUCUAAUAAUAUAAAGAAACUUGUAAGUAAUUAAUAUAUAUUCCCAACUUUCUUUGAGGAUUCACUCAUCUUUGUGUGUUGUGGUGGACAAUUGGAACAUAUACACACAUAGAAAAAAUUCAAAGAUGAGAAAUAUUUAGCACUUGAUCAAAAAACAAUUGUAAUCGGAAGUAUUUAUAACUUAUUGGCUUGAUGCGUAAACACGUAAAUCAACAUAAUCUCAUGUUGAAAUAGAGAGUUUAGUUCUCAUAAGUAAUGGUUUAGACAUUAAUCAGAGGUGUUUAAUCAAUAAUUUCUCUAAACAAUUAUGCACAAACUUUUACAAAAUUUUUUCAAACUCAAUCAAUAAAAGAUUGAGAUAUAAACUCAUCUGUAUUAGCAAGAUGAAUUGUCUUAAUUGUAUGAUUUGAAAUCAAUUAUUUAAACAAGCAAUCUUGCAAACGACAGGUUACAAAUUGAUAACACAUAUGUGAUUAUCUUGUAGAUACAUCUACCAAAAAAAUAUAAUGUCAAAACCAUCCACAUGGUGGAUGAAUGGGCCCAUAUUUGUUUUAGAAAUGCAAGAUAUUAAAUCUCAACUAUAGCUAGUGAGUUUCUAAGAAUCAAUUUUCAUUUGGAACAAACAACAAAUGAGAAUUCUUUAAAUUAAAGAAUCUUCUAGUUCUUUAAUGAAUAUCCAUAUAAAUUCUUAAUUAAUUUUCACAUCAUAUAUGAUCCAGGAUGGUCUAAUUGGUCACGCCAAAUAGUAAAUGUAUGUGCAUUAGUAAACUUCUGGUUUACUUUAACAUGUUUUUCAAUUGUACUAAUAAUGUAAAAUAUAAAUUUUGAUAAUUGAUAAUUUUAUUGUCAUUCUUUUUAUUUUGUAUCCACAUAUAAAUACUAUUGUGACAUUUACUUCUGGAAAUGUCUAAAUCAAUGUGAAGUCUAUAAUACCACUAAGUCAAUAAAUAAAUAUAAUUUUCAAACAAUUAUAUGUAAUAUUCGCUUCAGGGAAUAUGUCAAAAUCUUCAAAUAUAAGGCAUUUGGUCUAGUGGUAUUUUUCUCUCUUAGAGUGCAAGAGGUCUUGAGUUCGAUUCAAAAUAUAAAUAACCCAAUCCUUUUCUGAUUCAUAUGAAAUAUAAUGUUUUCCUCAUUCACAAUCUCAAUAUGAGAUCCAUUAUUAAUAUCUUUUAAAAUUAAUCCAUUAACCAUCACAAAUUUUGUGCUUUUUAGAUAUUGAUAUAUUAGCUCUUCUAGAGCUUUCAACUAAUUUUGCACUAUCAAAUAUUGGAAUAAUAUUUGUUUGUUUUAGUACCAAAUAAGAUAAAUAUUUUCUAUCUGUAAUGAUAAAAUCCAUUACUACAUUCUCAUAUCCUUCCUUAAAGAAUAUUAACAGAGACAGAAUGUUUGGGCAUACACCAUAUAUGUGACCAAUAAUCUUUCAUAUCACAUUGAUAACAUAAGUUAUCUUUACCCUUUGAAAAGUUAUCUUGAGAACUCUCAUUGUUCUCUUAUUUAUUACUAUAUUCCCACUUUUAGUGGUCAAUGAUUAUAUCUUUUAUUUUCUUUAUGUUUACAUUCACUUCGAGAGAUGCAACAAAUUUAGUAGGAAGGACUUAUAAACAUCCCAACUGAUUCUUUAUUUUAUAAUCACCAUGGCAAACAUGCGUGAGACUUCAAAUCAAAAUCUAUCUAUUCAUGUUGUCAUGAUCAAUCUCCAAUUAUAAUAAACAUGAUAUAAUAAAUAAAACAUAGUAAAAUAUACCUGAAGAUUUUUGUAACGCCCUGAAAAAUUUAUUUUUUUUCCUGUAAAAUCUAACACAAAUAUAUGUCUGCUUCUGUGGUUAAGUGUUCUGGGUAUGUGUGAGAGGUCUUGGGUUCAAGUCUCACCUCUGCUAAAUUUUGUGAUUUUUGGAAUCAAACCUUAUAUUUUUUCAGUGGGCUUAUAUUAAAUUAUCUGUAAAUCCAUAUCAGAAUGAGCUUACUGGUUCGAGUGGUAAGGGUGUUGGUGUGUUGGAGGUCCUAUGUUUGAAUCCUUGUGCAAACGUAGGUAUUAUUUUUGUUCGGUUAGUUGAUAAAGUUUUGAUUGAGCCAAACUUUUGAGGUAGUUGUGUGUAGUGGGUUAGUGGGAGAGAUAUGGGGGACUUUGGGAUAUUAUCUUUUAUUUUAUUUUUGUUUUUUUUCAAAAAAAAUAUUUUCUCUCUCUCUCAAAAGAAUUUUGACAUCUCUACUCUUCCCUUUUCAGGGUCUCUACAAAUUUUUCUUUGUUUUCAAUUGUUCUUUGAUUCUGUCACUUUCCUUUUUGUACAAACUGUCUUAUUUCAGCUUUUUGGUGAUCUUUGUGCGUUUCUGGUAAGUCUAGUACAUGUGGUUUUUGUUUUGGUUUCUAAAUUGAUGGUUAAUAAGGCUCGUUUUCUACUUAAAAGAAGAUUAAAGGGUUGGGUGUUUCCAACGGCGCUCUUGUUGUGCGAAAUCGUCGUUGUUUGCUCGAAGGUAAGGGUUUUGUUAUAUUAAAAGGAGUGUUCUAUUUGAUAUAGUCUGGUUGAGUAUCGUUUUUAAAUAACUAAUUCAGUAUCUGGUUGGACAAUUUUAGGUUUUAGUGUUUCGGGAGUGUUUUUGCAUCAAAAUCGUAACAGGUGUGUACCCGAAAUGAAGAAAACAAGGUUUCGACAAAAGCCAAAAAACUGCACUGUCGAUGCUACACGAGCGUGUGGUCGCCCGUGUGGAGCCUAGUGAGUGGCGUGUGAGCCACACUGUUAGGCCUAGUUGGGCGUGUGGGCCACACGGUCAUGUCAGCCCACACGGGCAUUCCACAUGGGCGUGUGAGUUUUUGGGCUAGGCCGUAUGGGCCACACGGGCAAGGCCAAUUUGGACGUGUGGACCCAUAUUUCUAAAAUUUAUCCUAGGGUCGCAUGGGUCAUUCUGAUCGACUGUGCACCUACCGUAGGGUCGGUAAGGGCUAACCAAACCCUAAAACUGUGGAUCUGAUAGACUGAUAUUCUGUUCUAAGUAUGUAAUGCUAUGCAUGUCUGAUUGUUAUGCUAGAUGCAUAUCUGUUAUCUGUAUAUGAGCAUGUUGAACAUGUUUAAUUUGUUAUAUUUGUAUUUGAUUUUUGCAUCUGUUUAUUAGGGUGGGAUUGUAUAUUAGGAAGUGUUCUAAAUGGGGAUCAUCGCCUAUUUUCUAGUAGCUUGGCUGCACAUUAUCUGACUUGUGUCGUAUUGGCACGAUAUGAUGUGUAGUGAUGGGUGGGUGUGUUUAACCCCACAUGGUGUGGUGGGAUGGAUAGAGUUAGUGUGUAGAGGAUGGGGAUAGGAUUCUAUAUGUUCUGAUCUAUAUAUCUGAUUCCGAUGACUGUAUCUGAAAUGGGCAUGAGCCCGAAUCUGUAUCUGAUUGUUAUGAGAUUUAUGUAUGUUUGCAUGCUUAAUUAUGUUGGGUUACACACUGGGUUUACAAAAACUCACAUCUGUUUGUCUGUUUUAUCCAGGUAAUCCACAAACUUAGGCGGAUUGGUGAGGCGGAAACUCAACGGUGACCACUCGACUGUAAAUUGUUUAAAUUUAAUAAUUUAUGGUUUUCAUAUUAAAUUUCAGAUUAUUUGAGAGUUUGUAAAUUUCUGGACUGCAUAGACUUUUAACCGUUGAUUUUGGUUUUCGAUAAUUUGUUAAACUGCACACUUCAAUAAAAUGUUUUAUGAUAACGAAGGUUUUAUACAAAUAAAGUUUUUAUAAAAAUACAAAUCGGGUUUUCAGUAAGGUAUCGAUUUUAUUAAACUUCUCUUGUAAUUAAGUUUUGGCAAAAGAAACAGUUAAUUAACGUUUUCGAUUAGGUUUAUAAAAGAUUUGAGAUAAUAGACUGAAGGGAUUUAACGUAACAACUCUAUUUUCAAAACCCAUUCUUUGUGACAUCUUCGGAUUCGGCUAUAACGUCUAAGCCAGGUUUGGGGUGUUACAAUUUUUAACACCAUCAUCAUCACCAUGAUCCAUUAUGGGAUUGAAUCUUUCAACAUCUUGAAGAUGAAGUGGUAAGGGUGAAAGUUUAAGAUGAAAGAGGAAUUGGACUUGGGGGACGACUUCGAAAGAUUUUGAAAAAAAUAGAGAAUCAUCGUGCUGAUAACGUGUUAUAAAAUAAAGAGAGAUGGAGAGAAUAAAGAACAAAGAAAAUAUGAAAGCAAUAGAGAAUGUACUUUAUUGAUUAAGAAGGGUGAUUGUAAUGCUUCAUUAGAGUCUCUAUUUAUAGGCAUAAGAAAUAUAAAAGAAAUAGAGAUCUAAUUCUGAUAACUAUUAGAAUUUAAAGUACAUUAAAACUUUAUCUUGAUCAUGAUGGACAUCCACUUAAUAAGAUAUUCAUAACAAUUAGAACUCAACUUUUAUAGUUUUUUUUUCAAUUUGGUCAAUACCUUUUAAAAGUACGUAAUUUUUUAAAAAAUAUAUUAAAAAUCAUUUUUUAUUUUACAUAUAAAUUAUUAAAAUUUUAAAUUUAUAUAAUUUUUUAAAGAAUAAAAAAUGAGAAAAAAAACAAAAUAUCUUUAUAAUUUAAAAAUAAAAAAAAUAAAGAUUUUAAAAAUAUAAAAAAUUCCAAAACUCAUUUUUAUCUAAACUAGACCAAACCAUUUCAAGAACAAGUUAGGGUAUUGGUCUGCUGAGAGGUAAAAAAUUGAUUGACCCCACGAACCGUACAGACUUGUUGAACCGAGCUAAAAAACUAGUUGAAUUACCAAUUGAAUUGAUUUUUAUAUAAUUUUAAUAUCUUUAUUUUUAUUUUUCAUAAUUUAUUUGCUUUGAACCGAGGGAUCAAUUGCUUUGGGAACCAAUUGGUUAGACUAGAUCAAAAUCGGUUCAAUCGAUUUUUUAUCUCGAUUUAACAAGUCCGUACUAGUUCGCAGGUUAGUUGAUUUUUUAGCUUGUGCUAGAUCGAUACCCCAAUCUGUCACUACACCAAAACAGACUUUUAGCGGCGUUUUAAAAGAAAAUGCCGGAAAAAAUCAAAUAGAUGGAGUUUUAGCGGCGUUUUUAAAAAAAUGCCGCAAGAGAUCGAGCUUUAGCGGCGUUUUUGAAAAAGUGCCGCUAAAGGUUGACCAUUAGCGGCGCUUUUUCAAAAACGCCGCUAAAAGUUUAAGCAAGACGGCGUCGUUUUACAUGAGCUUCAUUGGCAGUAGCGGCGUUUUCCCAAAAACGCCGUAACAGAUCAAACUUUAGUGGCGUUUUUAGAAAAAAUGUCGCUAGAGUUCUGCCUUUUGAGGCUUUUUUAGAAAAAUGCCGCUAAAAUGUUAAACAAAACGACAUCAUUUUAUAUGAGCUUCAAUGACAUUAGCGGCACUUUCCUAAAAACGCCGCAAUAGCUCGCACUUUAGAGGCAUUUUUGUAAAAAAUGCCACUAUAGGUCGCAUAAUUAGCGGCGUUUUUUUGUAAACGCCGCUAAUAGGUUAAGGCAAACGAAGUCGUUUUAAAUUAGCUUCAAUGGCAUUAGCGGCCCUUUACUUAAAACGCUACAAUAUAUCAAUCUUUAACGGCAUUUUUACAAAAACGCCGCUAAAACAUUAAGCAGACCGACGUCGUUUUGUUUGAACUUCAAUGGCAUUAGCGGCGUUUCUCGAAAAACGCCGCUAGAGUUUAUGGGGCAGACACAUUUUCUCUCUUUAACAAAGUAAAACACAAUAAAAUCAUUACAUUUUUUAGUUCUUUAUUACUUAAUAUUAGGUGUUUAUGGGUGCUAAAUAUAAUAUUUGUUUAAAUAUAAUAUCAUAUAUUUUAUAUUUGUUUGAAUUUAUUUUUAGUGGGGCUUAAAAUAUAGGUUUAACAUUUUGUUAAAUCCCACUAAUACUUGCAAAUGAUUAACCUAAGUCUAUUUUAAGUCCAAUCAUAUUAUAUUUUUAAUUUUUGUAAAAUUAUGUCAUUUUAAUUUAAUAUUUUUUAUUUAUUUAAUUUCUUUAUAUAGUUAUCUUAAUAUUAUUUUAAUGUUUAUAUUAGACUACUAUAUAUUAUACAUUUAGUAUAAAUUUAUUUUUUUAUAAAUUAUAAAAUUACAUAGUAUAUAUAUAAAAUAUUAUGAAGUUGAAAACGGAUUAGACCAAACUCAAGUGUUAAAUGUUUCAGUCUAACUUAUUUUUUAAAUGAAUUUAAAAUUUUCUAUUUAAACUGAUUUUUAAAUUUAAUAUUUUUAUAGGUUUAAGGGUUAUGAUUUAUGGUUGAUGAUUUAUGUUUUAUGAUUUAGGGUUUGAGGUUUAUAAUUUAAAAGGUUAUGGGUUUAGGGUUUAAGAGUUAGUGGUUAGUGGUUAGGAUUAAGGGAUAUAUAUGGGUUUAAGGUUUAUGGGUUAGGUGUUAAGGGUUUAUAUGGGUUAAGAGGAUAGAGGAUAGGGGUUUAGUGUUUUAAAGUUUAUUAUUUAGGGUUUAUUAUUUAGGGUCUAAGAUAUUAGUGUUUAGUGAUAUUAUGGUUUAAGGGUUUAAGGUUUAGGGGUUAUGAGUUUAGGGGUUAAGGGUCAAUGGUUUAUGAAUUAUGUUUUGUGGUUUAAGGUUUAAGGGAUAGAUGUUGGGGUUAGGGGUUAUGGUUUAUGAUUUAUACUUUAAUGGUUAAUUAAGGUUUAGGGUCUAGGGUUUGGGGUUUAGGAUUUAUAGUUUAGGGUUUAUGGUAUAGGGUCAGGGUCUUAGCACUGUUCAAGGAUUUAGGGGUAAUGUUGUCAGGGUUUAAUGUUAUGGUUUUAGCUGGUAAGCAAUAAGAUUUUAUUUUUAGCGUUUUAGGAUUUUAGGGUUAGGGUUUAGGGUUAUAUUUAGUGUUUAGGGGUUAUCAGGUUUAAGAGUAUACAUAUUUAAUAUUUAAGGGGUAUAUUGGGUUAGGGAGAUUUUAGGGUUUUAAGGUUUAGGGAUUGGGUUUUAUGGUUUAUGGUACGGGGCUUAUGGUUUGGGUUUGGGAUUUGGGGUUUGGGAUUUAGGGUUUAGUGUUUAUUUUUGGAAAUAAAAACUUAAAAAUUUAAAAUUUAAUAUUUUAGUUACUAAGUUAAAUAAAAAAAAUAUAAAAAAUGAUAAUCUCAGCAGGAAAAUUUGAAAUAAAAAAAUAUAUGUUAAAAAUGAAAAAAAAAUUAAAAUUAUGAAUUAGUGGCGUUUUUUCAAAAACGCCACAAAAAAUGAGCUAUAAUGGUGUUUAUAAUAAAAAACGCCACUAAAAGUUGACCUAUACCGGCGUUUUAAAUAAAAACGCCGCAAAUAUUUGAGUUUUAAUAGGUUAAACGGCGUCGUUUUUCUUUCAUUCUCUUUAUCCCCAAGUUAAGCCCCGAUACUUAGUAUUUUUUCCCAAAACAAAUUUUUCCCUAUACCCUCAGUUUCCCUAAAUCAAACCCUAAGUUACUUUCCUCCAUAUUUCACCGAUUGAAGGCCUGAGCUUGGUGUUUCUUCUCAAUCGAUCUUCAUCCCCUUUUUUUAACUCUCUUUCUCUCUCAAAUCCUCGAUUCCACUUCACUCUCCAGAUCUCCCCAGGUAAUAUUCAAACCUUUCUUACGUUUUUUUUUUCUAUUAUUCUUUAAAUUUAUCAUCUUUUCACUUUGCACUUCUUUCUCAUUUGUAUUUCAUCUUAAAAUUUGAAAUUGUUGUAGAAAUUCAUUAUCAAUAAAAUGUCAAAAUUUAUGACUAUUUUAACACAGACCAAUCUGACGAGCCUUCAUUGUGCUGCUGAACAAUCUGCUUGUUGUCUACGGCAAUAUAAAUCGUAAGUGUUGCUUUAAAUCCUAAUUGAUGCGCAGUUAUUUGGUUUCUGAAGUUCUAUUAACACUCCUAAUCCUGUUACUUUCAUUUAUUUUCAUGGGGAGUGGUGGUUUUUUUUUCCUUCACUGGCAAACAGAAGGUCAGGUAACUUUAAUUUCUAAGUCUCUGUUUCUUUUAAUUUCUAAGUCUCUGUUUACAAAUACAAAUACAUAAGCUUAUGUACAUUGUUGAACGUAUGGUGUUCCAUAAAGGUUAGGCUGAUUGGAUAGUGUUGUAGGUUUCCUUGCUUAAAUAUUUUGUUUCUUUUAAUGGUAUUGAGCUUGGUCCUAUUUCUUCUCACAAUGGUCUUCAUUAGGGUGACCUGAUUUCAUUGUAUUUGUUUAUUUUGUGCACAAAGGGCUUUAGCUAUUGGUUGCGAAAAGCCAGGAGUAGAGGCAAUUUGCAUGGUAUCAAUAUAGGAUGGAUUAGUAAUGAUUAAAUUAAUAAUAGAUUGAUGAGGAAAAUAUAGUUAUUUUCAUGUGAUCAUCCUUGGGGAAAUUAAUAAUUGUCUUUGUUGAUAUAUAUAUAUAAGGGGUAAGUUGGUGAUUAAGCUUAGAUAAAUUUAUAUCAUAUUAGUUGAAUUGAUUAUGGUAACAUUUUUUAUAAAAUAAUAAUACUUGAUUUUAUGGAAGGUAAAAAAACUUUGGUGAAUUAAAGUAUAUAUAUUACUUACUUGUGACUUGGUGAUUUAUUGAGUUAAAACUUAUCGUUAUAUUUAUAUUGUGCUCUCAUAAUUUGAUUUCAAUUAUGCUUUAAUAGACCGUUAAAAAUAAUCAAAUGAUAAUGGUGUCGAACAUAACUUAAGGUACAUAUACUUGACUACUUGAUUUCUAUUGAAAUAUGUCAAAAUAUGUAUACAUUUGUGACUGUGAAAAUUGAAUUAUAAUAAUGUUAUACUAUCUUAUUUAUAAUAUGUUAUGAAAAUUUUAUUAUAAUAUGCUUUGGUUAGAUAUGGAGCUAUAAAAUUUCUUUUGUUGAGUUUUAAUGCUUGAGUAAUGAAUAAGCAUGCAUGGUUAUAAGUAUUAAGCCAUUUAAUCAACUACACUAGGUUGAGUUGACUUGAUUGCUAAGUUGUCUAGAUAUUUUAUUACAUAAUUGUUUGUUAAACUGAUGCAUAUGAAAAUACUAUAAAAUUUGCUUAAUUUUGCAUAAAUUGAUUGGUGUUUGAAUGCAUUUAAAUGUUCAUUUUAGUUAAUAUCACAUUAGUGUUUUGUCAAAACAUAAUGAUUAUGUCUUGAGAUCCUAAGAACAAAAAUAAUCAAAUUGUACAUUUCUGGGUACAAGUCUCUAGACUUACCAAGCAAGCCUUAAGAUAAUCAUGAUCGGAGUCUUGAGACACAAAAGUUUGUGUCUCAAGACUGUAAAACAUCGAAACUAAAAUUAUUUUCAAUUUUUCAAAAAAUUGUACUAUCUUUGAUUUUAAUAUUGCUCUUAAUCAUGGAGAUACUGGGGCUUACUGUUACUUACUAAGCAUAAUAUUAGAAGCUUUAAUUUUUUGUCUGAGUGUUCACUUUUUUCUUAGUCCAAAUCUUAGUCUACACAUUUGCAGGGUAAGUAGUUUCAGUCAUGGCUUUAUCUCGUCGUCUUUGCUUGCCAUUCUUAUGGUUUCUCCUCCUGUGCUUGCUUUUGCUGAUUCAUUUAAAUAUCAUCACUGUGAUGCCGCAAUAACACAAUCUAAACAGGUUUAGUUAACAAGAAUUUUAAUCAUCACUUUAUACAAGUAAAGACUAAUUUAAUAAUUUUUAUAAUUAAAAUUUGUUUAUUAUAAAAUUCUGUUGUUACGAUUGAAAAGUUCUUAGAUAUUAUUAUUUAUUAUUUUAAUUAACUAUGAAUAAAUCGUAUAUAUACAGUGAAUAUUAAUUGAAGUUCAUUUGUAUAUAUGAUAUAUCAAAUUAUGAUCAGUUAUUAUUUGAAUAAAAAAUUAUUUUAAUAAUUUAUAAAUUUAUGUAAAUUAAAGUUUUUUUAAAAAAUUUAUUAAAGUAAAACGUUGUGUUGACGUAGCUUUAUUUUUAGUAAUUCUUGUAGCAUCUAUUUUUUUUAUCAUUUUAUUUGUUUAUUCCCACCUGUUAUUAGCAAAUAUAAUUAAUAUUAUACCAAUCAUUAAAUGUUGUUUAUUUUUAGAACUCAUUUGAUUGUUUUGUCGACCAAAAACAAACUUCUGUUCUUCAAAUGCAAUGAGUAGGGAAGUCUCUCGACAUUAUUAGAGAUCAAUCCCAAGCAUCUCCAAAUAAACCCUAAAGAAAACAUUUCCAAUUCAAUCAACGUAAACAUUGUCUUCCCUAACAUUUAUGUUUCUUUCAACAUGUUUUUCCUUUUAUGUUUUUAAUGUUUAUGAUGAAAGAUUCAACAUCUCUAGAAACUGAAUCAUGCAUUUUUUCUGCUAGGAUUAGCAAUCUAGUAUGAAUAAGUUUGAUCAUUGUUUAAAUAUAUUAUAAUAUAAAAACGUAAUGGGUGUUAAGAUUUAUUCUACUCCACUUUCAAGAUCGGGUUAGUGUUCAAUUAACUGACGUAAGCCUACCACUGUUAAGAUUUCUCUUGUUGCUGCAACAAGCAUAAUGGGUGUGACCUCAUUUGCUGCUUAAAAUAUAACAGCCCAGAAUGGAUUACUAUGAUGAGGAAUAAAUAAAUCUGGUAAAUCAGUAUGUUGUUGUUAGGACUUACUUGUGGAAUAUUUUUGACAUCAUGUGAAACUAGGGUGUACAGUGUUUUCAAGUAGAAGCAGAACAAUGUGCACCUGCUUCCUGCUUCUAAAGUUCCAUCUAUGUCAGCUUUUCUCCAUUGCAGUGAAAAUGGAAGAUGUAUGCCUGUGUGUUUGUGUCUUUAUAUAUGUAUGUAUUUGGUACUAGAUGAAAGCUUUACUCCAGUUUUGAAAUAUAGACCAAUUUUUGCAUACAUUGAUCAUUUUCUGCCUCUUUUCCUUUGAAUACAUCGUUCUCUUGAUACUAAAUACUCAGGUACUUUCUGCAUAUUCUGUGAUUCUUAUUAGAUAAGUUAUAUAUCAACAGUUAUGUUAGUUUUCAUCAAGGCCUCUGUAAACAUAAAGUUGGUACUCUGGUUAGGAGAAGUUAAUGUUUAUGAGUUGUGUGGAGUAUGAUUCUGCACAUGCAAAGUUGGUUUGUUUAAAGCUGUGCAUUUUUAAGUUGAUGUUCAACGGCGCAAAGAAAAGAAAAGAAAAACUUAAAGCAUUUGUUAGGUUAAUUAGUCUUUGCUUUAGUAUGAUUUUCAUGUUUUCAUAAUAAUGGUGAUUCCAUUUUGGUUUUUUAGAUGUUCUUUUAGUCUGUUUUCAUGUUUCUAUUAUGUGUUUAGUAUGGACUUAGAUUGAUUGAAGAGUUUAAUGCUGUCUUGUUGCUCACGUUUUAUAUAAAAAAUUGUUAUAUUUUGUUUCAAAAUGCUUUUCAAUUUCUAAUUAUAAAAUGAGAUGUGGAUUGAAGGUAAUAAAUGCUAUAGUGAAGGAAUAAAAUGGCACUGAUAAUGGUAUUUAGAAUGGCAAGCUUAUAUUGGAUAUAGUAAAUUGCAGUAAGACUCAAUAUAUUAUGAUGUUUUUCAUGGUCAUUGGCAAAUUCCAAUUGAUUGGCGUUGAAGCAAAUAAUUUUAAUAUUUAAUAUUUUUAAAUGUCUUUAAAAGUUAUAACUAAUUUUUAUCAAAAUAGUAUUAAUUAUUAUUUGAAGUAUGAAUAAGUAUGAAUAAGAACACGUGAUAAUCAGUGUCUUCUUGAGUAGAUCCUGUCUUCACAUUCUUAAGUUUCCUUUGUCCCAUUGAUGAUAAGUGUGCUUUCUAUACAGUGCAGUUUUGGCAGAUUUUGCUGAGGUGUACAACUUCAUUGGCAGUGUCUUUGAUCCUGGUACAAGUGGGCACUUGCAGAAGUUGAAGUAGAUGGACCCAAUAAAUUUGGAAACUGUAUGUCAUCCAAAUGAUAGUAAUAAUUUUAUUGUAUACUAAAUAUGAAGUAAUAUAUAUGAAGUAAAAUUAUAUUGUAUACUAAAUAUGAUACAUAUACUUUAAUUCCUUGUGUUUUGACUUUUAGGAUAUAGUUCCAUGUGUCUGUAUUAGUGAAUUAAUGUUGUAUGUAUUUCAGUUACUGCUUCCUGCUCCUCCUGCAGGUAUUGGUUCAACUGAAGCUGCCAUUUAAUCUUCGAAUUAAUAUUUGGUACUGAUAUAGAUAAAGUUUUUAUAUUUGCUUAAACUGAAAUAUAUUUGGUGCUACUCUUAUAAUCUUACAUAUGUUCUAGGUACUAUCGAGCAUCUGAAAUAAUAUUUGGUGCAACUAAAUACACCACAGCCAUUGACAUUUGUUCUAGGUAUGUACAGGUUUCGUUGCUAAAUUUUUUUCCUUAUUUCUAUGCAUUUUCACUUUAAAUUACUUAACAAAUAUUACUUUUUGGACUCCAGCCUCUGUUUGCUGGUGAGAGUGGAGUAGACCAGGUACGUUUUAUUAAGGUACGUUUUAUUUCAAAAUUGUAAUCAAUAAUAGUUUUAUCAUGAUGAUUUUGGAAAAUUUAAUAUUUUGGGGUUGCGAUUUUGUAAAGAUUUAAUUGCUGGUUCUGUUUGGAGCAGAACUAUUUUGUUUCCAAAUUAAUUUUUUUAUAUUUGGUUCAACUUAAUUAUUAUUUGAUUCAACUUAAGUAUGAAUAAGUAUGAAUUAAUUUUAUUACCAUAGAUGUAGCUUGCUUGUCCAUUAUGAUUACAACAAUAGCUGACCUUCUCUCCAACCUUAUUUUAAAUAUUUUAAAGAUUCAAAGUAUAUAGGCUGGAAACCUGACGGGUUGUCUUAUAUCGAGCUGCAAGAUAUAAUGGAUCCUCCCUAGGUGUAACAACGCCACGUAUGAUGAAUCUUAAAAAAUUCAAAGAGACUUGAAAAAAGUUCUAUCGCUAUUGAAUAUUUAUAUAACCUUAAUUUAUUUCCAAUUUACUUAUAAAAAUUAAACUACGAUUCUUUUUUGAUAUUAUUAUAUUCAAAUUACUAUUUUUUAUAUUAAUAAUGUUUGAUUUUAAUAUUUAAUAUUUUUAAAUGUAUUUUUAUAAAAAAAAAGAUUUCAAAAAAAGUUCUAUGGAGCUUAUAAACAAUUUUAUUACCAUAUAUGUAGCUUGCUUGUCCAUUAUAAUUACAACAAUAGCUGACCUUCUCUCCAACCUUAUUUUAAAUUUUUAAAGAUUCAAAGUAUAUAGGCUGGAAACCUGACGGGUUGCCUUAUAUCGAGCUGCAAGAUAUAAUGGAUCCUCCCUAGGUGUAACAACACCACGUAUAAUGAAUCUUAAAAAAUUCAAAAAAUCUUGAAAAAAGUUCUAUCGCUAUUGAAUAUUUAUAUAACCUUAAUUUAUUUCCAAUUUACUUAUAAAAAUUAAACUACGAUUCUUUUUUGAAAUUAUUAUAUUCAAAUUACUAUUUUUUUAUAUUAAUAAUGUUUGAUUUUAAUAUUUAAUAUUUUUAAAUGUAUUUGUAUAAAAAAAGAUUUCAAAAAAAGUUCUAUGGAGCUUAUAAAUAAUUCUAUCGACCUUAAAAAAGAAUUAAAAUUUUCAACAACUGAAGUGCCACUUAUAAAUAAUUUUAUCAAUAUAAUAAUAUUGAUCAUUGUUUAAAUAUAUUAUAACUAAUUUUUAUCAAAAUAGUAUUAAUAUUGAUUAUUACUUAAAUAAAUUACAUAACUCACAUAACGUACAUAACAACUUACAUAACUUAACUAAUACAUGUAGUUUAAUCUAAUAAUUUCCUUAAAAGCAUAUAGUUUAAAGUUCAAAUUUCAUAACUUAUAUAAUCUACAUAACUUACAUAAAACAUAAAUAUAUAUCAUAUCAAGACUUACAUAAUAAACAACUUACCCGUGUAACUUAUUGCCAACUUUAGACUUCAACAACUACGAAAUAGAUAGGACUUGGAUGAAUUUCUCAAGGGCAAGCAACGAGUAUCAAAAUGGAGUGCAAUCUUUUUUAGAUUUUGCAUUUCACAAUUCAAGCCAAGAGAAUAUGAUUCUUUGCCCGUGUAAGAAGUGUGGCAAUAUCUAUUGGCAUUAUCGUGAAGUUGUCUACGAACAUCUAAUUGUUGAUGGCUUCAUUCGGGGGUAUAAAAAAUGGAUUUUCUAUGGAGAGUGUACACCUAGUGGAGCCUCUUCGACGAUUAAUCCGGGUUAUCCUUAUAGUGGUUACCAUCAGUAUGUUAGAGAAGAUGACAUGGAAGGUAUGAUGCAGGAUGCAUUUAAUAUGCGGAGUGAAGGUUUCCAAUCAUUUCCACCAAACUAUGUUGCAUCCGAUGAUUAUAAUAUCGGUGGGAAUACUUUUAUGGAAACAAGAAGAAGUGUACCGGAUGAACAACCGAAUGAAGACGCGGCGAAGUUCCACACGUUACUUGGUGAAAUGAAUGAAGAACUUUAUGAGGGAUUAAAAUUUUUGAAAAUGUCAUUCUAUAUUCGCCUUUUCCACUUAAAAUGUUUGGGAGGGUGGACCGGAAACUCUUUGACAAUGCUGUUAGAGCUUUUGAGAGAAAUGUUCCUGUUUGCAAAAAUCCCUCAAUCAUGUAAAGACAUGAAGAAAGUGAUAAAAGAUUUGGGCCUUGGUACAACAAAAUUCAUAGUUGCCCAAAUGAUUGCAUGUUGUAUUAGGGUGAUCGGAGAAAUCAACAGUCUUGUCAUGUUUGCGGUAAAUCUCGUUGGAUGAAUAGAGAUGUAGAAGAUGCUAAUGAGGAUGAAUAUGGGCCACAGUCAAUAAAGAAGCCGAACAAGAUUUUGCGAUAUUUCCCGCUAAUCCCAAGGCUUCAAUGGCUAUUCAUGUCGUCAAAGACAGUCGAGUUUAUGACGUGGCAUCAUGAUCAACGAACGGAUGAUGGAUUAUUAAGGCAUCCUGCAGAUUCUUUAGCAUGGAAAUCAUUUGACAAUAAAUUUCCAAGCUUUGCAAGUGAUCCUCAGAGUGUAAGGCUCGGGUUAGCAUCUGACGGAUUUAAUCCUUUUAAAAUCAUGAGCACCUUGUACAGUACUUGGCCUGUGGUCCUUGUUCCUUAUAAUUUGCCUCCAUGGCUCUGCAUGAAGCAAUCUUCUUUGAUAUUAUCUAUGAUUAUCCCCGGAGAGAAAGGCCCCGGAAAUGAUAUUGACAUAUAUCUGCAGCCACUUAUUGAAGAGUUAAAACAAUUAUGGGCGGGUGUUGAGACGUAUGAUGUAUUGAGAAAGGAAAACUUUUACCUACGUGCUGCUUUACUGUGGACAAUUAAUGAUUUCUCGGCAUAUGCGAAUUUAUCUGGUUGGAGUACCAGAGGACGUUAUGCUUGUCCUUGUUAUGCUGCUCAAACGUGUUCACAGUGGUUAUAUAAUGGGAAGAAGUUCUACUAUAUGGGGCAUCGUCGGUGGUUAGAUGAAAAUCAUAGCUAUAGAUUUCAGAGGGCUUUAUUUGACGGCACUGAAGAGUUGAAAAAAGCUCCUGAGCAAACCAUUGGAUCUGAAAUCUUAUUCAUGUUAAAAGAUAUGGAUUUCAGUUACGGGAAGCUGAAUCAACCAUCUAACAGGCAAACAAAUAGACGAUCGAGGGAUGAAUCUGAUGAUGAAUCUGACGAGGAGGAUGACCCUAAUGAGGCGGACUUGUGGAAGAAAAGAAGUAUUUUUUUUUUGAGUUGCCUAAGAAGUAUUUUUUUUUUGAGUUGCCUUAUUGGGAGCAUCACAUAUUAUGCCAAAAUCUUGAUGUGAUGCAUAUUGAAAAGAAUGUCUGCGAGAACAUCAUCCAGACAAUUUUGAACGUCGAUGGUAAAUCAAAAGAUAAUCUUCAGAGUCGACUUGAUUUAGUUCACAUGGGAAUUAGGCGUGAUCUUCAUCCCCAAGUACGUCCUAAUGGAAAAUAUUGGUUGCCGCCUACAAUUUUUUCAAUGUCAAAGGAAGAGAAAGAAAUGUUCUGCACGGUUUUGAAGGAUAUAAAGGUUCCGGAUGCGUAUGCAUCAAAUAUAUCUCGAUGUGUAAGUCUUAAAGAUCGAAGACUAUAUUCAUUAAAAUCACAUGACUAUCACAUCUUGAUGCAAGAUCUACUUCCAGUUUCUUUACGGUACUGUAUGUCAAAGAAGGUAACGUCCUGUAUAAUUGAACUGUCCAAUAUAAUGAAAGCAAUUUGUGGCAAAUUUUUGAAUGUUGAAGAACUUGAAAAAGUACAAGAUCGAGCCGCUUUGACAUUAUGCAAUUUGGAGAAGAUCUUUCCACCUUUCUUCUUCACAAUUAUGGUGCACCUUGUCAUUCAUCUCCCUCGUGAAGCAAUAAUUGGUGGGCCGGUUUUCUAUCGUUGGAUGUAUCCAAUUGAAAGGUGCUAAUUUAUUUCAAAGGCAUUCCACCUUUAUACCUAUAGUUACCAGUUUUGAUAAUGUUGUAUAUGGUGUUUAGGUUCCUAAGCAAAUUGAAGUCUUAUUGCCGUAACAAGCGUUAUCCGGAAGGAUCGAUUGCUGAAGGCUACUUGGCAGAGGAGUGUAUGACAUUCUGUUCUAGAUAUUUAGAAGAUGUUGAAACAAGAUUGAAUAGACCAAGUAGAAAUACCGGACUCAAUAUCCUAGCUUGGCCGAAACUUAUUUAUUUCAAAGUUAUGGAGAACCAAUCGGCAAAGUUGAAAUUGCAGAAUUAGAUGACCGAUCUUGGAUACAAGCACAUAGAUAUGUUCUUUUCCACCACGAUGCACUUGAACAAUUACGCAAGUAAGUUCUAGAAUAUGAUAAAUAUUCAUCUUUUUUUGAUUUGUUUAUUUUUUAACGAAUUAAACAUGUUUUUAACAUAGUGAGUACAAACAAGUCUUAAGAUCUCGUUCACGCUCACGAAGAUUACAACAUCGCGAGAUUAAUAGGUUAUUCGCAGAAUCUUUUCAUGAAUGGUUAAGCCAAAUGGUAUGCAACUCAACAUUUUAUUGACAAAUAAUAAUGUUUUCUCAUAACAUUUACAAUUACUCAAUUUACUUUUGAUUCAAUAGGUUUGGAGUGGGAAUAUCGUUAAUGACGAAGUUAAAUGGCUUUCCCAAGGUCCGAAUCGAGUAGUAAAAAGAUAUAGUGGCUUCAUCAUGAAUGGAUUCAGAUUUCAUACCAAAUAUCGCGAGAGAUUGAGGAGAACUCAAAAUUGUGGAGUAGUUGUUAAUUCUUUAAUUACAAGUUACGCUAGUGCUAGGAACAGUAAUCCUGUCGAGGGAAAUGUGGAGUAUUACGGACUUCUAACCGACAUUAUUGAGUUGGAUUACUAUGGAAAAUGGAAAUUUGUCUUAUUUCGAUGUGAUUGGGCUGAUGCUAAUACUGCUCGCGGAAUUAAAAAUGAUCAGUUUGGUUUUACAAUGGUGAAUUUCUCUCGAUUAAUUCACAUUGGAGAACAUUUGAUAGACGAGCCGUAUGUAUUUUCUUCUCAAGUUAAACAAGUUUUUUUACUCGAAAGAUCCAAUUGAUGAGGGUUGGUACGUUUUUGUAACACCCCGUACCCGAGACCGUUGCCGGAAUCGGACACGAGGGGUUCACAGACUAAAUUCGCUUACUAUCGCAGUCCAUUUUAAAAUUUUCCAGGCAGUUGGCUAACUGCGACACUGUCACCUUAAAAAUCAUAUCUUGAGUUUCACAACUCAAAAAUCAGUUUCGUAAUUUUUCCCUAAAACUAGACUCAUAUGCCCAUCUACAUAUUUUUUUCUAGAAUUUUUGGUUGGGCCAAUUAGUACAGUUUAUUAGUCAAAUUCUCCCAUGUUACAGGGAUCGACUACACUGACCUUUGCGCAUUACGACUUGGAUAUCUCCCUGCACAGAGCUUCAAUACUGAUUCCGUUUGUUUCUAUAGAAACUAGACUCAGAGAGGAAUCUAUACAUAUAUGGAAUUACUCCUAAUUAUCUCUGAUUAAUUUAUAAUGAAUUUCCAAAGUCGGAACAGAGAAUCCAGAAACUGUCCUGGCCCUGUCUCACGAGAACCUGAAUAUCUCUUAACAUACUGUCCAUAUGAUCGUUUCGUUACUUUCCUAUGAAAAUAGAUUCAUCAAGGUUCAUUUAAAUAAUUUAUUCAUUAUUUAAUUCAAAUCCUACUAUUUUUAGUGAUUUUCCAAAUCUACAUCACUGCUGCUGCCAGCAUCUGCCUUUAAGGUAGACUUUACCUAUUUCAUAGUUUCCAUGAUUCAACUAGCCCUUUUAGCAUAAAUAGCACAAAUUAUGAUAGUGAUUAACCAUUCCAUACCAAAUGAUUAUAACAUUAUGCUCAAACAUAUAUAAGCCAUUUUCGCAUGGCUAUAUACAUUAACCAAAAUAUUCUUCCGCCACUAGUCUAUUUUAUACAUGCCAUAAGAUAAUCCAAAACAUAGCAGUACCAAACAGUGGAUAGUGAUAGCGUGACUAGUUGCUGACGAUCCCCGAGCCUGUAGCUUCGCAAUGAGAUCUAUAAAACAGAGUAAACGGAGUAAGCAUUACAAUGCUUAGUAAGUUUUAAGCAGUGUCAACAGAUAACAAUCAAAUUAUAACAUAGUUGUUCGUAUUUUUAUUUCACUCUUCCUUCGGGCAUACCAUCCCUUUACCGAAUAUGCACAUCUCAUCAUAUACAAUAGGCAGAUAAACUUUCACAUAAAAGUGAGCUCAUGUGACAUAGAUAUAUCGUAUGAUUUCACAUAACCUCUCACACUGAUCCGAUGUCACAUAAUCAUAGGAAUAGUCUCAUAGAUUGCUCUCGUAUGCAUCACAUAACUACCUUAUGAUUUAGUGCAAAUCAAGCUCACAUAUAAACUUGGAGUACAUACCUGUUUAACCUUUUGCAUUGAAUAUAUUUAUAAGCAAUUCUUAUUACGAAGUCUUACCCGGACAUAAUCUCCACACGAAGUUAUCGGGUCUUACCCGGACAAAAUCCCCACACAUAGUCAUCGGGUCUUACCCGGACAAAAUCCCCACACGUAGUCAUCGGGUCUUACCCGGACAAAAUCCCCACACGUAGUCAUCGGGUCUUACCCGGACAAAAUCCCCACACGUAGUCAUCGGGUCUUUAGAGCUCGGAUAUAGUACGAGCACGAAGCUUACGGACAUUAAUUAGUGAUAAUAUUCUCGCAUAGAGCCUGCGGGGUUUUAACCCGGAUAUAGUACUAACACAAAUGCCCUUCGGGACUUAUCACAUUUAUACACUUUCACAUCCAUCACGUUGGCCACUCGGCCCUGUCACAUAUAUACACUUUCACAUUCAUCACAUUGGCCAUUAGGCCUUAUCACAUAUAUACACUUUCACAUUCAUCACAUCGGCCAUUAGGCCUUAUCACAUAUAUACACUUUCACAUUCAUCACAUCGGCCAUUAGGCCUUAUCUCAUAUAUACACUUUCACAUUCAUCACAUCGGCCAUUAGGCCUUAUCACACAUAUACACUUUCACAUUCAUCACAUCGGCCAUUAGGCCUUAUCACAUAUAUACAAUUUCUUGGCUGAAUAUACAUCUAUCAUUUUCCAAUAUCACAAUUUAGAAUUCACGUAUGGGUUUAAUCGAUAGCUUAUGAGCAACUAGAACAAGUUUAUCAAGGUUUACAACACAAUCUCAAAUUCAGCACAAGCUGUUUUUCCUGAGCAAUAGUCACUAAAUCAUUUAUAACUGGAGCUACAAAACUCCAAAUCACUUUCCGUUAAUUUUUCCUGAAUAUAAACUCGUAUAUCUUCCAUCCAUAAAAUUUCCAGAAUUUUAGGUUUGGCCAAUCAAUACCAGAUUUUUCUUAAAGUUUCCCCUGUUUCACUGUUUGACUAAUCUGACCACUCUUCACUACGAAUCAGAUUUCUCAUUUUACAGAAUUCAAAGUGUGUUGUAUUUGAUUUCAUUUGAAACUAGACUCAUUAAGAGGUAUAAGCAUAUAAAUUUUAUCUUAUAACCAUUUUUUUACAAUUUAUAAUGAUUUUCUAAAAACAGAACAGAGGAUUACAGUGUCAUUCUGCGCUGUCUCACACAACUUUAAGUAUCUCAUUAUCGGAAAUCCCUUUGCUUACAUGGUUUCUUUUAUAAGAAACUAGACUCAUUAAGAUUUAAUUUCAUGUCUCAUUCAGCCUCUAAUUAAAAUCCAUAAAUUUAUGGUGAUUUUCUAAAGUCACGUUACUGCUGCUGUCCUAAGCAGACUAUUUCAAAUUACCCUUAAAUUCCCAAGCUCAAACACUUAAGAACUUACCAUUUGAGCUUAGAACAUAUCAUGGCCACUUAAGAAUUAUCACGAAUCGACUAUUCAGCUACUUUCUCUUUCCCUUAUCCGAAAUUUGUGCCCCUUUUUGUCCUUGAGCUUAAUUAAACAAAUUCAACUUAUCACAUCUCUAUUAUUCAAAAAAAAAAAUCACAUUCGGCACAUUUAAAAAAACAUUGAUAAGUCUCAAAACACAAGCAACACUUAUCAAAGUCAUGUAAUUUACGCACUUUACAAGGCACUACUACAUUUAUAAUCUUACUUUCAUACAACCAUUCUUCUUUGACCGAAUGCUUCCACACUCAUGUCUUCAUUAACAACCUCUGAAACUACAAUUUAUUCACAUCCUUAUUUAUGUUACAUUCGGCUAUCAUAAUAAAAAUAUAUAAAUAGUUACACAAUAACCACUUUAGCCUAAAGUCAUUUUAGCAUAUAAUGCACAAACAUUAUACCACCACCAUUAAAUACAUGACAUAACCGAAUCAACAAAAUCAUGAGCAAUGUGUCAAAUAUAAUUCACGCUUAUCAUUACACUUUGGUCAAUUUAUCAAAAUCAUUAAUAACCAUCAUUUGAUGAAAUCACCAUAACCAACUUAACAAUAUAAACAAGCCAUUUAAACCCCCAAUUUAUCAACUUUGACAAGUUUAAAACUCACCUAAUGACUAAUUACAAAUUAAAGCUUCAAGCAAUCAAAUUUAACUCAUCAAGAACUUGGCCGAAUACACAUUCUUUGACCAAAAUCGAAAUUCAACGUGGGGUUUAUAAGGGAUUGCAUCUAGCUCAUAAAUUAAGUUCACAAUUUCCUAUUCAUAUGAAAUUUAACCUCAUGGAGUCUAUUAAGUACUCUUAAUCCCUUUUCUAACAACAAAUUUCAAACAUAGGAUUUUCUAUACAAAACCGUACAUGCUUCCAUAAAAAAAAUCUAAGAGAAUAACUCAUGGUUUAAGAUAGAACUAAGAUACAAACUCAAUUUCACAAGUUUUCAAAAAAAAUGACAUAAACUCAUACCUUAGAAUCAAUCUAUGCUAAUGGCCAAAUGUGUCUCAAGCUUUUUUUUUUCCCUUCUUUCUCUUUUCUACUCACGGCAAUGGAGAAGAAGAAAAAGAUGAACCAACUUUGUUUUUAUCACCCAUUUCUUUUAAUAUAUGUUCAUAUUUCAUAUUAUUUAUUCAUUUAACAUUUAGUUUAUUAAUAUAAAAGGCAUAUAUUUUGUAUCCCAUACUCCUUAUUUUAUUGUUCCUAACAUCCAUCACUAACAUAACAUGUUUGUGACAUGUUUCCACUCAUAGCAUGGCCGGCCACUAUGCCUUAAUUUGGGUAAAUUGACAUGCAAACCCAUCAUUUUCACAAUAUGCAUUAAUAGGCCACUUUGCAAUUGCCUAGCACAUUUCUAAAUUUUCUCACAUAAGUCCUAUUUGAUAAAAUUCACUUACAAUUAACAAAAUUCAAACAUGAAAUUUUCACACAUGCACAUGUACAUAUAAUGAGCAUCAAUUAUGACGGUUAAUUAUUUUUAUGACUCGGUUUAGUGGUCCCGAAACCACUUCCCAACUAGGGUCAAAUUAGGGGUGUCACAGUUGUACUCCGAAACACCCCUAGAGACUUAUUUGACAUGGGGAAUGGAAGUAGAGAUGACAUCGUUGAAAGAUCAGAAACUUUGCCUUUUCCAGAACAAAACUUAAAUGAAAAUAUCCCUAGUACUAGUACACAAUUUCAAUGGGUUCGUCAGGAUGUGGACGAAGAUAUUUACGAUUUAUGAUGUAGUAAGAUUUUAUGAGUUUUUGUUUAUAUGUAAUGUUAUAAUUUUAACAUUGGUCAUGUUAUAUAAUUUAACUAUUUUAUAUUUACUAUUGUUGUUAUUUCUUACUAAAAUUUUAACUAUUUUAAGUGUUGCAGGAAAAAUGCCUAGAAGAAGAUUAAGAGAUCUUAAUAUUGUACAGAAUACUACAAAUUCGGAAGAAGUAAGUACUGAACAGUAGACAGUUGUUGGAUCUUCAAGCGUGCCGGAGACACUUGACGAGUCUGUGGAAUUUCAAAGUAAUGUUAAGUUUAUUUUACAAAUUGUAUUAAAUUUUAUUACUGAUUUAUUUGUAAAUUUCAAUAUAGUAAUAAUAUAUUAUUUUUCAGCUGAAAAUGGUCAGACGCGCAGAGGUCGAGGACGUACGCUCCUAACAGAUUUAUAUAACUUAAAUUCUGUCGAGCGUGUCAAAGUAACUAGAAACAGCCAUGGUCAGCCUGUUGGACAAGAAGCUCGACUUUUAGCAGGCUAUUUGGGCAUUAUAGCACGAAAUGCCAAUAUGUUGCCCAUCAACUAGGAAUCAUGGCAUAACAUGCCUGAUAGCAAUAAAAAUUAAGCUCUCUCUAAUAUUAAGGUAACAAAACGUUAAUGUAAUUUAUAAUACUUUGGUUUAAGUUUCAUUUAUAUUUACUUCCUAAACUGUGUUUAUUAGGAGAGGUUUGCUUUAGAGGUCUUUGAUGCCUAUAUCAAGAAGGCAUUGGGUAAAAAAUGGAGAGACCAUAAAAGCAUUUUGAAAAAAGAAUAUUUUAAAAAACCCAUAAGCCUCGAAGAAAAAUUGCAAAAUGUCCCACCGGGAAUGCUGAGGUACCAAUGGGAAGAUGCGGUUCGAUUUUGGAAUUCGAAGAAAGGAGAGGUAUUAUGUACUUGCAAACUUUUAUAAAUUUUUCGGUUUAUAGUAUUUACUAUAUACGUAAUAAUAAUUUCAUUAUGUAGGACCGUGAGCGAGUUGGAACAAGCAGCAGGCAAAAACAAAAAUUUACGCACACGGCAGGAUCGAGAAGUUUUGCUUGUGUAGCUCAGGCCGCGAUACUAUGGAUUUAUUAAUUCUAUCAAGUAUUAAUGACUUUUUACUAUUAAAUAAUAUUUACUACUAUAUUGUAGGAAGCCUCAUCUGGUCAAAAAGUUGGACGCCUUCAGCUUUUUGACAUUACGCACAGGAAAAAAGAUGGAACUCCGAUGACAUCUGAGGCUGUAGAAAUUAUGGUAUAUUUACUUAAUAAAAUUUGAUUCAUUAUAAAUAUUUAUAAUAUUUAAUUAUAAUGUUUUAAUUUGUCAUUUUUAUUAGUUUAAUUUAAAUAAUGUUAUGUUGUAUUCCUUUUUAUUGUAUAUUUCGUUUCUAACUCUUUAACUGAUUUAUUAGGAGAAACUAAAAGAUAAGAAGGCAGAGUAUGAAGCGACUGCUUCGACUGAUAGUUCUGUUAAUUUUGAGGAUAUUGAUAACAGAAUUAUUAAUGAAGUUUUGGGUCCUGAAAGGUAUGGUCGGGUUAGAUUUCAAGGAUCUGGUGUUAACCCGACCCAAUAUUUUGGAUCCGCCUCUCACCAAUACAUGCCUUCCGAGAGUCAAAGUCAAGCUGAAGUUCAGAGGCUAAAAGAUCAAAUAGUUCAGAUACAAGCUAGCACAGAUGAGCAAAUUUCUCAACUUAGAGCGGAGACAGCAGCGCGGGAGGCGGAGGCAGCAGUGAGGGAGGCGGAGCAGAAUAGAAAAUACAAUGAACUCCAGCUCCAGCUUCAGUCUAUAAUGACUAUGUUCCAGCAAUUUCAAAAUCCCCCAUCUUAGACAUUUGUUUUCUUGUAACUUUUAACAUUAUUGUAAGAAUAUUUUGAAUAUUCAUUUACAAUUUAUAUAAUAUAUUUUUUGUAUAAUUUUGUAUUAUUUAAAUUUACAGGUUUUUGUUGGAUUUCAUGGUAUAUUUGCUGUUUUUGGUUGAAUUUCUUACAGGAGGGUUGGAUAUAGGUGCAAAAAUACAUACUGCAAAACUGGGCAAAUUAGCGGCGUUUUUCAAAAGCGCUACUAAAAGUGCUGGUCUUUAGCGGCGUUUUUUUAAAAAGCACCACUAAAAAUCCUGGUCUUUAGCGGCGCUUUUAUAAAAAUGCCUCUAAAUGUCUGGUCUUUAGUGGCGUUUUUUAAGAAAGCGCCGCUAAUUUUACCGGCGUUACAUAUAGCGACGUUUUUUGCGGUGCUUGAGAAAGCGCCACUAAAGUUUUUAGCGGCGCUUAAAAACGCCGCUAAAGGCAAAAAAAACGCCACUAAAAGUCUAUUUUCCUGUAGUGUGUUCUCAUUCUGACUGACUGGUCCAAUCUAGUUUAAAUAACAUGAAAUUUUGGAAUUUUUGUUUAAAUUAUUAAAAUCAUAUUUAUUUUUAAAAUUUUAAAGAGUUUAUUUUUUUAUUUUUAAAAAAAAAUUAAAAUUUUCAUUUUUAUGUUCUUAUUUCAAAGAAAAAAAAUUAAUUUUUAAAAAUUUUAAAAUCUUAUAAGUACUUUUAAAGGGUAAUUACUAAAUUGACACAAAAAAUAUAAAUGUUGAGGGUUAAAAAAGUUAUUUUACAUUUGACAAUGUUAACUUUAACGGCAGAAUUAAACAAAAUGACCAAAAUUUUUAAAUAAAACACUAUAGAGACUAAAUAUCUCAAGACUAAAGUAUAAAGACUAAAAUUUAAAAUUUUAAAAAUAACAUAUUUAAACUUUUAAAGGAAUCAGUUAUUAAUAUAUAUUUUAUUUCCUCCUAAUUUUUAACAUUUUUAGUUGGAUUUAAAUUUUUCUUAAAGAAAAAGUUAAAAAUUAAGAGAGAAAAAUCUAAAUUAUAAUUCUCCUAUUAAAAAGAUAUAAAAAUUAAGUUGAAUCACAGUUUUCAUACAAUCCAUUUUCAUUACUACAAGACUUUUCAAUUACAUUCACCAAACAUAUAUUACACUGAGUUAUUUUUAAUCAUAUUGCACUUGAUAUUUAACUUUGUAGUAAGUUAUCAUACAAUCAAUGCCAUAGCAUCACACUAGUCAUUCUUCUUUUGAAGCAGGCUAUCAGACAUUUAUUCCCAUCGCUUGGAGAUCCUAGUCAUCAGUCCAUACUCGGUGUGCAGGACAAUCGAUACGGCUGGAACAACCGGAGUUUCUUCCACUACAUGAAUACGAUAAUUGUAAAUCAGAGUAGAUGCCACGGCUUUGAUCUGAAUAAAUGAUGUUUCCUUCCCCAAACAUAUCCUUGGCCCUGCACCGAAAGAUAAGAACUUGUAUGAUGGCUCAUGUUUGAUCUCUCCUCUCUCAUUAAUCCAUCUCUCAGGCUUGAAUUCAUAGCAAUCUUCUCUCCAGAUUGACUUCAUUCUUCCCAUUGAAUACACACUAAACAAGACUUUUGUCUUUGGAUGAACUGGAUGCCCGCUUGGAAGCAUGUCUGGUUUGACAGGUUCCUUGUGAUUGAAAGGGGCUGGUGGAUACAACCUUAAUGCCUCACACAAUGCUCCAUGGAGAUAAACCAAAUUCUUUACCUCAUCGACAUUGAAUAGCCGCCUCCUUUUGGUU
RNAcentral lists this long non-coding RNA (345335 nucleotides) under Gossypium barbadense (sea-island cotton). Its description in RNAcentral is "long non-coding RNA (GBAR_LNC007973)". The stretch from base 259890 to 259996 matches the Rfam family "Plant small nucleolar RNA R71". Lineage: Eukaryota; Viridiplantae; Streptophyta; Magnoliopsida; Malvales; Malvaceae. The record is from RNAcentral.